RNAcentral lists this long non-coding RNA (184945 nucleotides) under Daucus carota (carrot). Its description in RNAcentral is "long non-coding RNA (DCAR_LNC002600)". The record is from RNAcentral. Lineage: Eukaryota; Viridiplantae; Streptophyta; Magnoliopsida; Apiales; Apiaceae.
AUUUUUUUGAGGGGCCGCUUCCGCCAAAUUUAUUCAAGCUCUCCAAACUAAAGAUUCUUUUCCUUUAUGAGAAUAACUUUUCAGGUUUUAUUUCUAAGGAUAUAGGUUUGCUUUUUGAACUUGAAACCCUCUAUCUUGACUCUAAUUUUUUUGAGGGGCCGCUUCCCCCACAUGUAUUUAGGCUCUCCAAAUUAAGAGAUCUGGGUCUCUCAGACAAUAGAAAUUUAUUUGAAGGAAGUAUUCCUAUUGGACUGGGACUCUUGACUAACCUCAGAUACUUGCGUCUAUCUUCCAAUAAUCUCGGUGGCUAUAUUCCAUCUGACAUUGGAAACCUGAAGCAACUAGAACUUCUUGAUCUCGGUUCUAAUCAAUUGACUGGACCGCUUUCAAAGAUCGUUUCUAAUCUCACAAAUCUUAUAUAUCUUGAUGUGAGUUAUAAUAGUCUUAGUGGAAAUAUUCAGAGUGACUGGUGGAAAAACUCUGUAUCCUUACGUUACAUUGAUUUUGAAAAUAAUUAUUUGUCUGGGAACAUUCCUAAGGAAUAUAACGAUCAUCCAACUUUGGAAUACAUCAAUUUAGGUGGGAACCAUUUUACAGGUAUAUUUUCUCUAUAUAUCUUUUCCUUUUGUCAUAUGUAAAUAAGCUAGUAAUCUGGUUAUUGUAGUUUUACCAAAGUUUCAACAAUCUUGACAGGUGAGCUUCCAACAACAAUUUGCAAUGCCACUUCCCUUUCGGUUCUUGUUUUGUCAAAUAAUGGAUUAAGUGGUGCACUUCCAAAAUGUUUCGGGAAUCUUGCUGAUGGAUUGCUUUACAUUAAUCUUGCUAAUAAUCAGUUUCGAGGAACAAUACCAACUACUUUCUCCAGGAGUUGUCGGUUGACAUAUCUAAACAUGGAUAAUAAUGAGUUUGAAGGAUUGUUGCCCCCAUCUUUGGCGAACUGUAAGCACUUGAAAAUUCUUGAUAUAGGCAAUAAUAAAAUAGGUGGUACAUUUCCGUCAUGGCUUUAUGCACUUGGAGAGCUAGAAGUUCUUGUCUUGCGAUCAAAUAAACUCUAUGGUACGAUAAGUGGAAGGAGCAUAGAAGAUCCCUUCCCAAAGUUGCGGAUUGUGGAUCUGUCCCACAAUCAAUUGACAGGCUAUUUGCCAAUUCAAUACUUUAAGAAUAUGAAAUCAACUGAUGAUUUGUAUAGUUUCCGGAAUUCCACAGGAACCGCAUCUAUCUCUUAUGAAGCAUCGGUCUCAUUAACCGUGAAGGGAACAGAGUAUGAAGUAGCAAAUAACCUUCAUAUUUACACAGCCAUUGAUCUAUCGUGCAACAAAUUUCAGGGACAAAUUCCAAAGGUUACUGGAGAGCUUAAAUGGCUGGCAUUGCUCAACUUAUCUCAUAAUAGUCUAACAGGACCUAUCCCGUCAUUGCUGAGAAAUAUGAAAGAACUCCAGUCUUUAGAUUUGUCUUCAAAUCAACUAACAGGGGCUAUUCCACCUCAGUUAACUGCACUGACAUUUCUAGAGGUCUUGAACUUCUCGGGAAACCAUCUUAGUGGAGAGAUUCCUCAGAAAGGACAGUUCAGCACAUUCAACAAUGAUUCCUAUCUAGGAAACUCUGCGUUAUGUGGAUCACCUUUGACGAAGAAAUGUGUAAACACUGUAUCACCUCCUCAGGAAGUCGAAAAUGGUGAUGAAGAUGAUGCUGGUGAUGAAUUGACAUGGGAAGCAAUCGUGAUGGGAUAUGGAUGUGGACUGAUAUGUGGAUUGUCAUCUGCGUACAUUGUUCUCAAACUAGGAAAGCCUUGGUGGUUUGUGAGAUAUAUCGAAGUACUGCAACUGAAGUUGAUGAAAAGAUAUGCAUGAAGAAAGGUACUGGUAGAUCAAGAUGAACUUGAAAGUUGUUGUCCUGGUAGACAUUUCUGAACCAGUAGUAUACUAGCUGUGUAAGUAUUUGGUAUUAUGUAAUAAUCCGUUUGGUCGGGACUCAAAAUGAUUUCUCUUGCUUCAGGGGUAUUAAUAUUAACCUUGCUAUCUUGAUCAAUGUUAAUGCAAAUUAAAAAGAAUAUAAAAGCAAAAAAUUUGCAUCAAACACCUGUUGUACCACAGGCUUCCGACUCAAUAUUUGUUAGCCUCCCGUGCCCUGUGUGAAACCAUAAGCUUCUCUGGUGAAUAUCCAAAUCAUUCAGCUGGUUCUACUUUCAGCUCACCGCAGGAACAUCAUUCUGCAGGUACUCUCUUAUCUGUACUUUCUUAUAUUGUAUGCCAGAAAAUUUAAUAUCGACAAACUGCACAAUACACCUCGAUCUCAUAUUAUUGACAGGUGAGCUCCUCUCAUAAUGCUCACAGGCGAACUCCUGCAUAUACUUUGUGAUGUCAUUGAUGAUCGAUAGACUUGAAAAAAAAUUAUGACAAAGAUUCAUAAAAUAUCUACUUCCAUCCUAAUUCAGUAUUCAAUAUUAUGCAUUCCGUAUCAUCAUCCAAUCAAUUCUAAUAGUUCUUCUUUAAAUCAGGACAAAUAUUGUUAAAUACAUGGAUGAUGGUUGUCUUUCCGCGAACCAAUCAUGAAAUUACCUCUGUUUAAAUCCGUCGAAAAUAAGAAAAUUAAUAUCCCAAUCGAAUACACCCCGUGAGUUGUCAAACUCCUCGAAACAUAUUAAUCACUUUAGAAAAUUUCAACAAUCUUGACAGGUGAGCUUCCAACAACAAUUUGCAAUGUCACCUCCCUUUCGGUUCUUGUUUUGUCAAAUAAUAAAUUAAGUGGUGCACUUCCAAACUGUUUCGGGAAUCUUGCUGAUGGAUUGCUUUACAUUAAUCUUGCUAAUAAUCAGUUUCAAGGAACAAUACCAACUACUUUCUCCAGGAGUUGUCCGUUGACAUAUCUAAACAUGGAUAAUAAUGAGUUUGAAGGAUUGAUGCCCCCAUCUUUGGCGAACUGUAAGCACUUGAAAAUUCUUGAUAUAGGCAAUAAUAAAAUAGGUGGUACAUUUCCGUCAUGGAUUUAUGCACUUGGAGAGCUAGAAGUUCUUGUCUUGCGAUCAAAUAAACUCUAUGGUACAAUAAGUGGAAGGAGCAUAGAAGAUCCCUUCCCCAAGUUGCGGAUUGUGGAUCUGUCCAACAAUCAAUUCACAGGCCAUUUGCCAAUUCAAUACUUUAAGAAUAUGAAAUCAAAUGAUAAUUUGUAUCGUUAUCUGAAUUCCACAGGAGAAAUAUAUAUCUCUUAUGAAGCAGCAGUCUCAUUAACUGCGAAGGGAACAGAGUAUGAAGUAGCAAAUAACCUUCAUAUUUACACAGCCAUUGAUCUGUCGUGCAACAAAUUUCAGGGAGAAAUUCCAAAGGUUACCGGAGAGCUUAGAUAGCUUGCAUUGCUCAAUUUAUCGCAUAAUAGUCUAACGGGACCUAUCCCAUCAUUGCUGAGAAAUAUGAAAGAACUCCAAUCUUUAGAUUUGUCCUCAAAUCAACUGACAGGGGCCAUUCCACCUCAGUUAACUGCAUUGACAUUUCUAAAGGUCUUAAAUCUCUCGAAAAACCAUCUCAGUGGAGAGAUUCCUCAGGAAGGACAGUUCAGCACAUUCAACAAUGAUUCUUAUCUAGGAAACUCCGCGUUAUGUGGAUUACGUCUGACAAAGAAAUGUGCAAACACAGCAUCACCACCACAAGAAGUCGGAAAUGGUGAUGAAGAUGAUGCUGGUGAUGAAUUGACAUGGGAAGCAAUUGUGAUGGGAUAUGGAUGUGGACUGAUAUGUGGAUUAUCAUCUGCGUACCUUGUUUUCAAACUAGGAAAGCCUUGGUGGUUUGUGAGAUAUAUCGAAGUACUGCAACUGAAGUUGAUGAAAAGAUAUGCAUGAAGAAUGGUACUGGCCGAUCAAGACGAACUUGAAAGUUGGUCCUUGUGGACAUUUCAGCUGAACCAGUAGGUACUAUUCUCUUUGUGACUGCAUAAGUAUUUUGUAUUGUGUAAUGUUCUGUUUGGUCUUAAAUCAUAAUGAUUUUUCUUGCUUCAGGGGUAUUAAUAUAAAACUUGGUAUUGUGUACUAGCUGUAAUAUUCCGUUUAAUCAAUGUUAAUACCUGUAAUUUUAUGCUCCUGACUGCAUCAUGCAGCUCUCAUAUUAUCUUCAUAUGUGUAUUUAUUUGGAUAUUGAAGUUGCAUGGACAUAUGGAUAUGUGUUAACGGGGAUUGCUCCCAAGUCUUGGACGGACUCUUUCCAAGUCUUCCGAGAUCCUAUUGGUUCAAAUUAGUCCAAUUUGAACUGCCAUCAAAUGCAACUCUGUAGAUUCUGUCUCUGAGAUUAACCUUUCAGGACAUCAGCUCAAUGGUACACUUGCUGAAUUCAGUUUCGUUUAAUUUCCGAAUCUACAAAUUAAGCUACAAUAACUUCACUUGUCCAAUACCCCCAGACAUUGGAAAUUUAACAGAGCUGCAACACCUUGAUUUUAGCUCUAAUAAACUCACUGCUGCAAUUCCGGACCAGGUAAGCCAUCUUCAAACAUUGCGGACCUUAAACCUGUAGGAUAAUCAACUUGGAAGCUCCAAACUGGUCCGCUUUUUCCCCUAUGCCUUCUCUGACAAACCUCUGUCUCAAUAAUAAUAAUCUUUCGUCGAAAUUCCAAGACUUCAUAUUAAAUUGUGGUAACCUGACUUACUUUGAUCUUUCAUUAAAUAUGUUAACAGGUAAUUUGGUUCCUUCAUCAAUUUUUAGAAAUUUGUAUAAUCUUGAAUUCCUUUAUCUUUCUAGCAAUUAUUUUGAGGGGCCUUUCCCGCCANNNNNNNNNNNNNNNNNNNNNNNNNNNNNNNNNNNNNNNNNNNNNNNNNNNNNNNNNNNNNNNNNNNNNNNNNNNNNNNNNNNNNNNNNNNNNNNNNNNNNNNNNNNNNNNNNNNNNNNNNNNNNNNNNNNNNNNNNNNNNNNNNNNNNNNNNNNNNNNNNNNNNNNNNUUUCCCUAUCAUAUAAUAGAUUUUCAGGUUCUAUUUCCAUAUGAUAUAGGAAUGCUUCGUGUUUUGGAAUCCCUUUUUUUAGUAGUAGUUCUUUUAAUGGCCCACCUCCACCAAAUUUAUUUAAAUUUUCUAAAUUAAAAGUUUUUUCCCUAUCAUUAAUAACUUUUCGGGUUCUAUUCGAAAUGAAACAGGGAUGCUUCAUGAUUUAGAGUCCCUCUAUCUUAAUGAACAUUCUUUUAAGGGGCCGUUUCCACCAAAUAUAUUCAACCUUUCCAAAUUAAAAGUUCUUAAUUACCUCUCAAAUAAUUCCUUUUCAGGUUCAGUUCCUAGUGAUAUAAGUGUGCUUCGUGAUCUUGAGAUACUUAAUUUGUCCUCUAAUUCUUUUGAAGGAAUUAUCCCAUUGGAGCUUGGGUUCUUGAAUAACGUGAGCUAUUAUUAUAUCUUGAUUCCACUCAAUUGACUGGACCGCUUUUGAAGAACAUUUAUAAUCUCAGUAAUUUUUUGUGUUGGCUUGAAUGGAUCAUUCCAUUCCCUCCAAAACUCAUUCCGUUCAUGUCAACCAAACAGAGCAUCAAUUACUAGUUACUGGGAAAUGCAUUAGCCUAAAUGUUCCUGGUUCAUUGUUACCGGUAUUUCUUAACUGCUGUGAUUGCAAAUUCAGUUGCAGAUUGUUCAUAUAUAUCUAGAGAGACCUGACAUAACUUUAGCCUCUGAUAUACAGCUUCCUUUCACAGUUGUGCCUAUUCACCUAGACGCGUUUUUAACUGCAUAAUGUUGGGUCAACUUCCGACCAUUUAUUUUCUCAUUUGAAAUUAGUGUAUUAAAGUUCGACUUUAAGAAAAUAUAUAGUUUUGUUAAACAAAAAUUCCAAAAGGUUUGGUACGUUUUGAGCUGGGACUUUGAAAUUGUUUGUCGUUAAAGAUGAAGAUUCACUUUUUAAGUUAUAUUAAUCUGUAGUGGUAGACUGGUAGUUUUUCUUUAUUGCUACUUUCCUUGUGCGUUCUUUAUAUUGAUUUAUUAUUUAAUUCGUAAAGUGUUGCGAACUACAUUCCUGCAAAAGUAAAAUCAGUGGAAUUUGUUUGAUAGCAUGAUGAAUAUUUAAAGGGGUUAAUUAUCAAAUUGGUCACUGAAGUGACUUUAAUGUAUCAAGUUGGUCACUGAACUCAAAACGGUAUUAAGAUAGUCACUGAAGUGGACAUAAAUAUCAAACAGGUACCUUGAAAUAUAAGUUCAAGCAGUAAAGAUAUUAUUUAUAAAAUUUUACACAUUAUUUUUAAAUGUUACCACAACCAACUAAAAGGUUAUGACUUCUAGUAUUUAAAUUAAUAUAUUUAUUUUAUCAAGUUUAUUUAUUAUUUAUAUUUUAUUAUAUAGUUAUUUUCUUUGUUUUAAUUAAAAAUAAAUAAUAAAUAAACUUGAUAAUAUCUAAAUAUAUUAUCAUAAAUAUUAGAAUUCAUAACCUUUUACUUGGUCUAGGUAACAUUCAAAAAUAAUGUGUAAAACUUUAUAAAUAAUAUUAUCUUUAUAUUCUUUCCUUUUCUAUGUACCUAUGCUAAUUAUCUGAUUAUUAAAAUUAUAACAAAGCUUCAAGAUUUUUAACAGGUGAGCUUCCACUAAAAAUUUGCAAAGUCACUUCCCUUUCGCGUCUCAUUAUGUCAGAUAUUGGAAACAACAAAUAGGUGGUACAUUUCCGUCAUGGCUAUUUACUGUUGGAGAGCUAGAUGUCCUAGUUAGGGCGGUAAUUCGACUAAAGCAAACCGAGUUUUGAGCGGAGUCAAAUUCGAGCCAAGUUUAAUCGAGUCGAGCCGAGUCGGCUCAUUUAGCUAAUCGAGCCUAAAACUCUGGUCGAACUCGACUCGUUUAAUUUCGCGAGUCAAGUCGACCCAGCUCGUUUAGUUAAAUGAGCUGGUUUUAACGAGUCAAGCGAGUGAGCUCGUAUAAUUUUAACUUAAUCGAGUCUAAAUCUCUACCCGAACUAUUGGCUCGUGUAAUUUCACGAGUAGAAUCGAGCUGGCUCGUUUUAUUAAAGAAGCCGAAAUUUUUGCCCGAAUUUGGCUUGUUUAACAAGCCGAUCUUUCAUCAAAAUUUUCAAACAUUUCUGAAUAUGUAUUUUCAGAGAAUUUCUCCGGCACUCUUAAGGCCUAUAAUUAUUGCAACUCUCACGUUAUGGACCACUAUGUAUUUUACGAGCACGACGAAUCAUGUGGUCAUUAUGGACUCCCCAAGCCUUCGAGGACUCAUUCCAGGUCUUAGGAGGACCACUGCCUAGCUCACCCUCUCGGAGUGAUGUAAAUUAUUUUCCAGACACUAAAAAUAAGUAUUCAGAUUAAUCAUUACAAAAUUAAGGAUAUAAAAUCAGAAUAAAUCCUAAACUUUGAUGAUACAAAAAAAUUAUAAUUGUAAAUUAUACAAUCAAAUUAAAAUCGAAUUAACUUCUCUCACACUUAAAAUUUAUAGCGAUCAAAUCAAAAUCGAAUUAACUUUCCUAUUACUAAAAUUUAAUUACAAUAUUAUUAGAUAAAGAGAAUAUAUAAUAAUCAAGGGAAAAUAGAUUUUUUUUUGCCACUCAACUUAUUGUGUUUUAAGAAAUUUACCACCCAACUAAAUUUUUUUUCCUUUUGCUCACUAAUAUUAGGUUUGGAUUUGUUUUUAGCCACCAACUAAGGUUCGGAUUUGAUUACUAGCAUUAUGAUAAUUUUUUGUCACUAAACUUAUUGCGUCUUUAGAAACUAACCACUCAACUAAUUUUUUUUUUAUUUUACUCACUAAUGUUAGGUUCAGUUUUUUUUUUGUCACUGAAGUUAGGUUCGGAUUUGAUUAUUAGCAUUACAUUAAUUCUGUGUAGCAUUUUUAAAAUAUGGUAGUAGUCUGUGAUAUUUAGAUGAUUUGAUAUAUGUCUGUAUUUAUAUAUAUAGUAUUUUUUAUGUCCCCAAGGUCGUUUACCUUGGGUCAUAAGAAUUUUACACACAUUUUAUGACUUUUAAAAGAUGUAGUUUCAUAAAUAAUUUUAUUUUUUUCUUCCGAAUUAAAAUUCAGCGUUUGAAUUUUACACACAAAAAAAUCGCAAAAAUAAGUUAUGAAACUAUGUUUUAUAAGAGUCUUAAAAUACGUGUUAAACGGUAGAAAAAACUGUAAACUAAUGAAAGGUACAUAGGGAGUAAUAAUAACAUAAAAUGAUGCACAAUCAUCGAAUUAAGUUUUCCUCUCUCUCUAUAUAUUUAUUUUGAAAAUUAUAAUAAGAUAAAGUUAUUAAAAUUUAUGAUAUAAAUUUAAAAGAGAUCUUAGACUGAGUGGCAAAAAUUUAGUUGGAUGGUAAGUUUCUAAAAAUACAAUAAAUUGAGCGGGAACAAAAUCUAUUUUCCCAAUAAUCAAAGUGAUGAAAAAUUAAAGUCAUCUAAUAAGUCCAGAAAAAAUAUGACCAUUAGUAUUUUGGAAUAAUAUUCACGCAUUUAUAUACGAGAAUAUAUGGUCCACAAGUUAGUGCACAAUGUCCAAGAAUCUUUAUCAAAGUAACACGGCAAGCAUGCAGCAUAUAAAUAAGAGUGGGCAGUAUGGUAUUGCAUUCAUAACCCACUUGAGGAGAAAUAUGGCACACUUCCUAAAGCCUUCUCACCUUCUUCUCUUUGUUUUCUCUCUCUCGUUACUUCAAUCCAUUCUACCAACAAGACCAGAGGGAGAAGCUCUUGUGAAAUGGAAGAAUAGCCUAGCCCCUUCUUCUUUUCUCGAUUCUUGGUCACUCACCAAUCUCGAUGAUCUUUGUAACUGGACUGGCAUUACUUGUAACUCUGCAGGUUCAGUCUCUGAGAUUAACCUUUAUGAGAAACAACUUGAUGGAAUGCUGUCCGAGUUUGGCUUCACUUCAUUUCCGAAUCUCAACAAUCUCACCCUCGCAUACAACUUCUUCUCGGGUCCAAUUCCACCAGCCAUUGAGAAUUUAACACAGCUUCAAUAUCUUGAUUUAAGCAUCAAUAGUCUCGAUGGUCCCAUUCCGUUCCAGGUUAGCCAUCUUCAGAGGUUGCUCGUCUUAAACCUGUCACAGAAUGCAUUGCAAGCUCCAAAUUGGUCCAAAUUCUCCCCCAUGCCCUUUUUGUGCAUCCUCAACCUCAGUAGCAAUCCUCUUGCGUCGACAUUCCCAAAUUUCAUAUCCAAUUCUCAUGGCCUGACUCACCUCAGCCUUGAUCAAAACGAGUUUACAGGUGAUUUAGCGCGUGAAUCAAUAUUUGCCAAUCUGCAUAAUCUUGAAGUCCUCAGUCUUGUUGGCAAUUCUUUUGAGGGGGCCAUUUCCGCCAAAUAUAUUCAAGCUUUCCAAAUUAAAACGUCUUACCCUGUCAAGUAACAAAUUUUUAGGAUCAAUUCCCAAUGACAUAAGGUUGCUUUGUGAUCUUGAAUUCCUAUAUUUAGGAAACAAUUCUUUUGAAGGACCGCCUCCACCAAAUAUAUUCAAGCUUUCAAAAUUAAAACAUCUUGUUCUCUGGAGUAAUAAGUUUUCAGGUUCUGUUUCCAAUGAUAUAGGUUUGCUUUCUGCGCUUGAACUUCUGAAUCUUCACUCUAAUUUUUUUGAGGGGCCGCUUCCGCCAAAUGUAUUCAAGCUCUCUAAACUAAGGUUUCUUAACCUCUGGGGUAACAACUUUUCAGGUUCUGUUUCCAAUGAUAUAGGUUUGCUUCCUGAGCUAGAAAUCCUCAAUCUUCACUCUAAUUUUUUUGAGGGGCCGCUUCCGCCAAAUAUAUUCAAGCUCUCUAAACUAAGGUUUCUUAACCUCUGGGGUAACAACUUUUCAGGUUCUGUUUCCAAUGAUAUAGGUUUGCUUCCUGAGCUAGAAAUCCUCAAUCUUCACUCUAAUUUUUUUGAGGGGCCGCUUCCGCCAAAUGUAUUCAAGCUCUCUAAACUAAGGUUUCUUAACCUUUGGGGUAAUAACUUUUCAGGUUCUGUUUCCAAUGAUAUAGGUUUGCUUCCUGAGCUAGAAUUCCUCAAUCUUCACUCUAAUUUUUUUGAGGGGCCGCUUCCGCCAAAUGUAUUCAAGCUCUCUAAACUAAAGUUUCUUCAUCUUCGAGGUAAUAAGUUUUCAGGUUCUGUUUCCAAUGAUAUAGGUUUGCUUCCUGAGCUUGAAAUCCUCAAUCUUCGCUCUAAUUUUUUUGAGGGGCCGCUUCCGCCAAAUGUAUUCAAGCUCUCCAAACUAAGGUUUCUUUCCCUUAAGGAAAAUAAAUUUUCAGGUUCUGUUUCCAAUGAUAUAGGUUUCCUUUCUGAGCUUGAAUACCUAUAUCUUGACUAUAAUUUAUUUGAAGGAAGUAUUCCUAUUGGACUGGGACUCUUGACUAACCUCAGCUACUUAGAUCUAAGUUCCAAUAAUCUCAGUGGCUAUAUUCCAUCUGACAUUGGAAACCUGAAGCUACUAGUAUUUCUUGAUCUCAGUUCUAACCAAUUGACUGGACCGCUUUUAAAGAUCGUUUCUAAUCUCACAAAUCUUAUGAAUCUUGAUGUAAGUGAUAAUAGUCUUAGUGGAAAUAUUCAGAGUGACUUGUGGAAGAACUCUAUAUCCUUACGUUACAUUAAUUUUGCAAAUAAUUAUUUGUCUGGGAACAUUCCUAAGGAAUACAACGAUCAUCCAACUUUGGAAUACAUCAAUUUAAGUGGGAACCAUUUUACAGGUAUAUUUUUCUCUAUAUAUCUUUUCCUUUUCUCAUAUGUAACUAAGCUGGUAAUCUGAUUAUUGCAGUUUUACCAAAGUUUCAACAAUCUUGACAGGUGAGCUUCCAACAACAAUUUGCAAUGUCACUUCCCUUGCGGUUCUUGUUUUGUCAAAUAAUGGAUUAAGUGGAGCACUUCCAAAUUGUUUCGGGAAACUUGCUGAUAGAUUGCUUUCCAUUAAUCUUGCUAAUAAUCAGUUUCGAGGAACAAUACCAACUACUUUCUCCAGGAGUUGUCAGGUGAAAUAUCUAAACAUGGAUAAUAAUGAGUUUGAAAGAUUCUUGCCCCCGUCUUUGGCGAACUGUAAGCACUUGAAAAUUCUUGAUAUUGGCAAUAAUAAAAUAGGUGGUACAUUUCCGUCAUGGCUUUAUGUACUUGGAGAGAUAGAAGUCCUUGUCUUGCGAUCAAAUAAACUCUAUGGUACAAUAAGUGGAAGGAGCGUAAAAGAUCCCUUCCCCAAGUUGCGGAUUGUGGAUCUGUCCAACAAUCAAUUCACUGGUCAUUUGCCAAUUCAAUACUUUAAGAAUAUGAAAUCAACUGAUAAUUUGUAUCGUUAUCAGAAUUCCAAAGGAUAUCUAUCUUUCCAUCAUGAUGCAGCAGUCUCCUUAACUGUGAAGGGAACGGAGUAUGAGGUAGCAAAGAACCUUCAUAUUUACACAGCCAUUGAUCUGUCGUGCAACAAAUUUCAGGGACAAAUUCCAAACGUCACUGGAGAGCUUAGAUGGCUUGCAUUGCUCAAUUUAUCGCAUAAUAGUCUAACAGGACCUAUCCCAUCAUUGCUGAGAAAUAUGAAAGAACUCCAAUCUUUAGAUUUGUCUUCAAAUCAACUGACAGGGGCUAUUCCACCUCAGCUAACUGCAUUGACAUUUCUAGAGGUCUUGAACCUCUCGAAAAACCAUCUUAGUGGAGAGAUUCCUCAGAAAGGACAGUUCAGCACAUUUAACAAUGAUUCUUAUCUAGGAAACUCCGCGUUAUGUGGAUCACCUUUGACGAAGAAAUGUGCAAACACAGCAUCACCUCCACAAGAAGUUGUAAAUGGUGAUGAAGAUGAUGCUGGUGAUGAAAUGACAUGGGAAGCAAUCGUGAUGGGAUAUGGAUGUGGACUGAUAUGUGGAUUGUCAUCUGCGUACAUUGUUCUCAAACUAGGAAAGCCUUGGUGGUUUGUGAGAUAUAUCGAAGUACUGCAACUGAAGUUGAUGAAAAGAUAUGCAUGAAGAAUGGUACUGGCCGAUCAAGACGAACUUGAAAGUUGUUGUCCUUGUGGACAUUUCUGAACCAGUAGUGUACUAGCUACAUAAGUAUUUAGUAUUAUGUAAUAAUCCGUUUGGUCGGGACUCAUAAUGAUUUCUCUUGCUUCAGGGGUAUUAAUAUUAAACUUGCUAUCUUGAUGAAUGUUAAUGUAAAUUAAAAAGAAUAUAAAAUCAAAAAAUUUAAAUCAAACACCUGUUGUACCAAGAUCCAUUAAUUUGCUUUAGUCUCUUACAUAACAAUUUAAUAGCACACUUCCACACUGUUCACACGUGUAAUGUAUAAAAAUUCCAGUCUUCUUCGGAGGCCUACAGCUUCAACAACCUCUCAAAGAUGUAGCAGUUGCUUGACAGUGAUAGAUAUAUAUUAGAUAAACACUAUGCAAUAACCAAAGUGACAGAAAAAUCAAAGUCCGCUAAUAAAUUCAUAAAAAAUAUAAUAAUCAACAACAAGAAUCAUAGUCUUACAAGUUCAUAUAAAAUAUAGGAUCAUUAGUAUUCCACAUGUAUAUUUUCUUCUCUUUCUUUUCGAGUUUUCCUCUCCAGCACCAAAUCCAAAUUAAUAUACAAUGCCACACAUUCCAGUCUCAGCUUCAGCUCCCAGGCUAGCAUUGAUUUAGCCAAGCACGACAGUGGCCGCUCUUGGUCCUGCCUUCAAAUGUCUAACAAUAACAGUUGGAUACGUCGACAAAAAUAUUGUUCCUCAUCAUACUGAGGAGUUAUUGAAUUCGACAGUUUUACACAAAGAAGACAAUUCCAUGGACUAAUCUAUUAGUAACACGUAAGCUAUAAACACGUAGUCCACAUCUAUGCUACGAACAAUUCAUAUUGGUCUUCUAUCUGUGCAACAGUCUCCCGAAGAUAGGCCAAAAAUGUCAUCUGUGGUUCUUAUCUUUGUUAGCAAAGGAGAAUCUCCGAUGCCUAUACAACCUGAUUUUCUUACAGAAAGAAAUGCAAGUGAAACUAGGGUCGGAUACCAUGUUAAAUGAUCAAUUCUCCUAAAACUAGGUUCAGGAUGAUCAUGAUAUAUUCUAACAUCAAGAUUAGCAGGACUAAAAUGAAGAUUUAAAUGGAUUUUAAAAACAAGCUCCUACUGAAUAAAAAGAAUCAUUAAUUUUUCUGACUCAACAUAUGUUAGCCUCCCCUGGCCCUGGGUGAAACCAUAAGCUUCUCUGGUGCACAUCCAAAUCAUUCAGCUGGUUCUACUUUCAGCUCAGCACAGGAACAUCAUUCUGCAGGUACUCUUGUAUCUGUAGUUUCUUAUUAAUUUAUUAACAAAAUUUAGCUAUUAAAUAUUUUGAUAAAAUAUCUAUUUAUUAAAAUAUUUUUUUAUUUAAUUGGUCUGAUAAAAAUAUUAUUGAUAUAUAAAUUUUACCUUUUUUCUGAAACAAAUUAUAAUUUUUGCUUCAAGCUUUUGUAUGAUAAGUUGAGAAAUAUUAGUUUUCUUUAUCACCGUGAGAGUAGAUCCUCGUUCCACAAAAAUUUGUAACUGAAAAAUAAAAUAGAGCCCUAAAACUUUUCGAUAAAUAUGGACUAAACAAUUUUGAUGCUCAAGUCUCAAUAGGAUUUAUAAACGGUCAUGAUGAGUUUGAUUAUCAAUGACACCAAAAAAAUAUUAGAAUUAUAUUUAAGUUAUAAAUUUGUCAAUAAAUUGUGUGAUAAUCAUACUUUCCAAGUCUUCUUCAGAGGCCUCCUGCCUCAACAACCUUUCAAAGAUGUAGUAGUUGUUGCUCGAGAGGGACAAAUAUAUUAGGUAAAGACUAUGCAAUAAUCAACGUGACAGAAAAACCAAAGUCCUCUAAUAAAUUAAUAAAAAAUAUUAUAAUCAAUAUCAAGAAUCAUAUUAUCAUAGUCUUCUAAGUUCAUAUAAAAUAUAGAAUCAUUAGUAUAUAAAUAGAAGAGUGCAGAGUAAAGCCUUUCAUAAUCCAGUUGAGGAGAAAUAUGGCAUACUUUGUAAAGCCUUAUCACCUUCUUCUCUUUGUUUUCUUUCUCUCAUCACUUGAAUCCAUUCUUGCAACAACACGAGAAGGAGAAGCUCUUGUGAAAUGGAAGAAUAGCCUAGCCCCUUCUUCUUUUCUUGAUUCUUGGUCACUCACUCAUCUCGAUAAUCUUUGUAACUGGACUGGCAUUACUUGUAACUCUGCAGGUUCAGUCUCUGACAUUAACCUUUUCAACAAACAACUCACUGGAAAGCUUUUUGAGUUUGGUUUCACUUCAUUUCCAAAUCUCAACAAUCUCACCCUUGCAGAUAACUUCUUCUCUGGUCCAAUACCAUCAGCCAUUGGGAAUUUAACACAACUUCGGUAUCUUGAUUUGAGCAAUAAUUAUCUCAAUGGUUCCAUUCCGUACCAGGUUAGCCAUCUUUCAAGAUUACACAUCUUAAACCUGUCAGAGAAUGAACUGCAAGCUCCAAAUUGGUCCGAUUUCUCCCCCAUGCCUUGUUUGACCAUCCUCGACCUUUAUCAAAAUAAUCUUAUGUCGGAAUUUCCAGAAUUUAUAUCUAACUCGCGUAACCUGACAUACCUUGACCUUUCAUAUAACAAGUUCACAGGCGAUCUUGUGCGCGAAUCAGUAUUAACCAAUCUAGGUGAUCUUGAAACCCUCUAUCUUAAUGAAAAUUCUUUUAGGGGGCCAUUUCCACCAGACAUAUUCAAACUUUCCAAGUUGAGAGUUCUUGCCCUGUUCAAUAAUUUUUUUGAGGGGCCGCUUCCGUCAAAUAUAUUCAAGCUCUCUAAACUAAGAUUCCUUUUACUUUGGAGUAAUAAUUUUUCAGGUACUCUUUCGAAUGAAAUAGGUUUGCUUUCUGAGCUUGAAGACCUAGAUCUUCACUCCAAUUUUUUUGUGGGGCCGCUUCCGCCAAAUAUAUUCAAGCUGUCUAAACUAAGAACCCUUUUCCUCUGGGGUAAUAACUUCUCAGGUUCUAUUUCCAACGACAUAGGUUUGCUUUCUGAGCUUGAACACCUAUAUCUCGACUCCAAUUCUUUUGAGGGACCUUUUCCAACAAAUAUUUUCAAGCUUUCCAAAUUAAUACAACUUGGUCUCGCAAACAAUACAAAUUUAUUUGAAGGAAGUAUUCCUCCAGGACUGGGGCUCUUGACUAACCUAGAGGACUUGUCUCUUGCUUACAAUAAUCUUGGUGGCUAUAUUCCGUCUUCCUUUGGAAACCUAACACUACUAGUAUAUCUUAAUCUCGCUCGUAAUCAAUUGGUUGGAACACUAUCAAAGACCAUUUCUAAUCUCACAAAUCUGUGGUUUCUUGAUGUACAUCAUAAUAGUCUCUCUGGGAAUAUUCAGAGUGACUUCUGGAAAAACUCUACAUCACUGCUUUACAUUAAUUUGGCAGACAAUAAUUUUUCUGGGAACAUUCCUAAGGAAUAUAAUGUUCUUCCAAUCCUGGAUCACAUCAAUUUUAGGGGGAACAACUUUACAGGUAUUUUUAAUUCCAUAUUUUUUCCUUCUGUUGUAUUUAAUUAUGCUAACAACUACUGCCUCUGUUUUCAAAUACAUAUCGUUUGACUUUUUGGCACAAAACUCUAUAAUAAUUCUAACUAUAAGGUCAAUGAACUUAGAAAUAUAUGUCAAAAAGUCAAACGUCAUAUAUUUGAAAUUAGAGGGAGUAUGGCUUAAUGACCUUUUAGCCCUUAAAGUUUGGGUAGAAGUUCCGAUGCGGCGUCGAAGUUUAAAAACGUACCUUUCGACCCUCAAAGUAUCUUUGUCGUACCUUUUAACCCUUAUGGCGUAUACCGGUAUAUAACGGGUGGGCAAAGUUGACAUUUCACACGUGAGGGUUAAAUGGGGCAUUAAACAUUAAGGGUUAAAAGGAACAUUUAAUAUAUUUUAAUGUAUUAUUUAGGGAUUAAAAGGAACGAGAUGUAUACUUUAAGGGUUAAAAGGUACGCCCAAACUUCACCCCGAAUAUGAAUUGUCAAGUUUAUCCCCCGAUUUGUAUCGGUAUUUUUAAAAAGGGCUAAAAAGUACGACAAAGAUACUUUGAGGGUCGAAAUGUACGUUUUUAAACUUUGAGGCCGCAUCGGAACUUCCACCCAUUCUUCGAGGGCUAAAAGGUCAUUAAGCCGAGUAUAUAUUACAGUUUUACCAAAGUUUCAACAAUCAUGACAGGUGAGCUUCCACCAACAAUUUGCGAUGCAACUUCCCUUUCGAUUCUUGAUCUGUCAAAUAAUGGAUUAAGUGGUGCACUUCCACAUUGUUUGGGGAAUCUUGCUGAUAAAUUGAUUUCGAUUAAUCUUGCUAAUAAUCAGUUUCGAGGACCAAUACCAACAAAUUUCUCCAAGAGUUGUCGUCUGACGUAUCUUAACAUCUAUAACAAUCACUUUAAAGGAUUGGUUCCCCAGUCUUUGGCAAACUGUAAGCACUUGCAAAUUCUUGAUUUUGGAAAAAAUGAAAUAGGUGGAACAUUUCCGUCAUGGCUUUUUACUCUUGGAGAGCUAGAAGUCCUGGUCCUGCGAUCAAACAGAUUUUUCGGGAGAAUAACUAGAAGGAGCAUACCACACCCCUUUCCCAAGUUGCGGAUUUUGGAUCUAUCCAACAAUCAGUUCACCGGCUAUCUGCCAAUUUCAUACUUCAAGAAUAUGAAACCAAAUGAUAAUAAUUAUGAUUAUUUCAACAACACAAACGAAGCCUAUUACGUUUAUCAAGUUUCUAUCACAUUAAAUGUGAAAGGAAGCGAGCAUGAAGUGACAAAUAUUCUUUAUAUUUACACGGCCAUUGAUCUGUCGUGCAACAAAUUUGAAGGAAAAGUUCCAGACAUUACCGGAGAGCUUAGAUGGCUUGCAUUGCUAAAUUUAUCUCAUAAUAGUCUUUCGGGGCCUAUUCCAUCACAACUGGGAAAUAUGAAAGAGCUCCAGUCUCUAGAUUUGUCGUCAAAUCAAUUGACAGGUGUUAUUCCGGAUCAACUUACUAGUAUGACAUUUCUUGCUAGUUUGAACCUGUCAGAAAACCAUCUUUCUGGGAAAAUCCCUCGGAAAGGACAGUUCAGCACUUUUGGCGAAGAAUCUUACUUAGGUAACUCGGCCUUGUGUGGAGUUCCUUUGACAAAGAAAUGUAUAGACGAAGUGCCCCCUUCACAAGUUGGAAAUGGCGAUGAUGAAAAUGUUGAUGAAGAUGAUACCGUUGAUGAAUUCAAUUGGAAAGUGAUCCUGAUGGGAUAUGCAUGUGGAUCAAUAGGCGGAUUGUCUGCAGGAUACAUUGUCUUCACAGUUGGAAAGCCUUGGUGGUUUUUGAGGUACAUUGAGACACUGCAGCAGAAGUUGAUGUGAUGCGCAACUAGAAACAACCUUAUCUUAGAAUGAAUCUGAUCAAUGUUAGCAUAUACUGAACUUUUUUUUUUGUAAAUAUGAUUUCAAGUUCUCAUACUAAUACAAGAACCACUUGUUAAAUCUUGACCAUGCUAAGAGGAUGCUGAAUGCUGAUUUAACACUUUGCGAUGCAAAGCAGGGGCGCAUUAGUAUUUUAUAUGUGUUGAUAAUUUGCGCAAUGUUAACAGGGAUAGGUCUUCUUCUCUGCCAGAUCUUCGACAGACUCUUUCAAGGUCUUCUGAGGACCCAUCGGCUCGAAUUAGUCCAUCGUGAAUUAUGAUCUGAGAGCUAUCUGCACACUAUUUCCAGGUCUUCUGUCUCGUUAACUAUGAAAGGAAGAAAUCAUGAAGUGAAUAAAAUUCUUCAUAUUUACACAAUUGAUCUAUCAUGCAACAAAUUUUGAGGAGAAAUUUCAGAGGUUUCCGAAGAGCUUAAAUGGCUUGCAUUGCUCAAUCUAUCUCAUAAUGAUCUUACUAGACAUCUCCCCGUUGCUCGCCAUUAGAAAACAGGGAUUAUUCACUCGUCCGCCGCACCGCGAACUCAUUCUUAGGUGCUCGGAGGUUUUUGAGGAUUCUUGUUGAUUAUUAAUUUUGUGAUUUUGUUGAAUACUCUAUCACUUAAUAAUGUAAUAAUUGUGUUAUUAAAUAAUUAUAUUUUAAAUUGUUAAGGAUAUUGAACUAUUUGUUUGAUUAUUUGGUUUAAAUAUAAAUGUAACUCUUGAAAUACAUUUAUUAUAUAUAUAUUUAACAUGUUAAUAUUUACUGAAUCCCUCGCAUCCGAAUCCCGAUAUUUUUAAAUUUACGGAUUCUCGUAUUCAUGUACCGUGCACUACCAUACCUUCAACCACACUCAUACUUUCUAGCUGCUCGGAAAUAUGAAUCAAUCUUUAGAUUUGUCUUCAAAUCGAUUGACGGAGGCUAUUCCACACCAGUUAGGCAGUUAACUAGAUUGACAUUUCUAGAGGUCUUGAACUUCUCAGAGAAUAAUCUUACCGGGAAAAUACCGCAAAAAGGAAAAAUCAGCACUUUCGAGAAUAUAUGAGUCAGUGUGGUUCACCUGUCUAGACCAAAAAUGUCAUCUGAGAUUCUUAUGUUUUUUAGCUAUAUAUGAGUGGAAGAAAAUUGUCGAGUCGAGGUUAAUCGAAUAAGGCGAGCCGGCUCAUUUUAAUUUAAUUGAGACAAAACUUCUACGGAGUUCGACUCCUUUAAUUAAACGGCUAUGAAAUCUCAUUAAAGUCAGCCUUGUAUAUAAACUCAAGCCAGGUCGAGUUUUAUUGAACAAAUUUCAGCUCAAACCAGUCGCGAGCAGCCCAGCUCAAGUUCGAGGCCUGCUCAUCUGUCUUCGAGUCUUGGACGAGAUUUGAAUCAUCAACUCCUUCCAAAAAGAGUAUUACACUGACAAAAAUGCAGUAACAUGUUUAAUUUAAAAGUAUAUCAUCUGUUCCCGCAGUUUAAUUUUACCCAUAUUUUUGAGAUUCAUAUAAAUUAUAAUUCCAUAAUAUUUUUUCAAUCAUAUUGGUUUUGAAUAAAAAUAUAAAUAUCAAACUUUUAUUUUUAAAAAAAUUAUAAAAUUAUAUUUUAUAAGAGUCUCAAAUACGUGGGAAAGUGGGAGUAUUAAUUUCGCCCACUAAGUCACUGACAGGUUUGUUAAUUUGUUUCCAUUUGAAGGUGUACACUGCAUAUUUUCACCAGGGAUGGCAACAAGUCGAAUCAGUUCAGAUAUAUCAGAUAUCUCAAUCCAAAUCCAAAUUAUUUUUAAAAUCCAAAUCCAAUCGAGUUUCACAUAUCAAAUUCAAAUCCAAAUUCACGGGUUUCAGAUCGGGUUCAGGUUUGUUUGGGUUUAUCCAAAACCCGAAUCCAGAAAUGUAAGUAGUAUUGUAAAAAUAUUAUUUUUUAUUUUUUCACCCUUGAAUUUCAUUAUAUUUAAAACUAAACUACACACAUUCACACUUUAUCUAUCCAUAUUAUAAACACAAUUUAGUAUAUUUAAAAUUGAAAAAAAGUAUAUUAGUAUACUACAUACAUAUAUUUGGAUAUUUGGAAAUUUUUUCGGGUUUUGUGUUUGGAUCGAAUUUAGAUUUCGGGUCCGGUUUUGAUACGGAAUACUUAAUAUCUAAAUCCAAAUUCAAACUGGUUCGGGUCUAAAAAUUAAAUUCAAAUCCAAAUCCAAAAUAUCAUGUUCGUUAAAAUUCAUUCGGGUCGAGGUUGAGUAUCCAUUCGGAUCAGAUUUUUCUCUAACCAAUAAAUUUUGUAAAUGGUCUGCACAAACGCAGUUACCGGCCCAUUUCCGUAUGAAGCCCAUGAACAAUUAUUUGUUCUGUAUAUUUUUCAAUCAAACCAAACCCAAACGCUAACAGCAGAAUUAAUUAAAUUCCUUUCACAUGUGAUUUUGUAAUGGGCCUACAUUACAAAAAUACUGUAGGACUAUCCCACUAUCCCUGACCCUACAUGUUUUCUCAAUAAUUUUGAUAAAUAUAUUAAACAGAUAUUGAACUGUUACAAAAAUAUAACGUCUGUUUUUCAAAUAAGUAACGUACGGUUUCCGAGAGAUAAAGUUUGACUUAUAUUGACAAGAUAACGCUUGAAUUUAAUAUCUUUUUAAAAAAAACUAAUAUAAAAUCUAAAUUAAAUCUUCUUCUUAAAUGAGAAUCCAGAAAAAUCUCAAAAAUUCACAACUACAUCAAUAAAAUAUAAUAUCCAACAUUAAAUAAAAAUCUUUCAAUAUCCAUUUUUUGUGUAAUUUUCAACCAAUCUGCUCUAAUUAUUUCGUCACCUUUUAAAAUUUAAAAUUUUUAAAUACUCAAAACAAUUACCCUAACCGCCAACCACCUUAGAAUUAUAAAAUCUUAAAAUUAAAUGCUAAUAAGAUUAUCAGUGUUACUCACCUAAACCAAAACGGUUACAAAAUCUAACGGCAAUAUUAUAAACUUUUAAAAAUUAAAUUUUUAAUUAAUUUGGCAAGUGGUAUUCAUAUAGAACAAAACAGUUACAAAAUCAAACUGCAAAUUAUAAAAUCUUGAAAUUAUAUUUAAUACUGUAAGAUUUAGCAUGUGGGUCCCACACAAUCAGAAAAUAAUAUGAACACGAAAUCUUGCUCUAUUAAAUACACACACCUGUACAUACAUAUAUAAACACCCACCGCCUCUUCAACUUUCCAACAUCAAAACCCUCGUAAUUCAAUUGGGUUUCUGCUGUUAUUCUCCCCUCUCUCCUCUCUCUCGCCGAGAUUUUUAUAUGCAUACAUGCGUGGGUAUAUGUAUAUGUACACCCCCUUGGCAAAAACACAGACUAAACACUAAAAGAACCCACAGAAUCAUACCCAUGUUAUGGAUAUUAUCUGGGGUUUGUUGAAAUUGUUGUAGAAGGCCUAAAGAUUUGAUUUUGGAGUAGCCCAUUUGGUUCUUGAUUGAAUUUGGUUGUGUUUUGAGUGUGAAAAGGCAAGAUUUUAUGAUUCUUGAUGGAUGAAAGUGCUAUGUUUGGCUUGAAUGGAGAUAAUGANACAAAAUCUUGAAACGCUGUUUCUUGAUGGUAAUUCUUUUGAGGGGACGUUUCCACCGAAUAUAUUCAGGCUUUCUAAAUUAAAACACCUUUCCCUAUCUGCUAAUAAGUUUUCAGGUUCUGUGCCGGAUGACAAGUUGGUGUCGAAAGUGAGAAUGUUGCGGUAGGGGGUGAUUCGGAUGAGCUUGUUGUUGUUGGGGAGACAGGGCAGGUAUAAUGCUGCAUUUGUUGUUUUUGUCGAUAUUAUGUGUUGCUUUUGUGUUUUUUGUUAUGUUUUCAUAUGUUUAGUCCGUUAUUUUUUGGAGAAUUAAGUAGUCUGAUGAAUGUUGAUUAAUCCAAUAUAUAAGCUGGGCGUUUUUGUUUAAUGUGCUUAUUAUGAUUAUAUUAUUUUGUUUGAUAAUUGAAUUGUGUUUAGAUUGUUAAUCCAAAGCCAAGGUCAAAAGACGUAAGGUAACAUUGAUGUUAAUUGAUAAAACUAACCUCAGAAAGUAGAUUGUUUGAGGCAAUAGAGAGUGUGAGCCUCUAUCAUGACAAUUUAAGAAGUUUAUAGUUGAGUCGUUGACUGCAUUACUAUCAAAUGCAUAGGGGUAUGGAAAUGAAAACGGUUAAUAACAUAUGGGCAUUUAACCUAAUAAUUUGACAACUCGACACUCGGACUUGUAUAUGUAAGUUGUAGUAGAUGCAUACGGUGUUUUAGUAGUUUAUUUGUGUACAAAUUAUUUCAUUGGGUAUUAUUUGAAGUGAAUAGUAUAUUGGAUUCAUGCAUGUUCAGACUUUAAUAUCAACAUCUUUCAGAUUUUUCUGGAUAAUGGUUAAUAAAUUCUUUGUUUAAUAAUGACCGCUUCACUUAAUGUCAUUUCUCUUCUUUCUUUUUUUAAUUAUCGGAGUGGAUAUUUAUUUAAUUUUUUCUGAUUUAUGUUGCAACUUCCAAUAUAAUUUGUUUGGGUGCUAUACUUUGAUGGAUUAUAGGUCGCAUGUCGAGACUAUCCUCACCCACGAGAUCUUUGUGCUAAACUUCCCUUUACAUCUACUCCUCAUGAANUGCUAAACCAGGUAAUAAUAUUUUUUCUCAGAAUUAAUUAUUACACCUCUUUUCAGUGCCGAACGUUCUGCGUAUCUUAUUUGACCAUUGUCUGUUGCAGUGUCACUGUUAUGUUUGUGAUGCACCGGCUCCAUGUCUCAAAUGGGGAACUGGCAUAUCUGUCAGUGACCAUUGUCAUGCCACUGGGAAGGUGGAAUUCUGGAAUCAACAAAGCCUAAAUUUUUUGAAAAGGCUUUAAAAAAUUUGGAAUUUUUUAAAAAAAUGAAAAAUGUAAAAAUUAAAAAAAUCUAAAAAUAUCUGGAAAUUCAAAAAAUAUACCUAAAUUUUUGAAAUUAAAAAAUUUUAGAAUUUUUCCAAAUUUUCAGAUUUUUUCAAAGUUUUAAAUUUAUUUUCAAAAUUUUUAGAUUUUUUCGAUGUUUUUUCAUAUUUUUUAAAGUAUUUUAAAAAAAUUCAACUUUAUUAAAAAAUCGAUAUUUAUAUUUUUCUCAAAGUUUUUUUUAUUUUUUUUAAAGGAUUCUGUUAAAGGCAGCUGAUAUUUAACGUCGCAGUGACCUAUUUGCAAACUUUUAUUAGUUCAGUGAGUUGACUGCAACUUAAAUCGAGUUCUGUGAUCCGUUUGCAAACUUUUUAAGUUCAGUGACUUAACUGCAAGUUGGCCAUGAGUUCAAUGAUCUUUUCGCCUAUUAACCCGGACUAAAUCUACUAAAAUGAUAAUUAUGGACUCACAAUGUAUAUUUUUAAUUUAUAUGUUUAGUUAAAAAUUGGUUAAUUUGACUUUCGAAAAUCAAAAUGAACAUGUAAAAGGAGAUCGUGGUAAUAAGCCCCUCAACGUGUGUAAAUGUUAAGUAAAAGGGAUAUGUUUAUUUUUAUUUUAAAAAAGAAUUAAAAAUAUUAUUUUACAAAUUAAAUUAUAAAAUACUCUCUAUAUUCCAAAUUAGUGAGUUCGUUAAUUUUAGGCACACUAAUUUAGAUGAUUUAACUGCAUAGCUAUAUAAUUUAUUUUUAAUAUUUUUAAAAAACAAUUAAAAAUAAUUUCACGAAUAACAGAUGAUCAUUAUCUUUUAAAUCACAUGCUGAAAAUCGGAUGUUGCCCUUAUCAUUAUCACAUUUUUAAGUAGUAAUGUCUCGAAAAUUAAAUAUUAGAUCCAAUAUGAUUUCAAAUAUCACUUUAUAAUAUUCUUUUUUGUCAUAAUAUCACUUAAUAAUGUUAAAUGAGUGACGUUUAUAUUUUUUUUAAAGUGUUACACAAUGAGAAACUCUAAAAAAUAUAACGGUAGAUAAUGUAGUAUCAUAUCAAAACAUUACUUUAUCUAACCAGAACAUAAUAUUCCAAGGACAAUUUAACUUUUUUUAUAAUAUUCAGAACCUUCUUUUUUUUUUUUGAAUAAAAGACAAAUUUCAUUAAUACGAAAUGUCAUACAGAAAAAUCUCCAACAAUACAUCUCGAGGAGACAUAAACACUUUUUGACAAUUUAAAGAACAGGAUAAUUUAGCUACUAGAUGAGCUACUCCAUUCGCUUGUCGUUUAACAAAUGAAACUGAAUAACAUGGCUUCGAAUUUAAAAUAAGCUUGCAGGCAUUCAAGAUGUGACCAACUUCUAAAAGAUUUUCCUGAGAGUCAUGCAAGGCUUUAAUGGCCAGGAGAGAGUCUGAUUCAAUUUCCACCACCUCAUGAUUUAAUGAGCACAACCACGGGAGACCUUCAAAAGAGAAAAGGCCCCCAGUAACCUUUUUUUAGUGUCAAAUGCCCUAGUUGUCAUUAUAAUAAAAAAUGGCCCUCAUUAUCACUCUAUAACACUACUUAAACUCACGUUCUGUUUUUCCAUCAUAAACGGCACACGCAACAGUGUUUCCAGGUUUAAUACUUUUUAAAAAAAGUCUAACGUAACAUGAAGUUACGUUCACUGAUCUGAGUUUUUUUUUCAUAUUACUCACAUCUUGCUUAUUUCCAUAUAGAAAGAAAUUCACUCACUAGUCAACGUUAUAACAAAUUAUAAUAAUAUUUAACCAGUGCACCCCAAAGGGUAGCGGCUGCGGUUUCCUACGUUAAAAAGAAUAUUUAAGCGUUCAUACAUGGGGUUUAGAAAAAUUUGUUUAUAAUUGUAAAUUAAUUUUCUGAACGUUAGGGUUUAGGAUUGAGGGUGUAGGGCCGGUAGGCCCUACUCCCUCGAGCCUAAAACCUAAUUAAUGCGAGGCUGAAGGGCCGAAGGCCCUGAAGCCGAGAAAUCGGCAGAAUAAAUAAAUUUACAAUCGUUAACAUUUAGGGUUUAGAUUUGGGUUGCAGAAUGAUUAAUUCAUACUGUAAAUUAAUUGGCCGAACGUUAGGGUUUAGGAUUGAGGGUGUAGGGCCGGUAGGCCCUACUCCCUCGAGCCUAAACCCUAAUUAAUGCGAGGCUGAAGGGCCGAAGGCGAGAAACCGGCGGAAUAAAAAAAUUUACAAUCGUUAACAUUUAGGGUUUAGGUUUGGGUUGCCAUAAUGAUUAAUUCGUACUGUAAAUUAAUUGGCUAAACGCUAGGUUUUAGGAUUGAGGGUGUAGGGCCGGUAGACCCUCCUCCCUCGAGCCUAAACCCUAAUUAAUGCGAGGCUGAAGGGCCGAAGGCGAGAAACCGGCGGAAUAAAUAAAUUUACAAUCGUUAACAUUUAGGUUUAGGUUUGGGUUGCCAUAAUGAUUAAUUCGUACUGUAAAUUAAUUGGCCAAACGCUAGGUUUUAGGAUUGAGGGUGUAGGGCCGGUAGACCCUACUCCCUCGAGCCUAAACCAUAAUUAAUGCGAGGCUGAAGGACCUUCAAGCCCUAAACGCUCGAGCCUAAACCCUAAUUAACUCGAGGCUCUAGGGCCGUGAGACCCUAAAGCCGAGGAACCGGAAUUAAAAUAUAAAACAAAAUUUUAAAUGGCGUUUAAAGUGGCGACAGAAUUGUAAGUUGGGUGUUAAGCUAGCAAACGACAUUAAGUUACGUUUUAGAUUUUUAGGUUAUUAAAAAAUAAAAAAAAAAAUCAAGAACGUCACAUGAAGGCACGUUUUACUUCUGAUAUCAAGAACGUCACAUGAAGGCACGUUUUACUUCUGAUAAACACACCAGCACGUGACUAAAGUCUCGUUUUCAUAUAUAACAGCAAUUGAAGUGACGUUUUGCUUUUUUUAGUUUAAAAUAAUAACCCCAUAACGUGACCAGGAGUCACGUUUUAGUAUAAAUCCUAAACGCUGCUUCAGAACAUGUUUUGGAGUGACACCCGGGGCCAUUUUACGGGAUUGUGACUUUAAGGUCCAUAUUGUUACUGAUGGUGACUCACAGGGCCAACACCCCCUUCAAAAAUAGCGCUUGCUUCGGCUUCAAGGACAGUAGCCACCAUGGCUUUACAUAUUGUUUUACCCAUCACAAAAACUCCCUCGCUGUCACGCAGAACCAAACCCAACGAGACCGAGGCCUCACCGAAACGCACACCUGCAUCAACAUUUAGUUUGAGAACUCCAUCCGUCAGCUUUUUCCACUUCACUCGAGAAGAAGAUGCGGAACUAGAAGUACUACCAACCUGAACAACACGCUUAGCUUUAGCCUCCUUCCAGUCAGAAAUAAUCUUAGCGCUCCAAUCCAUAGCUAUAGCAGCUGUAACAACCUUGUGAUCCCAAACCUUCUUGUUUCGAAAAAACCAAAUUCCCCAAAGAACUCGAGCAAUAUUAAAAGUUUCAUGAUCAGGACCUGAUUCAAACCUAGCAAGUAACCAAGAGGGGGCAAACUCCACCAGAGACAAAUCAAAGACCAUACCUGAGUAUUGCCAACAUAACAUUGCAAACUGGCAGGUGAAAAAUAUGUGAAUAAGGUCUUCGUCACCAGAGUUACACAUGGGACAGUCAAGAGAAAGAUUUACUCCCUUAGAUUGUAAUCGACUUUUCACAGGCACAUUAUUCCUGCAAAAACGCCAUAAAAACACUUUGAUCUUAAGAGGAACCUCCAACUGCCAGAGUUUCUUCCACCCACUAGAUUGUGUAACAGUGCCAGUGCCAAUAUUUUGGGCAUGUCAAAACUGGUAACCUGUUUUCACAGAAUUUUGGCUGUUAGUAGUCUUUGACCAAGCUAGACGAUCCACGGUCGACCUACAGGGAACAUAAGUUUUUAAAAAUUAUGUAAUUCAUUCAAUUCCGUAUCAGACAAUACAUCUUAUCAUCGGUGAUAAUGAAAAUAGUGUAGAUGUUUGACCUAGUCCCUGUUUGACAACCAAUAUAAUAAGAAAUAAAUUCUUAUUUUUCUAAAAAAUAUAUUUUUGUAUAUAAAUGUUAAAGAGAUAUUUCUUAUUUGUUGUUUGAAAAAAGUAAAGACUUAUUUCAGAAUAAAAAAAAAUUAUUGUACAUUCUCUUUAUUUCUGAAAAUAAGUUUGGUCAAAUCAUCCAUAAUUCACGUAAUUCAAAAGCCCAUUAAUUUUUUUUUUCUUGCUAAUUGAUCAGCACACGCACACGUUUCCAACUUCCCGCAAAGGGUACAGGAGUACCACCGGAGUACCAUCACACCGACGCUUUGUUGGGCCCAAUAAUUGGCUGAAGUUGAACGGGGCUUUCUGCCUCCGCUGGACCCCAGUUGGGAGGACUCUUUCCAAGUCUUUCGGAGCCUCUUUCCCAUUGACUCCAACUUUCCAGGGUGUAUACAAAUUUUUUGAAAGAGGGUGUAUACAAAUUAUUCACGGCCAUCAAAUCAACCAGCGUAGCUGGUGAACAAAUAUUAUUGUUUAUUAUAAUUUUAUUUAAUUUAAAUGUGAUUAUAAGAACAUAAGAGGACGUUUGAAAGUGUGGGUCUUAUUUCAAACAGUAGAUUUAAAAAAAUAUGAUUUCAAUUGUUAUUUAAAAUUCUUAAAUUUAUAUUAUAUUAAAAUGUUCUUAUUCUAAUUAAUGAGUCACUAUUCGUAUUCUCAAGCAUGUUAGUUUGUUAAAAUUUAAAAUUUCAAAUGAAAUUAGGCUAAAAGACCAUAAUAUCAAAGCAAAAUCUCAUUAUCCAAUAUAUUGGUGGGCAAAAAUAUUAAACCUGGCUAUUCAUUAAUAUUGGUUCUUUAUUCAAAUUAUGUCAAAUUUAUAUAAAAUUUCGAAAAUUAUUUAUGAAUAAGAGUCGGCAUUCAUAUAUUUAUUAAGGAUACAAGUGAGAAAAUGUUAUUAAAUUAAUAUUUUUUUAAUAUACGUAAGUUUUUUAAAAUAAAUUUGUAGCGUGGGACGGGAGUAUUAGACUGAUUCUGGCUUGGAGUGAAUCAGCCCAUAAAGUUUACAGGGUAGAUGACCAUUCUUAAAUCUUAAAGAAUCUUACGGUGACAGCUAACUGAACGACUCGGUUUCAGAAGUGCUGAAAAGUUUCGACGUAAACUACAAUUUGCCUAGCAUGUAAUUUCCAUGCAUUUUCUCGUUACUAGUGACAGAUAACUUUUUUGAUAUUUAUAUAUUUUUAAUUAUAAUAAAGAUACUAGUGAUUAUGGUUAGCUUUUGGAGUACUUUCGGAGUACUUGGAAAUUUUCUUUUCGAGAAAGACGAGAGUACCUAUUUCAAUUUUUUACCAAAAAUUAUAAUUGAAAACAACGGACUUUUAUACUUAUCAUAACAAUUUUUAACAUCUUGUUUAGAAAUAACCUGUUGUUGUAUUAUGCAAAAGUAAUAUCACUAGUUUCUAUAUUCGUAUUCUAAUGAUAAUAAAAACAUCUCUAAUUCAUUAAAACUCUUACAUAGAAAAUGAUAAAAAAAAAAAAGAAGAUAUAAAAUAAUUUAUUAAAAAUAUAUCAAAGNGAAGAUAUAAAAUAAUUUAUUAAAAAUAUAUCAAAGUUUUUGCACUCGGUUAUAAUUAUUGUGUAAUUUCUUUUUUCAAUUCCAAGAUAUUGUUAUAAGAAAAUUUUACAUCAUAUAUAUAUUACAAAAAAAAUUAAUGUAUUCUAUAUAUAUAUAUAUAUAUAUAUAUAUAUAUAUAUAUAUAUAUAUAUAUAUAUAUAUAUACAAUAAANNNNNNNNNNNNNNNNNNNNNNNNNNNNNNNNNNNNNNNNNNNNNNNNNNNNNNNNNNNNNNNNNNNNNNNNNNNNNNNNNNNNNNNNNNNNNNNNNNNNNNNNNNNNNNNNNNNNNNNNNNNNNNNNNNNNNNNNNNNNNNNNNNNNNNNNNNNNNNNNNNNNNNNNNNNNNNNNNNNNNNNNNNNNNNNNNNNNNNNNNNNNNNNNNNNNNNNNNNNNNNNNNNNNNNNNNNNNNNNNNNNNNNNNNNNNNNNNNNNNNNNNNNNNNNNNNNNNNNNNNNNNNNNNNNNNNNNNNNNNNNNNNNNNNNNNNNNNNNNNNNNNNNNNNNNNNNNNNNNNNNNNNNNNNNNNNNNNNNNNNNNNNNNNNNNNNNNNNNNNNNNNNNNNNNNNNNNNNNNNNNNNNNNNNNNNNNNNNNNNNNNNNNNNNNNNNNNNNNNNNNNNNNNNNNNNNNNNNNNNNNNNNNNNNNNNNNNNNNNNNNNNNNNNNNNNNNNNNNNNNNNNNNNNNNNNNNNNNNNNNNNNNNNNNNNNNNNNNNNNNNNNNNNNNNNNNNNNNNNNNNNNNNNNNNNNNNNNNNNNNNNNNNNNNNNNNNNNNNNNNNNNNNNNNNNNNNNNNNNNNNNNNNNNNNNNNNNNNNNNNNNNNNNNNNNNNNNNNNNNNNNNNNNNNNNNNNNNNNNNNNNNNNNNNNNNNNNNNNNNNNNNNNNNNNNNNNNNNNNNNNNNNNNNNNNNNNNNNNNNNNNNNNNNNNNNNNNNNNNNNNNNNNNNNNNNNNNNNNNNNNNNNNNNNNNNNNNNNNNNNNNNNNNNNNNNNNNNNNNNNNNNNNNNNNNNNNNNNNNNNNNNNNNNNNNNNNNNNNNNNNNNNNNNNNNNNNNNNNNNNNNNNNNNNNNNNNNNNNNNNNNNNNNNNNNNNNNNNNNNNNNNNNNNNNNNNNNNNNNNNNNNNNNNNNNNNNNNNNNNNNNNNNNNNNNNNNNNNNNNNNNNNNNNNNNNNNNNNNNNNNNNNNNNNNNNNNNNNNNNNNNNNNNNNNNNNNNNNNNNNNNNNNNNNNNNNNNNNNNNNNNNNNNNNNNNNNNNNNNNNNNNNNNNNNNNNNNNNNNNNNNNNNNNNNNNNNNNNNNNNNNNNNNNNNNNNNNNNNNNNNNNNNNNNNNNNNNNNNNNNNNNNNNNNNNNNNNNNNNNNNNNNNNNNNNNNNNNNNNNNNNNNNNNNNNNNNNNNNNNNNNNNNNNNNNNNNNNNNNNNNNNNNNNNNNNNNNNNNNNNNNNNNNNNNNNNNNNNNNNNNNNNNNNNNNNNNNNNNNNNNNNNNNNNNNNNNNNNNNNNNNNNNNNNNNNNNNNNNNNNNNNNNNNNNNNNNNNNNNNNNNNNNNNNNNNNNNNNNNNNNNNNNNNNNNNNNNNNNNNNNNNNNNNNNNNNNNNNNNNNNNNNNNNNNNNNNNNNNNNNNNNNNNNNNNNNNNNNNNNNNNNNNNNNNNNNNNNNNNNNNNNNNNNNNNNNNNNNNNNNNNNNNNNNNNNNNNNNNNNNNNNNNNNNNNNNNNNNNNNNNNNNNNNNNNNNNNNNNNNNNNNNNNNNNNNNNNNNNNNNNNNNNNNNNNNNNNNNNNNNNNNNNNNNNNNNNNNNNNNNNNNNNNNNNNNNNNNNNNNNNNNNNNNNNNNNNNNNNNNNNNNNNNNNNNNNNNNNNNNNNNNNNNNNNNNNNNNNNNNNNNNNNNNNNNNNNNNNNNNNNNNNNNNNNNNNNNNNNNNNNNNNNNNNNNNNNNNNNNNNNNNNNNNNNNNNNNNNNNNNNNNNNNNNNNNNNNNNNNNNNNNNNNNNNNNNNNNNNNNNNNNNNNNNNNNNNNNNNNNNNNNNNNNNNNNNNNNNNNNNNNNNNNNNNNNNNNNNNNNNNNNNNNNNNNNNNNNNNNNNNNNNNNNNNNNNNNNNNNNNNNNNNNNNNNNNNNNNNNNNNNNNNNNNNNNNNNNNNNNNNNNNNNNNNNNNNNNNNNNNNNNNNNNNNNNNNNNNNNNNNNNNNNNNNNNNNNNNNNNNNNNNNNNNNNNNNNNNNNNNNNNNNNNNNNNNNNNNNNNNNNNNNNNNNNNNNNNNNNNNNNNNNNNNNNNNNNNNNNNNNNNNNNNNNNNNNNNNNNNNNNNNNNNNNNNNNNNNNNNNNNNNNNNNNNNNNNNNNNNNNNNNNNNNNNNNNNNNNNNNNNNNNNNNNNNNNNNNNNNNNNNNNNNNNNNNNNNNNNNNNNNNNNNNNNNNNNNNNNNNNNNNNNNNNNNNNNNNNNNNNNNNNNNNNNNNNNNNNNNNNNNNNNNNNNNNNNNNNNNNNNNNNNNNNNNNNNNNNNNNNNNNNNNNNNNNNNNNNNNNNNNNNNNNNNNNNNNNNNNNNNNNNNNNNNNNNNNNNNNNNNNNNNNNNNNNNNNNNNNNNNNNNNNNNNNNNNNNNNNNNNNNNNNNNNNNNNNNNNNNNNNNNNNNNNNNNNNNNNNNNNNNNNNNNNNNNNNNNNNNNNNNNNNNNNNNNNNNNNNNNNNNNNNNNNNNNNNNNNNNNNNNNNNNNNNNNNNNNNNNNNNNNNNNNNNNNNNNNNNNNNNNNNNNNNNNNNNNNNNNNNNNNNNNNNNNNNNNNNNNNNNNNNNNNNNNNNNNNNNNNNNNNNNNNNNNNNNNNNNNNNNNNNNNNNNNNNNNNNNNNNNNNNNNNNNNNNNNNNNNNNNNNNNNNNNNNNNNNNNNNNNNNNNNNNNNNNNNNNNNNNNNNNNNNNNNNNNNNNNNNNNNNNNNNNNNNNNNNNNNNNNNNNNNNAAUCAUCUGACAGGGCCUAUCCCCCAAAAAGGACAGUUCAGCACAUUCAACAAGGAUUCUUACCUAGGUAACUUUGCCUUGUGUGGAUUACCUUUAACUAAUAACUGUACACACACUGUGUCACCACCACAAGAAGGCGGAACUGGUGACAAUGAUGCCUAUGAUGAACCCGAUUGGGAAGUGAUCCUCAUGGGAUAUGGAUGUGGACUAAUAUGCGGAUUGUCCACUGGGUACGUUGUCUUCACAUUCAGAAAGCCUCAGUGGUUUAUGAGAUACACUGAAAGCGUGCAACAGAAGUUGAUGAGAUGAUGCAUGUUGAGUACCGUUCAAUCAUGAAGCACAACUGGAAACAAUGUUAUCUUAGGAAAACAUGUGUUCUGAACCAGUAGUGUUUGCACAAAAUUUGUGGUGCUAUGUAAUACUUAUAUAAUUGUACGUAUGAUUAUUGAUUAGUCGUUGAGAAAAUGCAUUUUAUUUCAGUGUCAAUGAUAAUCUACAUGUUUUGGAUACUUCCAGCUUCUCAUACUAAUAUAGGAACCACUUGAAAAAUUUUGCGAUGCAAAGCAGGGACUCAUGAGUAUUUUCAUAUGUGUAUUAGUUUUGAAGAUAAAAGUUGUAUGGACAAUUGUGUUGAUAAUUUGCGCAAUGAUAACUGGGAUAGGUCAUCUUCUCUCCCAAGUCUUGGAUGGACUCUUUCCAAGUCUUCUGAGAACCCAUCAGCUCAGAUUAGUCCAUACAAUGUCAAGGGUCCUAUGAUAUGGUCUACUAACAGCCCAGUGUCGGUAAUAAAUCCAAUUGCAUAUAACCUAUUCAAAAUCAAUCCCCUAUAAACAAUCAUCUCUAAAAACUAUUCACAUAAAAUAAAAUUUUAAAAAUAUAAAAUAUCUAGUUGUUUUCAAUAUAUAAUUUUCCACAGUAGAUAACAAAAUAUCUUUAUCAAAUUAUAUUAUUUAUGGGUUCAAUAUUUAAGCUAUAAUUCCAAUAACACGGCAAGCAUGCAUGCAGCAUAUAAAUAGAAGUGUGCAGUAUGUAUGGUAUUCAUAACCCAGUUGAGGAGAAACAUGGCACACUUUGUAAAGCCUUCUCACCUUCUUCUCUUUGUUUUCUUUCUCUCAUCACUUGAGUCCAUUCUUGCAACAAGACGAGAGGGAGAGGGAGAAGCUCUUGUGAAAUGGAAGAAUAGCCUAGCCCCUUCUUCUUUUCUCGACUCUUGGUCACUCACCAAUCUCGAUAAUCUUUGUAACUGGACUGGCAUUACUUGUAACUCUGCAGGUUCAGUCACUGAGAUUAACCUUUUCGGAAAAAAACUUGAUGGAAGGCUGUCCGAGUUUGGUUUCACUUCAUUUCCAAAUCUCAACAAUCUCACCCUUGCAGAUAACUUCUUCUUGGGUCCAAUACCACCAGCCAUUGAGAAUUUAACACAGCUUCAGUAUCUUGAUUUAAGCUUUAAUUAUCUCGAUGGUCCCAUUCCGUUCCAGGUUAGCCAUCUUCAAAGGUUGCUUGUCUUAAACGUGUCACAGAAUGCAUUGCAUUCUCCAAAUUGGUCCAAUUUCUCAAACAGAUGAAAUUAUGCAACUGAAAUUGAUGUAGUCUUAAAGAAUUCUCAGGCACUUAAACAUGUUUCAAAGAAUUCUCAGGCACUUAAACAUUUGGACGGGUUCUUUGGAAGCCAAGAUGCCCAGGUUAUCAUGGCCAUGCACAAAAUGCAGUAUAAAAAAAAAAUGAAUACCUUAAGAGAGAUUGCUCUGGGUCUCCCCAAGCCUUCUAGACUCAUUCCAAGUCUUCUGAGGACCACUGCCUCGCGCUUUCAAAGAUGUGAUGGUAGCUCGGGAGUGAUAUAAAUUAUUUUCGGGACACUAAUAAUAAAUAAUCAGAUCAAAUUAAUCAUCAAUAAUAAAUUGAGGAUACGAAAUCAAAAUUAAUCCUAAAUUUUGAUAAUAUAUAAAAAUUACUUUACGUACACUGUUUGCACGCAUUUUGAGCUCGUAUAAAGUAUAGUUUCAUAACUUUUUUUAAAAAAUUUCUUUUUUGAUAAAAGUUUAAACGUCAAACUUUUAUUCAGAGAAAAAAAAUUAAAAAAUAUAUCACGGAACUAUACUUUAAAUUAGUAUGGAAAAACGUGCCAAAAUUAACGUAAAGAAAUGAGGGGAACAAAGAUAGUAUAAUUAUAUUAUAAAUUAAAAUUGAAAUAACUUACGUGGCACUGAAAUUGAUAAAGGCAAUAUGGUUAAAUUGAUGAAAAGUCAAAGUCCUCUAAUAAAUCCAUAAAGAAUAUAAUAAUCAAAACGACGAAAAUUAUAAAUGAAAAAUCAAAAUCAUCCUAAUAAGUACACAAAAAGAAUAUGAUCGUUAGUGUAUUGGAAUAGUGUGCACACACUUAUAUAUCAAAAUUUGUGGUCCAAAAGCUAUGGCACAAUAUUCUAAAUACACCACAUUAAGUAAUAGUUCAAAAAUAUUCAAUAUAUAAUUGUUUUCAUUCAUAAUUUUGUUAUUAUUUUAAAAAAUAAUUUGGUUGCUGUUAACCUAUAUUUCAAUUAUAUAAUUAUAUUAUUUUUUAUUUUAUGUAUCUAGAAACAAUAUUUUUGUAAUAUUUAUUACAUUAAUUAUAUUAAAAGAUAUAAUUUGUUAAAAACUUGAAUAAAAUUAAGAGGAUAACUUUAUGUCUCUCCAAGUUCACAGCACGGGUGAGCAUUGGGUUCGGAUAUCCAUAUACCGAAUGGAUAUAUCAAAUCAAAACUAAUCAUGAAUUAUGAUAAUAAUUAAAUAAAUUAUAAUUAAGCUAUAUGAAUCAACUCCAAAUGACAACAACAGCACCAAACCUUAGUUACUUUAAUAUUGGUAAAUAAAUAUAAUAUAAUAAUCAAAUUGAUGAAAAAUCACAUCAUCUAAUAAAUUCACAAAAAAUAUAUGAUCAUUAGUAUAUUAUAUUAGUAUCCACACACUUAUAUUUCAAAAUCUAUCCUCCAAAAUUAUCAUCUCUGUAAGCUAGCCACAUAAAAUAAAAAAUUUAAAGAUAUUAGAUAUUUAGUUAUUUUCAUUAUAUAAUUUUUCCACACGAAAUAACAAAAUAUCUUUAUCAAAUUAUUAUUUAUGAGUUAAAUAUUCAAGUUAUAAAUCCAGUAUUCAGCGUAUAAAUAGAAGUGUGCAGUAUGAUAUCAGAUUCACAUAACCCAGUUGAUGAGGAGAAACAUGGCAUACUCUGCAAAGCCUUCUCACCUUCUUCUCUUUGUUUUCUUUCUCUCAUCACUUGAAUCCAUUCUUGCAACAACACGAGAGGGAGAAGCUCUUGUGAAAUGGAAGAAUAGCCUAGCCCCUUCUUCUUUUCUCGAUUCUUGGUCCCUCACCAAUCUCGAAAAUCUUUGUAACUGGACUGGCAUUACUUGUAACUCUGCAGGUUCAGUCUCUGAGAUUAACCUCUGUGAGAAACAACUUGAUGGAAUGCUGUCCGACUUCGGUUUCACUUCAUUUCCAAAUCUCAAGAAUCUCACCCUCGCAUACAACUUCUUCUCGGGUCCAAUACCACCAGCCAUUCAGAACUUAACAAGGCUUCAAUGCCUUGAUUUAAGCUUUAAUUAUCUCAAUGGUCCUAUUCCGUUCCAGGUGAGCCAUCUUCAGAGCUUGCUCAUCUUGAACCUGUCACAGAAUGCAUUGCAAACUCCAAAUUGGUCCCAUUUCUCUCCCAUGCCUUUCUUGCGCAUCCUCAACCUCAGUUACAAUCCUCUUGCGUCGAAAUUCCCAGAUUUUAUAUCCAGUUCUCAUAGCCUGACUCACCUUAGCCUUAAUUAUAACGAGUUUACUGGUGAUUUAGUACGUGAAUCAGUAUUUGCCGAUCUGCAUAAUCUUGAAAAGCUCAGUCUUGUUGGCAAUUCUUUCGAGGGGCCAUUUCCGCCGGAUAUAUUCAGGCUUUCCAAAUUAAAACAUCUUAGCAUGUCAGAUAACAAACUUUCAGGUUCAAUUCCCAAUGACAUAAGGUUGCUUUGUGAUCUUGAAUACCUAUAUUUAGCCAACAAUUCCUUUGAAGGACCGCUUCCACCAAAUAUAUUCAAGUUUUCAAAAUUAAAACAUCUUGUUCUUUGGGGUAAUAAGUUUUCUGGUUCUGUUUCCAAUGAUAUAGGUUUGCUUUCUGAGCUUGAAACUCUCGAUCUUAGCUCUAAUUUUUUUGAGGGGCCGCUUCCGCCAAAUGUAUUCAAGCUCUCCAAACUAAAAGUUCUCACCCUGUCAAUUAACAAAUUUUUAGGUUCAAUUCCCAAUGACAUAAGGUUACUUUGUGAUCUUGAAUACCUAUAUUUAGGCAACAAUUCCUUUGAAGGACCGCUUCCACCAGGUAUAUUCAAGCUUUCAAAAUUAAAACAUCUUUUUCUUUGGGGUAAUAAGUUUUCAGGUUCUGUUUUCAAUGAUAUAUGUUUGCUUUCUGAGCUUGAAACCCUCGAUCUUAACUCUAAUUUUUUUGAGGGGCCGCUUCCGCCAAAUGUAUUCAAGCUCUCCAAACUAAAGAUUCUUUCCCUUUAUGUGAACAACUUUUCAGGUUUUAUUUCUAAGGAUAUAGGUUGGCUUUUUGAACUUGAAACCCUCUAUCUUGGCUCUAAUUUUUUUGAGGGGCCGCUUCCCCCACAUGUAUUUAGGCUCUCCAAAUUAAGAGAUUUGGACCUCUCAGACAAUAGAAAUUUAUUUGAAGGAAGUAUUCCUAUUGGACUGGGACUCUUGACUAACCUCAGGUACUUAGAUCUACAUUUCAGUAAUCUCAGUGGCUAUAUUCCAUCUGACAUUGGAAACCUGAAGCUACUAGUACUUCUUGAUCUCAGUUCUAAUAAAUUGACUGGACCGCUUUCAAAGAUCAUUUCUAAUCUCACAAAUCUUAUAUUUCUUGAUGUAAGUGAUAAUAGUCUUAGUGGAAAUAUUCAGAGUGACUUGUGGAAAUAUAACGAUCAUCCAACUUUGGAAUACAUCGAUUUAAGUGGGAACCAUUUUACGGGUAUAGUUUUUCUCUAUAGAUCUUUUCUUUUUCUCAUAUGUAACUAAGCUAGUAAUCUGAUUAUUGCAGUUUCACCAAAGUUUCAACAAUCUUGACAGGUGAGCUUCCAACAACAAUUUGCAAUGUCACUUCCCUUUUGGUUCUUGAUUUGUCAAAUAAUGAAUUAAGUGGUGCACUUCCAAACUGUUUCGGGAAUCUUGCUGAUAGAUUGCUUUUCAUUAAUCUUGCUAAUAAUCAGUUUCGAGGAACAAUACCAACUACUUUCUCCAGGAGUUGUCAGCUGACAUAUCUAAACAUGGAUAAUAAUGAGUUUGAAGGAUUGUUGCGCCCAUCUUUGGCGAACUGUAAGCACUUGAAAAUUCUUGAUAUUGGCAAUAAUAAAAUAGGUGGUACAUUUCCGUCAUGGCUUUAUGCACUUGGAGAGCUAGAAGUCCUUGUCUUGCGAUCAAAUAAACUCUAUGGUACAAUAAGUGGGAGGAGCAUAGAAAAUCCCUUCCCCAAGUUGCGGAUUGUGGAUCUGUCCAACAAUCAAUUCACUGGCCAUUUGCCAAUUCAAUACUUUAAGAAUAUGAAAUCAACUGAUAAUUUGUAUAGUUAUCAGAAUGACACAGGAGUUUUUUCUUUCCAUUAUGAAGCAUCUGUAUCAUUAACUGUGAAGGGAACAGAGUAUGAAGUGAAAAAUAUCCUUCAUAUUUACACAACCAUUGAUCUGUCCUGCAACAAGUUUCAAGGAGAAAUUCCUGACGUUAUUGGAGAGCUUAGAUGGCUUGCAUUGCUGAACUUAUCUCAUAAUAGUCUAACAGGACAUAUCCCAUCAUUGCUGAGAAAUAUGAAAGGACUCCAAUCUUUAGAUUUGUCUUCAAAUCAACUGACAGGGGCUAUUCCACCUCAGUUAACUGCAUUGACAUUUCUAGAGGUCUUGAACCUCUCGGGAAACCAUCUUAGUGGAGAGAUUCCUCAGAAAGGACAGUUCAGCACAUUCAACAAUGAUUCUUAUCUAGGAAACUCCGCGUUAUGUGGAUCACCUUUGACAAAGAAAUGUGUAAACACAGCAUCACCUCCACAGGAAGUCGGAAAUGGUGAUGAAGAUGAUGCUGGCGAUGAAUGGACAUGGGAAGCAAUCGUGAUGGGAUAUGGAUGUGGACUGAUAUGUGGAUUGUCGUCUGCGUACAUUGUUCUCAGACUAGGAAGGCCUUGGUGGUUUGUGAGAUAUAUCGAAGUACUGCAACUGAAGUUGAUGAAAAGAUAUGCAUGAAGAAAGGUACUGGUAGAUCAAGAUGAACUUGAAAGUUAUUUUCGUGGAUGACAUUUGUGAACCAGUACUGUACUAGCUGCUUAAGUAUUUGGUAUUAUGUAAUAAUCCGUUUGGUCGGGACUCAUAAUGAUAUUUCUUGCUUCAGGGGUAUUAAUAUAAACCUUGGUAUUGUGUACUAGCUGUCUGUUUGGUCGUGACUCAUAAUCUUUCAUGUAUUAACAUAAGGUUUUAAUACAUCCCGUACCAGGUUAGCCAUCUUCAGAUAUUACACAUCUUACUGCUGUCGCAUAAUGAAUUGCAAUCUCCAAAUUGGUCCAACUUCUCUUCCAUGCCCUUUUUGCGCAUCCUCGGCCUUGGCAGCAAUAAUCUGGUGUCAAAAUUCCCAGAAUUUAUAUCUGACUCUCAUAGCCUCACUUUCCUUGACCUUUCUUUUAACAAGUUUACAGGUGAUCUUGUGCUUGAAUCAAUUUUUACCGAUCUACAUAAUCUUGAAAACCUCCAUCUUGCUGGAAAUUCCUUUGAGGGGCCGAUUCCACCUAGAGUAUUUAAGCUUUCCAAUUUAAAAGUUCUUGAACUCACGGGUAAUAACUUUUCUCGUUCUAUUUCCAACGAUAUAGGUUUGCUUUCUGAACUUGAGACCCUCUAUCUUGACUUCAAUUUUUUUGAUGGACCAAUUCCCCCAAAUAUAUUCAACCUUUCCCAAUUAAAAAUUCUUGAACUAACAGAAAAUAACUUUUCUGGUCCUGUUUCCAAUGAUAUAAGUUUGCUUUCUGAGCUUGAAAACCUCAAUCUUGCCUUAAAUUCUUCUGAUGGGCCUUUUCCAUCAAAGAUAUUCAACCUAACCAAAUUGAGACAUCUAAAUCUCUAUGGCAAUAAGAAUUUAUUUAAAGGAAGUAUCCCACUGGAUAUCAGAAACCUGAAGCUCCUGGAAUCUAUUAAUCUCGGUUCUAAUCAAUUGGUUGGACCACUUUCAAUGCUCAUUUCUAAUCUCACUAAUCUUAAGAUGGUUGGGCUAAGCGAUAAUAGGUUUUUUGGCAAAAUUCCUAGUGACUUCUUGAAAAACUUGCCAUCCUUACACGUCAUUGAUCUUUCAAAUAAUAAUUUGUCCGGAAAUAUUCCCAGGGAGUAUAACGUGCAUCCAAUUUUAGAAUACAUCAAUUUAAGUGGAAACCAUCUUACAGGUUUACUUCUCCCUCAAUAUAUUUUAUUUUCCUUUUGUAUGUUACAUUGAUUACACUUUUACCGAAGCUCAAACAAUUUUAACAGGUGAGAUCCCAGCAACAAUUUGCAAUGCUACAAACCUUUAUAUUCUGGUUCUGUCAGAUAAUGGAUUAAGUGGUGCCCUUCCGCAUUGUUUGGGAAAUCUUGCAGAUAAAAUGCAUUGCAUUGAUCUCGCUAAUAAUCAGUUCCGAGGACCAAUACCAACAACCUUCUCAGAGAGUUGCCAGUUAAGAUAUCUAAACAUGUAUGACAAUCAGUUAGAAGGACUUUUGCCCCGAUCUUUGUCAAACUGUAAGCACUUGAAAAUUCUUGACAUCGGGAACAACAAAAUGGGCGGUACAUUUCCUUCAUGGCUAUUCACUCUCAGAGAGCUAGAAGUCCUAGUCUUGCAAUCAAAUAAACUGUAUGGUCCAGUAAGUGGAAGGAGCACACAUCACAUCCAUUCCCCAAGUUGCGGAUUCUAGAUCUCUCCAACAACCAAUUCACGGGCUAUUUGCCAAUUCAAUACUCUUUAAGAAUAUGAAACCAGCUGCUGAUAACAUUUGUCUUAGGAUGACACAUGUUCUAAACUAUGACAAUAGUAUGCAAUCUCGUUUAAUACUUUCAUAUUAUGAACUAGUUCUGUUGAAUAAAUAAAUAUUAUUAAUUAAUCAAUCAUGUGCGCUCGAGUUUCCCUGGCCAGAUGCCCAGAUUAUUAGAGCAUCUCCAGCAGAGUCUUAACCGGUUCUCUAAAUAUAUAAUAAAAUAUGUAUCUUUUAAGGGAUUACUACAUUUUAGUGAAUGAGAACUCCAACAACAUUCCCUAUUUACAUUCUCUAUUAUUAUUAUAAUAUUAUAUUCAACUUGUAAUAAGAGAGAGAAAGUUUGGAAAGAGUAAAAGUGAGAAAAAAUAAGUGAAUAUUUUAUUCUUCAGAAUAAUAUAAGGAAAGAAAAUGCCAAAACAAUUAACUAUAAUCUACGCAAUAAUUUUUUAUAUUGAUUAGACGUUAUCUUUAUCAAUAUUUAGUCAGAUAUUCGGAUAUAUAUCAUUCCCUUUGUUUUUAUACCAUCUUUUUUUUGACUUUCGGGCCAAAUCACUACGUGGGUUGACUGGAUAGUAGAAAUUAAUAUUUUUGUCUGUUUUUUAAAAUAAAAAUCUGUAUUUUUAUUUUGAUUUCGAAGAAUAUAAUCCAUAAGGUAAAUAAUUUUUAANNNNNNNNNNNNNNNNNNNNNNNNNNNNNNNNNNNNNNNNNNNNNNNNNNNNNNNNNNNNNNNNNNNNNNNNNNNNNNNNNNNNNNNNNNNNNNNNNNNNNNNNNNNNNNNNNNNNNNNNNNNNNNNNNNNNNNNNNNNNNNNNNNNNNNNNNNNNNNNNNNNNNNNNNNNNNNNNNNNNNNNNNNNNNNNNNNNNNNNNNNNNNNNNNNNNNNNNNNNNNNNNNNNNNNNNNNNNNNNNNNNNNNNNNNNNNNNNNNNNNNNNNNNNNNNNNNNNNNNNNNNNNNNNNNNNNNNNNNNNNNNNNNNNNNNNNNNNNNNNNNNNNNNNNNNNNNNNNNNNNNNNNNNNNNNNNNNNNNNNNNNNNNNNNNNNNNNNNNNNNNNNNNNNNNNNNNNNNNNNNNNNNNNNNNNNNNNNNNNNNNNNNNNNNNNNNNNNNNNNNNNNNNNNNNNNNNNNNNNNNNNNNNNNNNNNNNNNNNNNNNNNNNNNNNNNNNNNNNNNNNNNNNNNNNNNNNNNNNNNNNNNNNNNNNNNNNNNNNNNNNNNNNNNNNNNNNNNNNNNNNNNNNNNNNNNNNNNNNNNNNNNNNNNNNNNNNNNNNNNNNNNNNNNNNNNNNNNNNNNNNNNNNNNNNNNNNNNNNNNNNNNNNNNNNNNNNNNNNNNNNNNNNNNNNNNNNNNNNNNNNNNNNNNNNNNNNNNNNNNNNNNNNNNNNNNNNNNNNNNNNNNNNNNNNNNNNNNNNNNNNNNNNNNNNNNNNNNNNNNNNNNNNNNNNNNNNNNNNNNNNNNNNNNNNNNNNNNNNNNNNNNNNNNNNNNNNNNNNNNNNNNNNNNNNNNNNNNNNNNNNNNNNNNNNNNNNNNNNNNNNNNNNNNNNNNNNNNNNNNNNNNNNNNNNNNNNNNNNNNNNNNNNNNNNNNNNNNNNNNNNNNNNNNNNNNNNNNNNNNNNNNNNNNNNNNNNNNNNNNNNNNNNNNNNNNNNNNNNNNNNNNNNNNNNNNNNNNNNNNNNNNNNNNNNNNNNNNNNNNNNNNNNNNNNNNNNNNNNNNNNNNNNNNNNNNNNNNNNNNNNNNNNNNNNNNNNNNNNNNNNNNNNNNNNNNNNNNNNNNNNNNNNNNNNNNNNNNNNNNNNNNNNNNNNNNNNNNNNNNNNNNNNNNNNNNNNNNNNNNNNNNNNNNNNNNNNNNNNNNNNNNNNNNNNNNNNNNNNNNNNNNNNNNNNNNNNNNNNNNNNNNNNNNNNNNNNNNNNNNNNNNNNNNNNNNNNNNNNNNNNNNNNNNNNNNNNNNNNNNNNNNNNNNNNNNNNNNNNNNNNNNNNNNNNNNNNNNNNNNNNNNNNNNNNNNNNNNNNNNNNNNNNNNNNNNNNNNNNNNNNNNNNNNNNNNNNNNNNNNNNNNNNNNNNNNNNNNNNNNNNNNNNNNNNNNNNNNNNNNNNNNNNNNNNNNNNNNNNNNNNNNNNNNNNNNNNNNNNNNNNNNNNNNNNNNNNNNNNNNNNNNNNNNNNNNNNNNNNNNNNNNNNNNNNNNNNNNNNNNNNNNNNNNNNNNNNNNNNNNNNNNNNNNNNNNNNNNNNNNNNNNNNNNNNNNNNNNNNNNNNNNNNNNNNNNNNNNNNNNNNNNNNNNNNNNNNNNNNNNNNNNNNNNNNNNNNNNNNNNNNNNNNNNNNNNNNNNNNNNNNNNNNNNNNNNNNNNNNNNNNNNNNNNNNNNNNNNNNNNNNNNNNNNNNNNNNNNNNNNNNNNNNNNNNNNNNNNNNNNNNNNNNNNNNNNNNNNNNNNNNNNNNNNNNNNNNNNNNNNNNNNNNNNNNNNNNNNNNNNNNNNNNNNNNNNNNNNNNNNNNNNNNNNNNNNNNNNNNNNNNNNNNNNNNNNNNNNNNNNNNNNNNNNNNNNNNNNNNNNNNNNNNNNNNNNNNNNNNNNNNNNNNNNNNNNNNNNNNNNNNNNNNNNNNNNNNNNNNNNNNNNNNNNNNNNNNNNNNNNNNNNNNNNNNNNNNNNNNNNNNNNNNNNNNNNNNNNNNNNNNNNNNNNNNNNNNNNNNNNNNNNNNNNNNNNNNNNNNNNNNNNNNNNNNNNNNNNNNNNNNNNNNNNNNNNNNNNNNNNNNNNNNNNNNNNNNNNNNNNNNNNNNNNNNNNNNNNNNNNNNNNNNNNNNNNNNNNNNNNNNNNNNNNNNNNNNNNNNNNNNNNNNNNNNNNNNNNNAUAUACACUUCCAUUUCCACUUUCCAGUAUUAAGUUUAGAAUUAAGAUCUUAACAACAUAGCAAUCAUUUAAACCUCGAAGAAAAUUGUGCACAUUAACAAGACCAAAGAGAAAACAGAUAGCAUAAAAUUGUGUAACACGUAUAAUUUAAAUCCACUUCUCAGUAUACUCCACAUUCAAGGUGAUCUAACUGCUACAAUAUUCUAAUUUUCACAGCUACGACACUGAACAAUAUAAGAACCAGUUUACUGUAAGUUUACUGAACAUAUAUAUACGACAUUGAACAAUAUAAAAUAGCUAUCCUUUGUAAGACCAAAAACAAAGGACACUAGCUAGCUAAUUCAAUAUACAAAACCACUCCAAUCAGUUUAUGAUAAGCAACUACAAACAUACAAAUACAUAUAAACAUACAAAUACAUAUAAACAUACUAUCUCAUUUUCCAAAAACCACAACUACAAACUAUCUCAUUUUCCAAAAACACACACUGAAAUACAUAUAUACAUACACAUACAACCACAAGGAUACCCAAACUCAAGUAAUAAAUAAGAAAUUACCUCCUCCAACUCGAAGAGAGCUUGAAUAGACUUGAACAGAGCUUGAACAGACUCCGAGCUCGAACUCCCUACAAACUCGAACUGAAGUACGAGCACCCACUAAACCCACAAACUCCACACUCGAACUGAACUCUGAGAUCUGUUGAAAAAACGAAUUAAAGAAGCAAAUGAGUAUUGUAAUCGAACAAACAUCAGUUUAUUAGGUACAAAUCAACCUUUAUCGCACAAAUUUAAGGAUGAAAUCGGCCGAAUUGGAACCUAGGGUUCGCUCGCUGAGAAAGGGGGAAGAACGGGGAGAGAGAAUGUAUUUUGUACAAAUGAUUUAAUUUAGGUAGUUUUAUUAGUUUUAUGUCUUUUUCCUUUUAAUUUUAUGUUUAAAGACAGGUGUUGAUGUCUUGUUCAGACAACACAUCAACUAAGCAGCGGGGUUUUAAAGGCGGGGUUUUUUUGUUUGUGAAAAAUUUGGCUAAGUGGGGAAUAGAAGCGGGGAAGCGCGGCCAAUUUUUUAAAAACAUGUUUUAGACAUCGGUUCUACACUAAGAUGAUGUCUAGUUUUUUAAUAGACAUCGGUUUUUAAAAUUUCGAUGUAAAAAAGGGUUUUAACAUCGGUGGUUUUUUUAACCGAUGUCUAAUCUGUGAUGUCUGAUCCUGUUUUUCUAGUAGUGAUCACUGCAACAAAAUAUUAGUUACGACGGAACAAUGUCGCUGGACUUUAUUUGUUUACAUUUUUUUAAUAGUAGUUAAUUUUUAAACUUGCGACGGAAAACAUACGACAGUCUACUUCGCGAGAGAAAAUCAUUUUAUUUUAUUUUUUAGCGCCAGAAUUUUAAUACUAAACUACUAUAGGGCCGUUUGGGCUAGCUUAAAAAAAGUGAUUUUUUACUUACAGUAAAGAAGUGGAUUAAAAGUGAGAAGCAAAUAAGUCAAUAAAAUGUUUGGAAAAGAAGUAGAAGCUGUGAGAGAGAAGUUAGCAUUCUCAGCUUCUUAAAAGUGCUUCUGCUUAUUUACAUAAACGGGUAAAAAAAAAAAAGCAAAAGCCAGAAGCAGCUUCUACUUCUCGAAACAAACAGGGCCAAUAUAUAUGAAGGAAACUGAUCUCUAUUGUUUUCAGCUUGCUCAUCCAUGGUAAGUAAUCCGUCGAAAAAGUUAGUUUGUUGUCGUGGUGUCUUAUCAUGAGAGAAAAUGGUAAUAUCGCAAAAUAUUUGCAACUGAAAGAUAAAUUAUAGUUCUAGAAACCAUUUAGGUAACGAUGCGCGGAGUUAUUUUCACUCACUUAGAAUUAAUGAUAAAUAUUUGCAACUGAAAGAUACAUUAUAGUUCUAGAAAAGGAUCCACGGAAUUAUUUUCACUCACUUAGAAUUAAUCCUAAGUUAUUGUGAGUUUUUGAAUAUGGAUUAUCUCAAAUUUUAUUAAAACACAUAUCGAUUCAUAUAGACAAAUUUGCCUACCUAAUAUUAUAAUAUUUAUGGCGAAGUUGUAUGAACAAUUGUGUAGAUAAUUAUACUUUACAAAGCAUACUUCUGCUAGCUGAAUUUUGAUUAAAAAAUCGAAAGGGAUAGGUCUGGGUCUCUCCAAGUCUUUGAGGACUCAUUCCAAGUCUUCUGAUGAGGACAAAAUAUAUCGCUGGUAGUCUUUCAGUCCUUCCUAGAGUAUUUUAUGCUCUGCACUGCAUUUGUGUUGAUAAUUUGCGCAAUGUUGAUGAGGAUUGCUCCAAGUCUUGGCGGACUCUUUCCAAAUCUUCCGAGGACCUAUCGGUUCAAUUUAGCCCAUUAAAAAUUUUAUUAUCUCAAAGCUAUCUGCAAAAUAAUAUAUAAGGUAAAAAUGAAUAUAUACCAUUGUUUUGUGAUUAAGUUGUAUAGGCAAUAUGCAUUGCAAAAUCAGCAACAGGAUAUAUGAAUACUAAUUAAUUACCUGAUAUCAGUAUGAACAAAUACUUUCUAUGUAGUUGUAAUAUUAGUCUUCUUUAAAAGUUAUCAUGAGGGAAGGUAUAUAUUGUGAUGCGGGAGAAAUAUUGUCACUGAAAAUAAUUAUAAUUCUAAAAUUUCCAUUAUACACUUUUUUUAGUGUUUGUACGUGGUAAGUACUUCAGACGACAUUUCUCGCGUAUGCCUCCGAUUAAGAAUUUGAUGUUCAGCCUAGUCCUAAACUAAAAUUAUUAUAAAUGUGUACUUCAAAAUUAUAUAUAUUGCUGGUAGUCUUUCAGUUCUUCCUGGUGUAUGCAAUUGUUUCAUUCAAUACCAAUUAUUUUAUACUAUGCACUCUGAUAUCAUGUUGAGAACAAUCCAUCAAAAACUUUAAACCUUAAUUAAGGUGUUAGAGGAAAAUACCAAUUAGAUCUUAUGCUAUAUUUCAAUACUUCCAACACUCUGCGAUGCAAAGCAGGGACUCUUGAGUAUUUUCAUAUGUGUAUUAGUUUUGAAGAUAAAAGUUGUAUAGAGAAUUGUGUUGAUAAUUUGCGCAAUUGCGCAAUGAUAACUGGGAUAGGUCAUCUUCUCUCCCAAGUCUUGGAUGGAAUCUUUCCAAGUCUUCUGAGAACCCAUCAGCUCAGAUUAGUCCAUACAAUGUCAAGGGUCCUAUGAUAUGGUCUACUAACAGCCCAGUGUCGGUAAUAAAUCCAAUUGCAUAUAACCUAUUCAAAAUCAAUCCCCUAUAAACAAUCAUCUCUAAAAACUAUUCACAUAAAAUAAAAUUUUAAAAAUAUAAAAUAUCUAGUUGUUUUCAAUAUAUAAUUUUCCACAGUAGAUAACANNNNNNNNNNNNNNNNNNNNNNNNNNNNNNNNNNNNNNNNNNNNNNNNNNNNNNNNNNNNNNNNNNNNNNNNNNNNNNNNNNNNNNNNNNNNNNNNNNNNNNNNNNNNNNNNNNNNNNNNNNNNNNNNNNNNNNNNNNNNNNNNNNNNNNNNNNNNNNNNNNNNNNNNNNNNNNNNNNNNNNNNNNNNNNNNNNNNNNNNNNNNNNNNNNNNNNNNNNNNNNNNNNNNNNNNNNNNNNNNNNNNNNNNNNNNNNNNNNNNNNNNNNNNNNNNNNNNNNNNNNNNNNNNNNNNNNNNNNNNNNNNNNNNNNNNNNNNNNNNNNNNNNNNNNNNNNNNNNNNNNNNNNNNNNNNNNNNNNNNNNNNNNNNNNNNNNNNNNNNNNNNNNNNNNNNNNNNNNNNNNNNNNNNNNNNNNNNNNNNNNNNNNNNNNNNNNNNNNNNNNNNNNNNNNNNNNNNNNNNNNNNNNNNNNNNNNNNNNNNNNNNNNNNNNNNNNNNNNNNNNNNNNNNNNNNNNNNNNNNNNNNNNNNNNNNNNNNNNNNNNNNNNNNNNNNNNNNNNNNNNNNNNNNNNNNNNNNNNNNNNNNNNNNNNNNNNNNNNNNNNNNNNNNNNNNNNNNNNNNNNNNNNNNNNNNNNNNNNNNNNNNNNNNNNNNNNNNNNNNNNNNNNNNNNNNNNNNNNNNNNNNNNNNNNNNNNNNNNNNNNNNNNNNNNNNNNNNNNNNNNNNNNNNNNNNNNNNNNNNNNNNNNNNNNNNNNNNNNNNNNNNNNNNNNNNNNNNNNNNNNNNNNNNNNNNNNNNNNNNNNNNNNNNNNNNNNNNNNNNNNNNNNNNNNNNNNNNNNNNNNNNNNNNNNNNNNNNNNNNNNNNNNNNNNNNNNNNNNNNNNNNNNNNNNNNNNNNNNNNNNNNNNNNNNNNNNNNNNNNNNNNNNNNNNNNNNNNNNNNNNNNNNNNNNNNNNNNNNNNNNNNNUGUAUUAGUUUUGUAAGAUAAAAGUUGUAUGGACAAUUGUGUUGUAUAAUUUGCGCAAUGAUAACUGGGAUAGGUCAUCUUCUCUCCCAAGUCUUGGAUGGAAUCUUUCCAAGUCUUCUGAGAACCCAUCAGCUCAGAUUAGUCCAUACAAUGUCAAGGGUCCUAUGAUAUGGUCUACUAACAGCCCAGUGUCGGUAAUAAAUCCAAUUGCAUAUAACCUAUUCAAAAUCAAUCCCCUAUAAACAAUCAUCUCUAAAAACUAUUCACAUAAAAUAAAAUUUUAAAAAUAUAAAAUAUCUAGUUGUUUUCAAUAUAUAAUUUUCCACAGUAGAUAACAAAAUAUCUUUAUCAAAUUGUUAUUUAUGGGUUCAAUAUUUAAGCUAUAAUUCCAAUAACACGGCAAGCAUGCAGCGUAUAAAUAGAAGUGUGCAGUAUGUUAUCAGAUUCAUAACCCAGUUGAUCAGGAGAAACAUGGCAUACUCUGCAAAGCCUUCUCACCUUCUUCUCUUUGUUUUCUUUCUCUCAUCACUUGAAUCCAUUCUUGCAACAACACGAGAAGGAGAAGCUCUUGUGAAAUGGAAGAAUAGCCUAGCCCCUUCUUCUUUUCUCGAUUCUUGGUCCCUCACCAAUCUCGAAAAUCUUUGUAACUGGACUGGCAUUACUUGUAACUCUGCAGGUUCAGUCUCUGAGAUUAAUCUCUGUGAGAAACAACUUAAUGGAAUGCUGUCCGAGUUUGGUUUCACUUCAUUUCCAAAUCUCAACUAUCUCACACUCGCAGACAACUUCUUCUCCGGUCCAAUACCACCAGCCAUUGAGAAUUUAACACAGCUUCAAUAUCUUGAUUUGAGAAAUAAUUAUCUAGAUGGUCCCAUUCCGUUCCAGGUUAGCCAUCUUCAGAGCUUGCUCAUAUUAAACCUGUCACAGAAUGCAUUGCAAGCUACAAAUUGGUCCAAUUUCUCUCCCAUGCCUUUUUUGCGCAUCCUCAACCUCAGUAGCAAUCAUCUUGUAUCGAAAUUCCCAGAAUUUAUAUCCAAUUCUCAUAGCUUGGCUAUCCUUGACCUUUCACAUAACAACUUUACAGGUGAUCUUGUGCGUGAAUUUACCAAUCUACAAAAUCUUGAAACCCUCUGGCUUUAUUGUAAUUCUUUUGAGGGGCCAUUUCCGCCGGAUAUAUUCAGGCUCUCCAAAUUAAAACGUCUCUCCCUGUCAAGUAACAAAUUUUCAGGUUCAGUUCCCAAUGACAUAAGGUUGCUUUGUGAUCUUGAAUCCUUAAACUUAAGCAACAAUUCUUUUGAAGGACCGCUUCCACCAAAUUUAUUCAAGCUUUCGAAAUUAAAGAGUCUUUUUCUUUGGAGUAAUAAGUUUUCAGGUUCUAUUUCCAAUGAUAUAGGUUUGCUUUCUGAGCUUGAAUUUCUCAAUCUUUACGAUAAUUUUUUUGAGGGGCCGCUUCCAUGCAUCAAAUAUAUUCAAGCUCUCCAAAUUAAGGGUUCUUUACCUUAACGGUAAUAAACUUCUAGGUUCUCUUUCCAAUGAUAUAGGUUUGCUUUCUGAGCUUGAAACCCUCAAUCUUCGCUCUAAUUUUUUUGAGGCUCCGUUUCCGUCAAAUAUAUUCAAGCUUUCCAAAUUAACAAUUCUUGACCUCGCAUACAAUAGAAAUUUAUUUGAAGGAAGUUUUCCUAUUGGACUGGGACUCUUGACUAACCUCAGCUACUUAGAUCUAACUUCCACUAAUCUCAGUGGCUCAUCUGCCAUUGGAAACCUCAAGCUACUACUAUAUCUUGGUCUCAGUUAUAAUCAAUUGACUGGACCGCUUUCAAACAUUGUUUCUAAUCUAACAAAUCUUAUAUUUCUUGGUGUGGAUCAUAAUAGUCUUAGUGGAAAUAUUCCGAGUGACUGGUGGAAAGCCUCUGUAUCCUUACUUUACAUUGAUCUUGGAUAUAAUUAUUUGUCUGGGAACAUUCCUAAGGAAUAUAAAGAUCAUCCAACUUUGGAAUACAUCGAUUUAAGUGGGAACCAUUUUACAGGUAUUUUUUUCUCUAUAUAUCUUUUCCUUUUGUCACAUGUAACUAAGCUAGUAAUCUGAUUAUUGCAGUUUUACCUAAGUUUUAACAAUCUUGACAGGUGAGCUUCCAACAACAAUUUGCAAUGCUACCUCCCUUUCGGUUCUUGCUUUGUCAAAUAAUGGAUUAAGUGGUGCACUUCCAAACUGUAUUGCGAAUCUUGCUGAUGGAUUGCUUUACAUUAAUCUUGCUAAUAAUCAGUUUCGAGGAGCAAUACCAACUACUUCAUCCAAAAGUUGUCAGCUGACCUAUCUCAACAUGGAUAAUAAUGAGUUUGAAGGAUUGCUGCCCCCAUCUUUGGCGAACUGUAAGCACUUGAAGAUUCUUGAUAUUGGCAAUAAUAAAAUAGGUGGUACAUUUCCUUCAUGGCUUUAUGCACUUGGAGAGCUAGAAGUCCUUGUCUUGCGAUCAAAUAAACUCUAUGGUCCAAUAAGUGGGAGGAGCAUAGAAAAUCCCUUCCCCAAGUUGCGGAUUUUGGAUCUGUCCAACAAUCAAUUCUCAGGCCAUUUGCCAAUUCAAUACUUCAAGAAUAUGAAAUCAACUGAUAAAUUGUAUCGCUAUCAGAAUGCCACAACAUUAACGGGUUUCCAAUAUGAUGCAUCAGUCCCAUUAACUGUGAAGGGAACAGAGUAUGAAGUGAAAAAUAUCCUUCAUAUUUACACAGCCAUUGAUCUGUCCUGCAACAAGUUUCAAGGAGAAAUUCCUGACGUUAUUGGAGAGCUUAGAUGGCUUGCAUUGCUGAACUUAUCUCAUAAUAGUCUAACAGGACCUAUCCCAUCAUUGCUGAGAAAUAUGAAAGAACUCCAAUCUUUAGAUUUGUCGUCAAAUCAACUGACAGGGGCUAUUCCACCUCAGUUAACUGCACUGACAUUUCUAGAGGUCUUCAACCUCUCGGGAAACCAUCUUAGUGGAGAGAUUCCUCAGAAAGGACAGUUCAGCACAUUUAACAAUGAUUCUUAUCUAGGAAACUCCGCGUUAUGUGGAUCACCAUUGACGAAGAAAUGUGCAAACACAGCAUCACCUCCACAAGAAGUCGGAAAUGUUGAUGAAGAUGAUGCGGGUGAUGAAUUGACAUGGGAAGCAAUCUUGAUGGGAUAUGGAUGUGGACUGAUAUGUGGAUUGUCAUCUGCUUACAUUGUUCUCAAACUAGGAAAGCCUUGGUGGUUUGUGAGAUAUAUCGAAGUGCUGCAACUGAAGUUGAUGAAAAGAUAUGCAUGAAGAAUGGUACUGGCCGAUCAAGACGAACUUGAAAGUUGUUGGACAUUUCUGAACCAGUAGUGUACUAUUCUCUUUGUGGCUGCAUAAGUUUUUGGUAUUGUGUAAUAUUCUGUUUGGUCUUGAAUUUCAGGGGUAUUAAUAUAAACCUUGGUAUUGUGUAAUAUUCUGUUUGAUCAAUGUUUAUAUCAAUAAUUUUAUGCUCCUCACUGCAUCAUGCAGCUCUCAUAUUAUCUUCAUAUGUGUAUUAUUUGGAUAUCAAAGUUGCAGGGACAUAUGGAUAUGUGUUAACAGGGACUGCUCGGUCUUGGACGGACUCUUUCCAAGUCCUCUGGGGUCCUAUCGGUUCAAAUUAGUCUAUUAUCUGCAUACUAAUUUGUCCAACUCGGGCUUGAAUAGUAAAGAUAAAGAGUGCGAGUUGAGUUUCUCAAAGUAUGAGUACAAUAUCGUUUUUGAAUGAUAGUUAGGGGUGCGAUAUGCAAUUACCUCAAAAAUAUAUGAUCAUUAGUAUAUUAUAUUAGUAUCCACACACUUAUAUCUCAAAAUCUAUCCUCCAAAAUUAUCAUCUCUAUAGGCUAGCCACAUAAAAUAAAAAUUUAAAGAUAUUAGAUUUUUAGUUAUUUUCAUUAUAUAAUUUUUCCACGCAAAAUAACAAAAUAUCUUUAUCAACUUAUUAUUUAUGAGUUAAAUAUUCAAGUUAUAUAAUUCGGACAUGCUGGGUAUAAAUUGAAGUGUAACGCCUAAUUUCCGGGGUCUGGGAGUAGUUGGCGGGGUAUGAGAGAGCAGGCUAUUUAGAAGUCUUGGUCAUGAAAACUUCCAAGCUAAACUUCGACAACGGAAUCUUCUGAGGCUACUAUUCUAAAGCACGCAUAAUCAUUGUAUCCAUUUUCCGACAAAAAGUCUAUUUAAGCAAAUGAAAUACAAACAACUGAGUGGAAUGCUGACCGAAAGUCUUUUUGACUAAGCUUAUGAUUUAUUAGUACAUGAUUAAUAUGAUAAGCUAAGCUGAGAGCAUAAGAUAUCGUGUGUAUAAUUUUGUGUUUAUUAAUGACUUAUAAAUUAUUAAAAAUAUAAUAAGAAAAAUAAAAAUGAUUUAUAACUAAUUUAUGUUUUAUGAGUAAUUUUUAUUAGAAAAAAGUUUUAAAAAAUUAUUUCACUGGAAAAAAAACCUCCAACUAACUUUUGGCUCUAAGUCAGUUUUUGAUUUAUUUAUGACUUUAUGUCGGAUUCUGAUUUUUACACAAAAAUCUGGUUUUAAACCUCUGAGUUUGGUUUCACUUCAUAUACAAACCUCAACAAUUUCACCAUCAAACACAAUGACUUCUCCAAUCUCCGGUCCAGUACCACCAGCCAUUGAGAAUUUGGCACAACUUCAAUUCCAUACCAGGUUAGUCGUCUUCGGAGAUUACACGUCUUAGACCUGUCAAAUACAAAUUUCAAUCUCCAAACUGGUCCGAUUUAUCUUCUAUGCUUUUUGUUGAGUCCGGCUCAUCUAAAGCCUUAAGAUGUUAGAGGAAGCACCCAAUGAAUCUUAUAUAUGCUAUAUUUUAACAAUUCUGAGCACACUCAACCUUGGUAUUAAUAAUAUUGUGUCGAAAAUUCCAGAAUUUAUAUCUAAUUCUCAUAGCCUAACUUUCCUUGACCUUUCCAUAUAACAAAUUUACAGUUAAUCCUGUGCUUGAAUCAGUAUUUGCAACCAAAAUUAUGCAAUUAUAGUGCAGGUAGUCUUCCAGUUUACGCUCUACACUCCAGGAUAAGCUCGCAUAUAAUUGACAGCUAUAAUCCUUCCAACACUUUGUGAUGCAAAGCAGAGGGAUAGGUUGGCUUAAAAAUAUAUAAGGUCACUUAUGCAUCGCUCUUCACACACUUAGACCCUGUUUGUGUGGGCUUUAAGUCCCGGCUCAAGCUAUUUCGACUUAAUCACUUCCGAGACCAAUACCAACAAGUUAAGAUAUCUAAAUAUGUAUGACAAUCAGUUAGAAGGACUAUUGCCGGGCAACAACCUUCUCAAAGAGUUGCCAGUUAAGAUAUCUAAACAUGUAUGACAAUCAGUUAGAACUUUAGAAGGACUAUUGCCCCCAUCUUUGUCAAACUGUAAGCACUUAAAAAUUCUUGACAUCGGGAACAAUAAAAUGGGUGGUACAUUCCCUUCAUGGCUAUUUAAUCUCGGAGAGCUAGAAGUCCUAGUCUUGCGAUCAAAUAGACUGUACGGUCCUGUAAGUGGAAGGAGCACAUCACAUCCAUUCCCCAAGUUGCGGAUUCUAGAUCUCUCCAACAAACAAUUCGCGGGCUAUUUGCCAAUUCUAAACUUUAAGAAUAUGAAACCAGCUGCUGAUGAUAACGCGUAUAGUUAUAAAAAUAAGUCACAAGGACUAAUUAAUUACAUCUAUGAAGCAUCUAUCUCCUUAAAUGUGAAAGGAACAGAGUAUGAAGUGAAGAACAUUCUUCAUAUUUACACAGCCAUUGAUCUAUCGUGCAACAAAUUUCACGGAGAAGUUCCAAAGAGAGCUUAAAUGGCUUGCAUUGCUCAAUCUAUCUCAUAAUAGUCUUGCCGGACAUAUGUUCUGAAUUAUUAUUAUGCUUUCAUCAAUAUUUUCAAACAUUUCUCAAUAUGUAUUUUCAAAGAAUUCUCAAGCCCUGGAACAUUUGGACCGGUUCUUUGGAAGCCAAGAUACCCAGGUUAUCAUGGCCAUGCACAAAAAUGAAUAAAUUAUUCCAAGUCUUCCAUGACUCAUUCCAAGUCUUCGGAGGAGACCCUGAGCACAAAGAUGCUCAGGGUCUCCCCAAGCCUUCCAGGACUCAUUCCAAGUCUUCGGAGCACGGUCUCGCCUCGCCCUUUCAAAGAUGUGAUAGUAGCUCGAGAGUGAUAUAAAUUAUUUUCCCGACACUAAAAAUAAAUAAUCAGAUCAAAUUAAUCAAUAAUGUAUUAAGGAUGAAAUCCAAAUUAAUCCUAAAUUUUGAUAAUAUAUAAAAAUUAUAAUUAUAAAUUAUAUACCAAAUCAGAAUUGAAUUAAUUCCUUGGCACUAAAAUUGAUAAAGAAAGUAUAAUAAUUUAAAUUUAAUUGAUGAAAAGUCAAAGUCUUCUAAUAAAUCCAUAAAGAAUAUGAUAAUCAAAAUAAUGAAAAUUAUAAUUGAAAAAUCAAAAUCAUUAGUGUAUUGGAAUAGUGUUCACACACUUGUAUAUCAAAAUUUGUGGUCCAAAAACUAUAGCACAAUAUCCUAAAUACACCACAUUAAAUAUUAGUUCAAAAAUAUUUAGUAAAUAAUUGUUUUCAUUCAUCAUUUUGUUAUUUAAAAAACUAAUAAUUUGGGUUGAUGUUAACCUAUAUUUUAAUAUAUAAUUAUAUUAUUUUCGUCUUAUUUAUUUAACUAGAAACAAUAUUUUUAUCAUACAUCAAUUAUAUUAAAAGAUAUAAUUUUAUUAAAAAAAUUGAAUUAUUAUUUAUGAAUUCCAGCAUGAAGCGUAUAAAUAGAAGUGUGCAGUUGAUCAGAUUUAUAACCCAGUUGAUCAGGAGAAACAUGGCAUACUCUGCAAAGACUUCUCACCUUCUUCUCUUUGUUUUCUUUCUCUCAUCACUUGAAUCCAUUCUUUCAACAAGACGAGAGGGAGAAGCUCUUGUGAAGUGGAAGAAUAGCCUAGCCCCUUCUUCUUUUCUCGACUCUUGGUCACUCACCAAUCUCGAAAAUCUUUGUAACUGGACUGGCAUUACUUGUAACUCUGCAGGUUCAGUCUCUGAGAUUAACCUUUGUGAGAAACAACUUGAUGGAAUGCUGUCCGAGUUUGGUUUCACUUCAUUUCCAAAUCUAAACAGUCUCACCCUCGCAGACAACUUCUUCUCGGGUCCAAUACCACCAGCCAUUCAGAACUUAACAAGGCUUCAAUACCUUGAUUUAAGCUUGAAUUAUCUCAAUGGUACCAUGCCUUUCUUGCGCAUCCUCAACCUCAGUAGCAAUCCUCUUGCGUCGAAAUUCCCAGAUUUUAUAUCCAGUUCUCAAAGCCUGACUCACCUUGACCUUUCAUAUAACAUGUUUACCGGUGAUCUAGCAUGUGAACCAUUAUUUGCCAACCUGCAUAAUCUUGAAGUCCUCAGUCUCGUUGAAAAUUCUUUUGAGGGGCCAUUUCCACCGGAUAUAUUCAGGCUUUCCAAAUUAAAACAUCUUAGCCUGUCAGUUAACAAACUUUCAGGUUCAAUUCCCAAUGACAUAAGGUUGCUUUGUGAUCUUGAAUACCUAUAUUUAGCCAACAAUUCCUUUGAAGGACCACUUCCACCAAAUAUAUUCAAGCUUUCAAAAUUAAAACAUCUUGUUCUUUGGGGUAAUAAGUUUUCAGGUUCUGUUUCCAAUGAUAUAGGUUUGCUUUCGGCGCUUGAAGCCCUCGAUCUUUAUUCUAAUUUUUUUGAGGGGCCGCUUCCACCAAAUAUAUUCAAGCUCUCAAAACUAAGGAUUCUUUCCCUUGGGAACAAUAACUUUUCAGGUUCUGUCUCUAAUAAUAUAGGUUUGCUUCCUGAGCUUGAAACCCUAUGUCUUGACUCUAAUUUGUUUGAGGGGCCGCUUCCCCCACAUAUAUUCACGCUCUCUAAAUUAAGAUAUCUAGACCUCUCAAACAAUAGAAAUUUAUUUGAAAGAAGUAUUCCUAUUGGAUUGGGACUCUUGACUAACCUCAGGUACUUAGAUCUAUAUUCCAGUAAUCUCAGCGGCUAUAUUCCAUCUGACAUUGGAAACCUGAAGCUACUAGUAGGUCUUAAUCUCGGUUCUAAUAAAUUGACUGGACCAGUUUCAAAGAUCGUUUCUAAUCUCACAAAUCUUAUAUUUCUUAGUGUAAGAAAUAAUAGUCUUAGUGGAAAUAUUCAGAGUGACUUGUGGAACUUCCCUAAGGAAUAUAACAAUCAUCCAACUUUGGAAUACAUCGAUUUAAGUGGGAACCAUUUUACAGGUAUCUUUUCUCUAUAUAUCUUUUCCUUUUCUCAUAUGUAACUAAGCUAGUAAUCUGAUUAUUGCAGUUUUACCAAAGUUUCAACAAUCUUGACAGGUGAGCUUCCAACAACAAUUUGCAAUGUCACUUCCCUUUCGGUUCUUGAUUUGUCAAAUAAUGGAUUAAGUGGUGCACUUCCAAACUGUUUCGGGAAUCUUGCUGAUGGAUUGCUUUACCUUAAUCUUGCUAAUAAUCAGUUUCGAGGAACAAUACCAACUACUUUCUCCAGGAGUUGUCGGCUGAAAUAUCUAAACAUGGAUAAUAAUGAGUUUGAAGGAUUGAUGCCCCCAUCUUUGGCGAACUGUAAGAACUUGAGAAUUCUUGAUAUUGGCAACAAUAAAAUAGGUGGUACAUUUCCGUCAUGGCUUUAUGCACUUGGAGAGCUAGAAGUCCUUGUCUUGCGAUCAAAUAAACUCUAUGGUACAAUAAGUGGAAGGAGCAUAGAAGAUCCCUUCCCCAAGUUGCGGAUUGUGGAUCUGUCCAACAAUCAAUUCACAGGCCAUUUGCCAAUUCAAUACUUUAAGAAUAUGAAAUCAACUGAUAAUUUGUAUCGUUAUCAGAAUGACACAGGAGAUUUUAUUUUCCAUUAUGAAGCAUCUGUCUCAUUAACUGUGAAGGGAACAGAGUAUGAAGUGAAAAAUAUCCUUCAUAUUUACACAGCCAUUGAUCUGUCGUGCAACAAAUUUCAGGGAGAAAUUCCAAAGGUUACUGGAGAGCUUAGAUGGCUUGCAUUGCUCAACUUAUCUCAUAAUAGUCUUACUGGACCUCUCCCAUCACUGCUUGGAAAUAUGGAAGCACUCCAAUCUUUAGAUUUGUCUUCAAAUCAACUGACAGGGGCUAUUCCACCUCAGUUAACCGCAUUGACAUUUCUAGAAGUCUUAAACCUCUCGAGAAACCAUCUUAGUGGAGAGAUUCCUGAGAAAGGACAGUUCAGCACAUUCAACAAUGACUCUUAUCUAGAAAACUCUGCGUUAUGUGGAUCACCCUUGACGAAGAAAUGUGUAAACACUGCAUCACCCCCACAGGAAGUCGGAAAUGGUGAUGAAGAUGAUGCUGGUGAUGAGUUGACAUGGGAAGCAAUCGUGAUGGGAUAUGGAUGUGGACUGAUAUGUGGAUUGUCAUCUGCAUACAUUGUUCUCAAACUAGGAAGGCCUUGGUGGUUUGUGAGAUAUGUCGAAGUACUGCAACUGAAGUUGAUGAAAAGAUAUGCAUGAAGAAAGGUACUGGUCGAUCAAGACAAACUUGAAAGUUGUUGUCCUGGUAGACAUUUCUGAACCAGUAGUGUACUAGCUGCAUAAGUAUUUGGUAUUAUGUAAUAAUCCAUUUGGUCGGGACUCAUAAUGAUUUCUCUUGCUUCAGGGGUAUUAAUAUUAACCUUGCUAUCUUGAUCUGUGUUAAUGCAAAUGAAAAAGAAUGGAAAAACAAAAAAAUUGCAUCAAACCUGUUGUACCAAGAUCCAUUAAUCUGCUUUCAUCUCUUACGCAACAAUUUAACAGCACUUUCACACUGUUUGAAUGAUUAUCAUAAAUUCGAGUUUUCCUCGCCAGCACCAAAUCCAAAUAUACAAUCCCACACAUUCCAGUCUCAGCUUCAGCUCCCAGGCUAGCAUUGAUUUAGCCAAGCACGACAGUGGCCGCUUGUGUGCCUAACAAUGACAGUUGGGGAUUUGAUGGAACGUGCCUUGGUCCUGCCUUCAAAUGUCUAACAAUAACAGUUGGAUAUGUCGACAAAAAAAUUGUUCCUCACACUGAGGAAUAACUCUGACAGUUCUUUUCAUUGUGCCUUGGUCCAGUAAGUGGAAGGAGCACAUCACAUCCAUUCCCCAAGUUGCGGAUUCUAGAUCUCUCCAACAACCAAUUCACGGGCUAUUUGCCAAUUCAAUACUUUAAGAAUAUAUGAAACCAGCUGCUGAUAAAGCGUAUAGUUAUCAAAAUAAGUCACAAGGACUAAUUAAUUACAUAUAUGAAGCCUCUAUCUCCUUAAAUGUGAAAGGAACAGAGUAUGAAGUGAAAAACAUCUCUUUAUAUUAUAGCUCCUGAUGCGUGAUUUGUACAGUUACCACACUGCUUAAUUCUUCACCUCAAAGUUCCACCUUAUUACAAAAAUGCCACCGCUCUAUUAAGCGGCACCCACGUAAGCUCAUUGCCACCACGUGCUAUCUUCCUGCUGUCUUUUGUUUAUUUUAUUCACUAAACCGUACUUACCCGAAGCUUAUGUAACAAGCUUACAUUCUUUACAUUUUACUCAUUUCAAAAUUUAAAACCCAGCCUCCACGGCUCCCUUACAAAAGUAACCGGUUUGAACGUAAAGUUUUCAAAACUAACCAGCCUACGUUCAACUUUUCAAAACUAACCAGCCUAAAUCAAAAAAAGUCGGGCGACCCUUACCUGUUUUUUUCCCGAGCACCGGUCGCCCUCCUCAGGGGCGUCCCCCAUUGGAGUUCAUCAAGCACAGGUCGCCCUCCUCAGGGGCGUCCCCCCUUGAAGUUCUGUGACGUGGUCCGCCCAAUCACGGGCGACCACGUGUGACACUACCCCCUUAAAACCCCCUCCCAGCCACACAAACACACAAUUACACACACAUUUGCACACACUCAGUUUGAAAACAACACUGCAGCAGCCACAGCAAGGAGCCGAAAGGGGAGAUUUUGGUAAAGGAAGGAAGAAAAGUGGGAGAGGAUCGCCCGAGCUAGCAUCAAGGUCGCCCACCCUAGCAAAAAAUUUGAAGGUACUACCUUAUUCCUCCCCUAAAUAUUAGUAUAUAAAGCCUUGAUUUGUAAUUUAUUACUUGAUUAGUUUGUCUUGCAUGUUACAAAUAUCGAUUAUGUUCAUGAUUAUGGCUAAUUUAUAGACUAGUGUUAUAAUUACCGGCUUGAGAUUAGUGUUAUAAUUACCGGAUUGAGAUUUGGUACAUUAUGAUUUUUAAAUUUGUUAAAAAAUUUAAAGAUUUAUAAUAGAAAUUAAGGAUAAUUUAUAGAUUUGAUAUGUUGGAAUUUAAGAUUUUAUGCUUUUUAGAUUUUGUAGGUAGUAAUUAAAUUUAGUUGGAGAGAAAAAAUAUAAUAUAAUAUUCGAAUUAAAAAGAUAUUGAGAAUAUAAUAUUCGAAUUAAAAAAUAUUCGAAUUAAAAUAUAUUAAAAUAUAAUAUUCGAAUUAAAAAUAUAAUAUAAUAUUCGAAUUAAAAUAUAAUAUAAUAUAUAUUCGAAUUAAAAAAUAUUCGAAUUAAAAUAUAUUAAAAUAUAAUAUUCAAAUUAAAAAUAUAAUAUAAUAUUCGAAUUAAAAUAUAAUAUAAUAUAUAUUCGAAUUAAAAAAUAUUCGAAUUAAAAUAUAUUAAAAUAUAAUAUUCGAAUUAAAAAAUAAUAUAAAAUAUAUUGAGAAUUAAAAAAAUUAGAAAGCAAAUAAAAUAUUCGGAUAAAAAAGAUAUUAAUAGCUAAUAUUAAAAAAAAUCGAUUUAUAAUAAUAAAAAUUCGAAAAAAAGCAAAAUAAUCGAAUUAAAAUAAAAUUUUCGAACAUAUAUUAAUAAAAAUCUUAAUUAUAUUAAUAUAUAAUUCGAAUAUAUGAAAUUUCGAGAAUUAGAAUAUUUAUGAAAUUAAGAGAAUUAAAAUAAAUAGGAAAUUCGAACAAAAAUUAAUUUAAGGUACGCUCUCGAUUCUCUCUAAAUUAAUGUGUAUAUAUAUAUAAUGACUUGAUUUGGAUUAUUGUUGUUUUAUUAGCUUGAGUUGCAUGUUAUAAGAUCGGUUAGUUUAUUGAUUGUGGCUUGAGAUUUGUUAUAAUUGAAAUUAAGGCUAAUUUAUAGAUUUGAUAUGUUGGAAUUAAGGCUAAUUGAAAUUAAGGCUAAUUUAUAGAUUUGAUAUGUUGGAAUUAAGGCUAAUUGAAAUUAAGGCUAAUUUAUAGAUUUGAUAUGUUGGAAUUUAAGAUUUUGUGCAUGUUAGAUUUUGUAGGUAGUAAUUUAAUUUAGUUAGAAACAAAAGCUUUGAAUUCGAAUUACAAAUAUUAUGUUGGAAUGAGAUUUUGUAUAUAUACAAAAGCUUUGAAUUCGAAUUAUAAAUAUAUUUGAAAAUUGUUGGCGCAGAUGGAUCCUGCAGCUUAUCAUCCCGGGCCGGUUAACGGCACUUUGUUGACAUUGCAGGACACGCAUAGGUCCACUUUUGUGUGGAACAGUAGUACGGUAAUGACUUGAUGGACUGUUGUUUAUUAAAGUUAAUGUUUGCUUCACUAUAAACUGCUGACAAGUUCCUGUAUUUUAAAUUGCAGGACAUUCCUGAUCUUAGAGUCAGGACGAACUUCGGUGAGUACUGGAAUGUAGUUGACCAAACCAGGCCGCCUCAGACGAUAAUAGAUGCUAUUAAUGAUGCGGGCUUUGAGUGGGUGUUCAGGUUGGGUCAGGUCAAGCAUGACAGGGGCUUGAUCACUGCUUUUAUCGAGAGGUGGCGUCCAGAGACGCACACUUUUCAUCUACCUUUCGGGGAGGCCACCAUUACACUGGAGGAUGUCCAUCACAUUCUCGGGUUACGAACCACUGGCCGGCCAUUUAUUCUACAUGGCUUCACCACCACAGCUCGCGAGAGAUUGGCCAUGAUACGCGAUGUUCUUGGAGUGACUCCUAAGCCGGCUGAUGUGAGGAAGAACGGCUUGAGGAUCGGUUGGUUGAUUGAAAAAUUUGGCGACUGUGCCCGGUUGGACGAGGCAGCGGAGGAUUUUGAUGCACAGACUAUCUUUCACAUCAGGGCACACCUACUGUGUGUUAUUGGAUCGUUGUUUCCUGAUAGCAGCGGGAACUAUGUGAAUCUCAACCUCCUUUGGAUGCUACGUGACUUGCAGAGCGUGGAUGGUUAUAGCUGGGGGAGUGCUGUUCUUGCAUACCUUUAUAGGAAGAUGUGCGAUUCCACCCAUAAAGUCACAACCGGCUUCAUUGGCUACGCCACCACUACGCCAUAUAUGAUCUAUCGCAAUGGUAUGAACGCGAGUGUUGCAAAAUUAUGUUGCAAUAGAGACACUGAUCCAUAUCUACCGCAACGAUAACCAUUCAUGUCAAUUAUAUGUUGCAAUAGCAAACAUUAUGUGUUGCAGCUUGUAAUAUACUUGUAAAAGUGUUAGCUUAAAGUAUUAUAAUAUUAUUUUAACAUUAAAUAAUAAUUUAAAUUAUUUUAACAAUAUUUUAAAGUGAUAUGCAAAUUAAAUAAAUAAGAUACGCGAUGAUAUGCAAAUUUUAUUCAUAAUAAUUAAAAAAAUUAAAAUAGGAAUUUUAAAAGUAAUUAAUUUUUUUAAAAGCAAUGAAAAGUAAAAAUAAUUAAAUUCCCCUUGUUUUGAUAUCAGAACUGAUAUAUAAGUUUCAAAAAUAAAAAUAUAGAUAUACGAAUUAUAAGUAGUAAUAAAUACAUAUAAUGAAUUUUGUUCCUAAAAUAAUUACAUGAAUUUUAUUUGUUAAAAUAAUAAAGUAUAGGUGCAGACGUGCAGUACAUUAUUUGACUUUAUUGAACUGGGCAAAUAUCGAGCUCAAAGCGGGUAAAAAUUAGGCUUACAGCCGCCCAAAUUUUCAGCCAAGUUUGAAAUUUUCACACAUACACUAUACACGCUCGAGUCUCCUUGAAUACCCUCAACACUCACUACACUCUCUCCCUCGCUCAACUCUCUCUCCCUUCUCUACUCUCUCUCUCUUGUUAAUCUCUCUGAAGCUAAUCUCUCUCUGGCCACCAUUUUCACUCAAUCUCGCCAUCACUUUUAAUUAACUUGGAUUUGCAUUUAUAGUUGGAGCACAGUUGAUUUGUGGGUCGAGGUUCCAAUUCUUCAAUUAGGGUUUUGGCUUUUCAAUCAGGGUUUUGGUUCUUCAUUAAACUUCAAUUAGGGUUCAAUUACUUACAUAUAAUCUCUUAAACUUCAUCUGAUAUCUCUUUCUCUUUGAUUUCAGGUGUUCUUAGUUUGGGUUUGCACUCCAAGACUUUAUUAUAAGGUAUUUUUGAAUUUAGGGCUUCAUGUUAUGAGUUUAUUUGCAUUUAGUGUUCUUUGUUUUUAUGUUUAUUUGGUUUAUUAUCUUUAUCUAGUUUAUUUCCUUUGAUUUUUUGUUUUUUUUUUCAUUUGUUUUGUGAAAUUGCAAUACUCUGUUUUUGUGUUAAUUUUUUUGUUGCUUAAAAGUGUUCAACAACAAUAUUCUUCUUAAUUAUAAAAGAUCUAUCACGAGGAAGAGGUCCCUGUUUUGUAUAAUAUCUUGUAUGUCUUUUCUUUUCUGUAUAUUAUUAAGCUACCUUGGGGCAUCCUUUUUCUAGACCAGAUUUCGUGCGCAAUCUUUAGUAAAGAGCAAAUAUUCCGAUUCUUUUGCAUUUGUCUCAAUGUCAGUGCUUUGCAUAUAUGGAUAUAUUUUACAUGAAAAUGGUGCUUUUGUUGUUGGCCUGCUUAAUGUUCAAGACAUGUAGUCAACUCAGUUUAGUGUGACAAUAAGACUUUCUCAUUUCAUUAUGAUUCUCACAUAUUUUAUGCUCGUCACAGUACAACACAGUUUUGUAUUUGGUGUGAGUGAGCAGUAAAGAAUUCUAUGGAAGAUGCUAGUGACUACCGGUGGUAUAUAACCAGGUAAAAAUAAUGCUCAGUUGAUAAUCCUUAUAAGGGAGGCUCUUACUAUUUCUUCCUCUUUAACAUUGAGUUGUUUUAAUGUACAUACUAGCUGGUUGCUCAAGUGUUCUAUCAUUAUAAUGUAUACAUUGGAUACAAUAUUUGUUCAAUGAGGUAUCUAACUAGCUUGCUGAUGGCCGGGGACUAUAGAUUUAUUCAUUGCUAAUUGGUUAUAUUCGUUGUACCUGUUAUGCCUCAAUCAUAAUGGCAUAGUGACAAUAAAAGGAAAACGAAUUAUAAAUAUUUCACAUAGCAUGCUCUAGUUAUCUACAACUAUUGUUUUGGACUUCUGGUUUGGCAUUUAUAAUAAGUUGGCAUAUGUCUUUGAAUUCAUAUAGUUUGUAGCAUGACCUAAUUGGCACAAGUCAUCCUCUGCCAUGUCUUAUAUCUUUAGUUAGUAAGAAUUAAUAUUUCCCAUGUUUCAGCCACUAUACAAAUAUUGAUCAUGGACGAAGUUCUUACCCUGUUUAGUAUUAAUUUCAUUAUCUGCUGCAACUUUAUUGUGUUAUCUGUGCACUGCCCAACUAAGUACACAUAAUUUGAGUUUAAAAUAAAGCAUGCUUCUUUACUGGAGCUCAGCUUAGUAGUUGCAUUGUAUUGUUGCAGGAGAAGCUUAAGCCGUUAAUGGAUCAACUUAACAAAGUCAAAGACUUGACUGUUCCAGAAUUUGGAAAUUUCCGAACUUGAGAAGUGCGAGCAAAUGCAAGAAUAUGUUUAUAUAUAAUAGUGUAGUGUAGUGGGAUGUUUGGUUGGAUUCGUUUAAUACUUUGAUUUGGUUGGAUUUGUUAGGUAGUUUUGUUUGGUUGGAUUUGUUAUAAACUUUGAUUUGUAUGAAAGAAUAGUUUAAUGUUUCAGUGGAUAUAGUGAAAUAUUGCAAAGUUGUUAAUUUAGUCUUGCAUUAGCACAUAUAUGUUGUAGUAGCUAAUAUAUAUAUGUUUCAAUUUAUAACAAAAAAUGUUGCAAACAUGCAACUGAAAAACAGGUGUCCAAACAUAGGACCCACAUGUGUGACCCACGUGUGGGUCCCACUUUUUUUGAAAUCAGGAGGUCUAACGUAACAUAAUAUAUUUGUUGCUAUAGGGUAGUCAGAUGUUGCAAUAUCACGUCUAUUGUAACAUAAAAAGCCGUGUUGCAGUAGGUUACCCAAAUGUUGCAAUAGAAGCCUAGGGCAACAUGAAAAAAUGCAACUUAAAUUUUAUGUUGCAAUAGCCCUUUUUCGGGCUAUGGCAACAUAUUUUGGGGUUAUGGCAUCAUUUUUUUGAUGUUGUCNNNNNNNNNNNNNNNNNNNNNNNNNNNNNNNNNNNNNNNNNNNNNNNNNNNNNNNNNNNNNNNNNNNNNNNNNNNNNNNNNNNNNNNNNNNNNNNNNNNNNNNNNNNNNNNNNNNNNNNNNNNNNNNNNNNNNNNNNNNNNNNNNNNNNNNNNNNNNNNNNNNNNNNNNNNNNNNNNNNNNNNNNNNNNNNNNNNNNNNNNNNNNNNNNNNNNNNNNNNNNNNNNNNNNNNNNNNNNNNNNNNNNNNNNNNNNNNNNNNNNNNNNNNNNNNNNNNNNNNNNNNNNNNNNNNNNNNNNNNNNNNNNNNNNNNNNNNNNNNNNNNNNNNNNNNNNNNNNNNNNNNNNNNNNNNNNNNNNNNNNNNNNNNNNNNNNNNNNNNNNNNNNNNNNNNNNNNNNNNNNNNNNNNNNNNNNNNNNNNNNNNNNNNNNNNNNNNNNNNNNNNNNNNNNNNNNNNNNNNNNNNNNNNNNNNNNNNNNNNNNNNNNNNNNNNNNNNNNNNNNNNNNNNNNNNNNNNNNNNNNNNNNNNNNNNNNNNNNNNNNNNNNNNNNNNNNNNNNNNNNNNNNNNNNNNNNNNNNNNNNNNNNNNNNNNNNNNNNNNNNNNNNNNNNNNNNNNNNNNNNNNNNNNNNNNNNNNNNNNNNNNNNNNNNNNNNNNNNNNNNNNNNNNNNNNNNNNNNNNNNNNNNNNNNNNNNNNNNNNNNNNNNNNNNNNNNNNNNNNNNNNNNNGCUUAUCCUCGUAUGUAGUUUGUUUAUGGUUAUGUACCUGACCAUGUACUCGUACAUUUUUAUUUCUUGAUCUGAUUAUGUACUCUUAGUCUAGUAGAUCGGUUGUUACGUUAUUAUGCAGUUCUUGUGCAUUCUUAUGUCAUAAUGUUUUAUAAUGAUUCAAGCAUUGAAAUUCAUAUGGACAAUAAAGGAAACCUAACAUAACAUAAUAAACGACAGAACACUAAAACACAUACACAUGUUGAUCUUUCUCGAAACCAGUAAAACUGACUUUAUUUUGACUAAACUUUACAUAUAUCAAAUAACUGAAAAAAAUAAUAUAAAAUUUGAAUUACUUGAACAACAAAAGUUGAGACAUUACAUAUAAGAUACAAUACAUAUAGUAAUGGGGGUGAUCUUUUGGAGAAAAUACCUAACUCAAAGGGAUUUCUUCAAAUAAUUUGAGAUGGGUCAGAGCUUCAAGAAUCUGUGUACUCUGCUUUUACAAGUACAAAGUGGGAAAAAGUGAGACAUAAAUAAAAUGUAGUGAAGUAUUUGAGAUGGGAGAAAGUAAAACUAACUUAAUUUCAUAUUAAUAUUGUGAAGAUAUUAGCAUAGAAUGAUAAAUAUACAUUUCUACUACCCAUUUAUAAAAGAAAUAUUAUAAAAUAUAAAACUCUACGCUUUAAAUUUAAAUUGUUUUAAGUUGUUUUCUAUUAAAUUAUUUUCCCCACAGGGGAAAAUAAUAUUAAAUUGUUUUAAUAUUAUUGUUUUAUUAUUAUUUGAUUAUUAAAUUAACGAGUACAUAAUUUGUAAAGUUUAGUGCUAAGAUAUAUAUAUUAUUUAAUUUUAUUAAUUAUAUUAAUUUCACAAAACAAUUAAAAUUUGAUUUUAAAUAAAAUAUUAAAUAUAUAAUACAAUAAUAUUAAAUGGCGUAUAAUCAGUGUUACAGAAAUCGGGAAUCGGACCUAAUCGGUUGAGCUACCGAUUCAGGGAUUAAUCGGAAAUCGGAGAUUAAUCGGACUGAAAAUCGGAUUUAUUUUAAUAUUAAAAUAUUAUUUAUUAUUUAGUUAUUAUUAUAUUAGGUAUCUAGUAACUAAUAUAUUUACUAUAUUCAUAAACUCUAUAAUUAUUCAUAUUUAAAGUAAUAUAGUAUUUUAAUUCUAAUAAUUUAUCACAUAUACUUCUAUUAGAAAAUAUGUUAUAAGGAUUAAUCGGAUUUUAAAAAUCGAAUCGGUGGCCGACCUUGCAGGAGAUUAAUCGAGGAUUAAUCAGUUAAAUCGGGGAUUUUUAGAACAUUCGGCGUAUUAUAAUACAAUUAUAUCAAAAUUUAAAAAAAAAUCAGUACCUCAGUUUGGGUAUCGGUCAGCCACCUAGGACAAGUGAAUGAGUGAAACCGCUACAAAAAAUGUAGUAGUAUGGGUCGCCCCUGUCAAGGGCGAUCCUAACUGUAUUUUGUAACAGUAUGGGUCGCCCCUGACGAGGGCGACCUGAACGGGGAAAAACUUCAGCUUGGGUCGCCCGACUUUUUUUGAUUUAGGCUGGUUAGUUUUGAAAAGUUGAACGUAGGCUGGUUAGUUUUGAAAACUUUACGUUCGAACUGGUUACUUUUGUAAGGGAGCCCAGCCUCCACCAUUGCAGCUCUGAGCAGCCAUGAACCAGGUUAUACUCCAGUCUCCUUUUCUCCCCCGCGUGUGUAAGUCUGUACUGCAGCCCACAUUUUCAACACGCUUCUGUCCUAAGCUUCGCAAGAAAUAUCUUUUUUUUGAAAUUCAAAAAAUUUGCGCACCAUAUCAUCGUCCAGCCAAACCACCAUCGGCGAAUCAGCAAAUAUACAUAUCAGAUCUAAUAUACACCAAUCUGAGCUUUGAUGACUGAGGUUUGAUUUGUGUUUUAUUUAAUAAAAUGAUAAAAUGAUGUCUUCUUUCAUGAUCAUGCGAUUAAUCGAUUGUAACUUUAAGGGAGAUGGAACAAGCAAUUCACGACGUCUAUUUACCUCCGAAGACAUGAUUAGUGGUAUGGUUACAUAAAUUUAACUUCUCUAUUUUUCUACCAUGUGUGGCCUAAUUGUUUCAUCUCUUGCUUUGUAGGUUAUCAGUCCAAAAAGCGGAGGAAAAGGGGCUACACAAUUAAGAGAUGAAACAGUAUUGAGCAUGUGAGCUUUAAAACUUGAUGAUUAAAUUUUUCAUAUUAUAUUUGUUCUGUAUUUAGAAAUUUGUGGAGGAUGUGUUUGAUAAUAUGUCUGAGAGAAGAAGUUAAUAAAUUUAUCGUGUUGAGGAUGUGUUUGAUGAUAUGUCCGAGUGAAAAAAUUAAUAAAUUUAUUUUCAAAAUGUUGCGAACAAAUUGUAAUUUAUAUCUAGCAGCUUCAAAUAAUUUUUUUUAGAGCAAAAAGAAUCGCAAUUGCAUGUGAAGAGAUGCACCUCCCUGAUAUUAGACUUUUAGUGUAAUUGCAUGUGUAACUAAACCGCUUGACUAUAAUGUUGGUGUAGAGUACGGAGCUUUAAUUUAUGAUGUUCUCCUCAAUCUGUCCAAAUUAUAGCUGAUCGUGGGAAUCAACUUUAGGGUAAGCUCUGCUCUGAAACUCAUUUUCUUAUAUUGGAACUUGGUUAUUUCUUAAAUGAAACGACUUUGACGUUUUCACCGAGUAGUCAUAGAUGCGUGAGUUGUACAAUAGUAAAAGAAAAAUAAAUUACAUAAAGACUGUCUGAGGUAAAAUAGUAUACAAGCUGCAAUUUUAUAUUUGGUACAUUGACGUAAAAAGUUAUUGUUAUGUUCAGGGGGAGGUGCUGAGAAAUGACAUGAUUAUAUCAUACGAGCGGCGACAAACUACUGAAGUUGCAAAAGAAAUGAUCUUAAAGAAAGCAGAGAAAGUGGGGGAGUUUUUUCAAGAAAAGAAUUUAAAGAGGAGAUGAGAUGCCAGAGUAUUACGCGCUAUUGCCGAAACAGGAUUAAAAACUAUAUUGGGUAUCUCUUCUUGAUCUCUUGAUUAAUUCCACUAGGAAGCUUCAAUAUUAUAUAGGAAGUUUUCUUUUUAAGCUUAAUUUUGAAUUUGAAUCCUCAAACUAUAACUACUGUAUAUCUCUUUAUAUUAUAGCUCCUGACGCCGGGAACUUCCCCUUCUACAACCAGCCCAACUGUACAUAACAGUUGCUUGCUUAUGAAUUUCAAAUUUAUAUUAUAAUGUUUAUAUGUAAUAUUGAAUCAAAGUUGCUUGCUUGCUUAUGUAAUAUUGAAUAUCUACUGUUGGAUGAUUGUUAACUGCUGUGUUACCAAGUGUUUGAUUAAAUUCCUACAAGUUUUGUUUGAAUUUUGUUCUUUAUUUAUCAUUAGUAUGUUUCAUUUUUAUGUUUGACUCUAUGCUAAUCGCUGAUAAGAUUUCUAUGAUUAUAGGAGAUGAGUGUUCUUAUGGCAUGAAUGAUAUUGGAAAAGUGAAAUGUGUUGAUGCUUUGUGUAAAUAAAUCAUGAUCUGCCGUUAUAGUUUUCUGUUUGUUUUCAAUUUGUGUGUACCUAGGUGGUUGUUACUGAGCAUUGAUCAACUGUGUUAAUUAAUUUAUUAAAAUGGAGUUGAGUCUGAGAACUAAAGGGCAAUUAUAUACUUCUUUAGGCUUUCCUUAACAUGUUUUUAUUCAUUAAAAAAAAUCGAUGAGUUUUUAUAAAUAUAUAUACUCUGUUAUUUUCUCUGUACCUAAUUAAAAGGAUUUUAAUUCGAAUUAUAGGUGUUUGUCAUGUGAAUAUUAUCUAAAAGAUAAUGGGGCCGUUUGGGUUAGCUUAAAAGAAGUGACUUUUUGCUUAUAGUAAAGAAGUGGAGUAGAAGUGAGAAGUAAAUAAGUUAAUAAAGUGUUUGGAAAAGAAGCAGAAGCUGUGAGAGAGAAGCUAGCAUUCUCAGCUUCUUAAAAGUGCUUCAACUUCUUUACACAAACAGGUCAAGAGAAGCAGAAGCCAGAAGCAGCUUCUGCUUCUCUUGGCCAAACAGGCCCAAUAUCUUUAAGGUCUCUUGCAUUGGUCAUUUAAUGUGUUAAUUAAAAGUUUACAUUUAAAUUUUUUGAUCUAAUAAUUUUGGAUAGAUGGUUUGUGAGGUUAAUGAAUGAACUAAUAUGGAAUGAUAAAAUGUAGGAGGUCUGGAAAGAUGGGUUUCAAUGCAGGUUUAUUGCUACUUUCCUUCAGGUCUGCAUUGCUUUGGUCUGUCUUCAGGACUGAGACUGUGAUUGGUUUCGGAACAGACACAAGUAUAUAUAUGGACCAAUGCAAAGCACCUGAUUAUCAUACUUUAGGCUUUUGCUCUGCUUUCUAUGGUAAAAAAAAGUGACAUUACUUCGAAUCUGAUACAGUUUAUCCAAGAGCUUGCUUCAAUAUUAAGAAUGCAAUACGUGUUGCAGAUAAAAUUUUGACCAGCAACAUUGGGGCACCCAACCCAAAUCUAGCAACAUUGGCCGUGGAGCUUUAAAUAUCUCCGUAAGAUUCUUUUCCCUCGCAGGCAGGCAUCUUUUUCUGCGAAAAAUAUACAAGAAAAAAGGACUAAUUUGUUUAAUUGAAAAUAAAUUUCGGAUGAGUUGGAUUAAGAAUCAAAUGGAGAGUCCUGUUUUGGUUUCAUUUUGAUGGAGAGGUUGCUUAGGUCCUGUUUUGAUCGAAAGGUUGAAAAAAUAUUUGGUAUUUUUUGGUCUCAUUUUGGUUUGUUUCGUUCCUUCACAGGUGUGCAACAAGUGAUGAUAGUAUUUAAACAUGAUUAGCAAACUGCCCAGCAAUCCAUGCAUGGCAAGGGGAAUGCACAGCUUAAUGAUUUCAGUCUCCGUACCAUCCAAGUGCAACAAAAAUCAAUUAUCUUGUGAUGUCUAGGAUUCUACAAAAGUAAGAAGCCUUCAUUCAUCUUCAUUCAUCCCCUGUUACUAGAAAAGCAUUGGUAGCCUAUAAGCAGGUACACUAAGUAGCUCACCUAAUUUUUGCAUUUCAGUAUCAACGGAAAGUGGUGCAGGACUCCACUUUAUAAUUAAAUUAUGUGUCUAAAUUAUGCGUGUUGUAAUGUUUAGUGACCAUGUUCCAGACCCGACAUGUCCUUACUUGGCAGAUCAAGUUAUCCAAGAUUUGGGAAGGAGUUUCGCCUUUGAGAUCUCCAACAAGUAAGAAGAAAUAAUGUCAAGGAAUGAACUAAUGUAAAAUGAUAAGAAGAUGAAGGUAUAAAACAAUGAUUAUAAUGUAGGCUUCUUCGUAAUGUAAUGAACAAAAUAAUGGAGUAACUAUAACUAUUCUUGCUGCAAGCCUGUGUUUGUUUAAUGCUAUCUGGCAGUAGUUUAGCAUUGGUAUAUUCCUUAAGGUGGAUUUGGAUAGAGUGAGAGGAGACAUUACUUAUCUUUACCUAGCUACUGCUUUUCAUGAGAUUUGGGCAGAGCGUAACAUUAGAAUUCAUCAUCCUAAGAGUUUUAAAGUUGCAAACCGGCUUAUCAAGGACAUAAUAGCCUCUGUUACUAUUUUUACAUGCUCCUCUAUUGUUGUGUGAACUUGCUGAACUCCUUUUUUCUGUUGUUCUACUUACUAAAAUCUUUUUAAUUUUCUUUUGUUAGGUACACUAAGUGGUUCACUCAAUUUUGGCAUUUUAGUAUCAUUGGCAAGUGGUGUAGGACUCCAUGAUUCUGUGUUGUCCACAAGCAACGAAAAAAANNNNNNNNNNNNNNNNNNNNNNNNNNNNNNNNNNNNNNNNNNNNNNNNNNNNNNNNNNNNNNNNNNNNNNNNNNNNNNNNNNNNNNNNNNNNNNNNNNNNNNNNNNNNNNNNNNNNNNNNNNNNNNNNNNNNNNNNNNNNNNNNNNNNNNNNNNNNNNNNNNNNNNNNNNNNNNNNNNNNNNNNNNNNNNNNNNNNNNNNNNNNNNNNNNNNNNNNNNNNNNNNNNNNNNNNNNNNNNNNNNNNNNNNNNNNNNNNNNNNNNNNNNNNNNNNNNNNNNNNNNNNNNNNNNNNNNNNNNNNNNNNNNNNNNNNNNNNNNNNNNNNNNNNNNNNNNNNNNNNNNNNNNNNNNNNNNNNNNNNNNNNNNNNNNNNNNNNNNNNNNNNNNNNNNNNNNNNNNNNNNNNNNNNNNNNNNNNNNNNNNNNNNNNNNNNNNNNNNNNNNNNNNNNNNNNNNNNNNNNNNNNNNNNNNNNNNNNNNNNNNNNNNNNNNNNNNNNNNNNNNNNNNNNNNNNNNNNNNNNNNNNNNNNNNNNNNNNNNNNNNNNNNNNNNNNNNNNNNNNNNNNNNNNNNNNNNNNNNNNNNNNNNNNNNNNNNNNNNNNNNNNNNNNNNNNNNNNNNNNNNNNNNNNNNNNNNNNNNNNNNNNNNNNNNNNNNNNNNNNNNNNNNNNNNNNNNNNNNNNNNNNNNNNNNNNNNNNNNNNNNNNNNNNNNNNNNNNNNNNNNNNNNNNNNNNNNNNNNNNNNNNNNNNNNNNNNNNNNNNNNNNNNNNNNNNNNNNNNNNNNNNNNNNNNNNNNNNNNNNNNNNNNNNNNNNNNNNNNNNNNNNNNNNNNNNNNNNNNNNNNNNNNNNNNNNNNNNNNNNNNNNNNNNNUUUUACAUGCUCCUCUAUUGUUGUGUGAACUUGCUGAACUCCUUUUUUCUGUUGUUCUACUUACUAAAAUCUUUUUAAUUUUCUUUUGUUAGGUACACUAAGUGGUUCACUCAAUUUUGGCAUUUUAGUAUCAUUGGCAAGUGGUGUAGGACUCCAUGAUUCUGUGUUGUCCACAAGCAACGGAAAAAAAGCCUGCAGAAAUGUUUCGAAUACUUUGAACGAAAUAAAGGUACAUUAUUAGGCAAGUGAUUGUGGCGGCAGAGAUAGCAGUUUGAUUGCUACACAAUUAUGUGUUUCACAAGAUUUUGCUAUUUUAAAUUAUAGUAAAUUUGAUUAAAUCCCACUCGGAAAGUUUGAAAUUUCUUGAUGUUGCUUAGUUAAAAUUUGGAUAUGGACAAUUAUGAUAUUUGUGAAUUUGGGUUCUUUUUAUAGGUGAUUUUUGAACAUUGCUAGAAUGAUAUAUGAUCUCAGGCCUCACACUCUUAACAUCUUUACGAGGCUUACGAGGUUCGAGAUGAGUUGGUUACUUAACAUGAUUCGUUUAAUUUAAUUAUGUGUUUGUGUAGUUGGGUUGAUUUGUUGUUUGUUUCGUUUAAUUGUACAAUUAAGGAGAUGGUGUUUACAAUAAUAAUAUUGAAGAUAGUUUGUAACUAGAGUAUGUUGUUAAUAAUUUGGUUAUGAGAAAUUGAGGCCGACACAAGUUUAAUCUGGCUUUCUCGAGAUGAUCUGACCUCGAGAAGAAAGAUUAUCUCAAAGUAGUUUUGUAAGUUGCUUCUCUCUGUUUUUGGACAAUGUAAAUUCUUACAUUACAUCUGCCUCUUGCAGGUAACAUCUUUGCUUUUAGGCUCUUUAUAUCGCCGAUGUAAGUUUUGCUCCAUAAAUUUCAGUGUUUGGCUAGAUCUCCUACAACUGUACUUUUAAAGAAAAAUAGAAGAAAUCAAGAACUGAGUUUACUGUACUUUUGCAGUGAUAAUCAGAUAUGUACCGGUUUUGCUUCGCAUAGUCACACCUUUUCUUUGUACAAUUGCAGACCCACUUUUAGGGGUAUUAUGAUGAGGAACGAGUGUACAGAAGACUUCUCAGGUCUUCCAUAUCUAUAUGCCCUCCUGCACUGCUUGAUUUGUGCCUGGUAUGGCAUGUCGUUUAUGUCAGAUGAUAAUGUGCUUGAUAACUGUAACCUUAUACAGCUACAUUUACUUUAAAUGUCUUGAACACAGUGGUUGCAAAUAAUGGUUAAAUGAUUAAUAUUUACACUGAUCUACUGCUUUUACACUGAUCACUGCUUAUGAUGUUGAAAAACCAAAAUUUGGUGGAGAAAUUGGGAUCAAUGGAGGGAGCUUGCACUGACACACGAAAUCUGUCAAAGCCUAGAUUACAAAGUAAUACUUUACUUGACUGAUCGACGGUUCAACUCAGCAGGAUAUGGAGUAUGCUCGCAGUGUACAUAACAUCCAAUCUCCCAAGGUCUCAUCAUCUACUUUGGAGACAACCUCAAAAUGGGUGUAGUUGCACUUGCACCCAAAAAUGAAGCCAGUGCAAAAAUCAAAGAGAUGACCCAUUUGUUAAAAAUGUUGAGGCUGAAGAGUACAAGGGAACCAAGGUCAGAGAUGUCUCCUCCGCUAAGAGAUGAGGAAAUAUGGCAGUCGUUGGUAUUUGGGAAAUGCAUGUUAGCAAAUACAUGGAUUAUAAAUUGUAUGAGUGACAGGAUGAUAAUAUAGCGUCUCAUAGUCUAAUAUUGCCAAUGACAGGGCUAAUAGCAAUAGCACUUUCAAAAGUAGGUUUGCAGCUGUGAAAUUCACUCAAAGUUGUGAAAUUUGUGAAAUUUGCUUUUGCUCUAACAUGUAAUACCCCGGGUUCCAUUCUUUUGUUUACUUGAAUUUGAAUUGUAUUGUUAUCUUUGUUUUUUUAUUAUAAUUAUCCAAAAAUAGAUGUCCAUCUUGACUUUUGGUUGGUUAUUAGACAGAGGAAUUGAGCCCGGAAAUAAAAGUGUUACUAAUUAUCAUCCAUUAUUAAAGCAAUUAUUAUAUUAGACCAAUUUUAUUUUUGCACUAUUUGAAAUAUUCACUUUAUCUGAAUGAUGAAUGGUUCUUCUUUCAGUUAAUACAGUGUCAUUCACUGGUUAACAAAUGACCUCUUAAAUUAUUCAUGAAAUCAUUUAAAAAUAUAUAAAGUUUAAUUGACAAAUUUAUCUUUUUUAAUAAAAUUAUACUCAAAUUUUUGGUUGAAAUGUAUGUAGCUUUAAGAUUAUAAUCACUUUUAGCCGAAAGUACUUUAAUAUUAGUGUUCAUAAAAAUAAUUUUUGAAUAACUUAUUAAUGAUUAAUUAUUUUAUGUAACGGUUUAAUAAAAUUAUACAAAUAUAAUGAUUUCUAAUUUGAGAAUAGUUUUUUAUAGUUCAAAACAAAAUUUAUAAUAAAAAAAUUUAACGAGUUAUCAGUAAUUAAUAAUAUACAUUUACAAUUAAAUUAUCCAAAUUAAUUAUAAAAUAUUAAAAUUUAAAAUAUUUGACUAAAGUGCGAGGCGUCACCGCUCGGCGACGUCGAGGGGCACUUGAUAGAAUAUGACUUUUCAUAUAUUACAAAGUUUAGCUAUAUAAUUAUUUUGAUUAUAAGAUAUUAAAAUAUAAAAUAUUCGACUAAAGUGUGAGGCGUCGCCGCUCGACGACACCGAGGAGGACUUGAUAAAAUAUGACUUUUCAUAUAUUACAAAUGUUUAGCUAUAUAAUUAUUUUGAUUAUAAAAUAUUAAAAUAUAAAAUAUUCUACUAAAGUGUGAGGCGUCACCGGUCGGCGACGACGAGGAGCACUUGAUAGAAUAUGAUCUUUCAUAUAUUACAAAGUUUAGCUAUAUAAUUAUUUUGAUUAUAAGAUAUUAAAAUAUAAAAUAUUCGACUAAAGUGCGAGGCGUUGCCGCUCGGCGAGCCGAGGAGUACUUGAUAAAAUAUGACUUUUCAUAUAUUACAAAUGUUUGGCUAUAUAAUUAUUUUGAUUAUAAAAUAUUAGAAUAUAAAAUAUUCGACUAAAGUGCGAGACAUCGCCGGGGAGCACUUGAUAAAAUAUGACUUUUCAUAUAUUACAAAUGUAUUAUAUAAUUAUUUUGAUUAUAAAAUAUUAAAAUAUAAAAUAUUCGACUAAAGUGCGAGGUGUCGCCGAGGAGUACUUGAUAAAAUAUGACUUUUCAUAUAUUGAAAAUGUUUAGCUAUAUAAUUAUUUAAAUUAUAAAAUAUAAAAUAUUCGACUAAAGUGCGAGGCGUCGCCGAGCGGCGACGCCGAGAAGUACUUGAUAAAAUAUGACUUUCAUAUCUUUAAAAAUAUUAUGUAAUUUUCGAACGUAAAUGAAUUUUAAUUACGAAUUAACUUUUAUAAAUACUCAAGUUAUACAACGGUUUUUGUUGAAUUUGAUUUUUAUUUUACACUGAACUUUUAUUUUUAUAACUACAAAAUCACAAGUUAUAUUUAAUAUUUUUUUUAUAACUCAAUUGUUGUUUUCUUGCAUAUAAAAGUUUGUAAGUAUAAGUAAUGGAUAUAAUAACGUCAUAUUAAUUUUCAAAAUAUAAUCAAUAUUUUAAAUCUUAUUGACAAAAAAAGGACUAAAUUCUAUCUAUUAUUUUAAAAUAUUAUUUUAAAAUAUUAUUGUAUAUACAAAUACUCACAAAUACUCCAUGACGCUGACGAACAUCCAAUAAUCAUUAUCAGGUAGUGAAAGAUCUGAGGAACACAUUAAAAUUUGUACUUCAAUAAAACACAAUUGAAAGAUGAAUUUUAGCCAAAAUAAAUAUGCAUGAAUACAGGUUGGCAAAUUGGCGUAACAACCACUGAGCUACUCAAGUACAAGGACUCGAUGAAAGGCCUCUACUACUCCCAGAACCUGAAAAUGCUAUUUCUAUAAUUCCAUCACGUUAUUUAUCUUAUUUAAUGUACUGUUCUGUGAUAACGUAUGGGAACUCGCUAAUAUGGAAUGCUAGCUUUGCAUUUGGUCUCCUCGCCAUAUUCACAAAUCAUUAGGAUUCAUAUAGAAUUGGUGCGUGUUCAAAACAGAAUUUUUUCAAGCACAAGAUCAGCAAAAAUAAAUUUAUUAAUCUUCUGCAAUUUAAAAUGCCCAGCAAGGCGGGCAUAAAUACUAGUUCUUCAUAUUUACACAACCAUUGAUCUGUCUUGCAACAAAUUUCAAGGAGAAGUUCCAAAGGUUACAUGAGAGCUUAAAUGGCUUGCAUUGCUCAAUCUAUCUCAUAAUAGUCUCACCGGACAUAUCCCAUCACUCCUCGGAAAUAUGGAAGCACUCCUAUCUCUAGAUUUGUCUUCAAAUCAAUUGACAGGGGCUAUUCCACACCAAUUAACUAAAUUGACAUUUCUAAAGGUGUUGAACCUCUCGGGAAAUAAUCUUACUGGGGAAAUCCCGCAAAAAGGGCAAUUCAGCACUUUUGGAAAUGAGUCAUACUUGGGGAACCCGGCCUUGUGUGGACUUCCUUUGACGGAAAAAUGCAUGCAUGCAGUGUCACCAACUCAAGAAGUCGGAAAUGGUGAUACUGAUGAAGAUGACGAUGCUGAUGAUGAACUUAAUUGGGAAGCCAUCCUGAUGGGAUAUGGAUGUGGAUUGAUAUGCGGAUUGUCUUUGGGGUACAUUGUUUUCAAGAUAGGAAAGCCUUGGUGGUUUGUGAAAUACAUUAAAAUACUACAACUGAAAUUGAUGAAAACAUGCACAAAGCAUAGCAGACGAAAGACUUGAGGAGAUGUUGUCUUAGGAUGCAAUCUCGUUUAAUACUUUCAUCAUUAUUCUCCAAGAUGUCUGAACAUGUAUUUUCAAAGAAUUCUCAGUUCACCUUUAGCCUUAUAAAGUAAAAGACAUUUUAAAGGCACUCUCAACUUACACCUAUAUAUACACGUACGGUUCACUUCAGUACAAAGAUUAUUAGCCAUGCAAAACAUGCAGAACCACUAGUAAUGCAGAAAAACAAAAUAUCAGUUUUCUCCAAAUAUCACUACAACAAAACUGCCAUUUUACGACGGAAAUCUAAUAUUCUAAAGGUUUACGACCAAACUAUGUUGGUGGACUUUAUUUUAAUUUACAGUUUUAACAGUAGUUAAUUUUGGAUAUCUAAACUUGCGACAGAAAACAUACGACAGUCUACCUCGCGAGAGAAAAUCAUUUUAUUUUAUUUUUUAGCGCCAGAAUUUUAAUACUAAAAUAUUAUAUAUAUGAAGGAAACUGAUCUCUAAUGUUUUCAGCUUGCUCAUCCAUAUGUAAGUAAUCCGUCGAAAAAGUUAGUUUGUUGUGGUGGUGUCUUAUCAUGAGAGAAAAUGAUAAUAUCGCAAAAUAUUUGCAACUGAAAGAUAAAUUAUAAUUCUAGAAACCAUUUAGGUAACGAUGCACGAAGUUAUUUUCACUCACUUAGAAUUAAUGAUCAUAAAUAUUUGCAACGGAAAGAUACAUUAUAGUUCUAGAAAAGGAUCCACGAAGUUAUUUUCACUCACUUAGAAUUAAUUGUAAGUUAUUGUGAGUUUUUGAAUAUGGAUUAUCUCAAAUUUUAUGAAAACACAUAUUGAUUCAUAUAUACAAAUUUGCCUACCUAAUAUUAUAAUAUUUAUGGAGAAGUUGUAUGAACAAUUGUGUAGAUAAUUAUACUUUACAAAGCAUACUUCUGCUAGAUGAAUUUUGAUUAAACAAAAUCGAAAGGGAUAGGUCUGGGUCUCUCCAAGUCUUUGAGGACUCAUUCCAAGUCUUCUGACGAGGACAAAAUAUAUUGCUGGUAGUCUUUCAGUCCUUCCUAGAGUAUUUUAUGCUCUGGACUGCAUUAUGCAGCUCUCAUAUAACUUUGCGAUGCAAAACAGUGGCAAGUAAGUAUUUCCGUAUGUGUAUUUAUUUGUAUAUUAAAGUUGCGUAACAUUUGUGUUGAUAAUUUGCGUAAUGUUGAUGAGGAUUGCUCCCAAGUCUUGGACGGACUCUUUCCAAAUCUUCUGAGGACAUAUCGGUUCAAAUUAGUCCAUUAAAAAUUUUAUGAUAUGAAGCUAUCUGCAAAAUAAUAUAUAAGGUAAAAUGAACCAUUGUUUUGUGGUUAAGUUGUACAGGCAAUAUGCAGUGCAAAAUCAGGAACAGAAUAUAUGAAUACUAGUAAUAUGAUAUCGGUAUGAACGAAUAUUUUCUAUGUAGUUGUUAUUGUGAUGCGGAAAAAAUAUUGUAACCAAAAAUAAUUAUAAUUCUAAAAAUUUCCAUUAUACACUUUUUUAGUGUUCGUGGUACUUCAAAUGACAUUUCUCGCGUAUGCCUCCAAUUAAGAACUUGAUGUUCAGCAUAGUCCGAAACUAAAAUUAUUAUAAGUGUGUAAUUCAAAAUUAUAUUGCUGGUAGUCUUUCAGUUCUUCCUAGUGUAUGCAGUAGUUUCAUUCGAUACCGAUUAUUUUAUGCAUUGCCCGAGAACCAGUCUAUCUAAAACCCUAAGAUGUUAUAUUUUUAUACGUGUAUUAGUUUUGAAGAUUAAAGUUGUAUGGACAAUUGUGUUAAUAAUUUGCGCAAUUGCGCAAUGAUAACUGGGAUAGGUCAUCUUCUCUCCCAAGUCUUGGAUGGAAUCUUUCCAAGUCUUCUGAGAACCCAUCAGCUCAGAUUAGUCCAUACAAUGUCAAGGGUCCUAUGAUAUGGUCUACUAACAGCCCAGUGUCGGUAAUAAAUCCAAUUGCAUAUAACCUAUUCAAAAUCAAUCCCCUAUAAACAAUCAUCUCUAAAAACUAUUCACAUAAAAUAAAAUUUUAAAAAUAUAAAAUAUCUAGUUGUUUUCAAUAUAUAAUUUUCCACAGUAGAUAACACAAUAUCUUUAUCAAAUUAUUAUUUAUGGGUUCAAUAUUUAAGCUAUAAUUCCAACAACACGGCAAGCAUGCAGCAUAUAAAUAGAAGUGUGCAGUAUGGUAUUGCAUUCAUAACCCAGUUGAGGAAAAAUAUGGCACCCUUCCUAAAGCCUUCUCACCUUCUUCUCUUUGUUUUCUUUCUCUCAUCACCUGAGUCCAUUCUUGCGACAACACGAGAAGGAGAAGCUCUUGUGAAGUGGAAGAAUAGCCUAGCCCCUUCUUCUUUUCUUGAUUCUUGGUCACUCACUCAUCUCGAUAAUCUUUGUAACUGGACUGGCAUUACUUGUAACUCUGCAGGUUCAGUCUCUAAGAUUAACCUUUUUGAGAAACAACUUAAUGGAAUGCUGUCCGAGUUUGGUUUCACUUCAUUUCCAAAUCUCAGCAAUCUCACCCUCACAUACAACUUCUUCUCGGGUCCCAUACCACCAGCCAUUGAGAAUUUAACCCAGCUUCGGUAUCUUGAUUUGAGCUAUAAUUAUCUGGAUGGUCCCAUUCCGUUCCAGGUUAGCCAUCUUCAGAGCUUGCUCAUCUUGAACCUGUCACAGAAUGCAUUGCAAGCUCCAAAUUGGUCCCAUUUCUCUCCCAUGCCUUUCUUGCGCAUCCUCAACCUCAGUUACAAUCCUCUUGCGUCGAAAUUCCCAAAUUUUAUAUCCAAUUCUCAUAGCCUGACUCACCUUAGCCUUAAUUUUAAUGAGUUUACUGGUGAUCUAGUACGUGAAUCAAUAUUUGCCAAUCUGCAUAAUCUUGAAGUCCUCAGUCUUCUUGGCAAUUUUUUUGAGGGGCCAUUUCCGCCAGAUAUAUUCAAGCUUUCCAAAUUAAAACAUCUUCACCUGUCAGGUAACAAAUUCUCAGGUUCAAUUCCAAAUGACAUAAGGUUGCUUUGUGGUCUUGAAAACCUAUUUUUAAGCAACAAUUCCUUUGAAGGACCGCUUCCACCAAAUAUAUUUAAGCUUUCAAAAUUAAAACAACUUGUUCUUUGGAGUAAUAAUUUUUCAGGUUCUAUUUCCAAUGAUAUAGGUUUGCUUUCUGAACUUGAAACCCUCAAUCUUCAAUUUAAUUUUUUUGAGGGGCCGCUUCCCCCACAUAUAUUUAGGCUCUCUAAGUUAACAGGUCUAGAACUCGGAGACAAUAGAAAUUUAUUUGAAGGAAGUAAUAUUCCUAUCGGACUGGGACUCUUGACUAACCUCAGGUACUUAGAUUUACAUUCCAGUAAUCUCAGUGGCUAUAUUCCAUCUGACAUUGGAAACCUGAAGCUACUAGUACUUCUUAGUCUCGGUUCUAAUCAAUUGACUGGACCGCUUUCAAAGAUCGUUUAUAAUCUCACAAAUCUUAUAUUUCUUGAUGUAAGUAAUAAUAGUCUUAGUGGAAAUAUUCAGAGUGACUUGUGGAAAUAUAACCAUCAUCCUACUUUGGAAUACAUCGAUUUUAGUGGGAACCAUUUUACAGGUAUAUUUUUUCUCUAUAGAUCUUUUCCUUUUGUCAUAUGUAACUAAGCUAGUAAUCUGAUUAUUGCAGUUUUACUGAAGUUUCAACAAUCUUGACAGGUGAGCUUCCAACAACAAUUUGCAAUGUCAUGUCCCUUUCGGUUCUUGAUUUGUCAAAUAAUGAAUUAAGUGGUGCACUUCCAAACUGUUUCGGGAAUCUUGCUGAUGGAUUGCUUUACAUUAAUCUUGCUAAUAAUCAGUUUCGAGGAACAAUACCAACUACUUUCUCCAGGAGUUGUCAGCUGACAUAUCUAAACAUGGAUAAUAAUGAGUUUGAAGGAUUGUUGCCCCCAUCUUUGGCGAACUGUAAGCACUUGAGAAUUCUUGAUAUUGGCAAUAAUAAAAUAGGUGGUACAUUUCCGUCAUGGCUUUAUGUACUUGGAGAGCUAGAAGUCCUUGUCUUGCGAUCAAAUAAACUCUAUGGUACAAUAAGUGGAAGGAGCAUAGAAGAUCCCUUCCCCAAGUUGCGGAUUGUGGAUCUGUCCAACAAUCAAUUCACAGGCCAUUUGCCAAUUCAAUACUUUAAGAAUAUGAAAUCAACUGAUAAUUUGUAUCGUUAUCAGAAUUCCACAGGAGUUUUUUCUUUCCAUUAUGAAGCAUCUGUCUCAUUAACUGUGAAGGGAACAGAGUAUGAAGUGAAAAAUAUCCUUCAUAUUUACACAGCCAUUGAUCUGUCCUGCAACAAGUUUCAAGGAGAAAUUCCUGACGUUAUUGGAGAGCUUAGAUGGCUUGCAUUGCUCAACUUAUCUCAUAAUAGUCUGACAGGACCUAUCCCAUCAUUACUGCGAAAUAUGAAAGGACUCCAAUCUUUAGAUUUGUCCUCAAAUCAACUGACAGGGGCUAUUCCACCUCAGAUAACUGCACUGACAUUUCUAGAAGUCUUAAACCUCUCGGGAAACCAUCUUAGUGGAGAGAUUCCUCAGAAAGGACAAUUCAGCACAUUCAACAAUGAUUCUUAUAUAGGAAACUCCGCAUUAUGUGGAUCACCAUUGACGAAGACAUGUGCAAACACAGCAUCACCUCCACAAGAAGUCGGAAAUGUUGAUGAAGAUGAUGCGGGUGAUGAAUUGACAUGGGAAGCAAUCUUGAUGGGAUAUGGAUGUGGACUGAUAUGUGGAUUGUCAUCUGCAUACAUUGUUCUCAAACUAGGAAAGCCUUGGUGGUUUGUGAGAUAUCUCGAAGUACUGCAACAGAAGUUGAUGAAAAGAUAUGCAUGAAGAAUGGUACUGGCCGAUCAAGACCAACUUGAAAGUUUGUUGUCCUUGUGCACAUUUCUGAACCAGUAGUGUACUUGCUGCAUAAGUAUUUGGUAUUAUGUAAUAAUCCGUUUGGUCGGGACUCAUAAUGAUUUCUCUUGCUUCAGGGGUAUUAAUAUUAACCUUGCUAUCUUGAUCAAUGUUAAAGCAAAUUAAAUGAAUGAAAAAACAAAAAGUAUGCAUCAAAUCCGCUCCUGCUGUACCAAAAUCCAUUAAAUUGCUUUGGUCUCUUACCUAACAAUUUAACAGCACACUUCCACACUGUUCAUACCUAAUUUGCGUGUAAUAUGAAAACUAAGAGGCAUGGCUUUUGUCUCUAUAAGUCUUUGAGAACUUAUUCUUCCAAGUCUUCUUCGGAGGCCUGCUGCCUCAACAACCUUUCAAAGAUGUAGCAGUUGCUCGAGAGUAACAUAUAUAUUAGAUAAAGACUAUGCAAUAAUCCACGUGACAGAAAAACCAAAGUCCAAUUAGUUUUCCAAGUUCAUAAAAAAUACUAUAGGAUCAUUAGCAUUACAUUAGUAUUCCACUAGCAUACAGCAUAUUAUAAGACAAAAGUAAGCGGAAAUAAACAUAAUUUCAAUAGAUUUAACUUACUCUUCAGAAUCGAUAAGUUUGGAACACGUUGAUUGAGCACAAGACGAAGGCCACACAUGCGCAUCAUCUGAUGCAGCUAUAUAUGGUGCCUUUACAGUUGCUCAUACAUAUAGUGAAACAAUAAGGAUCAACUCCUCCAUUGUACGUACACAUUUUCAUACAAGCUAUAAAGCAUGGUGAUAGAGUCUUUGCAAUCUCGUCAUGACCGGCACAUCCGAUUAUGAUAAACUCUAGCAGGAUCAUCCAAGUAAUAAUUUUCAUAAUGAUAUUAAUUAUCAUUGUGAAUAGUUGCAUUGAGUUAUAUAUGUGUGUGUAUAUAUAUGCAAUGGAUUUUGUGGUUGAGAAUAUCUAUUAGAUUUUGUAUAUCCAUAACAAUUAUUAAAAUUUAAACAAGAAUAUCUAUUAUUGGUUGUGGUUGACUAUUGUAGUAGUCCAAGAAAUCAAUGCAAGUGAAAUCUAUAUUAUAUUUUAAAAGAUUAUACAUGAAAUACAAAAGGUUUUUUUAGGACUGCUGUUAAAAAUUGUUAUGUUGUACGAAAAAAUGCUGAUAAAAAGAGUGUUAUACGAAAAAAUGCUGAUAAAAAAAAUGUCGUAUAAAUCAGAUAUGACAGCUUCCCACAAAAACUAAAAAAAACAGUUUUCCGUAAUAAUAUGGGAGAGGAAAAACUGUUUGUAGAUUUAUAGAACAAUUUUUCGGUAAAAAACUGUUGUUGUUUUCGAGAGUAAUGACAAACAGUGCCGAAAUCAUUUUGCAGGUAGUUAAUCUCACUUCCAUAUAAUAUACUCCUAUAUAUUACCGAAAAAACAUGAAAUGAUGCAAACCUCAUACUAUUGACAACAGCUAAACUCCUUGCAAUACUUUCAGCUGCAAAAUCCAUCAAAUUUUUUGAUUUAUCAUGUAACUGUUUGACAGAGUACUUCCAAGCCUAAGUAUCAAAAAUCACUACCUUACGAAAUAUAUCUCACCCUACCUUCUCUGCUUAACUGUUUCGAGUGCUUUUACCAAGCAUAUUUUCCAUUAAGCGUGAAAGGCACAGAAUAAUUAGGAUCACCGAAUAUCCCAUCAGUGCUGGGGAAUAUGGAACCAUCUUAUCAAUUAACUAGUUUAACAUUUCUUGCGGUCUUGAACCUCUCAGAAAACCAUCUUAUCCUAAUGUGCCGACUUCCUUUGACGGAGAAAUGGUGAUGCUGAUGCUAAUGAUAAUGAACUCAACUGGGGAGUGAUCCUUAUGGGAUACGGAUGUGGAUUGAUAUGCGGAUUUUCUUUGGGGUUUAUAUUUUGUGGUUUGUGAGAUACAUUGAAGUACUGCAGCUGGAGUUGAUCAUUAUAAAGAACAUAGGCAAGUUAAUCGCUUAUUGAAAUUAGUAAUUGUCAAAAGUAAAAUGUUGAAAUUACUUUUUUCGAUUGAAAUCAUUGAAAAAAAGUCUCUGUCGAAAUUGAUCUGCCAAAAUUAUGUUUAAUAUCUACGGCCAAGAUUAUCUGUCGAAUAUAUUUCCCGACAAUUUUAAAAGACAAAUUUUUCGCCUCUCAGCUGUGAGCGGGAACAGAUAUUUUCGACAGAAUUCCAUUGAAAUUAGCUAAUUUCAACAUAAAUUUUCUAUCGAAAUUACUUGAGUUCUUUGUAGCUUGUUUUCACAAAUACGCUGAUAGCCUUUGGGGACGGGUAUAUUGUUUUCACAAAGCCCUGGUGGUAUGUGAGAUGCUUCGAAGGACUGCAACUGAAGUCGAUAAGAACAUGCAGAAAGAAAACCGAUCCAUCUUGAUAAACUUGAAAAAUGUUGUCAUAUGGUGAUAUAUACUCCCUGGCCCCAGUCUCUUGGAAAGAACUUGGUUGAUUUUUUUUUUUCAGUAUUGUUGGAGCUGUCAUACUAGUGCUAGUGUGCCGACUAGCACUAGUAUGACAGCUCCAACAAGUAUCCAUCCCUAAUAAUUGCAGCAAAUUAAAAAAUAUAGCUAUAUCUUUUUAGCAAUGGUGCAAUUUGGAAAGCUUUCUCAUCAUCUUCUUCUUUUCUUUAUCUCAUUACUCUCAUCUAGUUCCACUGUCCUAUCUGCAACAAUUCGCGAAGGAGAAGCUCUUGUGGAAUGGAAGAACAGCCUAUCCCCGAAUUCAUUUCUUGGUUCUUGGUCACUAAUUAAUCUCACUUAUCUUUGUAAUUAAGUGGACUGGCAUUGUAUGCAACUCUGCAGGUUCAGUCAGUCAGAUUAAUCUUCAAGAACUCACACUUGCUAACCUCCGUUUCUUUUCGUUUCCAAAUCUCACCAAUCUCAACAUUACACAUAACAACUUCACUGGUCCAAUACCACCCGAGACUUUAGCUAUAGUAAUCUCAAUGGUACCCUUCCAUACCAGGUCAGCCAUCUUCAGAGGUCGGUCGUCUUAGGCCUCUAAUUUAAUCACUUGAAAGCUCUAAGCUUGUCCAAUUUUUCCCCCAUGCCUAUACUGGUUGGUCGCGGUCUUGGUGGUAAUAAGCUGGCGUCAAUUUUUCCAGAAUUCAUAUCUAAUUGCUAUAACAUGAUUAACCUUGAUCUUUCAUUUAACAUGUUAACUGGUGAUCCCUUCAACAACUUGCGAAUCUUGGAUCUCUUCGACAAUGAAUUCACUGGUUACUUGCCAAUCCAAUAUUUUAAUAAUAUGAAACCAGUUAAUACCGUGAUUGAUUAUUACAACAUAACAGUGAAUCAUGAUUAUCAAGCAUGUCUUGUUAACAUUUUGCACUCGUAUUAAUUGUCUUAUAUAUGACUAACUCAUCUUGCACUCGUAUUAAUUGUCUUAUAUAAUACUAAUAACAAAAAUAUGAGGCGGUGCUUAGUCAGAUGAUUUUAGUUGUUAAAAUAUUUUUGUGUUAUUUAUAGAUAGUGAAACAUGUCUAAUAUUUUAUCAAUUUUGUUUCGUUUCUUGAGAUUUCCAAAUAUUUAUUGGGACAUUGUACCAUGGUGUAUUUCACAUAUUCGCAAUUUUAAUUAUUUUGUAUUUUUAUUUUAAAGAUAUGAUAAAGUUUAUUUAUUUAUUUGUUUUUAUCUUAAAAGCGAUUUUCGAGUGUUGCUUAAACCUCGAAGAUUCCAAUCGAGUUUUAUUCUCGGAUCUGUUUCGGAAUUGAGCUUGGCCUUGAUUGUUUUCUGAAUAAAUCAGAUCUUUUGAAAUCAAAGGUUCGAUUGUGUUUUCCCGUCUCGCCUUUUGGCGUGUGUUGAUUUAGUACCCAAUUUUUGGGUGAUUCUGCGUUGUUAUAUUUGUGGUUGUUAUGUCUUUCUGUGUUAUCAAUGAGAAUGAUUGGGAUGGAGUUUUGGGAGAUUUGGCUUAUCGCAUCAUUACAUCUUUCGGCAUGUCUAUAGCUGGCUCCCGGCAUGUAGAUAGCUGGGGUAUGCUUGGAACGGUGGCGAUCGCAUGUGCUCACCUGUCACAAAUUAUAGUUGUUCAUUAUUCGAGGGCUCUUGUUCCUCGUUGCUUAGUUUUUACAACUGAGUCGUCUGAACACCGCAACAGCCAUGGAACUAUUGUGAAGGUCAAUUGUGAAGCUAUCAUUUUCGAGAUUGAUGUAGGCUGGAUUACUCGAGAAGCUUUUGUAUUCAUUUUCAGUUUCAAGAAUUCUUGAAUUCAGUGUGUUAAGCAGUCUGGAAACAAUGCGGCUAUUUGAUUAGCUCGUUUUAUUGUUUAUCAACCUGAUUGCAUUGUCAGUUGGGGAUUUGUCCCGAUUAAACUUGUUUUAAUAUAAUGGAAUGAAUUUGCAUUUUGUCAAAAAAAAAAAAAAAAAGCGAUUUUGAGUUGUUUGAGUUAGAUAUAUACUCCUACUGUGGUUCAACUAGUUUUGCCAUAAGUGAAUAACUUCCGGUCAAUAUUUUGAAAUUUGUCGUUAUCUUCUAAUUAAAAUAAAGGGUUAAAUAGCUACUUCAUCAUUAAUAUCGUUGAAAAUUUGCAGCUGAGUCAUGUUGUUGAAAAGACUUUCAAACUGCAUCAUUAAGUAAUUAAAAAAUUUCAAAAACACCACUCUCCGUCAGUUAUGUUAAACAAUUAACGGAAAGUUCGAAAAAAAAUAAAGAAAAGACAAAAAAACAUUAAAAAAAUUUGAAAAAAAAACCCGAAAAAAUGUGAAUAAACUAUGAUAUUUUUUUUCUUUUUUUGAAAAAUGUGAAUAAAAUCAAAAAAUCAAAAAAAAUGGGAAACCAAAAGUGGCAAGCUUUUUUUUUUUUUGUUCCUUUCAAAUUUUCUAAAAUCUGGGGAAAAAAGAACUUGCCAACUAAUUUUUUCCAAAUUUUUUCAAAUUCUUUUCAGAUUUUUGAAUUUUUUUCCAAUUUUUUCCUCACUUUUUUUCUGUUUUUUUUUGAAUUUAUUAAGAUUUUUUUUGUUUUUUCUGCUUAUUCUGAAUUUUUUAAGAUUUAUUCGCAUUUUUAAAAAAUAUUUUUGAAUUAUCCGUUAAGUAAUUAAUGGAACUGACGGAGAGUGAUGCUUUUGAAAGUUUUUAAUUACUUGAUAAUGCGUUUGAAAAUUUUUUCAACAACAUGACUCAGUUGCAAGUUUCCGGCGAGGUUAGUAAUGAAUUAGUUAUUUAACUCUUAAUAAAAAUCUAUCUAAACAAUAUUAUAAAUAUAAUGUUAUGGGUUCGAUGAGUCGUGUAAAACAUGGAAGAAGUUUAGGUGGGGUAAAAAGAGCCUAGCUGUGUGAUUUCCAUUCUGUUAUACGUGAUAUACUGUAGUUGAUCAUCUCCUUUGUCCGCUUCAUCCUGUGCAACCUUAACCUUUAAGGAAAAACUUAUGAGAUUCUCUAGUGCAUCUAAAUUCUUGUGUGAAGAAUGUGAAGAAAAAUGUUAGUCUCAGAUUAUUUUUCCUAAAAUGCUUGCAUGUUACAUUUUAUAUGUAUGUCCUGACUUUAAGUAUAAUUUAGCAUUUUUAUUUAGUAUUGUGUAAAAAUAAUAUAUUUUAUUCAGUCUUAUUAAAAAUAUAAUCAUGUUAUACUGUAAAAGUAUUUGUGAAUUUCUUUGUUACAUAUGUGUUUAAAUUAUUUUAUUUAUAUAUGUUUUACAAUUUUUUACAAAUAUAUAGGUUGAGUAUUGCAUAGGAAUAUAAUUACACGUUAGCAAAUAUGAUUAUGUGUAAACUGUUCUGCGUGCAUGUAUAUUGCUGCUAAGUUUUAAACUUCUUACUAACCGGAAUAAUUUUGACAGAUGUGUGGAACUUGAUUAAUUUAGUUGCACUAUAAGAGAAAGCGUUUUUGUCAAUAAAAAUUGUUAAGGAAAUUAGUCCGUUGGUAGUUCUCAACGGAUUUGUAACAAUUUGACUGGUCAAUGUUCUGUCAACCAAUUCGUAAUGAAAUACCCACACUUAUUUACAACGAGAUGUUCUAUUAGGAAAUAUAGCCACACAAUGGAAUAAUAACAAAAGACCAAGGAAUGAGCAACAGACUAGCAACGAAAGUAUCUGUUAUUACAUUCGUUGAUAUUCCCUUGAUAAAUACUAGACUUUUUAGCACUUUGGUGGCUUGUACUAUUUCAAAUUUGCACGUUAGUGGCCGACCUUUAAAAGUCAUCAAUUGUGUUGCUGAACUUAUUUUUUUUUAACACAUUAGGGGCUCCGCAUCAUAUCCGUUAAAUCGAAGUAACGGCGUCAAAUGAUCAAUACAUAUCUCCUCCUCCUCUUAUUUCCCUCCAAAUUAAAAAACGAAACGGCUACCCUCUUUUCCGAAGCAAGAACGACGACGAAUUCCUGCUUACAGAGAUGAGUUGGUUCCGGCGUCUUAAAGAGGAUGCUGAUGUGUAUUAGCCUCGACAGUGCCCCGAUUACUGUAGUAAGCUCUUCAACUUUUCUUCUUUGUAGCAUAUGAAAUGAGUUUAAUUGACCAUUAUUUCAGUGUUUGUUGUUGUUAGUGGCUAGUUGUUUAGUAUUAUGGACCUGCAAUUGCUUUAUACUAUUAAAAUGAAAGAUUCUGCUUGUGGGUUUUUAAAAAUUAAGGCUUUUACAUAGUCCAAGAUUCGGUCAUUAUAAAAUCAAUUUAUGCCUGUUUUAGUAUAGUGCUUGUUGUUAGUGGCUAUUUGUUAAGUAUAGUGUUGUUUAUUGUAAAUAAAACUGUUGCUUUGCACUCUACAUUUGCAGAACCUGGUGAUUUUACCCUAAAAAUAUAUCAUGGGGCCGAUUGGGUAGAUAACCCUAGGGCAUAUGUGGGAGGUACAGUAGAUUUCUUUGACUUCUGUAAUGCUGAUCAGAUCAGCAUAAUUGAGAUAUAUAGUAUGUUGAAAGAGGUUGAUGAGUUUGGGUUUCACCAACUGUGGUAUAAGCUACCUGGCACUACAUUCGAUAGAGCUUUUGUACUAAAUAAUGAUGAGGAGCUAAUGACCAUGUGUGAGCUUAUAUCUGAUGUGGAUAAGUAUAUGGAGAUUUAUGUCACCACUAUGGCACAUCUAAGUAUAGUGCCCUAUAGAGAUUUAGAGGUUGAAUUUGUUGAACCAACUCCUAAAGAAGCACCUGAAAAGAACAAUCCAUCACCUGAAAAGAUCAAUCCAGCACCUGAAAAGAUCAAUCCAGCACCUGCAAAGAUGUAUCCAGCACCUGCAAAGAGCAUUCCAACUGUGGGAAAUGAUGAUGAUCAGGAAGAGUUUGAGUUUGAUUUUGACAAUACACGGUUUUGGGAUACCACCCAAAAUGAAAUUGAAAUUGUGCAACAAGUUAGGGAAAUGGAGGGGUUGGAAGAGGAAUUUUCAGACACAGAUUCUGAUGAUGAGGAUUUUGUGCCAGAAGAAAAGGAAAGUAGUGAUGAGACCUUCCACUGUGAUAGUUCCAAUCAAGAUAAUUCUGAUGAUGAUUUGUUGUUUGAUGAUGAUUACUACCAUCCUUACCAGCAGAUGGAAACCAACAAAGAAAAAUAUACAACAACAACAACACAGCAAGAAUUUUCCAGUUCCUUGCUUGCUUCUGCGCCUCGGAUAGUUCUUCACUGUAGAAAUCCUUGUACUCAUCUUUGGCCUUAAUCAUUUCAGCAAAACAUUCAUCGUCCUUGUUCUUCAAACGCCUUAUCAGUCCAUUGAUUACACUCUUGCUGCGCGCAUCAAACUCGGGUUCAACCCACUUGAAGAAAUUGCACCUUCCAUUCACGCAAGUCAAGAAUCUUCUACCCGGAUUGUACUCCGUCCACGAUGUCUUCUCCACUGCCCAGCUUCCACACAUACAUUGUUGAUUCAUCUUUGCAGAGCUUUUUGGUUUGGAUGAGAGAUUUAGGUUUGAAUAUGCUCAAUUACACACAGCAGAAACGUAUAUAUAUACACAGCAUAUAGCCGUUGCAAAAAUAUUUUCCUGAAAUACCCCUGACGACCGUUACUUCGAUUUAAUGGAUAUGAUGCGGAGCCCCUAAUGUGUUAAAAAAAAAAUAAGUUCAGCAACACAAUUGAUGACUUUUAAAGGUCGGUCACUAACGUGCAAAUUUGAAAUAAUACAAGCCAUCAAAGUGCCAAAAAGUCUAAAUACUAACAGUUUCGUUAGUAAUUGAUUAUUAGUUUUACAUGGACAAUUGAUAUACACCACAUGAGCACAUACACGGAUACAAUGCCAGGCUCUUAGUUGAAAUGUGUGUACUGCUAAAGCUCAAGGAGAUUUAGUUGACUAAAUUGAUUUGAGUUGUAGAAAAAGGUUUAAUAAUAUAAUGGACUUUGAUAUAUGUAUUGUAGAUAUUAAGUAAUUCUCUUGAAUUUAUAUAUGUAACAUAAUUGUUAAUUGGCUCAUCCUUAACUAGAUAUUUUAUAUUACAUUCUUAACUACAGAUUUUGUAUUUAAAAUUUUUUUAAAAAAUUAACCUUUAUUUGGUAUGUGGAUUUUGUAGUCAAAUGUGGUCAAUUUACUUAGCCUUCGAUCGAAUACCUACCCAAAACAUAAAAAUAUUUUUUAAUCAUUUAUUUUCGACGAUCCAACUAUACGGAUAUUAUUGUAAUGUGAUAAUAUUGUUUACAAAUUUUUUUUAAAAAAAUUAGCCUUUUAUUUGGUAUGCGCAUUUUGUAGUCAAAUGCAAUUAAAUUACUUAGUCUUUAGUGGAAUCUUUACCCGAAACAUAAAACUUUUUUUUAAAAAAAAAUUUGGACAAUCCAACCGUACAGAUGUUAUUGUAACGUGUUAAUAUUGGUUAAAAUAAAUUUUGAGAAAAUAUGUCUUUUAUUUGGUGUGUGGAUUUUGUGGUCAAAUGCGGUCAAAUUACUUAGCAUUUAAUCGAAUACUUACCCAAAACAUGAAACUAUUUUUUUUAAAAAAUAAUUUCGGACGAUCCAACCGUACGGGGGUAUUGUAACACAAUAAUAUUGAUUAAUUUUUUUAUAGGAAAAUUAUAGCCUUUUAUUUGUUGUGUGGAUUUUGUUGUCAAAUGCAGUCAAAUUACUUAGCCUUUAAUGAAAUACUUACAUUAAACAUGAAUUUAUUUUUUUUUAAAAAUCAUUUGGAUGAUCCAAUCGUACGGAUGUUAUUAUGACAUGUUAAUUGAUUAAAAAAAUAUUUAAAAAAAAUGCCUUUUAUUUAGUAUGUGGAUUUUGUAGUAAAUGCUACUUAGCCUUUAAUCGAAUACUUACCCGAAACAUGAAACUAUUUUUCUAAAAAUCAUUUUGGACAAUCCAACCGUACGGAUGUUAUUGUAACAUGAUAAUAUUGAUUGUUUUUUUAUAUAAUAACCUUUUAUUUGGUGUGUGGAUUUUGUAGUAAAAUGCGGUCAAAUUACUUAGCUUUUAAUCGAAUACUUACCUGAAACAUGAAACUAUUUUUAAUAAAAUUAUUUUAGAUGAUCCAACCAUACAGAUGCUAUUGUAACGUGAUAAUUGAUUAUUUUUUAAAAAAAUUAGCCUUUAAUAUGGUGUAUGGAUUUUAUAGUAAAAUGAGGUCAAAUUACUUAGUCUUUAAUGGAAUAUUUAUUAGAAAUAUAUUUUAAAAAAUUAUUUUGGACGAUCCAAACUGUAUGAAUGUUAUUUUAACAUGUUAAUAUUGAUUAAAAUUGUUUUUAAAAAAAAAUUAGUUGUAUUUUAUGUGUGAAUUUUUAGUCAAAUACGAUAAAAUAUUUAUUUAGCUUGUAAUGAAAUAUUAAAACCCUACUUCAAAAGAAACUUGUCUAAAACUACCUAUAAGUGUUAGAGAAUCAUCGAUUUAGUUAUCAAAUUAGUUAUCAUAAGGGUUUUACUCCGCUUUUCUCUGGUAUGAUGUUGAUUUUUGGGGUUUGAUUGGUCGAUUUUCAUGUUUUAUAAGUUAUGUGAGUUCGAUUUUGAUGUUUUUACAAUUAGGUUUAUGUAUGUUCUUAUACAGGUUUCAUGUUCAUGUUUUGAUUUGUUGAUUUCCUAUUUUUCAUAUUUUGUUGAUUAGUUAUUUGUGUGGGUUUUGAACUUUGAUGAGUGUGUAUGUAAUCUCCUGUUUUUUUUUUUCAUUUUUCUGGUUCGAACACUUCGAUUAGUAGCUGGAAAAACAGCUGAUGCGGCAGUAGCGGCUAGUGAGAUGGAUAACAAGAAAAGGAUGAUUUCGAGGUCAUCUCGUGCAAGUCUUCAGAUAUAGUUUUGUUCCUUUAUGUUUUUAAUUGACAUAAAUUUUCACAUUUGAUGAUUAUAUUAUGGGGGAUUCUGGGUAUACUUGUAUAUAAUCUAGCAAGUUAUUAUAAUUCUGGACGGGGGGCUUAUUGUGAAAUUAAAUUGAGGGAUAAGUUGUGUUAUUGGUUCUAGUGGAUUAAAUUUAUGUUGACACUUGAUAUAUGCAUUGAUGUCGUAAAAUAAGUUGCACAUCAAACUAUUUGGCUUGUUUAAGUUGUAUGGAGUAAGGCUGUACGCGGAUCGGAUCGGUUCGGUUGGAGGGUAAUAACCAAACCAAACCGCAACUUACGGUUUUCUAAAAUCUCAAACCGCGACCAUACUGUUGGUUAAAAAAACCCAACCAAAUCCAUCCACGUAAUUGCGGUUGGUUGCGGUUCAACUGCUAAAAUAGUUAUAACAAAGAAAAUAUAUAAGUUAUUGCUUAAAAUCUUGCAUAAAGUACAGACUUUAACUCAAAAAUAUAUAAUUUAUCACUUAAAAUCUUGAAUAAAGUUAAUACAAUAAAUCUGAUUACAUAUUACAAAAGCAAACUACUCCGGAAAUAUAUAACUUGAAGCAGAGCUUCAAGUUAAUGGUUAUUAAAAAUUUCAUCCGCGACUGCCCACAUUUUACGGUUAUCCAUAAUACACGGAUCGGUUGCAGGUGGUUGUUGCGGUUAAUGCGGUGGAGCGGAUUGAACGUACAGCCCUAUGAAGUAUGGUUGCCAAGCAUUGGUUGGUUGUACACGUGUAAACAAAAUGAUAUUUUAAUAUUUAAACAAAACAAUACAGUCAUAAACAGAUCGUGUCGGGCUGGACUGAUUGUGAUUUUCCUUUUUGGAACUCGUACUCGGCAUCUUCCAAGCGAAUGAUAUUUAGAAGUUUGUUGCUAGUAUACUCCAUGUCAUAAUAAGAGUUCUUUAGAUUUUUUAUAUGUAAUUCGAAGUAUAAAAAACAUAUUUUAACAUAUUAUUUUUAAAUUUUUUAUACAUAAAAAUAUAACAUCUAUAUUUUUAUUUAGAAAAAAAUUUGAAAUAUAAUAUAUAGAUGCAUGUCUUUUUUAUACGUGAAAUUACAUGUAAAAAAUUAAAAGACUCUUAUUUUGAGUAAGAGAGAAUAUGAUGUACCAUAAAGUCAUCGAUCUUUUGUUAUCAAAUAAAUGUGAUAUUUAAUUAUUUAAGAGCAAGUCCAAAAGUAUCUUAGUUAAAGUCCUAAAUAUAAUAUAAAAUAUUACGUUCUGGUGAUUUAGGAUAUAUUUUACUAACUUGGACUCCAACAAUGUGUCUUAUUCUCAUAAGAAGUUUAAUAUUUUAUUAUUAAAGACUCUCUUUCAUCAUUAAAGCAUAAUAUAAAAGUAGAGAGAGAAAAAGAGUGUUGAUAAGAAUUAAUAAUAAAAUAUGGGAUAGGGUUAGGAGAGAUGUGCCUCAAAAAUAGGGUUUGAGGAGUUUCAUUAGGUGUGGACACGGAGACCAAGAAGUAAAAGAUGAGUACAGUUAAAUGAAGAUGUGGUAAAAUAAUGUGACCCAUUUAUAUUUAAUAAUACAUUUGAAAUAGUGGAGGAAAGUAACGAGUGUAAUAACGUUUAUAUUAUUAUAGCAUAUAGAUAGCAGAAGAAAGCAAUGGGUAUAAAAGUGUAUUAUAUUAUUAAAGUUUUGAAAUGUUUAGAAAUAAUGGGGCAAUCAAAAAGAAAACUGUAUAAAAAUGGACGAGAGAAUACAAUUCAAGAAGUAAUAUAUCUCAAUUCAAACUAGGUAAUAUAUUUAUGAAUUAUAUUAAAAAAAAUUUGACAUUCAAAUAUAAAAAUUUAUUUUAUCAUCUUAACAAUGGAAUAUUCGAUUAUUAACUUUCGUAAAUAACAUUAAUUUUUCAUUAUAAUAUACUCUAAACUUUUAUUUUAUGUGCCUGUUUGUUUACAAGAAGCUGGAGUCCUACUUCUCUUGACUCGUUUGUGUAAAAACGUAAAAAGUGCUUUUAAAAAGUACUGAGAAGGAAAUGGAAGUAGAAAAUGCUAGUUUUUCUUUAUAAUAUCUAUUUCUUUUCUAGACACUUUAAUAAUUUAUAUAUAUUAAUUUAUUUCUCACUUAUACUCCAUUUUUUUAUAGAGAACUUCUUUUAAACUAAUCGGCUCCUAUAAUCAGUAGUUUCUCAAUUUUAAUAGGAAUAAGAGCAUGUUUAUCUGAGCUUAAAGCCCGGGGUUUAUAUCAUCUCUGGCUUUAAGCUGAAAAAUGUAUGUUUGUGUAUUAAGUCGGAAGUCGGCUUAAAGUCGGAAAUAAGUCAAAAAUUGACCUAAAACCAGAAGUUAGUUUGAGAUACUUUUCUCGGUGACUAAUUUUUUUUUUAGCCAUUUUUUGAUAAAAAUUAUUCCUAAAUCACAAAUUACUCAUAAAUUACUUUUAUUAUUAUUAUUAUUAUAUUUUUAAUAACUUAUAAAUUAUUAAUAAAUCAAAAUUAAUCAAACAAAUAUUUUAAGUUCUCAUAUUAUGAGAUAACUAACGUUAAGUCAUGAAUCAACUGAACGGGAUGUAAGUCUUCUUCUCCCCGAGUCAUCAGCAGACUUUUUCCAUGUCUUCUGAGCCCCCAUUGGCUCACAAUUGGCCCAAAAAAUAUUUGGUUAUGCAUUGCUAUUCACACACUUAGACAUCAAAAUUUAUCAUCCGACAGGCGACAGCUAACUGCACACUAUUUUUCCCACAAGCUGAAAAAUCAACGAUCAAUUAAUUUUUCUUAUCAAUUAAUAAAGUUAUGAUUUCACGUACACGGCAGGCAAAAUGCUAAUAAAUAGACGAGUGCAGUAUAGUAUGGGUUCAUGAUCACCUUGAGAUUUAAUUGAAAAAUAUUAUGGUGAUAUAGAUUAAAUUAAAUUAUAAUAUCUUGAAAAGUUAUAAAUAAUUUUAAUUACUAAUAAUAUUUAUUUGUACAUUUAAAUAUUUUUAUAAAAACACAAAAAUAGCAUUAUACUCAUUUAAGUUUCUCGUAUCCGCCUCUCUUCUUGGAGAUUGUGGAUUUGCGAUAUUUAUAUUGAUUAUUAUAGGAAAAUGUUAUUUCCAGAGCAAACAUUUUUAUUUCCGGAGCAAAUUCAAACAAAUUUUUCCAAAUUGUUCUGGAAAUUAAAAUAUUGAUAUGGAUAUAACAAUUCCCUUAUUAUAUCCUAUGUAUAUUACAUUAAUGCAAUUAACAUGGUUGAUUGUUUUAGUAUAUAAUCAUAUUACUGUGACCUUUUAGUAUAUAAUUAUAUUAUUUUUGUUAUAUUUUAUGCAUCUAGAAACAAUUUUUUUAUGAUAUUUAUUAUAUUAAUUAUAGUAAAAGAUAUAAUUUUGUUUAAAAAAUUGAAUAAAACUAAGAGGGAUAGCCUACGUCUCUCCGAGUCUUCGAGGACUCAUUCCAAGUCCGAGAGGACCACAGCCUCAACCUUUAAGAGAUGUGAAAGUAGCUUGAGAGUGAUAUAAAUUUAUUUUUGACAAUAAAAUUUAAUAAUCAAAUAAAUUAAAUUAAAUUAAACUAGUUUAUAAUCGAUUAAAAAUAUAUAAAUCAAAAUUAUUCCCGAAUUAUGAUAACAAUUAAAAUCAUUUUAAAAGUUGCAUAAAUCAAAUCCAAAUCGAACAAAUUCCCCUAACACUAAAAUGUAGUUGCUUUAUUGUAGAUAAAAACAGUAUAAUAAUAGUAUUGAUGAAAAAUCAAAUUCAUCAAAUAAGUUUAUAAAAAAUACAUGAUUUUAAUUUUAAAAAAAAAACAUGAUUUUAGUGUGUUGUAUUAGUAGUGUGUCCACGCAUUUAUAUAUUAAAAUCUAUCCUCUAAAAACUAUCGAUCUAUUUACACAACUAUUGAUCUGUCGUGCAACAAAUUCCAGGGCGAAGUUCCAAAGAGAGCUUAAAUGGCUUGCAUUGCUCAAUCUAUCUCAUAAUAGUCUUAACGACAUAUGUUCUGAAUUAUUAUUAUGAUUUCAACAAUAUUUUCAAACAUUUCUUAAUAUGUAUUUUCAAAGAAUUCUCAAGCACUUGAACAUUUGGACCGGUUCUUUCGAAGCCAGGCAAUGCACAAAAAUGUCCAAAAAUGAAUAAAUUAAGAGAGAGUAGCUCACCCUUUCAAAGCCUUCCAGGACUCAUUCCAAGUCUUCGGAGGACCACUGCCUCCCCCUUUCAAAGAUGUGAUAGUAGCUCGAGAGUGAUAUAAAUUAUUUUCCCGACAUUAAAAAUAAAAAAUCAGAUUAAAUUAAUCAAUAAUAACUUAAGGAUGAAAUCCAAAUUAAUCCUAAAUUUUGAUAAUAUAUAAAAAUUAUAAUUAUAAAUUAUAUAACCAAAUCAGAAUUGAAUUAACUUACUUGGCACUAGAAUUGCUAAAGACAGUAUAAUAAUUUAAUUGAUGAAAAGUCAAAGUCUUCUAAUAAAUCCAUAAAGAAUAUGAUAAUAUGAAAAUUAUAAUUGAAAAAUCAAAAUCAAUAGUGUAUUGGAAUAGUGUUCACACACUUAUAUAUCAAAAUUUGUGGUCCAAAAACUAUAGCACAAUAUCCUAAAUACAUCACAUUAAAUAAUAGCACAAAAAUAUUCAAUAAAUAAUUGAUUUCAUUCAUAAAUUUGUUAUUUUAAAAACUAAUAAUUUGGUUGAUGUUAACCUAUAUUUUAUAUAUAAUUUCGUCUUAUUUUAUUUUACUAGAAACAAUAUUUUUAUAAUAUUUAUUACAUUAAAUAUAUUAAAAGAUAUAAUUUUAUUAAAAAAAUUGAAUAAAAUUAAAAGGAUAAGUCUCGGCCUCUCCAAGUCUACAAGACUCAUUUCAAGUCCACCGAGGGCCUCAACCAUUGAGAGAUGUGAAAGUAGCUUGAGAGUGAUAUAAAUUAAUUAAAUUAGUUAAUAAUGAAUCAAGACUAAUCAUGAAUUAUGAUAAUAAUUAAAUAAAUUAUAAAAUUAAAUUAUACAAAUAACACUAAACCUUAGUUACUUUAUUGGUAAAUAAAUAUAAUAUAAUAAUCAAAUUGAUGAAAAAUCAAAAUCAUUUAAUAAAUUCACAAAAAAUAUAUGAUCAUUAGUAUGUUAUAUUAGUAUCCACACACUUAUAUUUCAAAAUCUAUCCUCCAAACUUAUCAUCUCUGUAAACUAGCCACAUAAAAUAAAAAUUUAAAGAUAUUAGAUAUUUAGUUAUUUUCAUUAUAUAAUUUUUCCACACGAAAUAACAAAAUAUCUUUAUCAAAUUAUUAUUUAUGAGUUAAAUAUUCAAUUUAUAAAUCCAGUAUGCAGCGUAUAAAUAGAAGUGUGCAGUAUGAUAUCAGAUUCACAUAACCCAGUUGAUGAGGAGAAACAUGGCAUACUCUGCAAAGCCUUCUCACCUUCUUCUCUUUGUUUUCUUUCUCUCAUCACUUGAAUCCAUUCUUGCAACAACACGAGAGGGAGAAGCUCUUGUGAAGUGGAAGAAUAGCCUAGCCCCUUCUUCUUUUCUCGACUCUUGGUCACUCACCAAUCUCGAUAAUCUUUGUAACUGGACUGGCAUUACUUGUAACUCUGCAGGUUCAGUCUCUGAGAUUAACCUUAGUGAGAAACAACUUGAUGGAAUGCUGUCCGAGUUUGGUUUCACUUCAUUUCCAAAUCUCAACAAUCUCACCCUCGCAUACAACUUCUUCUCGGGUCCAAUACCGCCAGCCAUUGAGAAUUUAACACAGCUUCAAUACCUUGAUUUAAGCUUUAAUUAUCUCGAUGGUCCCAUUCCGUUCCAGGUUAGCCAUCUUCAGAGGUUGCUCAUCUUAAACCUGUCACAGAAUGCAUUGCAAGCUCCAAAUUGGUCCCAUUUCUCUCCCAUGCCUUUCUUGCGCAUCCUCGACCUUAAUAGCAAUCAUCUUGCGUCGAACUUCCCAGAAUUUAUAUCCAAUUCUCAUAGCUUGGCUAUCCUUGACCUUGGAUAUAACAACUUUACAGGUGACCUUGUGCGUGAAUUUACUAAUCUACAAAAUCUUGAAACCCUCUACCUAGAUGAAAAUUCUUUUGAGGGGCCAUUUCCGCCGGAUGUAUUCAGGCUUUCCAAAUUAAAACAUCUUCGCCUGUCAGGUAACAAAUUCUCAGGUUCAAUUCCCAAUGACAUAAGGUUGCUUUGUGAUCUUGAAUCCCUAUAUUUAAGCAACAAUUCCUUUAAAGGACCCCUUCCAUCAAAUAUAUUCAAGCUUUCAAAAAUAAAACAUCUUGUUCUUUGGAGUAAUAAGUUUUCUGGUUCUGUUUCCAAUGAUAUAGGUUUACUUUCUGAGCUUGAAACCCUCGAUCUUAACUCUAAUUUUUUUGAGGGGCCGCUUCCGUCAAAUAUAUUCAAGCUCUCCAAACUAAGGUAUCUUUCCCUUUGGGGUAAUAACGUUUCAGGUUCUAUUUCCAAUGAUAUAGGUUUGCUUUCUGAGCUUGAAACCCUCGAUCUUAACUCUAAUAUUUUUGUGGGGCCGCUUCCGCCAAAUUUAUUCAAGCUCUCCAAACUAAAGAUUCUUUCCCUUUAUAAAAAUAACUUUUCAGGUUUUAUUUCUAAGGAUAUAGGUUUGCUUUUUGAACUUGAAACCCUCUAUCUUGGCUCUAAUUUUUUUGAGGGGCCGCUUCCCCCACAUGUAUUUAGGCUCUCCAAAUUAAGAGAUUUGGGUCUCAGAGACAAUAGAAAUUUAUUUCAAGGAAGUAUUCCUAUUGGACUGGGACUCUUGACUAAUCUCAGGUACUUGAGUCUAUUUUCCAAUGAUCUCAGUGGCUAUAUUCCAUCUGAGAUUGGAAACCUGAAGCUACUAAAAGUUCUUGAACUCGGUUCUAAUCAAUUGACAGGACCGCUUUUAAAGAUAGUUUCUAAUCUCAAAAAUCUUAUAUAUCUUGGUGUAAGUGGUAAUAGUCUUAGUGGAAAUAUUCAGAGUGACUUGUGGAAAUAUAACGAUCAUCCAACUUUGGAAUACAUCAAUUUAAGUGGGAACCAUUUUACGGGUAUAGUUUCUCUCUAUAGAUCUUUGUCAUAUGUAACUAAGCUAGUAAUCUGAUUAUUGCCUUUUCACCAAAGUUUCAACAAUCUUGACAGGUGAGCUUCCAACAACAAUUUGCAAUGUCACAUCCCUUUUGCUUCUUGAUUUGUCAAAUAAUGAAUUAAGUGGUGCACUUCCAAACUGUUUCGGAAAUCUUGCUGAUAGAUUGCUUUACGUUAAUCUUGCUAAUAAUCAGUUUCGAGGAACAAUACCAACUACUUUCUCCAGGAGUUGUCAGCUGAAAUAUCUAAACAUGGAUAAUAAUGAGUUUGAAGGAUUGUUGCCCCCGUCUUUGGAAAACUGUAAGCACUUGAGAAUUCUUGAUAUUGGCAAUAAUAAAAUAGGUGGUACAUUUCCGUCAUGGCUUUAUGUACUUGGAGAGCUAGAAGUCCUUGUCUUGCAAUCAAAUAAACUCUAUGGUACAAUAAGUGGAAGGAGCAUAGAAGAUCCCUUCCGCAAGUUGCGGAUUGUGGAUCUGUCCAACAACCACUUCACAGGCCAUUUGCCAAUUCAAUACUUUAAGAAUAUGAAAUCAACUGAUAAUUUGUAUAGUUAUCAGCUUUCCACAGCAGUUUUUUCUUUCCAUUAUGAAGCAGCAGUCUCAUUAAUUGUGAAGGGAACAGAGUAUGAAGUAGCAAAUAACCUUCAUAUUUACACAGCCAUUGAUCUGUCGUGCAACAAAUUUCAGGGAGAAAUUCCAAAGGUUACUGGAGAGCUUAAAUGGCUGGCAUUGCUCAACUUAUCUCAUAAUAGUCUAACAGGACCUAUCCCGUCAUUGCUGAGAAAUAUGAAAGAACUCCAAUCUUUAGAUUUGUCCUCAAAUCAACUGACGGGGGCUAUUCCACCUCAGUUAACUGCGCUGACAUUUCUAGAGGUCUUAAACCUCUCGGGAAACCAUCUUAGUGGAGAGAUUCCUCAGAAAGGACAAUUCAGCACAUUCAACAAUGAUUCGUAUCUAGGAAACUCCGCUUUAUGUGGAUCACCAUUGACGAAGAAAUGUGCAAACACAGCAUCACCUCCACAAGAAGUCGGAAAUGUUGAUGAAGAUUAUGCGGGUGAUGAAUUGACAUGGGAAGCAAUCAUGAUCGGAUAUGGAUGUCGACUGAUAUGUGGAUUGUCAUCUGCAUACAUUGUUCUCAAACUAGGAAAGCCUUGGUAGUUUGUGAGAUAUGUCGAAGUACUGCAACAGAAGUUGAUGAAAAGAUGCUUGAAGAAAGGUACUGGUCGACCAAUAAGAACUUGAAAGUUGUUGUCCUGGUAGACAUUUCUGAACCAGUAGUAUUUGGUAUUAUGUGAUAUUCUGUUUGGUCCGGACUCAUAACGAUUUCGCUUGCUUCAGGAGUAUUAAUAUUAACCUUCCUAUCUUGAUCAAUGUUAAUGCAAAUUAAAAUGAAAAGGCAAAAAAUAUGCAUCAAAUCCCCUCCUGUUGUACCAAGAUUCAUUAAUUAAGAGGCAUGGCUUUUGUCUCUCCAAGUCUUCGAGAAAUUAUUCCAAGUCUUCUUUGGAGGCCUACUGCCUCAACAACCUUUCAAAGAUGUAGCAGUUGCUCGACAGUGAUAUAUAUAUUAGAUAAAGACUAUGCAACAACCAACGUGACAGAAAAAUCAAAAUAGGACAAAAUCCGUACGAAUCAAAAUAGUUUAUUUCUAAGGGGAAUAGCUGAAUUAAAUUGUAAGAGAAGUAAAACAGAUUCUUUUAUAUUUUGGAAUAUAACUGAAAAAGAUUUUGAGAUAAUUUUCAGAAAUCAAACCAGUCAAAUAAAUAUUCGCUGAAGGAACAGAGUAAAGAUACAACGAAUAUAACAAGUUGUAAGAUGAAUAUCGCUGAAUCAAACAGGGUAGAACCCGUACAAAAACGCCAAACAGAAAGGAUCAAAACAGAGUAAUCAAAUUUACCUAACACUAAUAGAAGUAGUGCUGAAUAAAAGAGAACGAAAUCUGUACCUUAAAAAUAGCAAACGCAAACACUAACCAACCUCACAAGGGACCAUCUAAACUCCCUAACCCCGACUUUAUCUUAAACUCCAAAUAUCUCCCUGACUCCAAUAUGCCCAGAACAAUAAACGAAUGUUUUGACCUUCUAAACGAUGUUUUCUGGAAUAACGCAAAACACGAAAAUCGUAGAGAACGAAAAGACCUUUCCGAAAAGGUAAGGCUCGUCAAGAACGGAGUCAUAACGAAUCGGGAAUUAAAUAAAACGUCCGCUGAUUCAGAACUCAAAGCGAGAACAGGAUCUGAUUAAGUUUUGUAAUUUUGAGAACAGUUUGAAACAUAAUCUGAGAAAACAUUAUAAACGAAAGUAUAUGAGAUUGAAAGAGCUUUCCGAAACAUCAAGAAUCAUCAAAUUCCGAUAAGAAUUGAAUUUUCUACGAAUUUUACAAGACAGCUGAUUUGUGAGAAUAAAGCCCUACGAAUUUUUGUCAUAAAAAUGAAGAGAAGGUUGAGUAGCUCUCAAAAGUAUAUAAAAAGAAUGAGAGAACAAAUCAAUAUACUCCCUUUGUCCCUCUCGUUUAUUUACAGUGUUUGACACGCAUUUUAAAGCGCAUAUAAAACAUAGUUCUAUGAUUUAUUUUCAAAAUUUUUCUUUUUUGUAUAAAAAUUUAAACAUCAAAUUUUUAUCUAGAAAAAAAGGAAGUUCAAAAUAAUUUAUUGAACUACGUUUUACGAGAGCAUUAGAAUGCGUGCCGAGCCCCCGUCCCCCAAUGUAAACAAAUGAGAGGGACGGAAGGAGUAUAUAUACAGAGUCUUGAGACCCUAAUUCUAAACCUAUCCAUUAUCUGAAUGCAAGGCUGAUCUAUAUUUUAAGUACACUAUCCUAAUUCAAUUUUAAAUCCUAUUCAUAAUCUAAUUUUAAUCCUUUAUUAUUAUUACUAACCAAUUAAUAUUAUUUUAAAAAAAUACUGGAUAUUACAUUCCUGAUCAGACUAGUGAUCGGAUUGCAACCGCAAAGCAGCCUAUAUAUAGUGACAAUUAAAUACACAACAAAACAACUUCUUUCUUCUCUCUUGGGUUAUAAUACUCAGACGGACAAGCUAUAUCUGAGGCGAUUUUCUGGGCGAUUAAACACACAAUAAAAGCAGCUUCUUCUUCUUCAAUUAAGGUUUAUUCUACACCCAAUCACAUACACACACACACUUUAAUAUGACUAGUGAGUUCAAUUUUUGGUGGUAUUAUAUGAUUAUCAUGUUCUCUUUUUAAAUAUUAGUAACGUUAUUUUCGGAGUGGACUCUGUUGAUGUUUAAAUUUGAUAUAGAUAUUGUAAUUGAAAAUUUAUGUUGAUUUGUUGUUCAGAUUUCAAGUAUUAAUUUGUGUGUGAUCAAAAUUUUGCUUCUACAUCGAUUAUCAGGAGGAAAUAUGAGGCCGAUCUUGAUCAAAGGACACGAAAGGCCAUUAACAUAUCUAAAGUAUAACAAGGAGGGUGACCUCCUCUUCUCCUGCGCAUUAGACAGAAACCCCGCUGUUUGGUACGCUGAUAAGGGAGAGCUUUUAGGCACUUACCGUGGGCACAUUGGUUCUGUUUGGGGUUGUGAUGUUUCUAGGGAUUCAAAACUUUUAAUAACUGCAAGUGCGGAUCAAACAGCAAAGGUAUGGGAUGUUCAAACUGGGUCUGAGCUGUUCACGUUUGAAUUUAAGUCCACUGUGAAAUCAGUAGAAUUUGGUGUCGGAGACAAGCUUGCUGUCAUUGCAACAGACUCCUUUCGUGACAUGUCUUCUGCAAUUCAUGUCAAACACAUAGCCAGAGAUCCUAGUGAACAGUGCGGUGAUUCUGUGAUUGAAUUCUCACCUGGAGGAAGAAUCAAUAGAGCUGUUUGGGGACCUUUAAAUAGGACCAUAAUAAGUGGUGGUGAACAAGGCGUUGUUCGUGUGUGGGACGUUGAGACAAAGAAAGUGAUUUAUGAGUCAGACAAGGAUACUGGUCAUCAGAAGGCCAUUACAUCACUUGCAAAAUCAAGAGACGGUUCACAUUUACUUACUGCUUCCAUUGACAAAUCAGCUAAGCUUUGGGACAUCAGAUCAAUGAAACUUCUCAGGACAUACAAGGCUGAAGCCCCAGUUAAUGCAGUUGCACUCUCUCCACUACUUGAUCAUGUCGUGCUCGGAGGUGGUCAAGAUGCAUCGACUGUUACAAACGAUCCUCGUGCUGGCAAGUUUGAGGCCAAAUUUUAUUCCAAGGUCCUUGAAGAAGAAAUUGGAUCUGUGAAAGGACACUUUGGUCCGAUAAAUGCAUUGGCAUUCAACCCUGAUGGAAAAAGUUUCGCAAGUGGAGGUGAAGAUGGUUAUUUGCGAUUACAUCACUUUGAUCAUGACUACUUCAACAUGGCGAUUUAAUUCGAAUUACUUACAUUGCUACGUCUUUUUUUUUUUUUUUCCGGUUUUAUUCAAGUUAUUUUCUGGUUUUUAUGUUGAUCUUAUGUUCUUUGUUAUAAAUAGAAGUGUGGUUCCUUUUAAAACUAUUUACAUAAGUUUUUGGCUUUUCAUGUAAUUUAAUCAAAGUAAAUGCCAUGAGAUCCUGAAUAUAUCUACUUAUCUAUCUAUCUACUUAUUAAAGCAGAAUCAGGGGAAAAAUAUACCAGAAAUUGGAUGAAAAAUUUACAUACACACCCUCAAUUAUUCAUCAAUUCCGAAAUUGGCCUGUAGUUUAGCUGUUAACUUGCAGGAUUUUUGUAAAAGUAGGAAUCAGCGAUUCUUAGGUACCCCAGUGACCCCGAAUCGGUUUCUCAGAUUCUUGGAAAUCCUCGGUCAGUUGAUUUAGAUUGUGGGCAUAUAUACACCUAUAGUCAGCCUCCGGCGGUGCAAUCUUUUGGUGGUGUUUUUCAGCCUUUUCUGCUAUAGCGAUUCUUGUUAAAACAUUCAGGUGCUAGGGUUGUUUUGUUGGUAAAGGGAAUUGGAUUGUUGUAUCUGCGGUUGUGGCAAAGGUAAUUUUCUUGCCCUUGCUAUUCUUUUGGGAUGUCUGAUUAUAAAUAGCCCUUCUAACUUUGUUCACCUGUUCUGUAUGAUGUGUGUCAUUUGUGAUUGAGUCGAGCAGUAUAUCAUUUUGAUGCAUAUUGUUAAUUUCACUCUGGGAAAUUUUUAUGCUGAUGUUUGGGCAAUUAAUUCUGGUUAUUUCGUUGAUUUUGUUUGUGGUUUGUUUCCACCUGCCAUUAGAACUGUAAAGUAAAGUGUAUUUAUUGAUCAUGAUUCAAGUGUUUGUAGAUAAUCGAUGUGGGUGACAAAGAAGCUGCAAAUGAUGAUGGUUCUUCACAAAUUUUAUCUGCUUUGCUUCCUUUUGUUGUGGCUCUCACCAUGGUUGUCAAGUCGACGACUGCUGUUGCUGCUCUUGCUCAGCCCUCAACUUUCACCUGGUAACAACUUUUGUAUGUUUGGUAAAAUAUUUUGAUUUUUUUUUUUUUGUAAGGGUAAAAUAUUUUGAUUGUGAUAAGCUAAUUUAUUGUUUUUUAAUGAUUCCAACACUACAACAGAUUUAGCAUCACACAACGGUUUUUGCCCGUUGUCUGAGACCACGGAAAACCGUGGUCUAUCGAGACGCCGUCUGAUAUGCGUAUCAGACAACGGUGCGCACCGUUGUGUGAUAGUGCUAAACACGAUGGUUUACGUUAAAAAAAUUGUUGUGCAACACCCAGAACCAACAACGUUUACUCUUAAACGUGGUGUUGUUAGAAACACUCCUUAACAAUAGUCGAUUUCAAAAAUGGUGUUGUUAGAGAGACUAUCCACAACAGUUUUAUUAGCUCGCAAGACUUGUUGGAAAGAUGAUCAUACAACAGUAGUUGAAAUAGAGAAGCUCGUUCUUUCCUCUCUUGUACAACGGGUUUCGAACACCAAGCCACUUGUGUAAGGCCCCUUCUAACAAUGUUUUAAUUAGUGAGGUUGUUGUGUUUAGUUACGUCAGACAAUGGUUUUCUUUCAUAGUUGGUUGUCGUUUACAUGUUUUAACAAUUGUUUCUGUUUCAUCAUUAUUGCAAGUCAUUUGUUUGGACAAUGGUUUUGUGACAAUAAAUCAUUGUUUCCAGUUUUAUGAGACAAUGUUUUUAAUGAAUAAUGAUUAUUGUAUCAUGUUCAGUAUGACAAUGGCCCUGUAUUAUCCCAUUACCUAAAUACAUAAUAGACAAUGAUUAACAUAACUCGAUUAAACUAAGCUAGAGAAUGUAAUUAAAAAGCCAAAAAUUUGUAAACAAAAAAUUUCAUUAUGCACUAAUAACCAUUGUUACAACCAAAUCAUAUAUACCAUCCAAUAUCCAGAAAUAUUUCCCCCGAGGAUGGCAAAUCUCAAAAAUAUAAAUACCUACAAUAAAUGGUAGCAUCUAGAGAGGCAUAUGUGACUACAAGAGUCUUUUGUGAGCUUUUCAACUACCCAGCCCAGGAACAAUCCUCUGAUUGCAUUCUUUUGAUUCGGAUGGAGCCCUCCUGCUAUCUCUUUUGGAAGUGACUCUACUGCAACCACCUGUAAUACAUAAAAAAGUUCUUGAUAUGCUUUUCGUACAAAGAAAUUAAUGUGGUUGAGGAGUAUGUUUCGAGUUCAAAAUAUACCAGUGUGCCAUCUUCCAUGGUUUCACGUCAUUCAUACACAAUAAAUUGUAGCAAUUGUGAGCCCUAUCAACAUACCAGUCUUUCUGUAUUUAGAGUUGGAGCAGCUAAGCCAAAAUCAGACAAAUGGGGAUUGAGUUCAUCAAGUAAAAUAUUUGCUGACUUUAAGGUACUAUUAACAACAUAAGGAACAACAUCAGCAUCUUGCUUCUAUCAUCAGUGAAGUAUAAAAACUCUUGCAAGCUACUAUUUGCAAUAUAAUCAUGGACCAGAAGACGUACCAUGUUCAGCGGAAUAUCAUUCAAAUCUCUGGCAUGGUUGUUGUGAUGGAUAAAAAUAAGUUCCUUUAUGACCUGAAUUAAACAUUAAAAGAUACCAAAUUAACCGAAAUGCGUAGAGAUGCACAAAAAGUCCAGGCCCGAAAAUAUGGUCAUAGAGAUUUAAAAAAAGUCGAAAAUAAAGACAAACCAUGUGAGUAAAAAGCAGAGUAAGGAGGAUUGAUGGUAGUGUUUGAUAUAGAUGCCAUGUGGGUAGAUCCAUAUGAGCUGCUGGAAGCAGAGAGAUUUCUUCCAAACUCUCUUACAUUAUUGACAACAUUUGUGUUAACAUAUAUGUGUUGUAUAUGAAAUUUUAAAGAUUAGAUACAUAAAUAUAAUAUUAUUCGGAAAAUAUAACAUACCAUCUCGAGUCAUUUUCUUGCUUGGUCAUUAAAAUAACCUACAGCAAGUAAUGUACCCUCACUCUAUAAGAAGAAGAUGGACAAAAAGAAGUCAGUUGUAUGGAUGCCUCGGAAUAUAUACAAGAAUGUCCCAGGGAUAUUUAUUCAGUUGAUGAAGCAUGUAUAUCUAGAAAUUAACAAACCUCAUCAGCCAAAACAAAUAUAAAAUUAAUAAAAUCAUCUGUCUCCAAACACACAGAUUAAAAUCAAAGCACAAAUGUUAUCACACAAAACCAAGACAACACAAGAUCCAUCACUAAAACACACAACUACUACUAAAAUCAAACACACAAACAAAAAUCUCAUAUAGAUUCAAACUUUAUCCCCAAAAUCAAGUAUAAUUACACAGUAAAAAGCAUUCGUUUACCUCUUCAUAAGGUGAAUUGUUGUUAAACUAAUCAGCACGGUCAACACCGGCAUCAAAAACUUGAAUGGCCUUUGGGGUUAUCGCCGACAGAACAGAUCUGAGUAAGCUUUGUAGAAAAUGAGAUAGAGACGGGGGAGGGAGGGGAGAGUUCAGAGGAGGGUGAGGGAGAGACAGAGGGCGAGAGGGAGGGGAGGGGCGAGAUGCUUUAACAAAUCAAUUGCGGCAAGAGUGGGGAAGACACAGCCGCACCAGAAGAGGAAGAGAUAGAUUCAGAAGAAGAGAGAUUUACUCUCACUUACAAAUUUUAGGUCAAAAUAGAGGGGGGGAAAUGAAAAUUUGGAUAAACAAGUAGAGAGGGAAUUGAAAAUUUUUGUAAGGUGGAAAUCAUUCGUUCAUCCCGUGUAAAUAACAAAAUCAAUGUAUUAUAAUAUCCAUAUAGUUGAAUUAUAAAUAAAUGAAUUUUUUAAAUUAUAUUUUUGUAUUUGAUUACAAAUAUUUCAUAUUAAAUAAAUUUUAAAAACAAUUUUAAUGUAGAUGUCAAUAUCUAAUUAUUUUAGUUAUUUGUGAAAAUCUUCAAAAAAUUAAAAAUUAAUCUGGUAAAUCUUUUUGACAAAAUAUAGUUGAAAUACAACUAUUUAAUAAAAAAUUAAUAAUUCUUUAAAAGUUAAAAUUCUCAUUUUCUCGAUGUAUUCCGUUUUUGUACUCUUUGUCUAAAUAAAAUAUACACAAAUUUUUAUUAUUCAUUUGUAAUAAGAAGAUAUUUGUGUGGUUCAAAUGUCAAUAUUAGUAUAAAUUUCAUAUUUACAAUAUAGGAUGUACUUAAUAGAAGUUUUGUGAUCUAUAUGAUUAACCCCGUAUUAAUUUUGAAAUAUUUUCGAUCAUCCAAACAUAUAAAGAUCUUAAUAUCUAUCAAUAUUAGUCAUGUAUAAUAUUUUUAAAUUUUUCUAUAUUUAUUUAUAUCUUGUUGUAACAAAACUAGUGAUGAUCGUUGUUUUUAUGUCAUUUCUUAUUUUUGUACUUUUUAUCAAAAAAUUAUAUUUAUAUUAUGCAUAUGUCCAAAUUUGUAUUAUUCAUUUGUAAUUGGAAGAUAAUUUUGUUGUUCGGACCUGAGUAUUACUAUGUGUUUUAUGUUCACAAUUUAGGAAGCACUAGAUAGAAUUUUUGUUAUCUACAAAAUUUGCUCUGAAUUAAUUUAUAAAUAUUUUUUUCGAUGAUAUAACCGUACGGAUGUUAAUAACUAACAAUAUUAGUCAUGCAUAAAAAAAUUAGAUUUUUUUAUGCUUAUUUUAUAUGCUUUUUUUACAAAACUAGUCAAUUGUAAAUUUUGUCUUAUUGUAAAAAGGUAAUUUUUGUCUUGUAGUGUCCAACAGACAACGGUACUUAUAGGCACGUGUGUUGUAUGAGUUAAAAUGACACAACUGUUAUGGACAUUAUACAGUCAUAACAAAAUCUAUUGUCUAAAAUAGGCUCAAACAAUGUUUCGGGAAAAACUCGUUGUGUGUAAGUAGUGUAGACAAUGGUUUCUGGGAGGCAAACCGUUGUAUAAUAAAUUUUCAUUUUUAAGAGUUAGAAAUUCACAUUUUCUUGAUUAGUUCUUGUUUUUGUACUCUUUGUCUUAACAAAUAUACUUAUAUUAUGUAUAUAUGCAAAUAUCAAUUGUCAUUUGUACUAUGAAGAUAAUUUUGUAGUUCGAACAUGAGUAUUGGUAUGUGUUUUAUAUUUACAAUUUAGAAAGUACUGAAUAGGAUCUUUGCUAUAUAUAAGAUUAGCUCCGUAUUAUUUUAUAAAUAUUGAUUUUGAUGAUCUAACCGUACGGAUGUCGAAAACUAACAAUAUUAGUCAUGUAUAAAAAAAAUCAAUUUUUUAUGUUUAUUUUGUAUGUUUUUUUUAACAAUACUAGUCAAUUGUAAAUUUUGUCUUACUGUAAAAAGGUAUUUUUUGUCAUGUAGUGUCUAACAUACAAUGGUUUUUAUAUGCACCUAUGUUGUAUAAUUGAAAAUGAUACAACUGUUACAGAAGUAUACCGUUCUAAGAAAAUCUAUUGUCUAAAUUAGGCUCAAACAACGGUUCACGGAAAAUCCGUUGUAAAAAAGUAGUGUAGACAACAGUUUAUGGGAAGGAAACCGUUGUAUAAUAAAUUUUCAUUUUUAUGAGUUAAAAAUUCGCAUUUCCUUGAUCAAUUCUUGAUCUAAUGCAAGAAAAACAUAUGACUAUCAAGAAAUUGAUUGUUUUGUUAUAACUUUGGUUAGGACUUUGAAUCUUUGCACUCUCUUAUGUACAUCCAUUUUCUUAAAAUUCAUUCAAUCAUACAACAUUUUAUUAGUUAGUAGAGGCUUGUCUAUAAUGCCAUGCUACAAUGCUAACAAAAACACUUGUAUGUUAGCUUCCCAGUCACACAACACUAUAUAAAACCCUUGUUUGAACUCCUCGUAAACAACACAACAAAUAAAACACUUGUCUAAUUACAACGACGGUUUCUUGAACUAUUGUCUGAAGUUUCUUCACACAUCGGCUCUCAAAACAGUUGUCUAACAUGCAUCAUUACACAAUACCACAGUUAAGAAACCAUUGUCUAAUUGAAUUUACUAGACAACAAUUUUUUAACCGUUGUAGGUCGUAGAUGUUAGACAAUAGUUUUUCGAGGCCGAAAAGAAAGUGUUGUGUCUUUUUUCCAAACAACGCUUUUUUCACCGUGCGUUGUCUGAUCAGUGUUGUCUAAUGGUGUUAUUGUUGUAGUGCAAGUUGGAUUUAUUUAAUGCUAAUAGGUACUUGUUCAAGUGAGGAGAUUUAACUGAGAUUCAGGUUCUGGCAUUUGUCUUGUGUUGUUAUUUGUUUAUGUACCGGUUUUGAGAGUCAUUAGAGAUAUGUAAGGUAUUUAUUCCUAUUUUUUAUUAUUAGUAUUACAUCGUUUUCGGGUAAAAUAAUCGAUGAUUGUUUGUUUUAACUGUGUAAUAGCCUUAUGAUCUGCCAACUUAUGUAGACAUGUGAUAAACAUGUUGACUGUGGUCAAUAUUUUAGAUGAGGUAGUGUGUUUGUUGUUAUUGCAAGACUUUUUGGAAUAAUCAUUGUCAAAAAGAACUAACGAUGAAUGGAAAUGAAGUUCUGAAGAAGUGAUGAUACAAUGUUAAAGAGAUUGCUUUUUGUUGAAUUUUUCUGACUCUGGAAUUAAACUGCGUUAGUAUCUUCUUCUCUGAUUUUCCUUAUUUGGUAGACCUACUACUUUCAGAAGAUACAUGUGGUAUUUGUUUGGUUGAUUAAUUUUGGUAAGAUACAGUUUCCGUUUGGAAUCAGACUAUCCAUUGAACAAUCAGACUAUCCAUUGAAGAUUUUAUGCUCGCUCUUAAAUGGUUGAUCCACUGAUCUUAUUCUUACUUCAUAUGAGCUAAAGCCAGCUCUAGGGGUGUUUCUCGCAUACAAAAAAAUUAAAAAAAAUAUUAUGAAACUAUACUUUGCAGGAGUCUCAAAAUAAAUAAGUGUAAACGAUAAACUUAAACACCUAACUUCUUAAACACCUAGCAUAACACGGGUGAGCAUAUGGUCAAUCAUACCAAAUUGAAUAAAUCGAAAUUAAAAUUUAAAUAUUUUUAGACUGGACCAAACUGAAAUAUUUUGUCCGAUCCAGUUCAGUAUGAUCGAAAAGAAUUGAUUCUUUUGGAAAAAGUAACUUAAUAUUAUAAAUAAAAUUAAGAUUUAUAAUUUAUUUAAAAACUAUCAAUGAAUCAUCAACACUUCUUCAAAAAUAGAUACAUUUGAAUUUAUACAUUAGAUAUUAUAACUUCUAAAAAGUAUAUAAAAAUAUAUAAUAUAAAUAUAAAUUUAUAGUAUAAUUUUUUUGACUAUUUAGAAUAUAUUUUUAACCCAAAUAUUUUUUUUUAAAAUCAAAUUUUAUUUCGAUGAACUUUUCUAGAAAAUUAAGAUAGAAACGAAACUCAUUCCUACAGUAAGGUUUCAGUUUUUCGGCUGCAAUACGGUUUUGCUCAUCAUUAGCAUAAAUGGAGUAUGUAGUAAAUAUGAAUGAAUGGCAUGGGAAUUCUUGGAAUGGUAUCAAGAAUUAAGAUUAAAGCACAUUAGAAGUUUAGAACCAUGAAUGUUAUUUUUGAAAAUAGUAAUCCCUCCGUUUCUUAUCACGUUUCUCGUUUGAUAUGUCGGAACGGUUCAUAAUAUGAGACAAAUUAGUAAUUUAUGUCCAAUUUAUAAAAUUAAAUAUAGUCAUGAGUGAUCUUGUUGGAUUCGUAUCUAUGAGUACUUUAAUAAGAUGAAAUUUUUAUAUUUAAUGUUAAUACAAAAUUAAAAUAUAUUAAUUAAAAAUAUAUAUUGACAAACGUGAUAAAAACAAACAGCAAAAAUAUUAAGAAACGAAGCGAGGGAGUAAUAAAUAUGCUUUAUGCUGAACUGAAUUGAGUGCGUGGAAGCUUGGGGAGGCAGCUUACUACAGUAUCUACGUGUAUCUGUAUAUGCAAUAAAGACACAAAUACUCACAGGAGAUUAUUUUUCAAACACUUAAUUUCCCCCUUUCCUUCUCGUAAUAUUCAACUCAAUUCAUCACAUCAUCUUCUUCAGACAAACAACUAUACUCACUUCAGAUCAUCACAUCAUCUUCUUCUUGACUUCAGAUCCACAUUUCAAACCCUAAUCAUUCGCUUGGUCCCCUCCCUCUCUGUAAUAAUACAAUUCUUUCUACACACAAACAAUAACAUCAUCAUCAUCGAGUGAAGCUUCAUAUCCACAUUCCAAGACCUAAUUACUCGCCAAACCACUCUCGCUCUCAUGGAGGAGGCCUUAGAAAUGGCGAGAUCGAAUGAUACCAAGAAGCGAAGGGCGGGAGUGGAUCGGCUGCAACAGCUUCUUGAAGAUUCAAGAAAGUGCUUGUCAUCGUCGGAAGUGACGGCGCUAGUCGACACGUGUCUUGAGCUUUUGAAGGACACGUGUGUUGCUGUCGUCGGCCGCGGAGUUGUUUAAGUUGCAUUCUGAUAGAAUUAUGACGGCGGUUGUUGAUAGGUUGUGGGAUGGGGAGCAGCGGGUUCGAGACUCGGCGAGGAGGCUGUUGAUUACCCUUAUGGAGGUAAUUUAUUAAUUUUCUUGGGGAAUGCCAGUUGAUUUUAUGGAAUGUGAUAUAGUAUAGUUUCUAUCAAUCGAGUAUCUUAAAUUGAUGACUACAACAAGUAUUAUCGUUUUGCACGCAAGUGGCUAAACUUUUAUGCAUGCCAAAUUGCCAAUCGGGUUUCAAUUUCAGAUCUCUGCCUUCACUUGCAUACGAACACAUUUGAGUUUAAAAAGAUGAAUCACCUCAUAAAUAUCAUUAAUAAUUAGUUGGUGUUAAUAGUGCACUGAAAAAUGGGAGAGAAUGACAAGACUAUAGACAGUAGUAGGGCUGAGCGAGAUGUUAAUUGAGUACUUAUAUGAUGCUUCACUAUGUUCAGGGAGUUAGUUUAUUGCUUCUUUCCUACACUUUCACUUGAAUUAGUACUAAUUAAUAAUUCCUUCUCUAUCUUGUAAAAUUUCUCCUUCAUUGCUAAGCAUAUCUACUCUGAUUAAUUUUCAAACAAACUUUACUACUGAGAUAGGAUUGUUUGCUGGGUAGGAGCACCAUAGAAUGAGUAGCUCUAUUGCUAUAUACUGAAGGGUGCGGUGGCAUCCUCGGUUAUAUUUUAAGUGCUACUUCGAAUUUAGUUGUUGGCUUUUGCAAUUUAUUUUCAUUCACAAUGUUUUAAUAAUGAUACCCCAUAUUAGGUGAGAGAUAUUAGUGCCAGGCUGGAGCAGAUUCAGAUUCAACCAGCAACUUCCGUCUCUUCCAUCUCUGAAGGACUUAAUAGUAAUCUUCUCCACCAUGCACCUGAUUUAGAAGUAUAAUGUAUUAAUGUGAACUUUUUAUUUAUAUUUAUUUCCAUGUGUAGUAAAACGAUCACAUCUUUUAAGAGCUUAGUACAAUGUUAUGUACAAUGUGUAAUUAAUUAAGAGGUUUGUACAUAGUUUAGUAUGAAAUGGAAAAAGUUUGUACAGAAGUUUAUUUGUUCACAUUACAGCUGAGACGAGCAAGCAAAAACCAUCAGAGAAUUCAAAGGAUAAUGAUAAAGGAAUUGAGCCCCUACUGGAACUGCCGGAAGAUAUUAUCUUUCUACAAAUUCUGCCUAAGUUGAACAGCCUAGAUGUUCUUCCCCUGGUUUUGGUGGCUAGGAGUUGGGCCUCCUUUCUUUUGCAUGAGGGACCCAGACUGAUGUUAUUCAACCCACCUAAAAAUCCUACACCUAAACACACUUCAAUUUUAUUUGAUGUAAGCCCGAUUCCGUACUCUGUUUCAGUUUUGUUAUCCCCAGAGAGCCGCCAACUGUGUCAGUCUAGGUGUAUAAUUGUUCCAAUCUUGAAUUCUGGUAUAAAACAUGCUGUUCCAAUUUUCACUGACUACCCAGAUUUUUUAAAGCAGGGGGAAGUCCCAACUGUAGUGGGAUCUUCCAGUGGUAUUAUAUGCCUCUAUAUCACCAGUUCUCCCUCUAGAUACAUCCUGCUAAACCCCUUAACAAAACAUUAUAAAGAGGUUGGGGCCCCUUAUAUUUUUGUACCAGAUUGUGAGCAAGCUUCUGUAACUUCUGGAUUCUUUUAUGAUGAAUGGACUGAUGACUUAAAGAUCGUACAAUUGUUGAGAUGGGAUCAAAGGCUUACGAGCUUGGAUGCUCCGGGACCCAAAAAGAUACAUGCGCUUCGCGUUUGUUCUGUAAAUUCUGCAAAUUGGGAAGUUGUUGACUUGGGGCCAAUGAAAGUCUCCGAUCGUCUUGGUGGUGUGUUAUUUUUGCCGAAAGCUCUCGUCACAUUUGUAGAUGCGUUUGCUACAGAGCCGGAGAUUAACUUUUGGUUGGAUUUUCGUGAUUGCCGUCUAAAGGCAGUUCCGGAAUUAGAAGGGGCUGAACUCAGUAUGAAAUCGGUUUGGUGGAAUAACCAGGUUGGUGUUAUUGUUGGAACUGACAGCAUUUAUGUCCUUGAUGAGGAGUUUGCAGCCUGGUAUUACUGCACAGUGCUUCCGGACGUGGGAAAUUGUGUAUUCUGUUUAGAUGAGAACAAAAUUGUGGGGAUGGGGGCUGGGGAAAGCGGAAGCGUAAAUGAUUACAAUAUUCUUAAUUCCACAAGCGGCGAAAUCCAACAUAUAAUCUCGUUGCCUUCUUGCAGGGUUUUUCCGUAUGUUCCUACAUUCUACUAUAUCGAGGGAAUGGCUAAUUUUUAGACUUUUGCAAGUCACAAUGUAAUAAAAGAAUGUAAACAGUACAUAGCAGCAAUACCUCUCUAUAGCAUAUAGUUUCAGAUACAACAUGUAUUGUGAUGCCAGCUUGUAGAGUACAAGUAUUAUUCUAGGUGAUUGAUUGUUGAGAAUAAUAGAGGCAACCGGUUGCAUGAUGGUAUCCUUGAAACUUUCAUAAUUACUAAUAUCGAACUCAGAUAGCAUGCAAUUUUUCCGGAGAUCAUAUUCUUUAGCUAUCAACUAACUCUACAUUAUAUAUUAUGUCCCAGAUCAAUGAGUUUGUUUGCUAUAAUGUCCUAUUUUAUAUGUGAUUUAGGAAUAUGUUCCAUUAACUUGUUAUCACCCUCAAAUCUAAAAUCUAAGACUACCAUGUCCUUAGUUUAUUUUGUUUAAUAUUUGUGAAUAGACUCUAAUCUGAUCAUAUCAAUUAUAUUUUAGUAACAGAUGUUUAAAUGCAUAUGUUUUUGUUAUCUAGUUAUUUCAAUGAUGAUGGGAUUAAAUUUUUUUAUUCUUGUAAUAUGUACAAUGAUUGGUUUAGCUUUAAUAUUUAUUUUUAUUUUUAUUUACCAAUUUUAAUGUAGGUAAAGUUUUAUCAGCAAAUUUUAUUUUUUGUAUGCAGUAAUCUGUUCUAAUAUCAAAUUUUGAUUUAGAUCGAGUAUUAGUAUGUUGAAUUUGCAUUCAUCUAGUUAGAUGAGUGAAACUGGCUAAUUAAUGGAAAAUCAUAAGUACCUGAGUUGUUUUCAAAUUUUUUUCCCAAAUUUUAAUUGUUUGAUUGGUUUCUUCAAAUUAAUAUUAAUGGAAUCAUGAACGCACAUAAAUAAUUUAAUUAAAAAUUAUUUAUUUAUGUGUCAUUUAGAAAAAAUUGGGGACAAAAUUUGGGAUAGUAAUGGGGACGAAAUAUGUGUUAGCGUUAAUGGUUUAGCGGCAGUGGAGAACGCAAUUUAAGAGCAAAUCCAAUAGUGUCCUAAACUAGUAUCCUAAAUUAAAAAUUAAGGUAUUUAUAUAAAUGAGUGCUCCACCUAAUGAGUGCUCCACCAAUGUCCAGUGAUACCUUAAAAUACUAGGAAAUCCAUCAAGCGUCUCGUUUUUAAGACAUCACUAGGCAUGCCCUAUUUCACUUCUAUCAAUAAAAUAUAUCUUUCCCUCGUUUUUUACAGAUCUCUUCUCUCUCAUUUUUUCCAUUUAUGCCCAAUUAUAAUUCAAAUAUAAUACACCUUCAGUCCCUUUUUAGUUGUGAAAUUUACAAAAAUAAUUUGUCCUUAAAUAAUAUUCUCAUCCUUGUUCCAAUACAUAUUUAUACAUAUUUUUUCAUGUUUACCCCUUGAUUGUUGGUUCAAAUGUUUGACUGUACUACUAAUAUAUACAGUUUUGACUUAGUAUUUAAUAUAAUAAAUAAGGGCAUGCGUGGAAACAACUUACAACAUUUAAUUUUCUUUAAUAUAUGUAUUUUUGCAAAUGUGACAACUAAAAAGGAACAGAGAGAGUAUUAUUUUAAUCAUAAAACAUAUUGUUGGAGUUAAUAUAAAAAAAUCAUGUCUUAAAUCAUAAGAUUACUAUAUUUAAUUAUAUUUAUAAGGCAUCUAAUAGUACAAUAUUGGAUUUGCUCUGAUCACAGAUCAAUCAAAUGAUCGGCAACUUAAGCGAUCAAAUGAGAUGACUCGCAUAGUCCACGCUAAUCGAUAUCCUUAAGAGGAUGUUUGCCUGGGCUUAAAGCCCUUGCUUUAAGCCAUCUUUGGCUUUAAGCUGAAAAAUGUCUGUUUGUGUAAUAAGUCAGAAGCCAGCCUAAAGUCAGAAAUAAGCCAGAAGCUGACUUAAAGCCAGAAGUUAAUUUGAGGUACUUUUUUCAGUGGCUAAAUUUUUUUGAACUUUUUUUUUGAUAAAAAUUACUCCUAAAUCAUAAGUUUCUUAUAAAUCACUUUUAUUUUUAUUAUUAUAUUUUUAAUAACUCAUAAGUCAUUCAUAAGCCAAAAUUACCCAAACAGACAUUUUAAGCUAUCAGCUUAUCAGAUAAGACACGUUAAGUCACAAGUCACAUUAAGUCAUAAGCCAUAAGCUCAGCCAAACGGGCAAGUUUUCUAAGAGACAUUCCUGCUUAGUGCAUUUUUAAUAGGGUUGCCUAAAUCGUUGACGAAAUUGGACAUGUGAGACAUUAUAUAAAAUUUGUUAAACAUGUAAGUGAUUGUGUUUCAAUAAUGUUAACUACAUUGAUAGAUUAUAACUUAAAAAUAGUAUGUUAUUAAUAUUUAGAUUGUUAUAAAAAAAUAUAUGAGUUUAAUAUGAUAGGAAAUGAUGUGUAAAUUACCCCGAUUAUAUAUAUAUAUAAAUAAUAAUAUAUUUAUAUAUAUUAUACUAAAUAUAUUAUUAAAAAUAGAUAAAUUUUAUAAUAUAAUCAAAAGUAAAAAAUAAUCUUUAUUUUUAUUGAUUGAUUAUAAAUAUAUUGUAAUAUAAUAUAUUUUAUAAUUUUAAAUUGUUGUUUAUUUAUAUUAUAAAUCAAUUUUAAUAUGAUUUGAGGUUGAAAAUAUAAGAUAAUAUUAUUUUAUUAUUAUAUUAGGAGUUUGUAGUUUGUUUUUUAAUUAAAAAAAUAUAUUAUAUAUUAUAAAAUUAUUAUGUUUUUAUUAAAAAAUAAAAUUCCCCGAAACCCCGCGGGGAUCCCCGUUCCCCGUUCGGGGCGGGGAUCGGGGCGGAAAAUAAUCCCCGUUCGAGGUUCGGGGCGGGGUCGGGUAGGGCCGUAGGGGUAUUGAAUUCGGGGAUCGGGGUCGGGGAUAGCACUCCCCGCCCUCGAAGUCUCCCCGUGCCCAUCCCUAGUCGAACCUCUAGAGGUCCGUAAAAAAUCUCCAAGAAGAUUACACUAUGUAAUCUUCUUGGAGAUUUUUUACGGACCUCUAGAGGUUCGACAAAUAUAGUGGCCGGUAGGAUGUUGGUUAAAAUUAUAGAUAAGUGGUGUCUAUGGUUGAGUGUGAUUUUUUUGAAUAGAAUGGCUAUAUAUUUUAUUUUUGGGAUGCCAACUCAAUUUUUAAACUAAGGACUUCUCAUAUUUGGAGAUGCUAUAUGAUGGCAAAUCCCGCAAAUCUUCAAUUUUGACAUAUAUUAUCCUAAAUUCUCUUUCAACAAUGAUUGAUUCAAAUUUGGAUCAAGAUUGUUGGAUCCCGCUGACGUGGCAGUGACGUCAUGUUGACGUGGCGCCCUGGGGUGGACCCCGGUGCUGACGUGGCAGAUGACGCGGCGGUGACAUGGCGCCUGGUUGGGGUCCCAUUACUAACGUGGCAUUUGGGUAGAAAGUAUAAAUUACGGAAAAUUGAUGACAAACUGAGAGGUGCAUAUUAUAAGUUUUAAAAAGUAUGAGGAGAUAUUUGAUCAGUUUAAAACUAGUUUUUAGGUUUUUAGGCUAACCGUGGUUUGUAUAUUCGAGCAUCCCCGUGUAUAUUGACAUAUAGGUAAACUCCUUGCAAUACUUUGAGCUGCAAAAUCCAUCAAAAUUUUGAUUUAUCAUGUAACUGUUUGACAGAGUACUUCCAACUUUCAAGCGUAAGUAUCAAAAUCACUACCUUCAUAUGUUCCAUUAAGCGUGAAAGGUACAGAAUAAGAAGUGAAAGAAAUCCUUUAUAUUUACACGGCCAUUGAUCUUAUAGGAUCACCUAGCCCAUCAGUGCUAGGGAAUACGGAACCAUCUUAUCAAUUAACGAAGAAAUGUAUGCAUGCAGUGUCACCACCACAAGUCAGAAAUGGUGAUGAUGCUAAUGAUAAUGAACUCAAUUGGGAGUGAUCCUAAUGGGAUAUGGAUGUGGAUUGGUAUGCGGAUUCUUUGGGGUUUAUUGUUCUUACAAUGGGAAAGCCUUGGUGGUUUAUGAGAUACAUUGAAGUAAGUUGAUAAUGACAUGCACGGCUUAAUUAAGAUUAAUUAAGACAAACACCUUGACAAAAUGUUGUCUUAGAAUGAUAUGUAUUCUGAUUUUUCCUAAUUUAAAAUCAAAUUUAUUACAAUUAAAGUUAAAAUCUGCGUAGCACAUACUAUACUUUGAUUAAAUUUUUAUUGAAGUUGUCCAUAUUAACCUAGUGGCCGAAAGUGAAUAAAUUAAAUUAGUGGGGUCUAAUAUAAAAAUUGCAUUAAUUAAAAUUUGUAAUGUAUAGAUUAUGCUAAAGCUAUUCAUUAUAAAGAACAUAGGAAUGUUAAUCUCUUUAUAUGUUUGCAUGCGGAUAGUCUCUCGGGAGUGUGGUAUAUUGUCAUGGCUGGAAAAACGGCUAAUUUCUACGGUUUUUUUUUGACAGAAAUUAAUUUUGACGGAAUACUGUCGAAAUAUCGAAAGUCGAAAAUAAGCCGCAAAAUUACUUUUUUCAAUUUUCAAUUGAAAACUGUCAAAAAAGUCUCUGGCAAAAUUAUAUUUAUUUCUACAGAUAAUGUCGAAAAUAUUUUCCUGCAAAUUUCCCGCACCUUAGUUGUGAGCGGAAAUAGAUAGUUUGGACAGAAUUCCGUCGAAAUUACGCGAGUUCUUUGUAGUGUGUUUUCACACAUACGCUGAUAAUCUUUGGGGACUGGGGUAUAUUGUUUUCGCAAAGCACUGGUAGUUUGUGAGCUUGUCCAAUUUUUCCCCCCAUGCCUAUACUGGUUGGUCUCAGUCUUAGUGGUAAUAAGCUGGCGUCAAAUUUUCCAGAAUUCAUAUAUAAUUGCUAUAACAUGAUCCGAUGCCUGAAUCAGCAGCUAACAAUUUACGUAAUCUUGAAGAACUAUAUCUUGGUGCCAAUUCUUUCGAGGGCUCAUUUCCAACGAAUAUAUUCAAGCUUUCCAAAUUAAGGGUUCUUGACCUAUCUGUGAAUAAUUUUUCAGGUUCCAUUCCCAAUGGUAUAGAGAUGCUUCCCGAUCUUGGAAUAAAUCGUAUUUAUAAUAAUUCAUUUGAAGGAAUUAUUCCUUCUUCAAUUAGUCUACUUAAAGAUCUUCAACACCUAGACUUCGGUGACGACAACCUUGUGGUUUCAAGUAUAAUGUCUUACGGGUCCAAUCUAACCGAUCAUUACAGGCAACCCCAUUGGAGAUGCUCUUAAUAACAUUUUAACUAGAGAGUAUUUUCUAUCAAUUGCAUUUGUAUUAAAUUUGAUUUAGAUGAAGAGAAACAGAAUACAUAUGAUCCCGAGACAACAUUUUGUCAAUGUUUUCGUCUUGAUUGAACAGUCUUCUUCAUGCGUGUCCUUGUCAACUUCAGUUGCAGUAAUUCAAUGUAUCUCAGGAACCACCUUGGCUUUCCCAUUUUGAUAACAAGUAUCCUGAAGAUAAUCCGCAUAUCAAUCCACAUCCGCGCGUAUCCCAGUUGAUUUAUUAAUUUAUUCAUGAAGUGUUGCGAACGACAUUCCUGCAAAAGUAAAAGUCAGUGGAAUUUGUAUGAUAGCAUGAUGAAUAUUUAAAGUUUCAGUUAAAAUUUCACCAAGUAUUUUAUUUCUGGCUUAAGUCCCGGAUUGACGAAUUCUGCUGAUCACAUUUCUAAUCGACCAAUUCUGGUCGAAUAAAUUAAAUGGCACACUUCCUGAGUUGGUGGUAGGGGCGUUCUUCUUGUGUUUCUUUCUUUUCAUUAUUGACAUUGUUAUCCAGGCCCUUGCUUCUGGGCUUUUGUAAAGCACCCAUUUACGCCAUUGUCAUGAUCAUAGCUAGUCUUCCAUAUCCAAGAUACGCGCAUUAUAGUGGAUUUAUCUUUAUUAGUGAUUUCUGUGGAAAUGCAUAAUCUUAAUUAUAAGCUCCAAUAUUAUAAAAUAAACCUAACUUAUUAGAGUUAACAGGGCAUUUGUGUUGAUAAUUUGCGCAAUGUUAAUGGGGAUCGCUCCCAAGUCUUGGACGGACUCUUUCCAAGUCUUCUGAGGACCCAUCUGCACACUAAUUUGUCCGCCAACUAAAAAUUUAUAUAUAUUUUUCCAUAGAAUAUAAAUAGUUGGGGGUACUAACAGAACCUCUAGUAAAAUUAAUUAAUACCGUUAUGAUUUCGCAAACACAGCAGACAGCAGGCAUAAGGCUUAUAAAUAGAAGUGUCGUAUUUGGUUGAUGGUCAAGUUGAGUGGAAAUAUGGCACACUUUGUAAAGCCUUGUUAUCCUCUUCUCUUUGUUUUCUUUCUCUCAUUACUUCAAUCCAUUCUAACAACACAAGAGGGAGAAGCUCUUGUGAAAUGGAAGAAUAGCCUAGCCCCUUCUUCUUUUCUCGACUCUUGGUCACUCACCAAUCUCGAUAAUCUUUGCAACUGGACUGGCAUUACUUGUAACUCUGCAGGUUCAGUCUCUGAGAUUAACCUUAGUGAGAAACAACUUGAUGGAAUGCUGUCCGAGUUUGGUUUCACUUCAUUUCCAAAUCUCAACAAUCUCACCCUCGCAAUUAACUACUUCUCGGGUCCAAUACCACCAGCCAUUGAGAAUUUAACACAGCUUCAAUAUCUUGAGUUGAGCAAUAAUUAUCUAGAUGGUCCCAUUCCUUUCCAGGUUAGCAAUCUUCAGAGGUUGCUCAUCUUAAACCUGUCAGAGAAUGAACUGCAAGCUCCAAAUUGGUCCAAUUUUUCCCCCAUGCCUUUUUUGACCAUCCUCGACCUUUAUAAAAAUAAUCUUUUGUCAGAAUUUCCCGAAUUUAUAUCUAACUCGUGUAACCUUACGUACCUUGACCUCUCAUCCAACAAGUUUAGAGGGGAUCUUGCGCGAGAAUCAGUAUUAACCAAUCUAGGUGAUCUUGAAACCCUCUAUCUUAUUAGAAAUUCUUUCAAGGGGUCAUUUCCGUCAGAUUUAUUCAAGCUUUCUAAAUUAAAACGUCUUCACCUGUCGAGCAACAAAUUUUCAGGUUCAAUUCCUAAUGCCAUAAGGUUGCUUUGUGAUCUUGAAUUCCUAUAUUUAGGCAACAAUUCCUUUGAAGGACUGCUUCCACCAAAUAUAUUUAAGCUUUCAAAAUUAAAACAUCUUGUUCUUCGGAGUAAUAAGUUUUCAGGAUCUGUUUCCAAUGAUAUAAAUUUGCUUCCUGAACUUGAAUAUCUCGAUCUUAAUUCUAAUUUUUUUGACGGGCCGCUUCCUCCAGAUGUAUUCAAGCUCUCCAAACUAAGGUUUCUUUACCUCUCGGGUAAUACCUUUUCACGUUCUGUUUCCAAUGAUAUAGGUUUGCUUUCUGAGCUUGAAACCCUCGAUCUUAACUCUAAUUUUUUGAGGGUCCGCUUCCGUCAAAUAUAUUCAAGCUCAAAUUAAAAAUUCUAGACCUCUCAAACAAUAGAAAUUUAUUUCAAAGAAGUUUUCCUAUUGGACUGGAACUCUUGAGUAACCUCAGCUACUUAGGUCUAAGUUCCAGUAAUCUCAGUGGCAAUAUUCCAUCUUACAUUGGAAACCUGAAGCUACUAAUAUCUCUUGAUCUCAGUUCUAAUCAAUUGACUGGACCGCUUUCAAAGCUCGUUUCUAAUGUCACAAAUCUUAUAUUUCUUGAUUUAAGAGAUAAUAGUCUUAGUGGAAAUAUUCAGACUGACUUGUGGAAAUAUAACGAUCAUCCAACUCUGGAAUACAUCAAUUUGAGUGGGAACUAUUUUACGGGUAUAGUUUUUCUCUAUAGAUCUUUUCUUUUGUCAUAUGUAACUAAGCUAGUAAUCUGAUUAAUUGCAGUUUUACCAAAGUUUCAACAAUCUUGACAGGUGAGCUUCCAACAACAAUUUGCAAUGUCACUUCCCUUUCGGUUCUUGAUUUGUCAAAUAAUAACUUAAGUGGUGCACUUCCAAAAUGUUACGGGAAUCUUGCUGAUGGAUUGCUUUACAUUAAUCUUGCGAAUAAUCACUUUCGAGGAACAAUACCCACUACUUUCUCCAGGAGUUGUCAGCUGAUAUAUCUGAACAUGGAUGAUAAUGAGUUUGAAGGAUUGAUGCCCCCAUCUUUGGCGAACUGUAAGCACUUGAAAAUUUUUGAUAUUGGCAAUAAUAAAAUAGGUGGUACAUUUCCGUCAUGGCUUUAUGCACUUGGAGAGCUAGAAGUCCUUGUCUUGCGAUCAAAUAAACUCUAUGGUACAAUAAGUGGAAGGAGCAUAGAAGAUCCCUUCCCCAAGUUGCGGAUUGUGGAUCUGUCCAACAAUCAAUUCACAGGCCAUUUGCCAAUUCAAUACUUUAAGAAUAUGAAAUCAACUGAUAAUUUGUAUCGUUAUCAGAAUGACACAGGAGUUUUUUCUUUCCAUUAUGAAGCAUCUGUCUCAUUAACUGUGAAGGGAACAGAGUAUGAAGUGAAAAAUAUCCUUCAUAUUUACACAACCAUUGAUCUGUCCUGCAACAAGUUUCAAGGAGAAAUUCCUGACGUUAUUGGAGAGCUUAGAUGGCUUGCAUUGCUGAACUUAUCUCAUAAUAGUCUAACAGGACAUAUCCCAUCAUUGCUGAGAAAUAUGAAAGGACUCCAAUCUUUAGAUUUGUCUUCAAAUCAACUGAAAGGGGCUAUUCCACUUCAGUUAACUGCAUUGACAUUUCUAGAGGUCUUGAACCUCUCGGGAAACCAUCUUAGUGGAGAGAUUCCUCAGAAAGGGCAGUUCAGCACAUUUAACAUUGAUUCUUAUCUAGGAAACUCCGCGUUAUGUGGUUCACCUUUGAUGAAGAAAUGUGCAAACACAGCAUCACCUCCACAAGAAGCCGGAAAUGGUGAUGAAGAUGAAGCUGGUGAUGAAUUGACAUGGGAAGCAAUCGUGAUGGGAUAUGGAUGUGGACUGAUAUGUGGAUUGUCAUCUGCAUACAUUGUUCUCAAACUAGGAAAGCCUUGGUGGUUUGUGAGAUAUAUCGAAGUACUGCAACAGAAGUUGAUGAAAAGAUAUGCAUGAAGAAAGGUACUGGUAGAUCAAGAUGAACUUGAAAGUUGUUGUCGUGGUAGACAUUUGUGAACCAGUAGUGUACUAGCUGCAUAAGUAUUUGGUAUUAUGUAAUAAUCCGUUUGGUCGGGACUCAAAAUGAUUUCUCUUGCUUCAGGGGUAUUAAUAUUAACCUUGCUAUCUUGAUCAAUGUUAGGGCAAAUUAAAAAGAAUAUAAAAGCAAAAAAUUUGCAUCAAACACCUGUUGUACCAACAUGCAUCCAUUAAUUUGCUUUCAUCUAUUAAGUAACAAUUUAAGAGCGCUUCCACUCUGUUUAAGCAUGGAGAUAACACAAAGAAGGCAAGUCCAUGGACUAAUAUAUUAACACGUAGUCCACAUCUAUGGUAUGAACAAUUCAUAUUGCUCUUCUAUCUGUUCAACAGUCUCCCGAAGAUAGGCCAAAAAUGUCAUCUGUGGUUCUUAUGUUUGUCAGUGAAGGAGAAUCUCUGAUGCCUACACAACCUGGUGUUUUUACAGAAAGGAAUGUAGGUGAAACCAGGGGCGUAAAAUGAAUCAGGACUAAAAUCUGCUAAAAUGAUAAUUAUUUACUCAUCAUUCAAGAUUAGUCGGGCUCAAAGAUUUAUAUGGAUUUUAAGAACAAACUAUGACUAAAUAUGAAAAAAUCAUUAAUUUUUCCGACUCAAUAUUUUUUAGCCUCCCCCGGCCCUGGGUGAAACCAUAAGCUUCUCUGGUGCACAUCCAAAUCAUUCAGUUGGUUCUACUUUCAGCUCACCCACAGGAACAUCAUUCUGCAGGUACUCUUUUAUCUGUACUUUCUUAUAUUGUAUGCCAGUAAAUUUUAUAUCGACAAACUGCACAAUACACCUCGAUCUCAUAUUAUUGACAGGUGAGCUCCUCUCAUAAUGCUCACAGGCGAACCCCUGCAUAUAUACUUUGUGAUGUCAUUGAUGAUCGAUAGACUUGAAAAAAAAUUAUGACAAAGAUUCAUAAAAUAUCUACUUCCAUCCUAAUUCAGUAUUCAAUAUUAUUCAUUCGUAUCAUCAUCCAAUCAAUUCUAAUAGUUCUUCUUUAAAUCAGUACAAAUAUUGUUAAAUACCUGGAUGAUGGUUGUCUUUCCGCGAACCAAUCAUGAAAUUACCUCUGUAUAAAUCCAUCGGAAAUAAGACAGUUAAUAUCCCAAUCGAAUACACCCCGUCAGUUGUCAAACUCCUCGAAACGUAUUAAUCACUUUAGAAAAUUUGUUCCACUGGCGCUAGUCAGUCCCAGAGUUGGUGGUGGGUGCUUCUGGGCUUUCGAAAAGCACCCAUUUACUCCAUUGUUUAGAGAAGUAAAACCCCACCUUCCGCUCAUUUGAUUGAUCAGCUGAAUUAGGCAGAGUUUACAUGGUCAUGAUCAUAGUCUCCCAUNUUAAUAGUCUGACAGGACCUAUCCCAACAUUGCUGAGAAAUAUGAAAUAACUCCAUUACUCCAAUCUUAGAUUUGUCCUCAAAUCAACUGACAGGGGCUAUUCCACCUCUGUUAACUGCAUUGACAUUACUUUUCUCUUUAUAUUCUUUCCUUUUGUAUGUACCUAUGCUAAUUAUCUGAUUAUUAAAAUUAUAACAAAGCUUCAAGAUUUUUAACAGGUGAGCUUCCACUAAAAAUUUGCAAAGUCACUUCCCUUUCGCGUCUCAUUAUGUUAGAUAAUGGGUCAAGUGGUGCACUUCCACAGUGUUUGGGGAACCUUUCUUUGCUUGGUUUCAAUAAUCUUGCUAAUUAUCAAUUUCAAGGACCAAUACCAACGACUGUCCAAGACUUGUCUGUGCAUAUCUAAACAUCCAUAACAAUCACUUUGAAGGUUUGUUGCUCCAAUCUUUGGCAAACUGUAAACACUUACAAAUUCUUGAUAUUGGAAACAACGUUGGAGAGCUAGAUGUCCCAGUUAGGGCGGUAAUUCGACUAGAGCAAACCGAGUUUUGAGCGGAGCCAAAUUCGAGCCAAGUUUAAUCGAGUCGAGCCGAGUCGGCUCGUUUAGCUAAUCGAGCCUAAAACUUAGCCCGAACUCGACUCAUUUAAUUUCACGAGUCGAGUCGAGCCAACUCGUUUAGCUAAAUGAGCUGAUUUUAACAAGUCGAGCGAGCGAGCUCGUAUAAUUUUAACUUAGUCGAGCCUGAAUCUCUACCCAAACUAUUGGCUCGUGUAAUUUCGCGAGUCGAAUCGAGCCGGCUCGUUUUAUUAAACAAGCCGAAAUUUUUGCCCGAAUUUGCUCGUUUAACAAGCCGAUCUGAGCCUAGUUAAAUGAGUUCGAGUUAGUCGAGCUCGCGAGCUGCGAGCUCACCUGCCAGCUCUAGUCCUAGUCUUGCAAUCAAAUAGGUUUAACGGUAUAGAAAGUGGAAGGAGCACAAGGCAUCCAUUCCCCAAGGCUAUUUACCAAUUCAGUACUUUGAGGAUACAAAAUCAUUCUGCAGGUACUCUUGUAUCUGUACUUUCUUGUACUGUAUGCCACUUUGACAGUAGAGUAAAAUUUAUAUCGACAAACUGCAUAUGUUCUGAACUACUCCUCUAUCCCAAAUUAGAUGAGCUAGUUGACUUUGAGCACGUAACUUAAGGUACAUUGACCAACUAGUUCCGAUAUUUAUUUUUUUAAUUUUUCUUUUGUAAAUGAAAAUUUCAUAUUUAAAUUUUUAUUUGCAAAACUAAAAUUUAAAAAUAUGUAAUGUGGCUAUGCGGUCAAUGUCAACGAGCUCAUCUAAUUUGGGAUUGGGAUGCAGGGAGUAUUACGUACUAUGUUAUGCAAGCUGUUUACAACUUUCAUCAAAAUUUUCAAACAUUUCUGAAUAUGUAUUUUCAAAGAAUUCUCGGGCACUCUUAAGGCCUAUAAUUAUUGGAACUCUCACGUUAUGGACCAGAGGACCACUAUGUAUUUUACAAGCACGACGAAUCAUGUGGUCAUUAUGGACUCCCCAAGCCUUAGAGGACUCAUUCCAGGUUUUAGGAGGACCACUGCCUAGCUCACCCUUUCGGAGUGAUGUAAAUUAGUUUCCAGACACUAAAAAUAAGUAAUCAGAUUAAUCAUUACAAAAUUUUGAUAUAAAAUCAGAAUAAAUCCUAAACUUUGAUGAUACAAAAAAAAUUAUAAUUGUAAAUUAUACAAUCAAAUUAAGAUCGAAUUAACUUCCCUCACACUUAAAAUUUAUAGCGAUCAAAUCAAAAUCGAAUUAACUUUCCUAUUACUAAAAUUUAAUUACAAUAUUAUUAGAUAAAGAGAAUAUAUAAUAAUCAAGAGAAAAUAGAUUUUUUUUUGCCACUCAACUUAUUGUGUUUUAAGAAACUUACCACCCAACUAAAUUUUUUUCCUUUUGCUCACUAAUGUUAGGUUUGGAUUUGUUUUUAGCCACCAAAUAAGGUUCGGAUUUGAUUACCAGCAUUAUGAUAAUUUUUUUUGUCACUAAACUUAUUGCGUCUUUAGAAACUAACCACUGAACUAAAUUUUUUUUAUUUUACUCACUAAUGUUAGAUUUAGUUUUUUUUGUCACUAUAGUUAGGUUCAGAUUUGAUUAUUAGCAUUACAUUAAUUCUGUGUAGCAUUUUUAAAAUAUGGUAGUAGUCUGUGAUAUUUAGAUGAUUUGAUAUAUGUCUGUAUUUUUAUAUAUAGUAUAUUUUAUGUCCCCAAGGUCGUUUACCUUGGGUCAUAAAAAUUUUACACUCAUUUUAUGACUUUUAAAAGAUGUAGUUUCAUAAAUAAUUUUAUUUUUUUCUUUCGAAUUAAAAUUCAGCAUUUGAAUUUUACACACAAAAAAAUCGCAAGAAUAAGAUAUGAAACUAUGCUUUACAAGAGUCUUAAAAUACGUGCUAAACGGUAGAAAAAACUGUAAACUAAUGAGAGGUACAUAGGGAGUAAUAAUAACAUAAAAUGAUGCACAAUCAUCGAAUUAAGUUUUCCUCUCUCUAUAUAUUUAUUUUGUAAAUUUUAAUAAGAUAAAGUUAUUAAAAUUUAUGAUAUAAAUUUAAGAGAUAUCUUAGAUUGAGUGGCAAAAAUUUAGUUGGGUGGUAAGUUUCUAAAAACACAAUAAAUUGAGUGGGAACAAAAUCUAUUUUCCCAAUAAUGAGUGGGAAUAAAAUCUAUUUUCCCAAUAAUCAAAGUGACGAAAAAUCAAAGUCAUCUAAUAAGUCCAGAAAAAAUAUGACCAUUAGUAUAUUGAAAUAAUAUUCACGCAUUUAUAUACGAGAAUAUAUGGUCCACAAGUUAGUGCACAAUGUCCAAGAAUCUUUAUCAAAUAACACGGCAAGCAUGCAGCAUAUAAAUAAGAGUGGGCAGUAUGGUAUUGCAUUCAUAACCCACUUGAGCAGAAAUAUGGCACACUUCCUAAAGCCUUCUCACCUUCUUCUCUUUGUUUUCUUUCUCUCGUUACUUCAAUCCAUUCUACCAACAAGACCAGAGGGAGAAGCUCUUGUGAAAUGGAAGAAUAGCCUAGCCCCGUCUUCUUUUCUCGAUUCUUGGUCACUAACCAAUCUCGAUAAUCUUUGUAACUGGACUGGCAUUACUUGUAACUCUGCAGGUUCAGUCUCUGGGAUUAACCUUUAUGAGAAACAACUUGAUGGAAUGCUGUCCGAGUUUGGCUUCACUUCAUUUCCGAAUCUCAACAAUCUCACCCUCGCAUACAACUUCUUCUCGGGUCCAAUACCACCAGCCAUUGAGAAUUUAACACAGCUUCAAUAUCUUGAUUUAAGCAUCAAUAGUCUCGAUGGUCCCAUUCCUUUCCAGGUUAGCCAUCUUCAGAGGUUGCUCGUCCUAAACCUGUCACAGAAUGCAUUGCAAGCUCCAAAUUGGUCCCAUUUCUCUUCCAUGCCUUUUUUGCGCAUCCUCAAGCUCAGUAGGAAUCAUCUUGUAUCGAAAUUUCCAGAAUUUAUAUCCAAUUCUCAUAGCUUGGCUAUCCUUGACCUUGGCCAGAACAACUUUACAGGUGAUCUUGUGCGUGAAUUUACCAAUCUACAAAAUCUUGAAACCCUCUGGCUUUAUCGUAAUUCUUUUGAGGGGCCAUUUCCGCCGGAUAUAGUCCAGCUUUCCAAACUAAAAGAUCUUGCCCUGUCAAGUAACAAAUUUUCAGGUUCAGUUCCCAAUAACAUAAGGUUGCUUUGUGAUCUUGAAUACCUAUAUUUAGGCAACAAUUCCUUUAAGGGGCCACUUCCACCAAAUAUAUUUAAGCUUUCAAAAUUAAAACAUCUUGUUCUUUGGAGUAAUAAGUUUUCAGGUUCUGUUUCCAAUGAUAUAGGUUUGCUUCAUGAGCUUGUAACCCUCAAUCUUAACUCUAAUUUUUUUGAGGGGCCGCUUCCGCCAAAUGUAUUCAAGCUCUCCAAACUAAAGUUUUUUGCCCUUCAUGAGAAUAACUUUUCAGGUUUUAUUUCUAAGGAUAUAGGUUUGCUUUCCGAACUUGAAAUCCUCUAUUUUGGCUCUAAUUUUUUUGAGGGGCCGCUUCCUCCACAUGUAUUUAGGCUCUCCAAAUUAAGAGGUCUGGACCUCUCACACAAUAGAAAUUUAUUUGAAGGAAGUAUUCCUAUUGGACUGGGACUCUUGACUAACCUCAGGUACUUAGAUCUACAUUCCAAUAAUCUCGGUGGCUAUAUUCCAUCUGACAUUGGAAACCUGAAGCUACUAGUACUUCUUGAUCUCGGUUCUAAUCAAUUGACUGGACCGCUUUCAAAGAUCGUUUCUAAUCUCACAAAUCUUAUAUGUCUUGAUGUAAGUCAUAAUAGUCUUAGUGGAAAUAUUCAGAGUGACUUGUGGAAAUAUAACGAUCAUCCAACUUUGGAAUACAUCAAUUUAAGUGGGAACCAUUUUACGGGUAUAGUUUUUCUCUAUAGAUCUUUUCCUUUUCUCAUAUGUAACUAAGCUAGUAAUCUGAUUAUUGCAGUUUCACCAAAGUUUCAACAAUCUUGACAGGUGAGCUUCCAACAACAAUUUGCAAUGUCACUUCCCUUUCGGUUCUUGAUUUGUCAAAUAAUGAAUUAAGUGGUGCACUUCCAAACUCUUUGGGGAAUCUUGCUGAUGGAAUGCUUUACCUUAAUCUUGCUAAUAAUCAGUUUCGAGGAACAAUACCAACUACUUUCUCCAGGAGUUGUCGGUUGACAUAUCUAAACAUGGAUAAUAAUGAGUUUGAAGGAUUGUUGCCCCCAUCUUUGGCGAACUGUAAGCACUUGAAAAUUCUUGAUAUAGGCAAUAAUAAAAUAGGUGGUACAUUUCCGUCAUGGCUUUAUGCACUUGGAGAGCUAGAAGUUCUUGUCUUGCGAUCAAAUAAACUCUAUGGUACAAUAAGUGGAAGGAGCAUAGAAGAUCCCUUCCCCAAGUUGCGGAUUGUGGAUCUGUCCCACAAUCAAUUGACAGGCUAUUUGCCAAUUCAAUACUUUAAGAAUAUGAAAUCAACUGAUAAUUUGUAUCGUUAUCAGAAUGACACAGGAGUUUUUUCUUUCCAUUAUGAAGCAUCUGUCUCAUUAACUGUGAAGGGAACAGAGUAUGAAGUGAAAAAUAUCCUUCAUAUUUACACAACCAUUGAUCUGUCCUGCAACAAGUUUCAAGGAGAAAUUCCUGACGUUAUUGGAGAGCUUAGAUGGCUUGCAUUGCUGAACUUAUCUCAUAAUAGUCUAACAGGACAUAUCCCAUCAUUGCUGAGAAAUAUGAAAGGACUCCAAUCUUUAGAUUUGUCUUCAAAUCAACUGAAAGGGGCUAUUCCACUUCAGUUAACUGCAUUGACAUUUCUAGAGGUCUUGAACCUCUCGGGAAACCAUCUUAGUGGAGAGAUUCCUCAGAAAGGGCAGUUCAGCACAUUUAACAUUGAUUCUUAUCUAGGAAACUCCGCGUUAUGUGGUUCACCUUUGAUGAAGAAAUGUGCAAACACAGCAUCACCUCCACAAGAAGCCGGAAAUGGUGAUGAAGAUGAAGCUGGUGAUGAAUUGACAUGGGAAGCAAUCGUGAUGGGAUAUGGAUGUGGACUGAUAUGUGGAUUGUCAUCUGCAUACAUUGUUCUCAAACUAGGAAAGCCUUGGUGGUUUGUGAGAUAUAUCGAAGUACUGCAACAGAAGUUGAUGAAAAGAUAUGCAUGAAGAAAGGUACUGGUAGAUCAAGAUGAACUUGAAAGUUGUUGUCGUGGUAGACAUUUGUGAACCAGUAGUGUACUAGCUGCAUAAGUAUUUGGUAUUAUGUAAUAAUCCGUUUGGUCGGGACUCAAAAUGAUUUCUCUUGCUUCAGGGGUAUUAAUAUUAACCUUGCUAUCUUGAUCAAUGUUAGGGCAAAUUAAAAAGAAUAUAAAAGCAAAAAAUUUGCAUCAAACACCUGUUGUACCAACAUGCAUCCAUUAAUUUGCUUUCAUCUAUUAAGUAACAAUUUAAGAGCGCUUCCACUCUGUUUAAGCAUGGAGAUAACACAAAGAAGGCAAGUCCAUGGACUAAUAUAUUAACACGUAGUCCACAUCUAUGGUAUGAACAAUUCAUAUUGCUCUUCUAUCUGUUCAACAGUCUCCCGAAGAUAGGCCAAAAAUGUCAUCUGUGGUUCUUAUGUUUGUCAGUGAAGGAGAAUCUCUGAUGCCUACACAACCUGGUGUUUUUACAGAAAGGAAUGUAGGUGAAACCAGGGGCGUAAAAUGAAUCAGGACUAAAAUCUGCUAAAAUGAUAAUUAUUUACUCAUCAUUCAAGAUUAGUCGGGCUCAAAGAUUUAUAUGGAUUUUAAGAACAAACUAUGACUAAAUAUGAAAAAAUCAUUAAUUUUUCCGACUCAAUAUUUUUUAGCCUCCCCCGGCCCUGGGUGAAACCAUAAGCUUCUCUGGUGCACAUCCAAAUCAUUCAGUUGGUUCUACUUUCAGCUCACCCACAGGAACAUCAUUCUGCAGGUACUCUUUUAUCUGUACUUUCUUAUAUUGUAUGCCAGUAAAUUUUAUAUCGACAAACUGCACAAUACACCUCGAUCUCAUAUUAUUGACAGGUGAGCUCCUCUCAUAAUGCUCACAGGCGAACCCCUGCAUAUAUACUUUGUGAUGUCAUUGAUGAUCGAUAGACUUGAAAAAAAAUUAUGACAAAGAUUCAUAAAAUAUCUACUUCCAUCCUAAUUCAGUAUUCAAUAUUAUUCAUUCGUAUCAUCAUCCAAUCAAUUCUAAUAGUUCUUCUUUAAAUCAGUACAAAUAUUGUUAAAUACCUGGAUGAUGGUUGUCUUUCCGCGAACCAAUCAUGAAAUUACCUCUGUAUAAAUCCAUCGGAAAUAAGACAGUUAAUAUCCCAAUCGAAUACACCCCGUCAGUUGUCAAACUCCUCGAAACGUAUUAAUCACUUUAGAAAAUUUGUUCCACUGGCGCUAGUCAGUCCCAGAGUUGGUGGUGGGUGCUUCUGGGCUUUCGAAAAGCACCCAUUUACUCCAUUGUUUAGAGAAGUAAAACCCCACCUUCCGCUCAUUUGAUUGAUCAGCUGAAUUAGGCAGAGUUUACAUGGUCAUGAUCAUAGUCUCCCAUAUAUCCCUGAUACGCACAUUAUAGUGGAUUUAUCUUUAUCAGUGAUUUCUGUGGAGAUGCAUAAUCAUUAUAAGCUCCAAUAUAAAAUUUUAAAGUUAGUAUGGGAAUUUGUGUUGAUAAUUUGCGCAAUGUUAACAGGAUUGCUCCCAAGUCUUGGACGGACUCUUUCAAAGUCUUCUCAGGACCCAUCUGCACACUAAUUUGUCUGCCAACUAAAAAAUCAACAAUAUGUUACUCCCUCCGUUUUUCUUAAACUGAGGUUAAAAUUUUUGACACAAGAUGGGUUGACAGUAUAAAAUUAAAAUAUUUGUGAAUAAAAAUUUUGGUUAUAUUUUUUAUUUAAAAAGAAAAUCUUGAAAAUAAUAUUAUUAACUACCAGUCAGAUCACUUAAGUGUAUGUCCAAAAUUAAAGCGGCAUAUAAAAAAAAGGGAGGAAGCAUGUACUAACUGUUUCCAUAACAGUUUACAAGUAUAAGCUAUACCCCCUCUCUAUUUUUUUCUAUGACAGCUUUGAUUUUGGGCACACAUUCUUAAGUGUUUUGACCGGAUAGUUAAAAAUUUAUCUUCUAAAAUUUUUAAAAAAAGUAAAAUCGCAAAAAAAAUUAGAAAGCUGGUAUUUUUGAUAAAUUUCCAAAUAUGUAAUCAAGAAAAAUAACUUUUACUAUCCAAUCAACUCAUUUAAAGAUGUGUGUCAAAAAUCAAAAUAUCAUACAAAAAAUAGGUAUACAUUUUUUUAAUAGAUUAUACUCCCUCUGUUCCAAAAUAAGUGUCAGCUGGGGGUAAUAACAAGACCUUAGUCAACCCAAGCACAGCAGACAGCAGGCAUAAGGCAUCAGGAAUUUCACAGGACCAUUAUCUUUCUCUUAUUAACUGUGAAGGGAACAGCGUAUGAAGUAGCAAGAACCUUCAUAUUUACACAGCCAUUGAUCUGUCGUGCAACAAAUUUCAGGGAGAAAUUCCAAAGGUUACCGGAGAGCUUAGAUGGCUUGCAUUGCUCAAUUUAUCGCAUAAUUAAUAGUCUGACAGGACCUAUCCCAACAUUGCUGAGAAAUAUGAAAUAACUCCAUUACUCCAAUCUUAGAUUUGUCCUCAAAUCAACUGACAGGGGCUAUUCCACCUCUGUUAACUGCAUUGACAUUACUUUUCUCUUUAUAUUCUUUCCUUUUGUAUGUACCUAUGCUAAUUAUCUGAUUAUUAAAAUUAUAACAAAGCUUCAAGAUUUUUAACAGGUGAGCUUCCACUAAAAAUUUGCAAAGUCACUUCCCUUUCGCGUCUCAUUAUGUUAGAUAAUGGGUCAAGUGGUGCACUUCCACAGUGUUUGGGGAACCUUUCUUUGCUUGGUUUCAAUAAUCUUGCUAAUUAUCAAUUUCAAGGACCAAUACCAACGACUGUCCAAGACUUGUCUGUGCAUAUCUAAACAUCCAUAACAAUCACUUUGAAGGUUUGUUGCUCCAAUCUUUGGCAAACUGUAAACACUUACAAAUUCUUGAUAUUGGAAACAACGUUGGAGAGCUAGAUGUCCCAGUUAGGGCGGUAAUUCGACUAGAGCAAACCGAGUUUUGAGCGGAGCCAAAUUCGAGCCAAGUUUAAUCGAGUCGAGCCGAGUCGGCUCGUUUAGCUAAUCGAGCCUAAAACUUAGCCCGAACUCGACUCAUUUAAUUUCACGAGUCGAGUCGAGCCAACUCGUUUAGCUAAAUGAGCUGAUUUUAACAAGUCGAGCGAGCGAGCUCGUAUAAUUUUAACUUAGUCGAGCCUGAAUCUCUACCCAAACUAUUGGCUCGUGUAAUUUCGCGAGUCGAAUCGAGCCGGCUCGUUUUAUUAAACAAGCCGAAAUUUUUGCCCGAAUUUGCUCGUUUAACAAGCCGAUCUGAGCCUAGUUAAAUGAGUUCGAGUUAGUCGAGCUCGCGAGCUGCGAGCUCACCUGCCAGCUCUAGUCCUAGUCUUGCAAUCAAAUAGGUUUAACGGUAUAGAAAGUGGAAGGAGCACAAGGCAUCCAUUCCCCAAGGCUAUUUACCAAUUCAGUACUUUGAGGAUACAAAAUCAUUCUGCAGGUACUCUUGUAUCUGUACUUUCUUGUACUGUAUGCCACUUUGACAGUAGAGUAAAAUUUAUAUCGACAAACUGCAUAUGUUCUGAACUACUCCUCUAUCCCAAAUUAGAUGAGCUAGUUGACUUUGAGCACGUAACUUAAGGUACAUUGACCAACUAGUUCCGAUAUUUAUUUUUUUAAUUUUUCUUUUGUAAAUGAAAAUUUCAUAUUUAAAUUUUUAUUUGCAAAACUAAAAUUUAAAAAUAUGUAAUGUGGCUAUGCGGUCAAUGUCAACGAGCUCAUCUAAUUUGGGAUUGGGAUGCAGGGAGUAUUACGUACUAUGUUAUGCAAGCUGUUUACAACUUUCAUCAAAAUUUUCAAACAUUUCUGAAUAUGUAUUUUCAAAGAAUUCUCGGGCACUCUUAAGGCCUAUAAUUAUUGGAACUCUCACGUUAUGGACCAGAGGACCACUAUGUAUUUUACAAGCACGACGAAUCAUGUGGUCAUUAUGGACUCCCCAAGCCUUAGAGGACUCAUUCCAGGUUUUAGGAGGACCACUGCCUAGCUCACCCUUUCGGAGUGAUGUAAAUUAGUUUCCAGACACUAAAAAUAAGUAAUCAGAUUAAUCAUUACAAAAUUUUGAUAUAAAAUCAGAAUAAAUCCUAAACUUUGAUGAUACAAAAAAAAUUAUAAUUGUAAAUUAUACAAUCAAAUUAAGAUCGAAUUAACUUCCCUCACACUUAAAAUUUAUAGCGAUCAAAUCAAAAUCGAAUUAACUUUCCUAUUACUAAAAUUUAAUUACAAUAUUAUUAGAUAAAGAGAAUAUAUAAUAAUCAAGAGAAAAUAGAUUUUUUUUUGCCACUCAACUUAUUGUGUUUUAAGAAACUUACCACCCAACUAAAUUUUUUUCCUUUUGCUCACUAAUGUUAGGUUUGGAUUUGUUUUUAGCCACCAAAUAAGGUUCGGAUUUGAUUACCAGCAUUAUGAUAAUUUUUUUUGUCACUAAACUUAUUGCGUCUUUAGAAACUAACCACUGAACUAAAUUUUUUUUAUUUUACUCACUAAUGUUAGAUUUAGUUUUUUUUGUCACUAUAGUUAGGUUCAGAUUUGAUUAUUAGCAUUACAUUAAUUCUGUGUAGCAUUUUUAAAAUAUGGUAGUAGUCUGUGAUAUUUAGAUGAUUUGAUAUAUGUCUGUAUUUUUAUAUAUAGUAUAUUUUAUGUCCCCAAGGUCGUUUACCUUGGGUCAUAAAAAUUUUACACUCAUUUUAUGACUUUUAAAAGAUGUAGUUUCAUAAAUAAUUUUAUUUUUUUCUUUCGAAUUAAAAUUCAGCAUUUGAAUUUUACACACAAAAAAAUCGCAAGAAUAAGAUAUGAAACUAUGCUUUACAAGAGUCUUAAAAUACGUGCUAAACGGUAGAAAAAACUGUAAACUAAUGAGAGGUACAUAGGGAGUAAUAAUAACAUAAAAUGAUGCACAAUCAUCGAAUUAAGUUUUCCUCUCUCUAUAUAUUUAUUUUGUAAAUUUUAAUAAGAUAAAGUUAUUAAAAUUUAUGAUAUAAAUUUAAGAGAUAUCUUAGAUUGAGUGGCAAAAAUUUAGUUGGGUGGUAAGUUUCUAAAAACACAAUAAAUUGAGUGGGAACAAAAUCUAUUUUCCCAAUAAUGAGUGGGAAUAAAAUCUAUUUUCCCAAUAAUCAAAGUGACGAAAAAUCAAAGUCAUCUAAUAAGUCCAGAAAAAAUAUGACCAUUAGUAUAUUGAAAUAAUAUUCACGCAUUUAUAUACGAGAAUAUAUGGUCCACAAGUUAGUGCACAAUGUCCAAGAAUCUUUAUCAAAUAACACGGCAAGCAUGCAGCAUAUAAAUAAGAGUGGGCAGUAUGGUAUUGCAUUCAUAACCCACUUGAGCAGAAAUAUGGCACACUUCCUAAAGCCUUCUCACCUUCUUCUCUUUGUUUUCUUUCUCUCGUUACUUCAAUCCAUUCUACCAACAAGACCAGAGGGAGAAGCUCUUGUGAAAUGGAAGAAUAGCCUAGCCCCGUCUUCUUUUCUCGAUUCUUGGUCACUAACCAAUCUCGAUAAUCUUUGUAACUGGACUGGCAUUACUUGUAACUCUGCAGGUUCAGUCUCUGGGAUUAACCUUUAUGAGAAACAACUUGAUGGAAUGCUGUCCGAGUUUGGCUUCACUUCAUUUCCGAAUCUCAACAAUCUCACCCUCGCAUACAACUUCUUCUCGGGUCCAAUACCACCAGCCAUUGAGAAUUUAACACAGCUUCAAUAUCUUGAUUUAAGCAUCAAUAGUCUCGAUGGUCCCAUUCCUUUCCAGGUUAGCCAUCUUCAGAGGUUGCUCGUCCUAAACCUGUCACAGAAUGCAUUGCAAGCUCCAAAUUGGUCCCAUUUCUCUUCCAUGCCUUUUUUGCGCAUCCUCAAGCUCAGUAGGAAUCAUCUUGUAUCNUUUUUAUUUAAAAAGAAAAUCUUGAAAAUAAUAUUAUUAACUACCAGUCAGAUCACUUAAGUGUAUGUCCAAAAUUAAAGCGGCAUAUAAAAAAAAGGGAGGAAGCAUGUACUAACUGUUUCCAUAACAGUUUACAAGUAUAAGCUAUACCCCCUCUCUAUUUUUUUCUAUGACAGCUUUGAUUUUGGGCACACAUUCUUAAGUGUUUUGACCGGAUAGUUAAAAAUUUAUCUUCUAAAAUUUUUAAAAAAAGUAAAAUCGCAAAAAAAAUUAGAAAGCUGGUAUUUUUGAUAAAUUUCCAAAUAUGUAAUCAAGAAAAAUAACUUUUACUAUCCAAUCAACUCAUUUAAAGAUGUGUGUCAAAAAUCAAAAUAUCAUACAAAAAAUAGGUAUACAUUUUUUUAAUAGAUUAUACUCCCUCUGUUCCAAAAUAAGUGUCAGCUGGGGGUAAUAACAAGACCUUAGUCAACCCAAGCACAGCAGACAGCAGGCAUAAGGCAUCAGGAAUUUCACAGGACCAUUAUCUUUCUCUUAUUAACUGUGAAGGGAACAGCGUAUGAAGUAGCAAGAACCUUCAUAUUUACACAGCCAUUGAUCUGUCGUGCAACAAAUUUCAGGGAGAAAUUCCAAAGGUUACCGGAGAGCUUAGAUGGCUUGCAUUGCUCAAUUUAUCGCAUAAUUAAUAGUCUGACAGGACCUAUCCCAACAUUGCUGAGAAAUAUGAAAUAACUCCAUUACUCCAAUCUUAGAUUUGUCCUCAAAUCAACUGACAGGGGCUAUUCCACCUCUGUUAACUGCAUUGACAUUACUUUUCUCUUUAUAUUCUUUCCUUUUGUAUGUACCUAUGCUAAUUAUCUGAUUAUUAAAAUUAUAACAAAGCUUCAAGAUUUUUAACAGGUGAGCUUCCACUAAAAAUUUGCAAAGUCACUUCCCUUUCGCGUCUCAUUAUGUUAGAUAAUGGGUCAAGUGGUGCACUUCCACAGUGUUUGGGGAACCUUUCUUUGCUUGGUUUCAAUAAUCUUGCUAAUUAUCAAUUUCAAGGACCAAUACCAACGACUGUCCAAGACUUGUCUGUGCAUAUCUAAACAUCCAUAACAAUCACUUUGAAGGUUUGUUGCUCCAAUCUUUGGCAAACUGUAAACACUUACAAAUUCUUGAUAUUGGAAACAACGUUGGAGAGCUAGAUGUCCCAGUUAGGGCGGUAAUUCGACUAGAGCAAACCGAGUUUUGAGCGGAGCCAAAUUCGAGCCAAGUUUAAUCGAGUCGAGCCGAGUCGGCUCGUUUAGCUAAUCGAGCCUAAAACUUAGCCCGAACUCGACUCAUUUAAUUUCACGAGUCGAGUCGAGCCAACUCGUUUAGCUAAAUGAGCUGAUUUUAACAAGUCGAGCGAGCGAGCUCGUAUAAUUUUAACUUAGUCGAGCCUGAAUCUCUACCCAAACUAUUGGCUCGUGUAAUUUCGCGAGUCGAAUCGAGCCGGCUCGUUUUAUUAAACAAGCCGAAAUUUUUGCCCGAAUUUGCUCGUUUAACAAGCCGAUCUGAGCCUAGUUAAAUGAGUUCGAGUUAGUCGAGCUCGCGAGCUGCGAGCUCACCUGCCAGCUCUAGUCCUAGUCUUGCAAUCAAAUAGGUUUAACGGUAUAGAAAGUGGAAGGAGCACAAGGCAUCCAUUCCCCAAGGCUAUUUACCAAUUCAGUACUUUGAGGAUACAAAAUCAUUCUGCAGGUACUCUUGUAUCUGUACUUUCUUGUACUGUAUGCCACUUUGACAGUAGAGUAAAAUUUAUAUCGACAAACUGCAUAUGUUCUGAACUACUCCUCUAUCCCAAAUUAGAUGAGCUAGUUGACUUUGAGCACGUAACUUAAGGUACAUUGACCAACUAGUUCCGAUAUUUAUUUUUUUAAUUUUUCUUUUGUAAAUGAAAAUUUCAUAUUUAAAUUUUUAUUUGCAAAACUAAAAUUUAAAAAUAUGUAAUGUGGCUAUGCGGUCAAUGUCAACGAGCUCAUCUAAUUUGGGAUUGGGAUGCAGGGAGUAUUACGUACUAUGUUAUGCAAGCUGUUUACAACUUUCAUCAAAAUUUUCAAACAUUUCUGAAUAUGUAUUUUCAAAGAAUUCUCGGGCACUCUUAAGGCCUAUAAUUAUUGGAACUCUCACGUUAUGGACCAGAGGACCACUAUGUAUUUUACAAGCACGACGAAUCAUGUGGUCAUUAUGGACUCCCCAAGCCUUAGAGGACUCAUUCCAGGUUUUAGGAGGACCACUGCCUAGCUCACCCUUUCGGAGUGAUGUAAAUUAGUUUCCAGACACUAAAAAUAAGUAAUCAGAUUAAUCAUUACAAAAUUUUGAUAUAAAAUCAGAAUAAAUCCUAAACUUUGAUGAUACAAAAAAAAUUAUAAUUGUAAAUUAUACAAUCAAAUUAAGAUCGAAUUAACUUCCCUCACACUUAAAAUUUAUAGCGAUCAAAUCAAAAUCGAAUUAACUUUCCUAUUACUAAAAUUUAAUUACAAUAUUAUUAGAUAAAGAGAAUAUAUAAUAAUCAAGAGAAAAUAGAUUUUUUUUUGCCACUCAACUUAUUGUGUUUUAAGAAACUUACCACCCAACUAAAUUUUUUUCCUUUUGCUCACUAAUGUUAGGUUUGGAUUUGUUUUUAGCCACCAAAUAAGGUUCGGAUUUGAUUACCAGCAUUAUGAUAAUUUUUUUUGUCACUAAACUUAUUGCGUCUUUAGAAACUAACCACUGAACUAAAUUUUUUUUAUUUUACUCACUAAUGUUAGAUUUAGUUUUUUUUGUCACUAUAGUUAGGUUCAGAUUUGAUUAUUAGCAUUACAUUAAUUCUGUGUAGCAUUUUUAAAAUAUGGUAGUAGUCUGUGAUAUUUAGAUGAUUUGAUAUAUGUCUGUAUUUUUAUAUAUAGUAUAUUUUAUGUCCCCAAGGUCGUUUACCUUGGGUCAUAAAAAUUUUACACUCAUUUUAUGACUUUUAAAAGAUGUAGUUUCAUAAAUAAUUUUAUUUUUUUCUUUCGAAUUAAAAUUCAGCAUUUGAAUUUUACACACAAAAAAAUCGCAAGAAUAAGAUAUGAAACUAUGCUUUACAAGAGUCUUAAAAUACGUGCUAAACGGUAGAAAAAACUGUAAACUAAUGAGAGGUACAUAGGGAGUAAUAAUAACAUAAAAUGAUGCACAAUCAUCGAAUUAAGUUUUCCUCUCUCUAUAUAUUUAUUUUGUAAAUUUUAAUAAGAUAAAGUUAUUAAAAUUUAUGAUAUAAAUUUAAGAGAUAUCUUAGAUUGAGUGGCAAAAAUUUAGUUGGGUGGUAAGUUUCUAAAAACACAAUAAAUUGAGUGGGAACAAAAUCUAUUUUCCCAAUAAUGAGUGGGAAUAAAAUCUAUUUUCCCAAUAAUCAAAGUGACGAAAAAUCAAAGUCAUCUAAUAAGUCCAGAAAAAAUAUGACCAUUAGUAUAUUGAAAUAAUAUUCACGCAUUUAUAUACGAGAAUAUAUGGUCCACAAGUUAGUGCACAAUGUCCAAGAAUCUUUAUCAAAUAACACGGCAAGCAUGCAGCAUAUAAAUAAGAGUGGGCAGUAUGGUAUUGCAUUCAUAACCCACUUGAGCAGAAAUAUGGCACACUUCCUAAAGCCUUCUCACCUUCUUCUCUUUGUUUUCUUUCUCUCGUUACUUCAAUCCAUUCUACCAACAAGACCAGAGGGAGAAGCUCUUGUGAAAUGGAAGAAUAGCCUAGCCCCGUCUUCUUUUCUCGAUUCUUGGUCACUAACCAAUCUCGAUAAUCUUUGUAACUGGACUGGCAUUACUUGUAACUCUGCAGGUUCAGUCUCUGGGAUUAACCUUUAUGAGAAACAACUUGAUGGAAUGCUGUCCGAGUUUGGCUUCACUUCAUUUCCGAAUCUCAACAAUCUCACCCUCGCAUACAACUUCUUCUCGGGUCCAAUACCACCAGCCAUUGAGAAUUUAACACAGCUUCAAUAUCUUGAUUUAAGCAUCAAUAGUCUCGAUGGUCCCAUUCCUUUCCAGGUUAGCCAUCUUCAGAGGUUGCUCGUCCUAAACCUGUCACAGAAUGCAUUGCAAGCUCCAAAUUGGUCCCAUUUCUCUUCCAUGCCUUUUUUGCGCAUCCUCAAGCUCAGUAGGAAUCAUCUUGUAUCGAAAUUUCCAGAAUUUAUAUCCAAUUCUCAUAGCUUGGCUAUCCUUGACCUUGGCCAGAACAACUUUACAGGUGAUCUUGUGCGUGAAUUUACCAAUCUACAAAAUCUUGAAACCCUCUGGCUUUAUCGUAAUUCUUUUGAGGGGCCAUUUCCGCCGGAUAUAGUCCAGCUUUCCAAACUAAAAGAUCUUGCCCUGUCAAGUAACAAAUUUUCAGGUUCAGUUCCCAAUAACAUAAGGUUGCUUUGUGAUCUUGAAUACCUAUAUUUAGGCAACAAUUCCUUUAAGGGGCCACUUCCACCAAAUAUAUUUAAGCUUUCAAAAUUAAAACAUCUUGUUCUUUGGAGUAAUAAGUUUUCAGGUUCUGUUUCCAAUGAUAUAGGUUUGCUUCAUGAGCUUGUAACCCUCAAUCUUAACUCUAAUUUUUUUGAGGGGCCGCUUCCGCCAAAUGUAUUCAAGCUCUCCAAACUAAAGUUUUUUGCCCUUCAUGAGAAUAACUUUUCAGGUUUUAUUUCUAAGGAUAUAGGUUUGCUUUCCGAACUUGAAAUCCUCUAUUUUGGCUCUAAUUUUUUUGAGGGGCCGCUUCCUCCACAUGUAUUUAGGCUCUCCAAAUUAAGAGGUCUGGACCUCUCACACAAUAGAAAUUUAUUUGAAGGAAGUAUUCCUAUUGGACUGGGACUCUUGACUAACCUCAGGUACUUAGAUCUACAUUCCAAUAAUCUCGGUGGCUAUAUUCCAUCUGACAUUGGAAACCUGAAGCUACUAGUACUUCUUGAUCUCGGUUCUAAUCAAUUGACUGGACCGCUUUCAAAGAUCGUUUCUAAUCUCACAAAUCUUAUAUGUCUUGAUGUAAGUCAUAAUAGUCUUAGUGGAAAUAUUCAGAGUGACUUGUGGAAAUAUAACGAUCAUCCAACUUUGGAAUACAUCAAUUUAAGUGGGAACCAUUUUACGGGUAUAGUUUUUCUCUAUAGAUCUUUUCCUUUUCUCAUAUGUAACUAAGCUAGUAAUCUGAUUAUUGCAGUUUCACCAAAGUUUCAACAAUCUUGACAGGUGAGCUUCCAACAACAAUUUGCAAUGUCACUUCCCUUUCGGUUCUUGAUUUGUCAAAUAAUGAAUUAAGUGGUGCACUUCCAAACUCUUUGGGGAAUCUUGCUGAUGGAAUGCUUUACCUUAAUCUUGCUAAUAAUCAGUUUCGAGGAACAAUACCAACUACUUUCUCCAGGAGUUGUCGGUUGACAUAUCUAAACAUGGAUAAUAAUGAGUUUGAAGGAUUGUUGCCCCCAUCUUUGGCGAACUGUAAGCACUUGAAAAUUCUUGAUAUAGGCAAUAAUAAAAUAGGUGGUACAUUUCCGUCAUGGCUUUAUGCACUUGGAGAGCUAGAAGUUCUUGUCUUGCGAUCAAAUAAACUCUAUGGUACGAUAAGUGGAAGGAGCAUAGAAGAUCCCUUCCCCAAGUUGCGGAUUGUGGAUCUGUCCCACAAUCAAUUGACAGGCUAUUUGCCAAUUCAAUACUUUAAGAAUAUGAAAUCAACUGAUAAUUUGUAUCGUUAUCGGAAUUCCACAGGACCAUUAUCUUUCUCUUAUGAAGCAGCAGUCUCAUUAACUGUGAAGGGAACAGAGUACGAGGUAGCAAAGAACCUUCAUAUUUACACAGCCAUUGACCUGUCGUGCAACAAAUUUCAGGGAGAAAUUCCAAAGGUUACUGGAGAGCUUAGAUGGCUUGCAUUGCUGAAUUUAUCUCAUAAUAGUCUGACAGGACCUAUCCCAUCCUUGCUGAAAAAUAUGAAAGAACUCCAAUCUUUAGAUUUGUCCUCAAAUCAACUGACAGGGGCUAUUCCACCUCAGUUAACUGCAUUGACAUUUCUGGAGGUCUUCAACCUCUCGGGAAACCAUCUUAGUGGAGAGAUUCCUCAGAAAGGGCAGUUCAGCACAUUUAACAAUGAUUCUUAUCUAGGAAACUCCGCGUUAUGUGGAUCACCUUUGACAAAGAAAUGUGCAAACACAGCAUCACCUCCACAAGAAGUCGGAAAUGGUGAUGAAGAUGAUGCUGGUGAUGAAUGGACAUGGGAAGCAAUCGUGAUGGGAUAUGGAUGUGGACUGAUAUGUGGAUUGUCAUCUGCGUACAUUGUUCUCAAACUAGGAAAGCCUUGGUGGUUUGUGAGAUAUAUCGAAGUGCUGCAACUGAAGUUGAUGAAAAGAUAUGCUUGAAAAAUUGUACUGGCCGAUCAAGACGAACUUGAAAGUUGUUGUCCUUGUGGACAUUUCUGAACCAGUAGUGUACUAGCUGCAUAAGUAUUUGGUAUUAUGUAAUAAUCCGUUUGGUCAGGACUCAUAAUGAUUUCUCUUGCUUCAGGGGUAUUAAUAUUAACCUUGCUAGUUAAUUCAAAUUAAAACAAAUAUAAAAUCAAAAAAUUUGCAUCAAACACCUGUUAUACCAACAUCCAUUAAUUUGCUUUCAUCUCUUACGUAACAAUUUAACAGCGAUUCCACACUGUUUUAGGCAUGGAGAUUACACAAAGAAGGCAAGUCCAUGAACUAAUAUAUUAACCCGUAGUCCACAUCUAUGCUACGAACAAUUCAUAUUGGUCUUCCAUCUAUUCAACCGUCUCCCGAAGAUAGGCCAAAAAUGUCAUCUGUGGUUCUUAUCUUUGUCAGUAAAGGAGAAUCUCUGAUGCCUAUACAACCUGGUUUUCUUACAGAAAGGAAUGUAGGUGAAACCAGGGGCAUAAAAUGAAUCGGGACUAAAAUCUGCUAAAAUGAUAAUUAUUUACUCAUCAUUCGAGAUUAGUCGGGCUCAAAUGAAGAUUUAUAUGGAUUUUAAGAACAAACUAUGACUAAAUAUGAAAACUAGACAACCUGGUUUUCUUACAGAAAGGAAUGUAGGUGAAACCAGGGGCGUAAAAUGAAUCGGGACUAAAAUCUGCUAAAAUGAUAGUAAUUAUUUACUCAUCAUUCAAGAUUAGUCGGGCUCAAAUGAAGAUUUAUAUGGAUUUUUAAGAACAAACUAUGACUAAAUAUGAAAAAAAUCAUUAAUUUUUCCGACUCAAUAUUUUUUAGCCUCCCCCGGCCCUGGGUGAAACCAUAAGCUUCUCUGGUGCACAUCCAAAUCAUUCAGCUGGUUCUGCAGGUACUCUUCUAUCUGUACUUUCUUAUAUUGUUUGCCAGUACAUUUUAUAUCGACAAACUGCACAAUACACCUCGAUCUCAUACACAGGUGAACUCCUGCAUAUGCUUUGUGAUGUCAUUGAUGAUCGAUAGACUUGAAAAAAAAUUAUGACAAAGAUUCAUAAAAUAUCUACUUCCAUCCUAAUUCAGUAUUCAAUAUUAUUCAUCCCGUAUCAUCAUCCAAUCAAUUCUAAUAGUUCUUCUUUAAAUCAGUACAAAUAUUGUUAAAUACCUCGAUGAUGGUUGUCUUCCCGUGAACCAAUCAUAAAAUUACCUCUGUAUAAAUCCAUCGGAAAUAAGACAGUUAAUAUCCCAAUCGAAUACACCCCGUCAGUUGUCAAACUCCUCGAAACGUAUUAAUCACUUUAGAAAAUUUGUUCCACUGGCGCUAGUCAGUCCCAGAGUUGGUGGUGGGUGCUUCUGGGCUUUCGAAAAACACCCAUUUACUCCAUUGUUUAGAGAAGUAAAACCCCACCUUCCGCUCAUUUGAUUGAUCAGCUGAAUUAGGCAGAGUUUACAUGGUCAUGAUCAUAGUCUCCCAUUUCCCAGAUACGCGAAUUAUAGUGGAUUUAUCUUUAUCAGUAAUUUCUGUGGAGAUGCAUAAUCAUUAUAAGCUCCAAUAUAAAAAUUUAAAGUUAGUAUGGGCAUUUGUGUUGAUAAUUUGCGCAAUGUUAACAGGAUUGCUCCCAAGUCUUGGACGGACUCUUUCAAAGUCUUCUCAGGACCCAUCUGCACACUGAUUUGUCUGCCAACUAAAAAAUCAACAAUAUGUUACUCACUCCGUUUUUCUUAAACGAGGUUAAAAUUUUUGACACAAGAUGGGUUGACAGUAUAAUAAAAUUAACAUUUUUGUGAAUAAAAAUUUUGGUUGUAUUAUUUUAUUUAGAAAAAGAAAAUCUUGAAAAUAAUAUUAUUAACUACCCAGUCAAAUCACUUAAAAGUAUAUGUCCAAAAUUAAAGCGGCAUAUAAAAAAACCGAGAGAGAGUAUGUACUAACCUGUUUCCAUAACAGUUUACAAGUAUAAGUUAUACUCCCUCUCUAUUUUUUUAUAUGACGCUUUGAUUUUGGGCACAUAUUUUUAAGUGUUUUGACCGGAUAAUUAAAAAUAUUAUUUUCUAAAAUUUUUAAAAGAAAGUAAAAUUGAAAAAAAAAUAGAAAGCUGGUAUUUUUGAUAAAUUUCCAAACAUAAUCAAGAACAAUAAUUUUUACUAUCCAAUCAACUCAUUUACAGAUGUGUGUCAAAAAUCAAAAUAUCAUAUAAAAAACAACAAUAUGUUACUCCCUCCGUUUUUCUUAAACUGAGGUUAAAAUUUUUGACACAAGAUGGGUUGACAGUAUAAAAUUAAAAUUUUUGUGAAUAAAAAUUUUGGUUAUAUUUUUUAUUUAAAAAGAAAAUCUUGAAAAUAAUAUUAUUAACUACCAGUCAGAUCACUUAAGUGUAUGUCCAAAAUUAAAGCGGCAUAUAAAAAAAAGGGAGGAAGCAUGUACUAACUGUUUCCAUAACAGUUUACAAGUACAAGUUAUACUCCCUCUCUAUUUUUUCUAUGACGCUUUGAUUUUGGGCACACAUUCUUAAGUGUUUUGACCGGAUAGUUAAAAAUUUAUCUUCUAAAAUUUUUAAAAAGAAGUAAAAUCGCAAAAAAAAUUAGAAAGCUGGUAUUUUUGAUAAAUUUCCAAAUAUGUAAUCAAGAACAAUAACUUUUACUAUCCAAUCAACUCAUUUAAAGAUGUGUGUCAAAAAUCAAAAUAUCAUACAAAAAAUAGGUAUACAUUUUUUUUAAUAGAUUAUACUCCCUCUGUUCCAAAAUAAUUGUCAGCUGUGACAUUUUGCAAAAGUAGCUGGGGGGUAAUAACAAGACCUUAGUCAACCCAAGCACAGCAGACAGCAGGCAUAAGGCAUCAGGAAUUUCACAGCACCAUUAUCUUUCUCUUAUUAACUGUGAAGGGAACAGAGUAUGAAGUAGCAAGAACCUUCAUAUUUACACAGCCAUUGAUCUGUCGUGCAACGAAUUUCAGGGAGAAAUUUCAAAGGUUACUGGAGAGCUUAGAUGGCUUGCAUUGCUCAAUUUAUCUCAUAAUAGUCUCACAGGACCUAUCCCAUCAUUGCUGAGAAAAAUGAAAGAACUCCAAUCUUUAGAUUUGUCCUCAAAUCAACUGACAGGGGCUAUUCCACCUCAGUUAACUGCAUUGACAUUACUUUUCUCUUUAUAUCCUUUCCUUUUGUAUGUACCUAUGCUAAUUAUCUGAUUAUCAAAAUUAUAACAAAGCUUCAAGAUUUUUAACAGGUGAGCUUCCACUAAAAAUUUGCAAAGUCACUUCCCUUUCGCGUCUCAUUAUGUCAGAUAAUGGGUCAAGUGGUGCACAUCCACAGUGUUUGGGGAACCUUUCUUUGCUUGGUUUCAAUAAUCUUGCUAAUUAUCAAUUUCAAGGACCAAUACCAACGACUGUCCAAGACUUGUCUGUGCAUAUCUAAACAUCCAUAACAAUCACUUUGAAGGUUUGUUGCUGCAAUCUUUGACAAACUGUAAACACUUACAAAUUCUUGAUAUUGGAAACAACAAAAUAGGUGGUACAUUUCGGUCAUGGCUAUUUAUUUUGGAGAGCUAGAUGUCCUAGUUAGGGCGGUAAUUCAACUAGAGCAAACCGAGUUUUGAGCGGAGCCAAAUUCGAGCCAAGUUUAAUCGAGUCAAGCCGAGUCGGCUCGUUUAGCUAAUCGAGCCUAAAACUCUGCCCGAACUCGACUCGUUUAAUUUCACGAACGAGUCAAGCGAGUGAGCUCGUAUAAUUUUAACUUAAUCGAGCCUAAAUCUCUACCCGAACUAUUGGCUCGUGUAAUUUCGCGAGUAGAAUCGAGCCGGCUCGUUUUAUUAUAGAAGCCGAAAUUUUUGCCCGAAUUUGGCUUGUUUAACAAGCCGAUCUUUCAUCAAAAAUUUCAAACAUUUCUGAAUAUGUAUUUUCAGAGAAUUUCUCCAGCACUCUUAAGGCCUAUAAUUAUUGCAACUCUCACGUUAUGGACCACUGUGUAUUUUACAAGCACGACGAAUCAUGUUGUCAUUAUGGACUCCCCAAGCCUUAGAGGACUCAUUCCAGGUCUUAGGAGGACCACUGCCUAGCUCACCCUUUCGGAGUGAUGUAAAUUAUUUUCCAAACAUUAAAAAUAAAUAAUCAGAUUAAUCAAUACAAAAUUAAAGAUAUAAAAUCAGAAUAAAUCCUAAACUUUGAAUAUACAAAAAAAAUUAUAAUUGUAAAUUAUACAAUCAAAUUAAAAUUGAAUUAACUUCCCUCACACUUAAAAUUUAUAGCGAUCAAAUCAAAAUCGAAUUAACUUUCCUAUUACUAAAAUUUAGUUACAAUAUUAUUAGAUAAAGAGAAUAUAUAAUAAUCAAGGGAAAAUAGAUUUUUUUUUUUUGCCACUCAACUUAUUGUUUUUUAAGAAACUUACCACCCAACUAAUUAUUUUUUCCUUUUGCUCACUAAUGUUAGGUUUGGAUUUGUUUUUAGCCACCAACUAAGGUUCGGAUUUGAUUACUAGCAUUAUGAUAAUUUUUUUUGUCACUAAACUUAUUGUGUCUUUAGAAACUAACCACUCAACUAAUUUUUUUUUAAUUUACUCACUAAUGUUAGGUUCAGUUUUUUUUUGUCACUGAAGUUAGGUUCGGAUUUGAUUAUUAGCAUUACAUUAAUUCUGUGUAGCAUUUUUAAAAUAUGGCUCAUAAGAAUUUUACACGCAUUUUAUGACUUUUAAAAGAUGUAGUUUCAUUAAUAAUUUUAUUUUUUUCUUCCGAAUUAAAAUUUAGCGUUUGAAUUUUACACACAAAAAAUCGAAAGAAUAAGUUAUGAAAGUAUGCUUUAUAAGAGUCUUAAAAUACGUGCUAAACGGUAGAAAAAACUGUACACUAAUGACAGGUAAAUAGGGAGUAAUAAUAACAUAAAAUGAUGCACAAUCAUCGAAUUAAGUUUUCCUCUCUCUAUAUAUUUAUUUUGAAAAUUUUAAUAAGAUAAAGUUAUUAAAAUUUAUGAUAUAAAUUUAAGAGAUAUCUUAGAUUGAGUGGCAAAAAUUUAGUUGGGUGAUAAAUUUCUAAAAACACAAUAAAUUGAAUGGGAACAAAAUCUAUUUUCCCGAUAAUCAAAGUGACGAAAAAUCAAAGUCAUCUAAUAAGUCCAGAAAAAAUAUGACCAUUAGUAUAUCGGAAUAAUAUUCACACAUUUAUAUACGAGAAUAUAUGGUCCACAAGUUAGUGCACAAUGUCCAAGAAUCUUUAUUAAAGUAACACGGCAAGCAUGCAGCAUAUAAAUAAGAGUGGGCACUGGGCAGUAUGGUAUUGCAUUCAUAACCCACUUGAGGAGAAAUAUGGCACACUUCCUAAAGCCUUCUCACCUUCUUCUCUUUGUUUUCUUUCUCUCGUUACUUCAAUCCAUUCUACUAACAAGACCAGAGGGAGAAGCUCUUGUGAAAUGGAAGAAUAGCCUUGCCCCUUCUUCUUUUCUCGAUUCUUGGUCACUCACCAAUCUCGAUGAUCUUUGUAACUGGACUGGCAUUACUUGUAACUCUGCAGGUUCAGUCUCUGAGAUUAACCUUUAUGAGAAACAACUUGAUGGAAUGCUGUCCGAGUUUAGUUUCACUUCAUUUCCAAAUCUUAACAGUCUCACUCUCGCAUACAACUUCUUCUCGGGUCCAAUACCACCAGCCAUUGAGAAUUUAACACAGCUUCAAUAUCUUGAUUUAAGCAUCAAUAGUCUCGAUGGUCUCAUUCCGUUCCAGGUUAGCCAUCUUCAGAGGUUGCUCGUCUUAAACCUGUCACAGAAUGCAUUGCAAGCUCCAAAUUGGUCCCAAUUCUCUCCCAUGCCCUUUUUGUGCAGCCUCAACCUCAGUAGCAAUCCUCUUGCGUCGAAAUUCCCAAAUUUCAUAUCCAAUUCUCAUGGCCUGACUCACCUUAGCCUUGAUCAAAACGAGUUUACAGGUGAUUUAGCGCGUGAAUCAAUAUUUGCCAAUCUGCAUAAUCUUGAAGUCCUCAGUCUUGUUGGCAAUUCUUUUGAGGGGCCAUUUCUGCCAAAUAUAUUCAAGCUUUCCAAAUUAAAACGUCUCACCCUGUCAAGUAACAAAUUUUUAGGAUCAAUUCCCAAUGACAUAAGGUUGCUUUGUGAUCUUGAAUUCCUGUAUUUAGGAAACAAUUCUUUUGAAGGACCGCUUCCACCAAAUAUAUUCAAGCUUUCAAAAUUAAAACAUCUUGUUCUUUGGAGUAAUAAGUUUUCAGGUUCUGUUUCCAAUGAUAUAGGUUUGCUUUCUGCGCUUGAACUUUUGAAUCUUCACUCUAAUUUUUUUGAGGGGCCGCUUCCGCCAAAUGUAUUCAAGCUCUCUAAACUAAGGUUUCUUAACCUCUGGGGUAACAACUUUUCAGGUUCUGUUUCCAAUGAUAUAGGUUUGCUUCCGGAGCUAGAAAUCCUCAAUCUUCACUCUAAUUUUUUUGAGGGCCGCUUCCGCCAAAUAUAUUCAAGCUCUCUAAACUAAGGUUUCUUAACCUUUGGGGUAAUAACUUUUCAGGUUCUGUUUCCAAUGAUAUAGGUUUGCUUCCUGAGCUAGAAUUCCUCAAUCUUCACUCUAAUUUUUUUGAGGGUCCGCUUCCGCCAAAUGUAUUCAAGCUCUCUAAACUAAAGUUUCUUCAUCUUCGAGGUAAUAAGUUUUCAGGUUCUGUUUCCAAUGAUAUAGGUUUGCUUCCUGAGCUUGAAAUCCUCAAUCUUCGCUCUAAUUUUUUUGAGGGGCCGCUUCCGCCAAAUGUAUUCAAGCUCUCCAAACUAAGGUUUCUUUCCCUUAAGGAAAAUAAAUUUUCAGGUUCUGUUUCCAAUGAUAUAGGUUUCCUUUCUGAGCUUGAAUACCUAUAUCUUGACUAUAAUUUAUUUGAAGGAAGUAUUCCUAUUGGACUGGGACUCUUGACUAACCUCAGCUACUUAGAUCUAAGUUCCAAUAAUCUCAGUGGCUAUAUUCCAUCUGACAUUGGAAACCUGAAGCUACUAGUAUUUCUUGAUCUCAGUUCUAACCAAUUGACUGGACCGCUUUUAAAGAUCGUUUCUAAUCUCACAAAUCUUAUGAAUCUUGAUGUAAGUGAUAAUAGUCUUAGUGGAAAUAUUCAGAGUGACUUGUGGAAGAACUCUAUAUCCUUACGUUACAUUAAUUUUGCAAAUAAUUAUUUGUCUGGGAACAUUCCUAAGGAAUACAACGAUCAUCCAACUUUGGAAUACAUCAAUUUAAGUGGGAACCAUUUUACAGGUAUAUUUUUCUCUAUAUAUCUUUUCCUUUUCUCAUAUGUAACUAAGCUGGUAAUCUGAUUAUUGCAGUUUUACCAAAGUUUCAACAAUCUUGACAGGUGAGCUUCCAACAACAAUUUGCAAUGUCACUUCCCUUGCGGUUCUUGUUUUGUCAAAUAAUGGAUUAAGUGGAGCACUUCCAAAUUGUUUCGGGAAACUUGCUGAUAGAUUGCUUUCCAUUAAUCUUGCUAAUAAUCAGUUUCGAGGAACAAUACCAACUACUUUCUCCAGGAGUUGUCAGGUGAAAUAUCUAAACAUGGAUAAUAAUGAGUUUGAAGGAUUCUUGCCCCCAUCUUUGGCGAACUGUAAGCACUUGAAAAUUCUUGAUAUUGGCAAUAACAAAAUAGGUGGUCCAUUUCCGUCAUGGCUUUAUGUACUUGGAGAGAUAGAAGUCCUUGUCUUGCGAUUAAAUAAACUCUAUGGUACAAUAAGUGGAAGGAGCGUAAAAGAUCCCUUCCCCAAGUUGCGGAUUGUGGAUCAAUAGACAUCGGCUAAAAAGCGAUGUCUAUGUAAAAUCAGACCGAUGUCUUCGUGGGUGAUGAGAAAAGUAAGUGCAUUACACAUCGCUUUCUAGCCGAUGUCUAUAACCUAUUUACACAUCGUUUAAUAUGACAAUCUGAUGUAUUUUUUAACAGUAGAUACCUUCACUAUAAUUUCAGUUCCUCAUUCCUAUGCCCUCUAUAUCAUUUUAAACUUGUCACAUGCUUAAUAAAAUGAUACUUUAACAUCUUAAAACUUGUAAAAUAGAUGUAUAUGAUAACCUUUUACAUCAUGCUUUUAUAGGAAGUGAUGUGGUACCCUUCUUUUCUUUAAGAAAGCGAUGUCUUUGUUCUUGUUUUACAUCAGUGAUUUUUAUACUCUGAUAUCUAUUAUAUAGUUUAACAUCAGGCUUUUUCUUGUUAACUGAUAUGUAUUCAUUCUUAUGACAUCGCUUACUAAGUGAUGUAAAUGUUAGUUUUAAAUUGCCAUGAAUCCUCCUGUUUCUUAUGAAUCCCCCUGUUUCAUUUAAAUUUCCAACAAAUUCCAAAACAACACCAAAGCUAUACUAAUUAAACAACCAAUUACCAAUGUCUAGCCUACCAUAACAGAACUAAAACAAAACUAGCUAGCAAAACAAUACUUCCGCAAAAGCCAAAUAUAUUACCAUCAAUCAUUACCAAUCAAAUUACAUCCCACAAUCAAAGAAACUGCACAAAUCCUAAAUAUUAACCAAGCAACCAUAAUUUACAAGCAGUUCACCACGUACUCCAGCAACCAUAAUUUACCAACUACAUUUCCCUCCAUUUAUCAACAAAAUCUACUUAGCUAGCUAGUGUCACUGUCUUACAUAAACUGAACUAAUUAAAGGAAACCAAAGUUCUCCAAUAAACCAAAGGCCUGUUUAUAAGAAGGACUCGAUAUGGCUAAGUGUCUCAAACCGAACCUCGUCAAGCUCAGCCUUGGAACAAAUCACUUUUCGAUUCUUGGAUGCCCACUGAAAAAUGUAAAACAAUAACAUUGAAUUAUACCUAAAUUUAUAUGUACACCAUUUAAUUAUAUCAACAAUGGAUUAGGCAAAGAAAAAUACCCUUUUAAAAAAUGUCAUUUCAUUGUCCAUGACAAUCUCUUUCAUAUACCGCAUAAUAACAUAGCCGCAUUCAGUUCCACCGGGCUGUUUAGGACAUCCCUAUUUAACCAAAAAAAACUCAAAAUAGUAAGUAAAGUAAUGCCCCUGGUUCUAAGCAUCAGUAGCACAAAUUGUUAAAAAUAAAUACGAAAGCUUACUGUAAUAUAUUUGAAGCUUGGGGCUUUAUUUCCCCUUCCGGCCUGAACAUUGAAAGUAAUCACAGCCCUGUCAUCUUGGCAGUGUUAAUAAUGCACAUGCAUUUAUAUCUCCAUAAGAAAGAUAAUCAAUAAAAAAAUAAAUGAAAAUACCUUGAUAUUGCUUUUUCCAAGUUGGGGAAACUAGUUGAACGAGGCAGAGGAUUAAGUAUGAAAACCUCGCCACCCCAAAACAGAACCAAUACCCAAUGGAAACUAUUUUUAACAAAUAUUUAUGAAAAACACAAUUACUAUCAAAAUCAUAUAAAUUUUAUUUUCAGUCAUGUAAAAAACUAAAUAAAAGAGAUUUAUAAUAAAUAAGAAAACACUUAAGCUACUUACUUGCUAUUAUGCGGCAUCAAAAAGAGACGAUCAGGAUUACCCUCUUUAAAUCGAUUAACCAAGUUAUCUUCAAAAGAAUUGUUCAUCAAGUUCAGCGAGGCUCCAGGAUCACAAAAAGCAAAUUGAUCCUUAGUGCCAUUUUCACGAACCACGCAAUGCAAGUAUCUACAUUGUAAAUGAAAUGAAAUUAUAUAAAAUUACACGAAUAUGAAUUAUAACUAAACAACAGUCAUGAUCUAGAAGACAGUAAUUAAAAAAAGUUUACUCACGCCAUGUAUGCAGCAAUUGCUGCUUGGCCAAUCAUAUUAAACUCCAGCAAGGCGACUAUGUUUUCAUACAAGAUGAAGAUUCUUUUCUCGAUACCAAACACCUCAGCAUCACACGGGAUUUGAAUUGAGUCUCCGGAGGAUUGCAUAAAUGUUGUUGCAUGUUUAUACAACAACCGAAAGCGUUUUGGAACAUUUUUAUUGAUCUCCAUGUUAUGAAACAAGGACUGGACUUUAUCUAAAUCGGUUUUAGGUUCCUUUACUUUCCGUUUACCUUUCUGAAAAAUGAACAAAAUUAAUUUAAAACAAAAUAUAACAAAAUAUAGGGGUAACAUAUAAUAGUACAAUCCAGUACAACAAUUAUGUUAAAGUACACACCAUAGUAGGAAUAGUAGGAGGGGCAUUUGGGAAUAUGAUCAAGUCGCGGGGCCAUGAGACGUACGAGCCAACAGCUUGCUCUACUGUUUCAAUCUCACCUGGUACCGGUUUAGGAAUCUUGGCUUGUCCUUGAAUUGGGCCAUCCACUGAGACGCGAACACAUCCAGGCUCUAUCGGCACUCCAUGUAUAGAUUUGUUCAUGUUAUCAUCAUCAAACAACAAACCAAAUGCCACUUUAUUUUCUAUUGUGCCUACAGCCAACUCACAUUUUCGUGGACCGGCCUACACACAUAUAUUUAAACAAUUAUGACGAAUGCUUGAAAUAUGUUGAGCUAAAUUGAAUAAAUGUGCUAGUUAUUUUACCUUAUUCUCUGGUGGAUUAGGUUCCAAGUCAACUUCAAUCAUCUCUGGUUCCAGUUUUUUCACCACCUCUGUCUUAGCUUCUUUGACAGUGUUUGCCUCACAACUUGCUUUAUCAGAAGCAAUAGGAGAUGAAAUAUUUGCUUUGCUGAGCAAGGCCUUCAUUUCAGCCAUCUCCUGCCUUGUCUUCUCCAUUUCCAUGGCCAUCUCUUUCUUGGCUUUCUCCAGCUCCGCGUCCCUCUCUCGAUCCCUCUCCAACAACUCAGCUUUGGUGAUUCUAUUUCUUCUUCCUGGUGGUAUAUUAAAAAAAAUUGACGGGCUCACAAAGCCUCCAACUCCUCGAACCCUCCCCGAAUGUUCAGGAGUUUGUAGGGCCGUAGUCAACACAUCUCGACUCCCAGAAGGAGUGAAUUCCCCCUUACUUUGCUGCUCUAGUAAAAUAUUCUGACAUGAAAAAUAUGAACAUACAAAUCAUCAUCUAGUGAACCUCAUCAUCAAUAUUAACUUUAAUUUUACGAGCCUUUUAAUUAUAAAUACUCACAAUUCUUUUUCCUAUUUCAGCUAGGUCUGAAUCCUCAUCAUCAGCAUCAUCAGCCUCAUCAUCAUCAUCAACAUUAUCAUUAUCAUCAUCAAUUUUAAUUUUACGAGCCUUUUGCCACAUGAGAGCCCGAUCAGGUUCUUCAUCGGCAGCCAAAGUUCCUUUCUUGAUCUGAUUAAAAUCAAAAAAAAAUUAAAAAGGCCAAGAUAUGUAAAAUACAAUUAUUUAGGUUCAAUGCUUAAAAUACAACUAUUUUUAUACCUCUUCUUCCAAUAAUCCAAUGUAACCCUUUCUUGAUGUCCGGUGAGGAUAUUUUCGAUUACUCACCCUCAGCUUUUGUUUUUCACUAAAAGACUUCAAAUAUUUUAAAUAAUAUUAGAAUACUAUUUUUCAGAAUAUAAAAAGACAUUUAUAUCACAAUAAAGCAGAACAUAAAAUAUAUUUCAUACCAGAAAUUUCGAGGUAGUCCUCUCAGCAACAAAAUUUUUCCAAGCCUCCUUUCCAACAAAAGCAUACUUCUUUGGAGGCUUUCGUAAUUUCUUCUUCUGCCCAAGAUACGGCCUCACAUAAUCUCUUGUUAAAUUUGCUUUAAAAUUCCUCCACUUUGCUCCUGCAGACCUGAUCAACCCCUUCUCAAGUUGCUUAGGAACUUUAAAUGUCUCCUGCAACCAAUGUUAAUUGACAAAAUUUACAAAAUUAUACUCUAAAUGAGUAGAAGAAAAUGCAAAAUUUACAAAAUGCAUAGGAGAUUACUUAUUUUUAUACCUUCACAUCAAUCCAUAUUUUCUCCUUUAGUUCAUCAGGUACCUUUGACCAGUUAGGAUAAUCAAUCGGAAUCAUUGUCCUAGCCAACAUUCCAGUGUAGGAUUGUAGACUGUGCCUUGCAUCCCCUGUAGGAACUCCAUGUGCAUUACAUGAAACCUUUGUUUUCUUGCCCUGCGCCUUCCUCACCACCACUUUAUACAUAGCAGAAACCCCUCGGGCACCCCCACGCUUUUUCUUUGCUGUUUCAGAUGUUGUAACUGUUGCAUCCGUUUCCUCCACAGAAUUCACAUUUUCUCCCUGAGGUUCUGUUGUCAGCUCCAACCUUUUAUCUGAUGCCUCAUCCGACUUUUUGGAGUCUUCAUGGAAUUGUACUUUGGUUUUUUGCUUUUUAUUUGCCAUUUAUCUUCUUCAAUCUGAAAAUGAAACAUAUAUAAUCCAUUAGUCACAGGCAUAUAUACGAGCAAUUACAGGAUAAGCAGUUAUAAAGUUACAUAAGCCUACAUAAGCCGUUACAAAAUUGUAAAAAUGCAUAACUAAACAUUUACACAGAGUGAAAAUUACAGGAGUCUAAUUACACAGAGUAAAUUACAAAGUUGCAUCACAUAUAUUACAUGACUUGAAAUAAUGUUAUCACAGAGUAAAUUACAAAGUCUCAUCACAAAAUUAACUAUUACAUGACUUGAAAUAAUGUUAUCACUUCUUAACCCAAGUGCCCUUAAUAUUUUCUCUAAUACUUUUCUCAACAUCAUCACCGACAUCACAUGUAGGAAUUUGGCAGCAGAAUGGAGGAUUUUCCAUGGUUGUGUCUCCUAAAUCAUCAUCGUUAUACACCUCUUGGUAGUCUCGAGUUGUAGAGGUUAAUACGACGGACCACUUGGCAUCCACCGGAUCUUCAAUAUAAUAAACUUGCUUUACUUGAUCUAUAGACACGUAUUUAUCUCUCUUGUGGCCUUGUCGACUUAGAUCGACAAGUGUGAACCCAAGAUCAUCCACCUUAAUUCCCUUGUCAUUGUCCGCCCAAUUACAUAAAAACAGUGGGGCUUUGAAUGCAUGAUAAUCCAGCUCCCAUAUAUCUAGGAUAACACCAUAAAAUGUCAAGUCACUUUCUACGGGGUUUAAAUCUUUAGCGCUAGACACUUGGACAGUUUUAGCAACUAAAGACACUCCGCUGUUUUGAACUACCCUCACAUUGUCUCGCUGUUUUGUAAAGUAUCGGACCCCGUCUACUAGAUAAGCUUCGUAAGUCAUAACUGAAAAUGAUGGUUUUCCAGCUAUCCAUCUUACUGUCUCUGAAACUCCUCCAGGAUUCUCCACCAUUUCACUACUGACCUACACAUUUCAUAAACAGAAAUUAUCCUAAAUUACUAUAGAGAAAAUAAAUUAGGCACAAAUGAAACUAUAAAAAUACUAACUUUUUCUAGAAACCAAUCAGCAAAACUGUUAUUGUGCUCUCUCAAGAGCCAAUGAACGCUUUUCUUUUUCCCACGAUGGAUUUCCUCUAGAUACUCCUUAUGCAUUCUGCCAAAAAUUAUAUAUUCAUUAAAGAAGUAGUUUAUACAGAAUGUAUAUAUUAAUUGAACAGCCACAAAAUUAAAAAAAUCUUACAAGAUAUAUGGCUGUACUUCAAGGUUGUUUAGAAGAACGUGUAAAUGAGCUUCAUCCCUCUCUUUUUCUUCGAUUGAUUUCAUUACCGCAACAGAUAAUGGACCACUUAACUUGCCUUCAUCUUUGCGAAGACCAGCAGUGGUGCAAGUUUGCUUGACAAACUCUUGGCAGAAUUCAAUCGAUUCUUCUCCAAGAUAACAUUCUGCUAUACAACCUUCGGGGUAGUAACGAUUGCGUACGUAACUCUUCAACACCUUAUUAAACCUCUCAAAUGCAUACAUCCAUCUAUAGAAGACUGGCCCACAUAACCGUAAUUCCCGAACCAAGUGCACUAUGAGAUGUAUCAUUACAUCAAAAAAUGAUGCAGGAAAAAUUUUUUCUAGCUCGCACAAAGUUACUAUUACAUCUGAUUGCAAUUUAUCUAGUUUAGAUACGUCGACAACUUUGCUGCAUAAAGCAUUAAAGAAGAAACACAAUCUAAUUAUUGUGACCCUGACUUUUUUUGGAAGUACCGCGCGAAUUGCAAUAGGAAGUAAUUGUUGAAGUAGGAUGUGGCAAUCGUGGGACUUCAACCCAAACAUUUUUAAUUCUUCCAUGGAAACACAGUUUUUAAUGUUUGACGCGUGUCCAUAAGGAAGUUUCAUGUGCAUUAACGAUGACAACAUCUUCUUCUUUUCUGCCUUGGACAAAUUAAAAAUCGAAGGAGGUAAAUAGGUCUUUCUUUCUCCUUUUUGUGGAGCUAGAUCAGCCCUAACCCCCAUGUCAAUCAUGUCAAGACGAGAAGCUUCACUAUCUUUAGACUUAUGUUUCAUAUUCAGUAGUGUGCCAAUCAAGCUAUCACACACGUUUUUCUCCACGUGCAUAACAUCUAGACAAUGACGGACAUGGUGAAAUUUCCAAUACUCUAACUCGAAGAAAAUUGACUUUUUCUUCCAUGGACAGUCAACCUUCUUUGACUUCCUUACUUCUUUCCCAAACUGAAAUUCAAUUUUUUCUUGCUGCAAUAAAACCUCUUCUCCCGAAAGAGGUUGACGUGCCUGCCCUAAUUCUUGUUGUCCAUUAAAAGCAGCUUUUUGCUUCCUAUAUGGAUGAUUUCUAGCCAAGUAACGUCGAUGACCUUGGUAACACAUCUUCCUACUAUGGCUUAAAUACUUUGCAACAGUAUCAUCACCACAUAUUGGACAAGACAUAUAACCUUUAUUAACACAUCCGGACAGAUUUCCAUAUGCGGGAAAGUCGUUUAUUGUCCACAAUAAAAUUGCUUUUAAAGUGAAAUACGACUUAGUGUGUGCAUCAUAGACAUUUGGUUCACCUUCCUCCCACAACUUCUUUAAAUCAUCGAUUAGAGGCUGUAAAUAUACAUCAAGGUCAUUACCAGGCUCAUGAGGACCGGGAACUAAAACUGUUAGCAUCAUAAACUUCCUCUUCAUGCAUAACCACGGAGGAAGAUUAUAAGUCACUAGUACUACUGGCCAACAAGUGUAUCUAUUGGUUAGACCGUUAUUAUGCGGGUUUAUACCAUCUGCAGACAACGCCAAGCGAAUAUUUCUUGCCUCACUACCGAAGGCAGGCCACCUAUAGUCGAUAUUUCUCCAAGAAGGAGAGUCGGCUGGAUGCCGCAUCUUUCCAUCUUCUAUUCGCUGCUUUGCGUGCCAGGUAAUCAGUUCAGAUGUAGAAGGAGAUUUAAACAUUCGCUUCAAUCUCGGAAUAAUUGGAAAAUACCACAUUAUUUUAGCAGGAACAUUAAUCCUUACUUUACCAUCCUUUCCUAACUUCCAGCGAGAUAGACUACACUUAGGACACUUAGAAGCAUCAACAUAUACCCCCCGAUAUAGUAUGCAAUCGUUUGGACAUGAGUGGUACUUUAUGUAUUCUAGGCCUAAGUUGGAUAAUGUUUUCUUGGCUUCAUAUGCAUUAGGUGGCAUCACAUUUUCCUUAGGAAGGAGAGAGCCAACAGUAGACAAUAAAUCUGUAAAGGCGCUAUCACUAAUUCCAAACCUUGCUUUCCAAUUAUGCAGUUUUAGCAUCGACUCCAAUUUGGUACAUUCACUACCCUCAUACAAAGGCUGUUGAGCAUCAGCCACAAAUCUCCUAAACUGAUACGACUCAUUAUUGUACUCACUCGAAUUAUACGCAGCAUCACAAACAUUGACUGUUUGUGAUGCAUGACCAGGGGAAUGCAUCGAUGCAGGGUCAAGCGUAGGUGCAGGGCUAGGGGCAUUGUCAUGAACUGUUGAUCCAGUGAUUCCACACCCUUGUGUGUGCCAAAUCCAAUCAAGGUAUCCCAAACUAAAACCGUAUUCAUAUAAAUGUCCCCUAAUAAUCUUAACUGCAAAUUUUUUAAAGUUAACACAUCUUUUGCAGGGGCAUGGGAUUUUUUUAGUAUCACUAGCAUUUUCCUCGGCAAAUAUUAAAAACUCUUCAACCCCGAUUUCAUAGUCAAGUGUAUCCCUAUCUUUGAAAAUCCAAGACUUGUCCAUGUUAUUCUCAAACUACCUGAUUGUCAAAUAUGAUAUCAAAUUACAUGGUAACAAAGAUCCAAACACAAUAUACAAUUACAUUUACAAACUAAACAAACACAAAUAUAUUUACACAGCUGUGCAUAAAACAUAAAAAACAAAUCCCAAGCUCUAAACAUAUAUAACACAGUACAUAAAAAAGAAACCCCAAGCUCCAAACAUAUAUAAAACAUAUAUACAACUACACGUUUAAUUUUCACAUGCAUACAUAUAACUACAAAAAGUUAUACUUGCAACCGAAACAUUUAUAUAAAUAUAAAGAAGAAUAUAGAAGAAUAUAUAUACCUAAAACCCAGCAGCUUCGAAACCCAGCACCUCCAAAAUCCAGCAGCUAUCCAGCAGCUUCGAAAACCCAGCAACUACCCUAAUCUCCAAGCUUCAAAUCUCCAAGCUUCAAAGAACCCUAAUCUCCAAGCUCCACUCGACCCUAAGCUUGAAGAUCGAACCUUAAGCUUGAACACAGCAGCUUCGAAUCGCGCACAAAUCGCACCUAGGGUUUAGAAGAGAGGGAAUCAGUUAAUAGAACAUUUGAAAGGGGGUUUAGAAGAGAGGGAAUCAGUUAUUAAACCAAGAACGAGGAUUGAAGGACUGAAGGAUUGAAGAAAAUCGCAUACCUAGGUUUAGCUGUCGAGAGAAAGGGGGAAGAGCUGCUGUCUGAAAGAAAUAUGUAUAUAUGUCCCGAUUGUUUUCUUUUGAAUGCUUUUGUUUUAAUUUUGAUUUAUUUUUAAUGUUUUUUUAUUGUUUUAUACUGAGGCGGGAGUGAAUGAUAUGUUAAAGGGGGGGAAAACAGUAGGGGGAACUAAUUAAAAAAUUGACUAAGGGCGGGGGAGCGGAGGGCGCGGGCUUUAAUAUUUUUAAAAUUGAGAUUAGACAUCGCUUAAUAAACAAUGUGAUGUGAAAAAAUUUUAAAGUGAGAGCUUAGACAUCACUUAUGUUAAGGACUGAUGUAAAGAUACCAGAAAGACAUCACAUAUAAAACGAGCGAUGUAAAAAAGGCAUUUUACAUCGGUGACACUUCCGACUGAUGUCUAAUGUGCGAUGUCUAUUGACGAAUUUCUAGUAGUCUCCAAAGGAUAUUUAUCUUUCCAUCAUGAUGCAGCAGUCUCCUUAACUGUGAAGGGAACGGAGUAUGAGGUAGCAAAGAACCUUCAUAUUUACACAGCCAUUGAUCUGUCGGGCACCUAAUUUCAGGGUCGAAUUCCAAACGUCACUGGAGAGCUUAGAUGGCUUGCAUUGCUCAAUUUAUCGCAUAAUAGUUUAACAGGACCUAUCCCAUCAUUGCUGAGAAAUAUGAAAGAACUCCAAUCUUUAGAUUUGUCCUCAAAUCGACUGACAGGGGCUAUUCCACCUCAGCUAACUGCAUUGACAUUUCUAGAGGUCUUGAACCUCUCGAAAAACCAUCUUAGUGGAGAGAUUCCUCAGAAAGGACAGUUCAGCACAUUCAACAAUGAUUCUUAUCUAGGAAACUCCGCGUUAUGUGGAUCACCUUUGACGAAGAAAUGUGCAAACACAGCAUCACCUCCACAAGAAGUCGGAAAUGGUGAUGAAGAUGAUGCUGGAGAUGAAUUGACAUGGGAAGCAAUCGUGAUGGGAUAUGGAUGUGGACUGAUAUGUGGAUUGUCAUCUGCGUACAUUGUUCUCAAACUAGGAAAGCCUUGGUGGUUUGUGAGAUAUAUCGAAGUACUGCAACUGAAGUUGAUGAAAAGAUAUGCAUGAAGAAUGGUACUGCACUACAACAAAAACAGCAUCACACAACGGUUUUUGCCCGUUGUCUGAUACCCAAGAAAACCGUGGUCUAUUGCGAUGCCGUCUGAUACGCGCCUCAGACAACGUUUUAUUAGUUAAAGGCUUGUCUAUAAGGCCAUGCUACGAUGGUAACAAAAACACUUGUAUGUUAGCUUCCUGGUCACACAACACUGUAUGGAACCCUUGUUUAAACGGCUCGUAAACAACACAACAAAUAAAACACUUGUCUAAUUACAACAACGGUUUCUUGAAAUAUUGUCUGAAGUUUCUUCACACAUCGGCUCUAAAAACAGUUGUCUAACGUGCAUCAUUACACAAUAUCACAGUUAAGAUACCGUUGUCUGAUUGAAUUUACUAGACAACACUUUUUAAACCGUUGUAGGUUGUAGGUGUUGGACAAUAGUUUUUCGAGGACGAAAAUAAAGUGUUGUGUCUUUGUUUCGGCCAACACUUUUUCCAGCGUCCGUUGUCUGACUAGUGUCGUGUGAUGCCAGUUUUGUUGUAGUGCUGGUUGAUCCAGACGAACUAGAAAGUUGUUGUCCUGGUAGACAUUUCUGAACCAUUUGUGUCCUGGCUGAAUAAGUAUUUGGUAUUAUGUAAUAAUCCGUUUGGUUGGGACUCAAAAUGAUUUCUCUUGCUUCAGGGGUAUUAAUAUUAACCUUCCUAUCUUGAUCAAUGUUAAAUCAAAUUAAAUGAAUGAAAAAACAAAAAGUAUGCAUCAAAUCCGCUCCUGCUGUACCUAACAAUUUAACAGCACCCUUCCACACUGUUCAUACCUAAUUUGCGUGUAAUAUGAAAACUAAGAGGCAUGGCUUUUGUCUUUGAGAGAACUUAUUCCAAGUCUUCUUCGGAGGCCUACUGCCUCAACAACCUUUCAAAGACUAUGCAAUAAUCCACGUGACAGAAAAACCAAAGUCCAAUUAGUAUUAUAAGUUCAUAAAAAAUACUAUAGGAUCAUUAGCAUUAGCAUUACAUUAGCAUACAGCAUAUAUAUAAAUAGAAGAAUGCAGUGUGGUAUUGGAUUCAUAAUCCAAUUGAGCAGAAACAUGGCACACUUUGUAAAGCCUUAUGACCUUCUUCUCUGUGUUUUCUUUCUCUCAUCACUUGAAUCCAUUCUUGCAACAAGACGAGAAGGAGAAGCUCUUGUGAAAUGGAAGAACAGCCUAGCCCCGUCUUCUUCUCUUGAUUCUUGGUCACUCACUCAUCUCGAUAAUCUUUGUAACUGGACUGGCAUUACUUGUAACUCUGCAGGUUCAGUCUCUGACAUUAACCUUUUCAACAAACAACUCACUGGAAAGCUUUUCGAGUUUGGUUUCACUUCAUUUCCGAAUCUCAACAAUCUCACCCUCGCAGAUAACUUCUUCUCUGGUCCAAUACCAUCAGCCAUUGGGAAUUUAACACAGCUUCAAUAUCUUGAUUUGAGCAAUAAUUAUCUCAAUGGUUCCAUUCCGUACCAGGUUAGCCAUCUUUCAAAAUUACACGUCUUAAACCUGUCAGAGAAUGAACUGCAAGCUCCAAAUUGGUCCAAUUUCUCCCCCAUGCCUUAUUUGACCAUCCUCGACCUUUAUCAGAAUAAUCUUAUGUUGGAAUUUCCAGAAUUUAUAUCUAACUCGCGUAACCUGACAUACCUUGACCUUUCAUAUAACAAGUUCACAGGCGAUCUUGUGCGCGAAUCAGUAUUAGCCAAUCCAGGUGAUCUCGAAACCCUCUAUCUUAAUGAAAAUUCUUUUGGGGGGCCAUUUCCACCAGACAUAUUCAAACUUUCCAAGUUGAGAGUUCUUGCCCUGUUCAAUAAUCUUUUUGAGGGGCCGCUUCCGUCAAAUAUAUUCAAGCUCUCUAAACUAAGAUUCCUUUUACUUUGGAGUAAUAAUUUUUCAGGUACUCUUUCGAAUGAAAUAGGUUUGCUUUCUGAGCUUGAAGACCUAGAUCUUCACUCCAAUUUUUUUGUGGGGCCGCUUCCGCCAAAUAUAUUCAAGCUCUCUAAACUAAGAACCCUUUUCCUCUUGGGUAAUAACUUCUCAGGUUCUAUUUCCAACGACAUAGGUUUGCUUUCUGAGCUUGAACACCUAUAUCUCGACUCCAAUUCUUUUGAGGGACCUUUUCCAACAAAUAUUUUCAAGCUUUCCAAAUUAAUACAACUUGGUCUCGCAAACAAUACAAAUUUAUUUGAAGGAAGUAUUCCUCCAGGACUGGGGCUCUUGACUAACCUAGAGGACUUGUCUCUUGCUUACAAUAAUCUUGGUGGCUAUAUUCCGUCUUCCUUUGGAAACCUAACACUACUAGUAUAUCUUAAUCUCGCUCGUAAUCAAUUGGUUGGAACACUAUCAAAGACCAUUUCUAAUCUCACAAAUCUAUGGUUUCUUGAUGUACAUCAUAAUAGUCUCUCUGGGAAUAUUCAGAGUGACUUCUGGAAAAACUCUACAUCACUGCGUUACAUUAAUUUGGCAGACAAUAAUUUUUCUGGGAACAUUCCUAAGGAAUAUAAUGUUCUUCCAAUCCUGGAUCACAUCAAUUUUAGGGGGAACAAUUUUACAGGUAUUUUUCUUUCCAUAUUUUUUCCUUCUGUUGUAUUCAAUUAUGCUAGAAACUACAGCCUCUGUUUUUUCAAAUACAUAUCGUUUAACUUUUUGGCACAAAACUUUAUAAUAAUUCUAACUAAAAGGUCAAUGAACUCAAAAAUGUGUGUCAAAAAGUCAAACGUCAUUUAUCUGAAAUCAGAGGGAGUAUAUAUUACUGUUUUACCAAAGUUUCAACAAUCAUGACAGGUGAGCUUCCACCAACAAUUUGCGAUGCCACUUCCCUUUCGAUUCUUGAUCUGUCAAAUAAUGGAUUUAGUGGUGCAGUUCCACAUUGUUUGGGGAAUCUUGCGGAUAAAUUGAUUUCGAUUAAUCUUGCUAAUAAUCAGUUUCAAGGACCAAUACCAACAAAUUUCUCCGAGAGUUGUCGUCUGACGUAUCUUAACAUCUAUAACAAUCACUUCAAAGGUUUGGUUCCCCAAUCUUUGGCAAACUGUAAGCACUUGCAAAUUCUUGAUUUUGGAAAAAAUGAAAUAGGUGGAACACUUCCGUCAUGGUUUUUUACUCUUGGAGAGCUAGAAGUCCUGAUCCUGCGAUCAAACAGAUUUUUCGGGAGAAUAACUAGAAGGAGCAUACCACGCCCCUUUCCCAAGUUGCGGAUUUUGGAUCUAUCCAACAAUCAGUUCACCGGCUAUCUGCCAAUUUUAUACUUCAAGAAUAUGAAACCAAAUGAUAAUAAUUAUGAUUAUUUCAACAACACAAACGAAGCCUAUUACGUUUAUCAAGUUUCUAUCACAUUAAAUGUGAAAGGAAGCGAGCAUGAAGUGACAAAUAUUCUUCAUAUUUACACGGCCAUUGAUCUGUCGUGCAACAAAUUUGAAGGAAAAGUUCCAGACAUUACCGGAGAGCUUAGAUGGCUUGCAUUGCUAAAUUUAUCUCAUAAUAGUCUUUCGGGGCCUAUUCCAUCACAACUGGGAAAAAUGAAAGAGCUCCAGUCUCUAGAUUUGUCGUCAAAUCAAUUGACAGGUGUUAUUCCGGAUCAACUUACUAGUAUGACAUUUCUUGCUAGUUUGAACCUCUCAGAAAACCAUCUUUCUGGGAAAAUCCCUCGGAAAGGACAGUUCAGCACUUUUGGCGAAGAAUCUUACUUAGGUAAAUCGGCCUUGUGUGGAGUUCCUUUGACAAAGAACUGUAUAGACGAUGUGCCACCUUCACAAGUUGGAAAUGGCAAUGAUGAAAAUGUUGAUGAAGAUGAUACCGUUGAUGAAUUCAAUUGGAAAGUGAUCCUGAUGGGAUAUGCAUGUGGAUUAAUAGGCGGAUUGUCUGCAGGAUACAUUGUCUUCACAGUCGGAAAGCCUUGGUGGUUUUUGAGAUACAUUGAGACACUGCAGCAGAAGUUGAUCUGAUGCGCAACUAGAAACAACGUUAUAAUCUUAGAAUGACUUGUGUCUUUAAACAGAGUUAGGAACUUAGGAUGACUUGUGGUGCUAUAUUUUUUUUUUGAAAAAAAAAAACAUAUUUUUGUAAUUUUUUAGAUACAGAUGUUAAGAAGGUGUUGUAUAUUCAUUUUUUACCCAAAAAAAAAAAGAGGGCUUAUUUCAUGAAAAUUAGAGUUUUAUGUAUUUUCUCCAGAAAUUAGUCCUUAUUUCUGAAAAUAAGGUUAGUCAAAACGGUCACUACACGAUUGGUAGCCUUUCAGUUCUUCCUAGUGUCCACUACAGUUUCAUUCCUUACCAGUUAUUUUAUGCUCUGCACUGCAUUAUGCAGCUUUCAUAUUACUGACAGCUAAUCUCCUUCCAACACUUUGCGAUGCGAAGCAGGGACGCAUAAGUAUUUUUAUAUGUGUAUUAGUUUUGAAGAUUAAAGUUGCAUGGACAAUUGUGUUGAUAAUUUGAGCAAUGUUAACCGGGAUAGGUCUUCUUCUCUCUCCCAAGUCUUCUGAGGACUCAUCGGCUCAGAUUAGUCUAUCCAAAAAUUAUGAUCUGACGGCUAUUGGCACACUAACGAUUUACAUAUCACUUGAAUAUUACUGGAUACCCGCAUCUUGUUUUAAAUGGCGUAUAUCGGCUAAUAGUUCAACGAUGGUGACAAAUCCCGGUGAUCCAAAUAAUUGAUUGUCGCAAAAUUUUCCGCUUACAUCCAACUAACACGUAUUAGGAAAAAAAAUUAUAUAAUUAAACACGCUCAUGUAUCUAUAUCUUUUACAAGAUUGUAAGUCCCCAAUUCUAUGUGAUAUUAGCUAUAUGUGACUAGAAGGUUUAGAAAUACUAGAUUAUCAAGAUUUCUUUUUAUUCUAGCUAGUGUUGAGUUAUAUUUAUUUUCUUCAAACAAUCAAUACUUAUUUUUUAUUAAUAUGUGAAACUCCAAUAUAUAUUAUUAUACGAUAUAUUAUGAAAACACUAUAUUUUGUAAUGUUCAUCUUAUCCUACCAGCAAAAUUACAUCGCUAACAAAAUUAUAUCAAUUUUAUUUUAUAAACUCAAAUAAUUUAAUUUAUGAAACAACUCUAUGAGAUUCUUAUCAUGAGUUAGAAUUCAAAUAAAUAAAGAGUUCAUAUUGAUAAGUGGAAUUGAUGUGCAAGUAAGGGGUAUAAAAAAAUCUCAAAAUAACUCCAAAAAGCACAUGACAUGUUUGAUUUAAUAGAACUGGUACAUAAACAGGGGGACCAUUAUAUUUAUAAGCAAGUGACCAACAAUAGUUUACUACUGAUAUUUUGUGAUAUUUUUUGUGAUAUUUUUUGAGACCUUUAACAUUAUUCUGUGAAGUGGUAUACUACUGUUACUAGUUCUGAAACUUCAAACAAAGUAGGCGCAACAUUGUAAGAGUGAUUAAUAAAGUUGAGAAACAGUGUGUACAUUGAGCAGUAUGACAAUCAGGUUCAGCAUAUAAUACAAUCAGAUUCACAAUCAGGUUCACGAGAAACAUGCUGCAUUCCAAAAAGCCUUAUUAUCUUCUUCACUAAAUAACAAGGCAAAUACAGCAUAUAAAUACAAGUUAUAAGUACAAGUGUGGUAUUAGAUUCAUAACCCAGUUGAGGAGAAACAUGGCACACUUUGUAAGGCCUUCUCACCUUCUUCUCUUUGUUUUCUUUCUCUCAUCACUAGAAUCCAUUCUUGCAACAAGACGAGAGGGGGAAGCUCUUGUGAAGUGGAAGAAUAGCCUAGCCCCUUCUUCUUUUCUCCACUCUUGGUCACUCUCCAAUCUCGAAAAUCUUUGCAACUGGACUGGCAUUACUUGUAACUCUGCAGGUUCAGUCUCUGAGAUUGACCUUUGUGAGAAACAACUUGAUGGAAUGCUGUCCGAGUUUGGUCUCACUUCAUUUCCAAAUCUCAACAAUCUCACCCUCGCAGACAACUUCUUCUCAGGUCCAAUACCACCAGCCAUUGAGAAUUUAACACAGCUUCAAUAUCUUGAUUUAAGCAUGAAAAGUCUUAAUGGUCCCAUUCCGUUCCAGGUUAGCCAUCGUCAGAGCUUGCUCAUCUUAGACCUGUCACAGAAUGCAUUGCAAGCUUCAAAUUGGUCCAAUUUCUCUCCCAUGCCUCAGUUGCGCUUCCUCAAGCUCAGUAGCAAUCAUCUUGUGUCGAAAUUCCCAAAUUUUAUAUCCAGUUCUCAUAGCCUGACUUACCUCAACCUCUCAUAUAACAUUGGAAACCUCAAAAAAUAUAUAUUUAUAUAUUUAUAAUUAAAAAAUUGAAUUACUUAAUAUAUUAAAAAAUUGAAUAAAAUUUUAUAUAUUUUAUUAAAAAAUUGAAUAAAAAUUGAAUAAAAUUGAAUAAAAUUGAAGUACACGAAAAGGUACACGACACGAAAUACACGACUGAGAAGUCGUGUCGGUUUUGUGUUUACCCUUCGGGUACACGACACGAGGUACACGAAAUAAAUAAAUAAAUAUAUAUAUAUAUAUUUACCCUUCGGAUUAAGAGUUGGUCGCGGACAAAUUCAAAGUUUCCCAAUUAUCCUUUAUUUUAUGUAACUUUGCUUAUGUUUAAGCCUAAAUUUGGACAAUAUUUGUAAAAUAUUAAUAUUUCGUGUACUAAUUCGUUACCAGUUUCGUGUAUUUUUUCGUGUAUAUUUCGUGUUUUCGUGUUUUCAUGUACUAUUUCGUAUCGUGUCGUUUUCGUGUACAUGAAAAAAUUCGUGUACUACAGUUCGUGUCGUUUUUACCUGUUUCUAAAUCGUGUCGUGUUCGUGUUUACAAUCGUGUACACGAAUUGAAUUCGUGUCGUGUUCGUGUAUACCCACCAGAUACACGAAACACGAAAGUACACGACACGUUUAUACACGACACGAACGAUUUGCCAGGUCUANGAAACACGAAAGUACACGACACGUUUAUACAUGACACGAACGAUUUGCCAGGUCUAUUCAAACCUAGCAAGUAACCAAGAGGGGGCAAACUCCACCAGAGACAAAUCAAAGACCAUACCUGAGUAUUGCCAACAUAACAUUACAAACUGGCAGGUGAAAAAUAUGUGAAUAAGGUCUUCGUCACCAGAGUUACACAUGGGACAGUCAAGAGAAAGAUUUACUCCCUUAGAUUGUAAUCGACUUUUCACAGGCACAUUAUUCCUGCAAAAACGCCAUAAAAACACUUUGAUCUUAAGAGGAACCUCCAACUGCCAGAGUUUCUUCCACCCACUAGAUUGUGUAACAGUGCCAGUGCCAAUAUUUUGGGCAUGCCAAAACUGGUAACCUGUUUUCACAGAAUUUUGGCCGUUAGUAGUCUUUGACCAAGCUAGAUGAUCCACGGUCGACCUAUAGGGAACAGAAGUUUUUAAAAAUUAUGUAAUUCAUUCAAUUCCGUAUCAGACAAUACAUCUUAUCAUCGGUGAUAAUGGAAAUAGUGUAGAUGUUUGACCUAGUCCAUGUUUGACAACCAAUAUAAUAAGAAAUAAAUUCUUAUUUUUCUAAAAAAUAUAUUUUUGUAUAUAAAUGUUAAAGAGAUAUUUCUUAUUUGUUGUUUGAAAAAAGUAAAGACUUAUUUCAGAAUAAAUAAAAAUUAUUGUACAUUCUCUUUAUUUUUAAAAAUAAGUUUGGUCAAAUCGCCCAUAAUUCUCGUAAUUCAAAAGCCCAUUAUUUUUUUUUUUCUUGCUAAUUGAUCAGCACACGCACACGUUUCCAACUUCCCGCAAAGGGUACCGGAGUACCACCACACCGACGCUUUGUUGGGCCCAAUAAUUGGCUGAAGUUGAACGGGGCUUUCUGCCUCCGCUGGACCCCAGUUGGGAGGACUCUUUCCAAGUCUUUCGGAGACUCUUUCCCAUUGACUCCAACUUUCCAGGGUGUAUACAAAUUUUUUGAAAGAGGGUGUAUACAAAUUAUUCACGGCCAUCAAAUUAACCAGCGUAGCUGGUGAACAAAUAUUAUUGUUUAUUAUAAUUUUAUUUAAUUUAAAUGUGAUUAUAAAGAACAUAAGAGGACGUUUGAAAGUGUGGGUCUUAUUUCAAACAGUAGAUUUCAAAAAAUAUGAUUUCAAUUGUUAUUUAAAAUUCUUAAAUUUAUAUUAUAUUAAAAUGUUCUUAUCUAUACUAUACUAUUAAAACCGAAACAUUAAAAGUUUGGUCGGUCGGUACUUGGGCCGAUAUAUGGGCCUAUCUAUAUAACUAAUUAUUUUUUUUUAAUUUUGGGCCGAAAUACAGGCCUGUCUAUAUAAUCAAUUAUUCUUUUUAACUAAAAUAUGUUAUCUUUUUUACUAUUAAAGCCAAAACAUUAAAAAUUUGAUCGGUCGGUACUUGGGCCGAAAUAUGAGCGUAUCUAUAUAACUAAUUAUUUUUAUUUUUUUUUAUUUUUGGCCGAAAUACAGGCCUAUCUAUAAAAUCAAUUAUUCUUUUUAACUAAAAUAUGUUAAUUUUUUUUACUAUUAAAGCCGAAAUAUUGAAAGUUUGGUCGGUCGGUACUUGGGCUUCUAGGCCGAAAUAUAGGCCUAUCUAUAUCAUCAAUUAUUCUUUUAAACUAAAAUAUGUUAUCUUUUUUACUAUUAAAAUCGAAACAUUGAAAGUUUGAUCGGUCGGUACUUGAGUCGAAAUACGGGCCUAUCUAUAUAACUACUUAUUAUUUUUAACUUGGGCCGAAAUACAGGCCAAUCUAUGUAAUCAAUUACGCGGUAUUCUUUUUAACUAAAAUAUGUUAUUUUUUUAACUAUUAAAGUUGAAAUAUUGAAAGUUUAGUCGCUCGAUACUUGAGCCGAAAUACGGAUCUAUCUAAAUAACUAAUUAAUUUUUUUUAACUUUGGAUGGAAAUACAGCCCUAUCUAUAUAAACAAAUAUCUUUUUAACUAAAAUAUGUUAUCUUCUUUAUACUUUCUAACUAAAAACUCAAUCUUCUAAAUGAACAUGGAAGAAUAUAGUAAUUAUCUUUUUAACUAAAACAAAUUAUCGUCUAUUAAAUCAAAUUAUAACAAACUAUCCAUAAACAUCCUUAAUUUAUAACAAAUUAUUAAAUAUUUUUUAUCAUCUACUAAAUCAAAACAUUAAAAAUUAGAUUACCAUUAUGGAUCAGUAUUUGAAUUACGCUUCUCUUUAACUUAUAAUAUGUUUUAUACUAUAUUAUUAACUAUUAAUAACUAAAUAUUAAAACGCUGAUUGGGUUGUUUCUAUCUGGGUUUACGGGUCUCCUCAAAUUAUAAUCCCUCCGUUCUUAAAUAUCUGCCUUUUGACUUUUUGGCACGCAUGUUAAAGUGUUUUGAAUUUAUAGUAAAAAUAUUAUUUUUAAAUUUCUUUUUCUGAAUAAAAAUUUUAUAUCAAUACUUUUAUUCAUAAAAAGAAAUAUUUGAAAAUAACAUUUCUAGCUAUGUGGUCAAAAUAUCUUAAAAUGUGUGCGAAAAAGUCAAAAGGCAUAUAUUCAAGAACGGAGGGAGUAACAUGUAAAAAAAAUUAUUUUAACAUUAUCAUUAAAAAAUUAUAUAUUUGACCUAAUUAUAAAUUAACUAUUUGAAGGAAUAAACUAUUAAGAAUUUAUUUAGCUGCUAAAUAAAAGUUUUUUUAAUAACAUUAUUCUAUCACAAUUUUACUUUCAAUAAAAUUCGUUAAAUCUAAAAUAUAUGCGAUGAAAUAACAAAUAUUAAAACCGCCCGUGCAUUGCACGGGUUUUAAGCUAGUUCUAAUUAAUGAGUCACUAUUCGUAUUCUCAAGCAUGUUAGUUUGUUAAAAUUUAAAAUUUCAAAUGAAAUUAGGCUAAAAGACCAUAAUAUCAAAUCAAAAUCUCAUUAUCCAAUAUAUUGGUGGGCAAAAAUAUUAAACCUGGCUAUUCAUUAAUAUUGGUUCUUUAUUCAAAUUAUGUCAAAUUUAUAUAAAAUUUCGAAAAUUAUUUAUGAAUAAGAGUCGGCAUUCAUAUAUUUAUUAAGGAUACAAGUGAGAAAAUGUUAUUAAAUUAAUAUUUUUUAAUAUACGUAAGUUUUUUAAAAUAAAUUUGUAGCGUGGGACGGGAGUAUUAGACUGAUUCUGGCUUGGAGUGAAUCAGCCCAUAAAGUUUACAGGGUAGAUGACCAUUCUUAAAUCUUAAAGAAUCUUACGGUGACAGCUAACUGAACGACUCGGUUUCAGAAGUGCUGAAAAGUUUCGACGUAAACUACAAUUUGCCUAGCAUGUAAUUUCCAUGCAUUUUCUCGUUACGAGUAGGUUUGUCCGGAAGUACAAUUCAAAAUAGAGUGCUGUUAAAAAAAAUUGAGUUACUUAUUCAAUAACUUUUUUGAUAUUUAUAUAUUUUUAAUUAUAAUAAAGAUACUAGUGAUUAUGGUUAGCUUUUGGAGUACUUUUGGAGUACUUGGAAAUUUUCUUUUCGAGAAAAACGAGAGUACCUAUUUCAAUUUUUUACCAAAAAUUAUAAUUGAAAACAACGGACUUUUAUACUUAUCAUAACAAUUUUUAACAUCUUGUUUAGAAAUAACCUGUUGUUGUAUUAUGCAAAAGUAAUAUCACUAGUUUCUAUAUCCGUAUUCUAAUGAUAAUAAAAACAUCUCUAAUUCAUUAAAACUCUUACAUAGAAAUUGAUAAAAAAAGAAGAUAUAAAAUAAUUUAUUAAAAAUAUAUCAAAGUUUUUGCACUCGGUUAUAAUUAUUGUGUAAUUUUUUUUUUCAAUUCCAAGAUAUUGUUAUAAGAAAAUUUUACAUCAUAUAUAUAUUACAAAAAAAAUUAAUGUAUUAUAUAUAUAUAGGGUCCUACUCUGGUACAAACCUUUUUAGCGUACAAACUACAAACCAAAAUUAAAAAGUCUCUAAAUCAAAUCAGAAUAUAGCACAUAUGGUAUGGAAAUUGAUCGUUGCGAGAUGAACAAAAAUAAUGAUUAUAAAGUUUGUAUUUGAGCCAUUAUAUAUAUACUUACAAUAAAAGUAAUAAUAUAUUAUAUUCUAAAUAUAGUUAACCACUGCAGUUGGUCGCUUAUAAAUAGAAGUGUGCAUUAUAGGAUGAAACGUACAUCAAGCUGAGGAGAAACAUGGUACACUCUGCAAAGCUAUAUCAUCUUCUUUUACUUGUUUUCUUUUCCUCCUUACUUCCAUCCAUUCUAUUGGCAACAAGACGAGAAGGAGAAGCUCUUGUGAAAUGGAAGAAUAGCCUAGCCCCGUCUUCUUUUCUUGAUUCUUGGUCACUCUCCGAUCUCGAUAAUCUUUGCAACUGGACUGGCAUUACUUGUAACUCUGCAAGUUCAGUGUCUCAGAUAAAUCUUUCCCAAAAACAGCUCGAUGGAACGCUGUCCGAAUUUGGUUUCACUUCAUUUCCGAAUCUCGAAAAUUUGACUAUAAGAGACAACAGCUUCUCCGGGCUAAUACCACCAGGCAUUGCGAAUUUAACACAGCUUCAAUACCUUGAUUUAAGCUACAAUUAUUUCAGUGGUUCCAUUCCGUACGAGGUUAGCCAUCUUCAGAGAUUACGUGUUUUAGACUUGUCGUAUAAUGAAAUGCAGGCUCCAAAGUGGUCUGACUUCUCUCCCAUGCCUUUUAUGAGCAUCCUCAACCUACGGGCCAAUCAUCUUGUGUCGAAAUUCCCAGAAUUUAUAUCCAAUUCUUUUAGCCUGACUUUCCUUGACCUUGGAGACAACAAGUUCACCGCUGAUCAUCUUGUGCUCGAAUCAGAAUUUACCAAUUUGCAAAAUCUUGAAACGCUGUUUCUUGAUGGUAAUUCUUUUGAGGGGACGUUUCCACCGAAUAUAUUCAGGCUUUCUAAAUUAAAAUACCUUUCCCUAUCUGCUAAUAAGUUUUCAGGUUCUGUGCCGGAUGACAUAGGGAUGCUUCGUGAUCUUGAAUCCCUUUAUCUUGGUAACAAUUCUUUCAAAGGGAUGCUUCCACAAAAUAUUUUCAGACUUCCCAAAUUACGGGAUCUUUCCCUCUGGGGUAACAAUUUUUCAGGUCUUAUUUCAGAUGAUAUAAGGAUGCUUUCUAACCUGGAAUCUCUUGAUCUUAAUGGUAAUUCUUUUCAGGGUCCGCUUCCACCAAAUUUCUUCAAGCUUUCCAAAUUAAGACAUCUCGCCCUCUCAAAUAAUAAAAGAGUAUUUAAAGGAAGUAUUCCUCUUGGGUUGGGGCUUUUGACUAACCUUGACUACUUAUGUCUUAAUUCCAAUUAUCUCACUGGCUACAUUCCAUCUGACAUUGGAAAUCUAAAGCUACUAGAACAUCUUGAUCUCAGUUUUAAUCAAUUGACCGGACCGCUCCCAAAGAUCAUUUCUAACCUCACUAAUCUAACGCGUCUUGGUCUGAAUGAUAAUUGGUUUUCCGGCAGUAUUCCAAGUGACUUCUUGGAAAACUCUACAUUAUUAUUUUACAUUGAUCUUUCAAACAAUGAUCUGUCUGGAAGCAUUCCUAAGGAAUUCAACGUUCAUCCGACAUUGGAUUAUAUCAAUUUAAGUGGAAACCGUUUUAGAGGUCUACUUCUCUCUUUAAAUUUUUAUGUUCGUUUUGUAUAUGCUAGUAACCUGAUUAUUACACUUUUACUGAAGCUUCAACAAUUCUAACUGCAGGCAAGCUUCCAGCAACGAUUUGCAAUGCUACAUCCCUUUCGACUCUUGUUCUGUCAAAUAAUGAAUUCAGCAAUGCACUUCCACAUUGUUUGGGGAAUCUUGCUGAUCAACUUCUUUCCAUUAAUCUUGCUAAUAAUUUGUUUCGAGGACCAAUACCAACAACUUUCUCUAAGAGUUGUCGGCUGACAUAUCUAAACAUGUACAACAAUCACUUUGAAGGGUUGUUGCCGCAAUCUCUGGCAAACUGUAAGCACCUACAAAUUCUUGAUAUUGGAAACAAUGAAAUAGGUGGUAAAUUCCCGUCAUGGCUGUUUACUCUUGGAGAGCUGGAAGUCCUAGUCUUGCGAUCAAAUAGAUUCCACGGUCCAGUCAAUGGAACAAGCUCAGCAAAUUUAUUCCCCAAGUUGCGGAUUGUUGAUCUCUCCAACAAUCAAUUUACAGGCGAUUUACCAAUUCAGUAUUUUAAGAAUAUGAAACCAACAGAUAACCACUAUAGUUAUUUUUAUACAGAAAGUGGUUUUUACUAUCAUCAAGCAUCGAUCUCAUUAACUGUGAAAGGAAGAGAGUAUGAAGUGAAAAAGAUCCUUCAUAUUUAUACAGCCAUAGAUGUGUCAUGCAACAAAUUUCAGGGAGAAAUUCCCGAGGUUAUUGGAGAACUUAAAUGGCUUGCAUUGCUCAAUCUAUCACAUAAUAGUCUUAUUGGACCUAUCCCAUCACAGCUCGGAAAUAUGGAAUCACUUUUAUCUCUAGAUUUGUCUUCAAAUCAUUUGACAGGGGGUAUUCCCGAUCAGUUGAUUAGGUUGACAUUUCUAGAGGUCUUGAACCUCUCGGAAAAUCAUCUGACAGGGCCUAUCCCCCAAAAAGGACAGUUCAGCACAUUCAACAAGGAUUCUUACCUAGGUAACUUUGCCUUGUGUGGAUUACCUUUAACUAAUAACUGUACACACACUGUGUCACCACCACAAGAAGGCGGAACUGGUGACAAUGAUGCCUAUGAUGAACCCGAUUGGGAAGUGAUCCUCAUGGGAUAUGGAUGUGGACUAAUAUGCGGAUUGUCCACAGGGUACGUUGUCUUCACAUUCAGAAAGCCUCAGUGGUUUAUGAGAUACACUGAAAGCGUGCAACAGAAGUUGAUGAGAUGAUGCAUGUUGAGUACCGUUCAAUCAUGAAGCACAACUGGAAACAAUGUUAUCUUAGGAAAACAUGUGUUCUGAACCAGUAGUGUUUGCACAAAAUUUGUGGUGCUAUGUAAUACUUAUAUAAUUGUACGUAUGAUUAUUGAUUAGUCGUUGAGAAAAUGCAUUUUAUUUCAGUGUCAAUGAUAAUCUACAUGUUUUGGAUACUUCCAGCUUCUCAUACUAAUAUAGGAACCACUUGAAAAAUUUUGGACAGGCUCUGAGGAUGCUAAUGCUGCUGUUUAGUUUCUACCGCGGAAUUGACUUUAGCAUAUACUCGUAUGACAUAUUACUAGAUAUAUGGUUGUUAAAUAAAAUUAUCUUUUUGUGGAAUAAAUAGGAAAGCAAAAUCAUAGAAUAAUGUAUGUUAUAUAGGAAGGUAUUGUCCUCUUAGAUAGGUAUCAUUUAUGCCUCAUUGGCAUGUCUCAGAAAACUUUUGGGUUAACACAAUGUUUACUUAGAGCAUUGCCAUUCCUUAAAUAUAAUAUAAAAUAUUGGAUCUUAGUGACUUAAGAUGAUAAUAGCUAUUCGCACCUCCAACAAUAUUCCUUAUAUUCAUUCCUUAUAUACUAUUUUAUUAUUAAAAGUUACCAUUAUUGCAAUAGGUGAAAAGAGAGAACAUGUUUGUAUUCAAAAUUUAUUGUAAAAUAAUAUUUAGGAGAGGAGAGAGGUUACCUAAAGAUAAGGCAUGGCUAGUUAUUUAGAGAAUCACUAGGAUACUGUUGGAGUGGAUUAUUUUCCCAUAUUACUCAUAUUUUGGUUUAAGAUUCCUAAUAGGGAAGCUGCUGGAGUUGCUCUUAGAGCAUCUCCAAGAGAUUCUUCAUUUAAGCUCCUAACUUGAGAUUUGAGUAGGGAGAGGAAAAAUGUUGCUCCAAGAGACUCUUAAGUGGCUCUUAAAUCACUAAGAGCCUCUUGUUUCUCUCUCCUCUCUCCUCAAAGUUAAGAGCCACCACAUUGCUCCUAACUUAUUUUUUCACAAUAAAAAAAUCUUUUCCUCCAAUUCAGCUCCAUCUUUCCAUCUCUUUUGUUAUAGUGGAGCCCAAUAUAUGAAUAAAAUAUGAAAUAGAGAAGAGAUGUAGAGAGUAUUGUUGGAGUUUACACUCUUAACUUUGUCUUAAAUUGCUAAGAGCUAUUUUUUUAUAUUAUAUUUAGGAGCCAAUAAGGAGGCUCUUGGAGAUGCUUUUAGUACUAAUUGUUAGAAUAUGAAAAUGCAGUUAUGAACUAUUAUGCUAGAGAGAGAAAAAUUCAACAAACUUCAUUUCUGUAAACUACAACUAUUAGUCUGUUACAUUGCUGAAAGCUACAUUUAUACAUUUACAGUUUACAACAAACUAUGAAACUGAUUUUCCCGCGUCCUCCUCACUUGUCCACGUGGCCUGACUGGCUUGGUGUCCUUGACACUCUUUAUUAUUGCUAAUAUAUACUUAACACUAAUACCUCAAAGCAGGGUAUAAAUUCAAUAGCACAGCUUCUGGAUAAUGGAAAUUUAGUUAUCCAGAGGUCUUGGUUUUACAUAUCACUUGUAUAUUAUGUCUCGGUCUCAUUGAAGCAUACCAAACGAGAUUUUGGGUUUGUUAAUAUUUUUUUAGUCCAAAUUUGAAUAAUACUGUUAUGCUUAUUCACACGGUAGACGUGUUUUUAUUAAAAUACUGCAACUGAAAUUGAUGAAAACAUGCACAAAGCAUAGCAGACGAAAGACUUGAGGAGAUAUUGUCUUAGGCGAUGCAAUACGUUCUAAUAUAAUGCUAUAUUAUGCAAUCUCGUUUAAUACUUUCAUCAUUAUUCUCCAAGAUGUCUGAACAUGUAUUUUCAAAGAAUUCUCAGUUCACCUUUAGUCUUAUAGCGACAUUUUGAAGGCACUCUCAACUUACACCCUAUAUAUACACGUACGGUUCACUUCAGUACAAAGAUUUUAUGAUACAACUCUCAUAUUAUGAACUAGUUCUGUCGAAUACAUGAAUAUUGAUCAAUCAUUUGAACUCGAGUUUCCCAGCUGGCCAGAUACCCAGAUUAUUAGCCAUGCAAAACAUGCAGAACCACUAGUAAUGCAGAAAAACAAUAUAUUAGUUUUCUCCGGUGUUACAGAAAUCAGGAAUCGGACCUAAUCGGUUUAGCUACCGAUUUAGGGAUUAAUAGGAAAUAGGGGAUUAAUCGGAGUGAAAAUCGGAUUUAUUUUAAUAUUAAAAUAUUAUUUAAUAUUUAGUUAUUAUUAUAUUAGCUAUUUAGUAACUAAUAUAUUUACUAUAUUCAUAAACUCUAUAAUUAUUCGUAUUGAAAGUAAUAUAGUAUUUUAAUUUUAAUAAUUUACUAUAUAUACUUCGAUUAAGAAAUAUAUAUAUAAGGAUUAAUCGGAUUUCAAAAAUCGAAUCGGUGGCCAACCUUGCAGAGGAUUAAUCGGGGAUUAAUUGGUUGAAUCGGGGAUGUUUAGAACACUGGUUUUCUCCAAAUAUCACUACAACAAAACUGCCAUUUUACGACGGAAAUCUAAUAUUCUAAAGGGUUACGACCAAACUAUGUCGGUGGACUUUAUUUUAAUUUACCGUUUAACAGUAGUUAAUUUUGGAUAUCUACACUUGCGAUGGAAAACAUACGACAGUCUACUUCGUGAGAGAAAAUCAUUUUAUUUUAUUUUUUAGCGCCAGAAUUUUAAUACUGAAAUAUUAUAUAUAUGAAGGAAACUGAUCUCUAAUGUUUUCAGCUUGCUCAUCCAUCGUAAGUAAUCCGUCGAAAAAGUUAGUUUGUUGUGGUGGUGUCUUAUCAUGAGAGAAAAUGAUAAUAUCGCAAAAUAUUUGCAACUGAAAGAUAAAUUAUAAUUCUAGAAACCAUUUAGGUAACGAUGCACGAAGUUAUUUUCACUCACUUAGAAUUAAUGNUGAAAACAUGCACAAAGCAUAGCAGACGAAAGACUUGAGGAGAUAUUGUCUUAGGCGAUGCAAUACGUUCUAAUAUAAUGCUAUAUUAUGCAAUCUCGUUUAAUACUUUCAUCAUUAUUCUCCAAGAUGUCUGAACAUGUAUUUUCAAAGAAUUCUCAGUUCACCUUUAGUCUUAUAGCGACAUUUUGAAGGCACUCUCAACUUACACCCUAUAUAUACACGUACGGUUCACUUCAGUACAAAGAUUUUAUGAUACAACUCUCAUAUUAUGAACUAGUUCUGUCGAAUACAUGAAUAUUGAUCAAUCAUUUGAACUCGAGUUUCCCAGCUGGCCAGAUACCCAGAUUAUUAGCCAUGCAAAACAUGCAGAACCACUAGUAAUGCAGAAAAACAAUAUAUUAGUUUUCUCCGGUGUUACAGAAAUCAGGAAUCGGACCUAAUCGGUUUAGCUACCGAUUUAGGGAUUAAUAGGAAAUAGGGGAUUAAUCGGAGUGAAAAUCGGAUUUAUUUUAAUAUUAAAAUAUUAUUUAAUAUUUAGUUAUUAUUAUAUUAGCUAUUUAGUAACUAAUAUAUUUACUAUAUUCAUAAACUCUAUAAUUAUUCGUAUUGAAAGUAAUAUAGUAUUUUAAUUUUAAUAAUUUACUAUAUAUACUUCGAUUAAGAAAUAUAUAUAUAAGGAUUAAUCGGAUUUCAAAAAUCGAAUCGGUGGCCAACCUUGCAGAGGAUUAAUCGGGGAUUAAUUGGUUGAAUCGGGGAUGUUUAGAACACUGGUUUUCUCCAAAUAUCACUACAACAAAACUGCCAUUUUACGACGGAAAUCUAAUAUUCUAAAGGGUUACGACCAAACUAUGUCGGUGGACUUUAUUUUAAUUUACCGUUUAACAGUAGUUAAUUUUGGAUAUCUACACUUGCGAUGGAAAACAUACGACAGUCUACUUCGUGAGAGAAAAUCAUUUUAUUUUAUUUUUUAGCGCCAGAAUUUUAAUACUGAAAUAUUAUAUAUAUGAAGGAAACUGAUCUCUAAUGUUUUCAGUUUGCUCAUCCAUCGUAAGUAAUCCGUCGAAAAAGUUAGUUUGUUGUGGUGGUGUCUUAUCAUGAGAGAAAAUGAUAAUAUCGCAAAAUAUUUGCAACUGAAAGAUAAAUUAUAAUUCUAGAAACCAUUUUGGUAACGAUGCACGAAGUUAUUUUCACUCACUUAGAAUUAAUGCUAAAUAUUUGCAACUGAAAGAUAAAUUAUAAUUCUAGAAACCAUUUAGGUAACGAUGAGCGGAGUUAUUUUCACUCACUUAGAAUUAAUGAUAAAUAUUUGCAACUGAAAGAUACAUCAUAGUUCUAGAAAAGGAUCCACGAAGUUAUUUUCACUCACUUAGAAUUAAUUGUAAGUUAUUGUGAGUUUUUGAAUAUGAAUUAUCUCAAAUUUUAUUAAAACACAUGUUGAUUCUUAUAUACAAAUUUGCCUAUCUAAUAUUAUAAUAUUUAUGGAGAAGGUGUAUGAACAAUUGUGUAGAUAAUUAUACUUUACAAAGCAUACUUCUGCUAGCUGAAUUUUGAUUAAAAAAAUCGAAAGGGAUAGGUCUGGGUCUCUCCAAGUCUUUGAGGACUCAUUCCAAGUCUUCUGAUGAGGACAAAAUAUAUUGCUGGAAGUCUUUCAGUCCUUCCUAGAGUAUUUUGUGCUCUGCACUGCAUUAUGCAGCUCUCAUAUAACUGACCGCUAACCUCCUUCCAACACUUUGCGAUGCAAAACAGUGGCAUGUUAUAAGUAUUUCCGUAUGUGUAUUUAUUUGGAUAUUAAAGUUGCGUAACAUUUGUGUUGAUAAUUUGCGCAAUGUUGAUGAGGAUUGCUCCCAAGUCUUGGCGGACUCUUUCCAAAUCUUCUGAGGACCUAUGGGUUCAAAUUAGUCCAUUAAAAUGAAUACCAUUGUUUUGUGAUUAAGUUGUAUGGUUAAGAGCUUAUCCUCUGUCGUCCCAGGUCCUGGGUUCGACCCUGGCUCACCCCGAGAGUUUCGUAGAACAGAUACUCAUUAUAAGGCUAUAAGCCAUAUUUGUCAAAAAAAAAGUUGUAUAGGCAAUAUGCAUUGCAAAAUCAGCAACAGAAUAUAUACUAAUUAAUUACCUGAUAUCGGUUUGAACAAAUACUUUCUAUGUAGUUGUAAUAUUAGUCUUCUUUAAAAGUUAUCAUGAGGGAAGAUAUAUAUUGUGAUGCGGGGGAAAUAUUGUAACCGAAAAUAAUUAUAAUUCUAAAAAUUUCCAUUAUACACUUUUUUUAGUGUUCGUACGUGGUAAGUACUUCAGACGACAUUUCUCGCGUAUGCCUCCAAUUAAGAAUUUGAUGUUCAGCCUAGUCCUAAACUAAAAUUAUUAUAAAUGUGUAAUUCAAAAUUAUAUUGCUGGUAGGCUCUGAGAUUAACCUUAAACAAAAACAACUCAGUGGAACGCUUUCCGAGUUUGGUUUCACUUCAUUUCCAAAUCUCAACAAUCUCAACAUAGCACGAAACAACUUUUACGGUCCAAUACCACCAGCCAUUAAGAAUUCUAUUUUAAUAUGUAACAUUCUAUUUUCUAAAAUAAUAAAUAUUUUUUUUAAUAGUUGGUCAAAAAUUAGUCAAUUUGACUUCUCAAAAAGCAGAAAGGACAUGUAAAUUGAGACGGGGGAGUAUUUAACGGAAUUCAACGAAAGGUGUGCGUAUCGUUCUUGAAAUGUAAAAAUAGGUGGUGCAAUUCGAGUUUCCAAACCUAUGGGUACAAUAUCGUUUUUAAACGUAAGCUAGGGGGUCCAAAUUACAAUUACAUGUAUAUAUAGUGACUUAACGGAGUGCAUAUAGUUAACGGAAGUUAACGGCAGGGAGUGCAUCUCGGGCUUGAAUAGUAAAGAUAAAAGGUGCGAGUUGAGUUUCUCAAAGUAUGAGUACAAUAUCGUUUUUGAAUGAUAGUUAAGGGGUGCGAUAUGCAAUUACCUCAAAAAAAUAUGAUCAUUAGUAUAUUAUAUUAGUAUCCACACACUUAUAUCUCAAAAUCUAUCCUCCAAAAUUAUCAUCUAUAUAGGCUAGCCACAUAAAAUAAAAAUUUAAAGAUAUUAGAUAUUUAGUUAUUUCAAUUAUAUAAUUUUUCCACGCAAAAUAACAAAAUAUCUUUAUCAACUUAUUAUUUAUGAGUUAAAUAUUCAACUUAUAUAAUUCGGGCAUGCUGGGUAUAAAUAGAAGUGUAACGCCUAAUUUCCGGGGUCUGGGAGUAGUUAGCGGGGUAUGAGAGAGCAGGCUAUUUAGAAGUCUUGGUCAUGAAAACUUCCAAGCUAACUUCGACAACGGAAUCUUCUGAGGCUACUAUUCUAAAGCACGCAUAAUCAUUGUAUUCAUUUUCCUCUAACACUGGCAAAAAGUCUAUUUAAGCAAAUGAAAUACAAACAACUGAGUGGAAUGCUGACCGAAAGUCUUUUUGGCUGAGCUUAUGAUUUAUUAGUACAUGAUUAAUAUGAUAAGCUAAGCUGAGAGCAUAAGAUAUCGUGUGUAUAAUUUUGUGUUUAUUAAUGACUUAUAAAUUAUUAAAAAUAUAAUAAGAAAAAUAAAAAUGAUUUAUAACUAAUUUAUGUUUUAUGAGUAAUUUUUAUUAGAAAAAAGUUUUAAAAAAUUAUUUCACUGAAAAAAAAUCCUCCAACUAACUUUUGGCUCUAAGUCAGUUUUUGAUUUAUUUAUGAUUUUAAGUCGGAUUCUGAUUUUUACACAAACAGAAAAUUUCCAGCUUAAAGUUAAAAACAACUUUAAGCUCCGGUUUUAAACCUCUGAGUUUGGUUUCACUUCAUUUACAAAUCUCAACAAUUUCACCAUCAAACACAAUGACUUCUCCAAUCUCCGGUCCAGUUCACCAGCCAUUGAGAAUUUGGCACAACUUCAAUUCCAUACCAGGUUAGUCGGCUUCGGAGGUUACACGCCUUAGACCUGUCAAAUACAAAUUUCAAUCUCCAAACUGGUCCGAUUUAUCUUCUAUGCAUUUUGUUGAGUCCGGCUCAUCUAAAACCUGAAGGUGUUAGAAGAAACCCGAAUGAAUCUUAUAUAUGAAUCUUAUAUAUGCUAUAUUUAAACAAUUCUGAGCACACUCAACCUUGGUAUUAAUAAUAUCGUGUCGAUAAUUCCAGAAUUUAUAUCUAAUUCUCAUAGCCUAACUUUCCUUGACCUUUCCAUAUAACAAAUUUACAGUUAAUCCUGUGCUUGAAUCAGUAUUUGCAACCAAAAUUAUGCAAUUAUAGUGCAGGUAGUCUUCCAGUUCUUCCUACUCUAUGCUAUAAUUUCAUUUGAUACCAAUAAUUUUACGCUCUACACUCCAGGAUGAGCUCGCAUAUUAUUGACAGCAAUAAUCCUUCCAACACUUUGUGAUGCAAAGCAGGGGGGCGCCUGUAUUUUCAUAUGUCUAUAUUAUUGGAGAUUAAAGUUGUGUGGACAAUUGUGUUGAUAAUUUGCCCAAUGUUAACAGGGAUAGGUUGGCUUAAAAAUAUAUAAGGUCACUUGUGCAUCGCUGUUCACACACUUAGACCCUGUUUGUGUAAGCUUUAAGUCCGGGCUCAAGCAAUUUCGACUUAAUCACUUCCGAGGACCAAUACCAACAGCCUUCUCAAAGAGUUGCCAGCUAAGAUAUCUAAACAUGUAUGACAAUCAGUUAGAAGGACUAUUGCCCCGAUCUUUGUCAAACUGUAAGCACUUAAAAAUUCUUGACAUCGGGAACAAUAAAAUGGGUGGUACAUUCCCUUCAUGGCUAUUUAAUCUCGGAGAGCUAGAAAUCCUAGUCUUGCGAUCAAAUAGACUGUACGGUCCUGUAAGUGGAAGGAGCACAUCACAUCCAUUCCCCAAGUUGCGGAUUCUAGAUCUCUCCAACAAACAAUUCGCGGGCUAUUUGCCAAUUCUAAACUUUAAGAAUAUGAAACCAGCUGCUGAUGAUAACGCGUAUAGUUAUAAAAAUAAGUCACAAGGACUAAUUAAUUACAUCUAUGAAGCAUCUAUCUCCUUAAAUGUGAAAGGAACAGAGUAUGAAGUGAAGAACAUUCUUCAUAUUUACACAGCCAUUGAUCUAUCGUGCAACAAAUUUCACGGAGAAGUUCCAAAGAGAGCUUAAAUGGCUUGCAUUGCUCAAUCUAUCUCAUAAUAGUCUUGCCGGACAUAUGUUCUGAAUUAUUAUUAUGCUUUCAUCAAUAUUUUCAAACAUUUCUCAAUAUGUAUUUCAAAGAAUUCUCAAGCCCUGGAACAUUUGGACCGGUCCUUUCGAAGCCAAGAUGCCCAGGUUAUCAUGGCCAUGCACAAAAAUGAAUAAAUUAUUCCAAGUCUUCCAUGACUCAUUCCAAGUCUUCGGAGGAGACCCUGAGCACAAAGAUGCUCAGGGUCUCCCCAAGCCUUCCAGGACUCAUUCCAAGUCUUCGGAGCACGGCCUCGACUCGCCCUUUCAAAGAUGUGAUAGUAGCUCGAGAGUGAUAUAAAUUAUUUUCCGGACACUAAAAAUAAAUAAUCAGAUCAAAUUAAUCAAUAAUAAAUUAAGGAUGAAAUCCAAAUUAAUCCUAAAUUUUGAUAAUAUAUAAAAAUUAUAAUUAUAAAUUAUAUAACCAAAUCAGAAUUGAAUUAACUUCCUUGGCACUAAAUUGAUAAGGAAAGUAUAAUAAUUUAAAUUUAAUUGAUGAAAAGUCAAAGUCUUCUAAUAAAUCCAUAAAGAAUAUGAUAAUCAAAAUAACGAAAAUUAUAAUUGAAAAAUCAAAAUCAUUAGUGUAUUGGAAUAGUGUUCACACACUUAUAUAUCAAAAUUUGUGGUCCAAAAACUAUAGCACAAUAUCCUAAAUACACCACAUUAAAUAUUAGUUCAAAAAUAUUCUGUAAAUAAUUGUUUUCAUUCAUCAUUUUGUUAUUUAAAAAACUAAUAAUUUGGGUUGAUGUUAACCUAUAUUUUAAUAUAUAAUUAUAUUAUUUUCGUAUUAUUUUAUUUAACUAGAAACAAUAUUUUUAUCAGACAUCAAUUAUAUUAAAAGAUAUAAUUUUAUUAAAAAAAAUUGAAUUAAAUUAAUAGGAUAACUCUACGCCUCACCAAGUCUACAAGACUCAUUUCAAGUCUACCAAGGACCACUACCUCGGUCCUCAACCAUUGGGAGAUGUGAAAGUAGCUUGAGAGUGACAAAAAUUAUUUUCCUCACAAUAAAAUUUAAUAUCUGAUAUAAAUUAAUUAAAUUAGUUAAUAAUAAAUUAAAACUAAUCAUGAAUUAUGAUAAUAAUUAAAUAAAUUAUAAUUAAAUUAUAUAAAUCAACUCCAAAUGAUACAAAUGACACUAAACCUUAGUUACUUUAUUGGUAAAUAAAUAUAAUAUAAUAAUCAAAUUGAUGAAAAAUCAAAAUCAUCUAAUAAAUUCAUAAAAAAUAUAUGAUCAUUAAUAUAUAUUAUAUUAGUAUCCACACACUUAUAUUUCAAAAUCUAUCCUCCAAACUUAUCAUCUCUGUAAACUAGCCACAUAAAAUAAAAAUUUAAAGAUAUUAGAUAUUUAGUUAUUUUCAUUAUAUAAUUUUUCCACACUAAACAACAAAAUAUCUUUAUCAAAUUAGUAUUUAUGAGUUAAAUAUUCAAGUUAUAAAUCCAGCAUGCAGCGUAUAAAUAGGAGAAACAUGGCACACUCUGCAAAGCCUUCUCACCUUCUUCUCUUUGUUUUCUUUCUCUCAUCACUUGAAUCCAUUCUUGCAACAACACGAGAAGGAGAAGCUCUUGUGAAAUGGAAGAAUAGCCUAGCCCCGUCUUCUUUUCUUGAUUCUUGGUCACUCACUCAUCUCGAUAAUCUUUGUAACUGGACUGGCAUUACUUGUAACUCUGCAGGUUCAGUCUCUGAGAUUUACCUUUAUGAGAAACAACUUGAUGGAAUGUUGUCGGAGUUUGGUUUCACUUCAUUUCCAAAUCUCAACAAUCUCACCCUCGCAUACAACUUCUUCUCCGGUCCAAUACCACCAGCCAUUGAGAAUUUAACACAGCUUCAAUAUCUUGAUUUGAGAAAUAAUUAUCUAGAUGGUCCCAUUCCUUUCCAGGUUAGCCAUCUUCAGAGCUUGCUCAUCUUAAACCUGUCAGAGAAUGCAUUGCAAGCUCCAAAUUGGUCCCAUUUCUCUCCCAUGCCUUUUUUGCGCAUCCUCAACCUCAGUCACAAUCCUCUUGCGUCGAAAUUCCCAGAUUUUAUAUCCAAUUCUCAUAGCCUGACUCACCUUAGCCUUAAUUAUAACGAGUUUACUGGUGAUUUAGCACGUGAAUCAAUAUUUGCCAAUCUGCAUAAUCUUGAAGUCCUCAGUCUUAAUGGCAAUUCUUUUGAGGGGCCAUUUCCACCAGAUAUAUUCAAGCUUUCAAGAUUAAAACGUCUCUUCCUGGCAGUUAACAAAUUUUCAGGUUCAAUUCCCAAUGACAUAAGGUUACUUUGUGAUCUUGAAUACCUAUAUUUAGGCAACAAUUCUUUUGAAGGACCGCUUCCACCAAAUUUAUUCAAGCUUUCGAAAUUAAAGCGUCUUUUUCUUUGGAGUAAUAAGUUUACAGGUUCUAUUUCCAAUGAUAUAGGUUUGCUUUCUGAACUUGAAACCCUCAAUCUUCAAUUUAAUUUUUUUGAGGGGCCGCUUCCCCCACAUAUAUUUAGGCUCUCUAAGUUAACAGGUCUAGAACUCGGAGACAAUAGAAAUUUAUUUGAAGGAAGUAAUAUUCCUAUCGGACUGGGACUCUUGACUAACCUCAGGUACUUAGAUUUACAUUUCAGUAAUCUCAGUGGCUAUAUUCCAUCUGACAUUGGAAACCUGAAGCUACUAGUACUUCUUAGUCUCGGUUCUAAUCAAUUGACUGGACCGCUUUCAAAGAUCGUUUCUAAUCUCACAAAUCUUAUAUUCCUUGAUGUAAGUGAUAAUAGUCUUAGUGGAAAUAUUCAGAGUGACUUGUGGAAAUAUAACCAUCAUCCUACUUUGGAAUACAUCGAUUUUAGUGGGAACCAUUUUACAGGUAUAUUUUUUCUCUAUAGAUCUUUUCCUUUUGUCAUAUGUAACUAAGCUAGUAAUCUGAUUAUUGCAGUUUUACCGAAGUUUCAACAAUCUUGACAGGUGAGCUUCCAACAACAAUUUGCAAUGUCACUUCCCUUUCGGUUCUUGAUUUGUCAAAUAAUGAAUUAAGUGGUGCACUUCCAAACUGUUUCGGGAAUCUUGCUGAUGGAUUGCUUUACAUUAAUCUUGCUAAUAAUCAGUUUCGAGGAACAAUACCAACUACUUUCUCCAGGAGUUGUCAGCUGACAUAUCUAAACAUGGAUAAUAAUGAGUUUGAAGGAUUGUUGCCCCCAUCUUUGGCGAACUGUAAGCACUUGAAAAUUCUUGAUAUAGGCAAUAAUAAAAUAGGUGGUACAUUUCCGUCAUGGCUUUAUGCACUUGGAGAGCUAGAAGUUCUUGUCUUGCGAUCAAAUAAACUCUAUGGUACAAUAAGUGGAAGGAGCAUAGAAGAUCCCUUCCCCAAGUUGCGGAUUGUGGAUCUGUCCAACAAUCAAUUCACAGGCCAUUUGCCAAUUCAAUACUUUAAGAAUAUGAAAUCAACUGAUAAUUUGUAUCGUUAUCAGAAUUCCACAAAAGUUUUUUCUUUCCAUUAUGAAGCAUCUGUCUCAUUAACUGUGAAGGGAACAGAGUAUGAAGUGAAAAAUAUCCUUCAUAUUUACACAGCCAUUGAUCUGUCCUGCAACAAGUUUCAAGGAGAAAUUCCUGACGUUAUUGGAGAGCUUAGAUGGCUUGCAUUGCUCAACUUAUCUCAUAAUAGUCUAACAGGACCUAUCCCAUCAUUGCUGAGAAAUAUGAAAGGACUCCAAUCUUUAGAUUUGUCUUCAAAUCAACUGACAGGGGCUAUUCCACCUCAGUUAACUGCACUGACAUUUCUAGAGGUCUUAAACCUCUCGGGAAACCAUCUUAGUGGAGGGAUUCCUCAGAAAGGACAGUUCAGCACAUUCAACAAUGAUUCUUAUCUAGGAAACUCAGCGUUAUGUGGAUCACCAUUGACGAAGAAAUGUGCAAACACAGCAUCACCUCCACAAGAAGUCGGAAAUGUUGAUGAAGAUGAUGCGGGUGAUGAAUUGACAUGGGAAGCAAUCUUGAUGGGAUAUGGAUGUGGACUGAUAUGUGGAUUGUCAUCUGCGUACAUUGUUCUCAAACUAGGAAAGCCUUGGUGGUUUGUGAGAUAUAUCGAAGUACUGCAAUUGAAGUUGAUGAAAAGAUAUGCAUGAAGAAUGGUACUAGCCGAUCAAGAUGAACUCGAAAGUUGUGGUCCUUGUGGACAUUUCUGAACCAGUAGUGUUCUAUUCUCUUUGUGGCUGCAUAAGUAUUUGGUAUUGUGUAAUGUUCUGUUUGGUCUUGAAUCAUAAUAAUUUUUCUUUCUUCAGGGGUAUUUAUAAUAUAAACCUUGGUAUUGUGUACUAGCUGUAAUAUUCUGUUUGAUCAAUGUUUAUACCAGUAAUUUUAUGCUCCGCACUGCAUCAUGCAGCUCUCAUAUUAUCUUCAUAUGUGUAUUUAUUUGGAUAUUAAAAACAUAUGGGAUAUGUGUUAACAGGGACAGCUCCCAAGUCUUGGAUAGACUCUUUCCAAGUCUUCCGAGGUCCUAUAGGUUUAAAUUAGUCCAUUAUCUGCAUACUAAUUUGUCCAACUGAAAAAUCAAGGAUAUUAUGUAUUAACUGUUUUAAUAACAAUUUACAAGUAUAAAUUUCAUAUAUUUUUUCAUAGAAUAUAAAUUAGUUGACGUACUAAAAUCACUAGUCAAAUUAAUUUAAAUAAAUAUAUUGAAAAGAUGAUAAUAAAAUUAUGGUAAUUUAUCACUACAACAAUUCUGGACAUUAAUUAUAUGUAUACUUAAAUAUAUUGAAAAGAUGAUAAUAUAGUAGAAUACAAAUGGUUAUGAUUCCGUAGUAACUACACCGUCGUAAGUUCACAUAAUUAUAUAAUUAUAGUUAUUUGAAAACGAAAAAUAAAUGAGAAAAUAUAUAGUGACCAAAUAUGAAUCAAUCUAAAAUUUUCAUUAUGGAGAUCGUAAGAAACGUGAUGAAGAACUGGAAUGAGAAUUCCUUACAAAACAUUUGGGUUAUAUUAUCAAUGAUGAAUGUUGUAUAUUAUACCUAUGAUUUCAAGUCUCAUACAAAAUUAUAUUGCUCAUAGUCUUUCGAUCAGUUCUUACUAGUGUAUGCAAUAGUUUCUCAUUCCAUACCAGUUAUUUUAUGCUCUGCACUGCCUUAUGCGCGCAGCUAUCAUAUUACUGACAGCUAACCUCCUUCCAACACUUUGCCAUGCGAAGCCUGAAGAUUAAAGUUAACAGGGAUAGGUCUUCUUCUCUCCCAAGUCUUGGACGGACUCUUUCCAAGUCUUCUGAGGACCCAUCGGCUCAGAUCCGUCCAUUAAAAAUUUAUUAUUGAUUACUUAUUAUUAUUGAUUGAUCUAAGAUUCCAAAGACAUGUUCCCGUAAUUUUCAGACUUAGCCAGUUGGUGUGGGCAGAAGUUUUAGAAAUAGUAGAUUAUGGGGAUUUUAUUUAUUCUAACCAAUUUUGAGUUAUUUAUUUUCUUCAAAAAAAUCAAUACUUAUUUUUUAUUGUUAUGCGGAAUUCCAAUAAAUAUUAAAAUAUAUAAUUUUGAUUAUUAUCAUAAAUUUAUUUAUUCAAUAAAUAUUAUUAUACUAUUAUGGAAACAUUUUAUUUUGUAAUGUAUAGUACACCCUUAUCCCACCAACAAAACUACAUCACAAACAAAUUAUAUCAUAUUUAAUUUAAUAAACUCAAAUAAUUUAAUUUAUGUAACAACUCUAUAAAAUUAGAGUGAUUGAUACUUUGCACCCCUUAUGUUUAAGCGUUUUUUCAAUUUGGUUUCAAACAAUUUUUUUGGCAGUAUGCACCCCAAAAUUUGAAAAUUGCUUCGCUUUGCACCCUUUUAAUCGCUCUCCGUUUAAUUGAUAUUGACCGUUAAAGACUUAAAGUUGACAGAUAUGGGUUUACAUUUUCAACACCACAAUUUUAAUUUUUUUUCAUGGGUAUUUUGAAAUAUUCAGACGACUGGGAUGAUUCAAGUGUCUUCAUGUUAGACAGUGCGAUAGGUCGGUCGAGGGGUUUUCAGAAACUGGGACCAAAGAUUGGCGCCAUCAGAUUGGAUUUAUAUCAUUGGAAACUCUCUGUACACCUCUAUAGAAACUGGGACCAAAGACAAGAGGGAGAAGCUCUUGUGAAAUGGAAGAAUAGCCUAGCCCCGUCUUCUUCUCUCGACUCUUGGUCCCUCACCAAUCUCGAUAAUCUUUGUAACUGGACUGGCAUUAAUUGUAACUCUGCAGGUUCAGUCUCUGAGAUUAACCUUUGUGAGAAACAACUUGAUGUAAUGCUGUCUGAGUUUGGUUUCACUUCAUUUCCAAAUCUCAACAAUCUCACCCUCGCAGCUAACUACUUCUCCGGUCCAAUACCACCAGCCAUUGAGAAUUUAACACAGCUUCAAUAUCUUGAUUUGAGAAAUAAUUAUCUAGAUGGUCCAUUCCGUUCCAGGUUAGCCAUCUUCAGAGCUUGCUCAUCUUAAACCUGUCACAGAAUGCAUUGCAAGCUCCAAAUUGGUCCGAUUUCUCUCCCAUGCCUUUCUUGCGCAUCCUCAACCUCAGUAGCAAACCUCCUGCGUCGAAAUUCCCAGAUUUUAUAUCCAGUUCUAAUAGCCUGACUCACCUUAGCCUUAAUUAUAACGAGUUUACUGGUGAUUUGGUACGUGAAUCAGUAUUUGCCGAUCUGCAUAAUCUUGAAAAGCUCAGUCUUGUUGGCAAUUCUUUCGAGGGGCCAUUUCCGCCAGAUAUAUUCAGGCUUUCCAAAUUAAAACAUCUUAGCCUGUCAGAUAACAAACUUUCAGGUUCAAUUCCCAAUGACAUAGGGUUGCUUUUUGAUCUUGAAUACCUAUAUUUAGCCAACAAUUCCUUUGAAGGACCGCUUCCACCAAAAAUAUUCAAGCUUUCAAAAUUAAAAAAUCUUGUUAUUUGGGGUAAUAAGUUUUCAGGUUCUGUUUCCAACGAUAUAGGUUUGCUUUCUGAGCUUGAAAGCCUCUAUCUUGACUCCAAUUUUUUUGAGGGGCCGCUUCCGUCAAAUAUAUUCAAGCUCUCCAAAUUAAGGAUUCUUUUCCUUUGGCAUAAUAACUUUUCAGGUUCUAUUUCUAAGGAUAUAGGUUUGCUUUCUGGACUUGAAACCCUCUAUCUUGACUCUACUUUUUUUGAGGGUCCGCUUCCCCCACAUAUAUUCAAGCUUUCCAAAUUAACAAGUCUUGACCUCGCAUACAAUAGAAAUUUAUUUGAAGGAAGUAUUCCUAUUGGACUGGGACUCUUGACUAACCUCAGAUACUUGAGUCUAUCUUCCACUAAUCUCGGUGGCUAUAUUCCAUCUGAAAUUGGAAACCUGAAGCUACUAGAAGUUCUUGAACUCAGUUCUAAUCAAUUGA